AACAUAAAAUGUUGCAAAACCAGCAUUAAGUAAUAUAUGCAAUUUUGUACCCCAAGGACUUCCAUGGUAGAUAGAUUCAUGAGGAUAGACAGUAAGUAGAGAUGUAGCGAGACAUGAUCCAACAAACCUAGUAGAACACUCGGAACUCCAGAUAUAUGCAUUCAUAUUAAUUUAAACAAUAAACCGUGCAUGAUUAUAAAAUGCCAUUAAGAUCAUAAAGUAAUACCGCAGUGCUAAUACAUUUUGCAUCAAGAUGGUAUAUUUGAUUGUCUAACAAAAGAUGAAAUGUUAUAUAAACGGAGUAACUUAUAAGUAGCAAAAUGGUGGUACUAAAAUUAAGCAAGUGACCAACUAAUACCAGUAUAAUUUGCAAUUAACAGUGUAAGAUCAAUUCUCUAAAUGUUAAAUGGGGCCUCAUGUUAAAUUAAAUAUACAAGAGCAACUUUAAAAGUUGUCUUCGUGUCUUUCCUCUAUGCAUAUAGUACAGAUAUAACAAGUAGCUCUCCAGAAUUCUGCAUAAACCCAACCAAUUCCCUGUCAAACGUCCCCAUCAUCUCCCUACAAGUCUUAAUGGAUCUAUCCUACUUCCCUCAAGCUUAAAGGACAACCACAGAAGUCAAAUUCAAGCAAGUCAAGCAAAGAAAAGGAUCAAUCAUGAGUCUGCCAAAGAAUACUCUCCAUAUUCCAGUCGGUGCCAUCGUCUAAAAGAAGGCUUGCAGAGCAAACGACCAGACAAGAGUGACCAGUCCAGUCAACCCUUCAGCUGACCAUCAACCCAACUAAUAAUGAUCAUAGACUUCGAGUCUCCCCACCUUCUGUCAAAAUCAACCUAUUCCAGCGUGCAUAUAUUCAGCAUAUCAUCAUUCUUCCCCCUCGGUCUCAUGUUAAUGAUCAUAGGCUUUCCAAUGUUAUCCCAAAAUCAACCUAUUCCGUUUGAGCAUAUAACUAGAGGACUACAAUUGUACAAGCCAUGAAGAAACGGUGGCGCUUAAGUAUCAACCUAUCCAGAAGAUGUAGAACCAGCAUAACUAACGGGCUCUGAGAACAAACAACAAGCAAGAUCAUAUAUCUUAUACCUUCCCUCACAAUUAAGAAUGCAACCUCAAACAUUCUCACACUGUUUGGUCCUUGAUCCUUCAGUGGACGCACAACUGGGACCAAUCUUGAGAAGCCCCUAAGAUUCUCUAGUUGGUUGAAGAGGAUUGACCUACCUAGUUGGUUUGACUAUUGGCCUGGUGCUCUUCCAAUGAAUUCAGAAGAAGGAACCUCCCCCACCCCCCAACAAGAAGUUUGACCAAUUGACCGUGUGGAAUGAACAUCACCUUCAUUACUCAAACAAGAAGCCAAUUUGUGUAACAUGUGCAGUAAGCAAAGGUUUGAAACUUCUGGGAUCCUGGACGCUGGUUGACCAUGCUAAAAUCAUAUAAAAUUAGUAGAAACAACCUCGAUCUGUUCUCUCUUGGGGCACUUUUACCCAGCAUAGAGAGUUUUCUCAUGGAUUGUCGUCAGAAAGGUACGUCAAUUGACUAAUCAGGAGAAAACAUUAGAUUUUUCUGAGGUAUGUCCCAAUCAAUCAAACAGAUGGAUCCUGUGGUUUUUUCCAGGGAAAAUCAGUUGUUGACUACUUGGAGGAGCUACCGCAUCAAUCUACUGUAUGUGAACUUCCAUGUUUCUACCAACUAGAGGCAAAGGAUAGUUCCAUUUCUAACACACUAGUCACCUAUAUGGUUACAAAAUUAACUCAAUCUAGCAUGUUUGGGUCACACGUCCAGCUUGAUAACACCGAAAAUGCAUCUCGCGCAGAUUAGUGCCCAUUUAACGAACUAUGAGUAAGCCACAUCCAGCUAUGAGGCAGUGUAAAAUUAGCAACAAAACGCAACAGUAAGUAACCCCCACGCGGCAUAUCAAAACCACGAGAUCAACCCGAAAUGGAGGUGCUAUCUCGAAGCCAACGGCGAAAUGCUCUGAACGGAAACCCUAAACAGAUCGAAUUGGCUCGAACCAACACAAAUCCCCUACUAAUUCGUCAACUAUACCUCACUCAGGCAAAACCCACCGCGGAACCCAUCUCAUAGCGGAAACGAUAGAGAAACCCAAACCGGAAACCGCUCAUGAACCCCACCUUUAUCCUCCCAGACCAUCGAAUCAACCCCAAAAUAACCAAUUAAAAAAAAACACCCAAAGGAGCACGACAAUUCAGCAAAAUCAGUACUGCUCCGGCACAUAAGGCACAGAAUCCGACGAGGUACGAGGAUGGGAGCUCUCACCUCCUCCGAUCUGCACAACCAGCCCGAUGCCCUGAUCCAGCUCGCUCCACCAAUCUCCUUCUCGCUUUUCCUUCCCUCCUCUCUCUCUCUCUCUCUCUAACUUUGCUUCUCUCUGUGUUCUGGUUCUCGUGUCCUAAUCCCUUUCUCCUCUUCCCUUUGCGGAACCCCCCUCCUCUUUUCGCGUGCGCCGAUAAAAUUAAUAUCUCAGCAAAGAGAGAAAGAGAAAUAAAUAAACCCAAAGGCACCACGGGCUUUAUAUACCCCCCCGUCCACGAGCCCCGCCUGACGCCGUCACGGCCACGUCUCUGCAGUCAGCGCUCCCGCGUCGCGACCGCGCCUCCUCACGCCGUUAGGACGGGACGCCUCCCCGCCGUCGGAUCGCAGCCGGACGGACGGACGGCUGAGACGCCUCGACGCGAGGUCACGUGCGGCGCGCGGCCGAGGUGCCACGGCAGGCGUGACGAGCGGGGGCGGAAGGACACGCGGUCGCGCGUUUGACCUCACGCGGAGGGAGGUUUGAAAUCCCUGCGGACCGUGCGAUCGUGAUCGGAAGGAUUAAAAUUAUUUUUGGGCUCCGUCUGAUGGGCCUGGGCCUGGGGGGAAGAUAAGAUGGUGACGUGGGCCCACGCGUGGUGUGGGGACCACUACGAGGAAGGCGACGAAGGGUGAGGCGAUGGAUGAUGUGCGCUUCGCUUUAAUUUGCCUGGGUGUUUUCCAUUUCGAUGAGGGAAUGUGAUGCCUCUUUUUUCCCCUUUGUUAAGAAAUCUGAUAGGCGCACAACUUAACCUUUUCUUUUUGGGGUAAUCUUUUUACUUUAAAGUUCAAUGCUCGAUCUCAAUUUAUCUAGGAAAGUGUUUCUUUGGAAUGUCACAUCUAAAAUUGCUACCACCAUUUCAAGAUACUAUAUCAAUGUUCAAACCCAUGGUAAGAAGAAUGUCAACUCACGUCUCGCGGGAUAAAGUUUUUAAGGUCGUUGUUUAAAAUGAGUAAAUGACAUAAUUGUUUCAAGCUUUUUUUUACAACAUCAAAAAAUUAUGACACAAAAAUUUAGAUCAAAAUUUUAAUCUACAUGUAAAAAAACUAAAAGGAUAAAUCAACUAUGAAUAUUAAACCAAAAUAAAUAGUGCUCAGGUGCUAUCCGAACUCCAUUUGUCCAACAACAUAUACUUUUAGAAUUCAUCUUCGGUAAAAAAAUGUUCAACAAAAUGCCAAAUUGAUGAAAUUGGAUCAAUAUAUUGAAAUAAGAAAUCGUUCAACAACAUCUGUUUGUAUCAGACGAUUCACACAGAUAGACUAACCUUCGGUCAAAAUUAGAUCUUGAACAUUAUAUUUUAUAUAUAAAGAUGGUGGGAGUAUUAUUCAUGGAUGUUGUUUUAUUGUUUGAUGGGCCAAGCAAAUUUAAAUUUGAAAUUGUAUGUCAUAUUAGAUACACCAGCAUGUUAAUGUUUUCAAAUUUUCAUAAUUAAUUAGUCAUAGUUAUUCAAUGGUGAACUAAGUUCUUAUCGCAUGAGCGAUUAUUAGACAACAAGUUAGAAACCGAAAACUAUUAAGACCUAAGUAUUCCCUUCCUCUAAAAUAGUUGGGCAUGUUUUGGUUUAUUAACCUUCACAACAACAAAAAUGCUCUACUAUUUUGUGGUUAUGUAAUAAAAAAUCUUUUGAAUAUGAAACUCUAUUACUCCCUCCGUCCCGUAUUAAGUGACCCAAAUUUGUUUAAAUAUAUACAUAUCUAUAUACUAAAAUACGUCUAAAUACAUGUAAUAUUUCGGCACUCAAUAUAGGGCGGAAGGAGUACAUACAUAUAUAUUAUAACAAUGUGAUCGACAUUUAAACCGUUUCUUAACUGAAAAAAAGCAUCCCAUAAUUUAGACGCACGCAUCUUAAAAACUGCUAUGAAGUGAUUUUGUAGGUCUGAAAUCUGAAUAGAACAAGAAUGCAGGCUUCUGGAAGAACACUAGGCACGAGGCAAAUUUGAUGCGACGUACUACCCAGCUGCGAAUGGGCCGCACUCCAUGAGCCCCCUGGGGCCCGUCUGAUUGGAGCCUAGUGGGCUUAUUUUACUGGACGAGGAGGCCGCUACGUCGUCCCUACGCAGAUUCGUCGAGCUUUGAGAGGACACUUCGGCUUUCCGAAGUGCUGUCACACCAAGGUUUAACUAGCUUGCACUUUGCAGUGUCAUCCUCUUGUCUCGUAGCUGAAAGAUUCAUCAUCGAUUAUAGUACAGCUCUCCUCUCAACCCCUAGGAGUAUAUAUAUCAUAUAAUGAUUGCAAGUAUGGUGUGUUUCUUUAGUUAAGAAAACAGAUUGAUGAAUCUUAUCGUUAUGUCAAAAUCUGUGAUGAAAAUGAAGGAUCCUGUGGCGCUUUUGAGUAUUUUGUCUUCGCUCCGUUUCACCUGUGAUGUCGCACAAAAAUAUUGCCCGAGUACUCUCGCUGAUAGUAUCUGUAAUAGGGCCGGUAGAUCGUUUUGGGGCCUUUUGGCCAGAACACCGUGCUAGAAACGAUGUUGAGAACUGGGGAGUGUACAUUUCUCAGUCGACCUAGAAAUAGUUAUUUCGCAGUCGACGAUCAUAACCAUUCAAUUAAGAUUUUCUCAACAUUUCAUAAUUAUAUGAAUCUUGCACGAAUGUCAGCGAUCGGAUCGGAUGGUUGUUAGCGUCGACUUAGAAAUAGUUAUUUCUCAGUCAUCUUGAAAAUAGCAAAACCGUAAGAACUGAUGUUUUAUUUGUCUGAUAAUAAAUGGAACUUGUCACAGGCGUACUCUAAAUACUCACUUCAUCCUGGCUACAGAAUUCAAGGCCAAAUUAUUAGUAGAUUGGAUCGAUGGUGACUAAUUUGCGCCUUUGAGAUAUUUUAGGAAUUUAUCUCGACCGGGCCCUGAAUAUUCAACAAUUGGUGGGUGCGCAAGGUGCAGCCGUGCAAAACAUGUUUGAAGUAAUGAAAUGGAGCCAAAUAGUAUUGGAGCUACGAUACAUUAUCCUGAUUAAAAACGAUCGAUUACUCGUUAAUUGAAAAUGGAACAGAUUCCAUCCAUCAUAUGCAUGUAGCCAAAUCAGCGUAGUAUGUUGGUUGGCAUCAUGGGAUGGAUGGCAGGGCACUCAUGCAGGCGGAGAACAUGAGACCUGCGUGCGCGCGAGGGUUUUGCCAUCCAUGAUUGCGUCCGCUCUGCGUGGCCCAUGCACGUGAAACCAUUAUCCCUAGCUAGCUCGGUCCAACGGCCAGUAGCUCACCGUGAUCAUGUGGGUACGUACGUGUCGAUCAAAUGACUUCCAUUUACGGAUUCACCUACACACGUUCGUCCUCCUCAUUCGAAUUUGCGCACGUUUUUGUCCGAUCAAUGACUUUUAUACUUCCUCAGACGUGAAUUUGUAAUAUAAAGAAAAAUUAAUACAAAUUCACGUCACUUGUUUCUGGCAUUUAAGAAAAAAAUAAUUAUACAAAUUCAUGUCAUUUAUUUCUAACAUUUAAGAAAAGGAGGGCGAUCAAUGUUAUACGUGUCCAUGCGUGACAUUCUGAUCUGAUGAGAAUUGGCCUGGUCUGGUGCGGCCGAUCUGCAGCGACAGCAACAGAAGCUAUGGCUAACGUAGCGUGCACACCGACCCGGGAUCGAUCAAAAUCACUCGGUCUGGAUUUGGGAGAUGACGCCAGCGCGCGCGCAUCUCAACCAACGUGCGGCGGAGGAGGCCAGGUGCUUUUGAUUAGCUGUGGCCGGCUCAGCGCACGCGCGCGCGUGAGGCAGAUGUGAACCUGCCUGGGCGUGUGAACGCCGAUCAGAGCCGGCCGGCCGGCUCGUCGUUGGCUUUUAAGCCCGAUCGAACGCACAUACGUCCUCUUGGGUGGACUCCGGUCAAGAUCGCACGGAAGCUCGUGCCGAUCACCACAGUACUUACGUUUAUUAUUGGUUUGCACUUUGAAGGGUUCAAGUCUUCAAGCUAGCGUACGUGUACUCCACGUGCUGGAAUUAAUUGAUUAAUGUGCGCACGUGCGUGCUGGGAGGGUAUGGACGGACUCGUGAAUCGUGAUGGUUAAUCCAGAACCAUAUGCUCUUGGUGCAACUAAAAUUAAUUUGGCGCGUCUACCUAUGGCUGCGUGGUGGUUUUGAUUCCUUCGUAUCCUGUCCUCCUUCUACGCAACUGCGGUCUGUCGAGAGAGGAGGGACACCAGAUCGAUCAGAGUACUGGGCAAAUUGUUUCUUUUAUCAAGAGGAGAGAUGCACUUGGGGUGUCCCUGGAGCGCGUGUGCGUGUUUGGUGGUCAUCUUUUUUUUUUAUUUUCCAGAAUCUCUGGGGUUUUUGUUUUGAGCGAAUUUCAUUUAAGAAUCUCUGGUGAUCAAACUUUUGGUUGUUUAUUAUGCCAAGUGGGUGCGUCUGAGCAAGGUAGUACGCACUGGGCCAUCGUAGGGUCCAAGGGUCCAAAGGCUCGGGUCACUCCCUGGCUGCAAAUUGCAUUAUGGGCAGAUUACAGCUGGGCCACCCCAAAGCUAAUGGGCUGUAAUAGUCGUGUUGAUUAGGCCCUGGUCGCUUUCUGGCCGCAGAUUGCAUUUCAGGCAAGUCGCUUUGGGCUACCCCAAGCUGAUGGGCUGUGGUAGGCCGUGCUGAGUGUCACAAGUUCAUCAGAUCCCUUCUCAUUUUCUCAGUGCUCAUGAUAAGAUUGUGAUUGAAAAGAAGAACACACCACCAUUUCUCUCUCUCUCUCUUUUCUUUUUCUUUUUUGCAGACAGUGCGCGCGCAAAAAGAAUCGCUGCGCAUCUCGGUGGCUGCAGAUCAUGCCCAAAUUCGUGGCUUUUCCAGCCGCGAGUUUGGUGGUGCCAUGUACUGGUGCAUUUACCUAGACCUGUUCUUUCUGUGAAUUUUUUCCCCCUCUCCAAAGGCCUCGAGUGUGGCCAGAUUUCACUAGCUGCGUUUGCGGAUUUCUUCGAUUUUUGUGGCCAAUGCAGCCGCGCAUUCGGUUCUUUGUCGUGGAAGCCCCCUUAUUUCUGUUCCUUGGACCAUCUUGAGGUUUCGAUUUCUGCAAGGCCAGCACUGCCAUUCCUUGAUGCGAAUUUGGACGGCGCGUUCAGAUUGGGAAUCAGCCUCCGAUAAGGCGCCAAUCUGGAAUUUGUGUCAAAACCUUUGGGCUAAACCAGUGGAUUCCGUCGACUAAUUGCUUUGAGGCGGCCGAGGAUUUAUCGUCCCUCACCACAAAUCUCGUUCUUUCAAUUGCAAAUGUGCAAUUCAGGGGUCGUCCGCAUUGUGAUGGCAGGGCUGGUGUAGAAGGGGCAAGGAAGAUGAGGCACUGUACGAGAGAAUGGCUCCUCGCGCCGUGCAUCAUCUCCGUGCUGAUCUUGGCACCAGCAGUCUGCCAAGGAUUGCUAUUUGGCGCAGCUGACAUGUCACCGCCUGCGCUGACGCCACCCUUCAUCAAGCAAGUAGACGACUGGGUGAGUAUACUUUCGAUGUAUUCCAUUGCAUUCGUUAGUACUCUCUCCGUUUAUUAAUGGGCACCAUUGUACUAAAUCCGCGUCAAUUAAUAUGGAACGGAGGGAGUACCAAUAGACUGUUACUGUGUUACAACAAUGAUGAUUGAUAUCAAGGUUUUGGGUACCGGUGAGACUUAUUUUUAUGAACGUUUACCUGGGGCACACGUAAGUCAUGCCAUUUGCCAGAACCCUGGGUGUUAUUGCAUAGUUUGUAAUCAGCAAAGUAGUUUAGUUCAGGUCAUCUUAUGAAGUGAUUAUCAACACCUGCAGGCACCAGAGGUAGCUUAGCCUAGCCUUGUUUGUUCUCCUGUUCCUCUGUUUGCUUUUGUUUUCUGUUUUGUAGGUUUAGUUUGCCUAGGUUUUGGUUUUUGGCAUUUGGCUGUUGUUUUGUUUUGCUUAGCCUUGUAAGCUUUGCUGCGUUCUUGGUGUUCUUCUUAUAACAGAACAAAAGAGAGACACGUUUUUGUACAUGUUCAAGAAAAAAAAUGAAGUGGUUAUUAGACACUAUCGAUCUAGUGGGACUAACUUCAGCCUGGCACUCAGGCCUGCUGGCACUUGAUGAAUUAAAUCAUUGCUACUCCCUCUGUUCCUUUUUGUAAGAAGAUGUUCCGGUUUUGUUCUAAGUCAAACUUCUCAUUGUUUGACCAAGCUUAUACUUUAUAGAAAGAUAUACUAAUAUAAUAAGUAUACUACGAAGAUGAUAUCAUAACAGAUUUUAUAAAACUAACUUAGAGUUGUAAACGUUGUUAGAUUUUUGUAUAAACAUGGUAAAAUUUUAAGAAGUUUGACUUAUGACUAAGCUAGAACAUCUUGUAAAAAGGAAUGAGGGAGUAGUUUCCAAGUGGUGAUUCUAUUCUAUGGCAAUUCAUGGUACUUCCUCCAUCCAACAAAGGAUGUCUCAACUUUGACUAAAUUUGAAUGCAUCUAUACACUAAGGCAUGUCUAAAUACAUCCAAAUUUUGACAAACUUGAGACAUCUUUUGUUGGACGGAGGGAGUACUUCAUUUUUUACUGGUUAUUUUUCAUGUACUGACAAGGGUGACCUGAUUACGUACAGGUAGAACACGCAUGGCUCAAGUGUGGUUUAGACAAGAAAAGUCUUCAAGAUGUGAGAAGCUACUACAACUACGCCCAUGUACUUGAAAUUCUCCGUAGGAUAUCUGCAAAAGACAAUAAGGACAGCUCCCCAGUCAUUGAGCAAGACACCAGUCCAUUGACACCAGUUAUCAAGCUCACUUUGCUGAACUGUUUAAGCAAGCAGAGUUUUGAGGUCGAAAAAAACUUGCCCGCUGGUUAUAUCAAAACACUUAUCGCCUCAAUAAGAAAAGAUCUGACUCUUGGACCUGCCCCAAAAAAUGAAGCAGUAGAAACCACCCCUGGGACAACUAUGCCAAAACCAGCAGAGAAACCAACUGCCAGCAUUUCAUCACAAACAACUCCUACUGAAAAGGCAGUACCCACAACUAAAUCGGCUGUGAAAAAGGACAAUGAUGGCAUGCCAACUGCUGUUGUCAUUGGUCUGUCCGUGGCUGGUAUCGCACUUUUAGCUGUUCUCUUCUUGCGCUGCCGUGAACAGGGUUCCGCAUAUGAUGAUAAGCCACUUCUGAAUCUGAGUAAUGUAUCUGGCAUUGGUAUACCCAAUUUGUUCCAAGACACGGUAUUCCUUUUCUUCUUGUGCUGAUUUUUGUGCUUUUAUGCAGCUGGUUCUCUAAACUCUUCCCAAGCAAAUCCAAUAGAUGUCAAUAAGCUGGGGGCAUUGUCAUUGAUGCCAGAGGCUGGUCAAAGUGUCCAUGUGAAUCACAGCUCACAGGAAGACGCAGACACUGAUCAAAAUGGCCAUGUGAAUCAAAGCUCACAGGAAGGCGCAAAUGCUGAUCAAAAUGGCCAUGUGAAUCAAAGCUCACAGGAAGGUGCAAAUGCUUAUCAAAGUGACCAUGUGAAAUUAAGCCCACAGGAAGGCGCAAACACUGUUCAAAACGGAUAUGUGAAACUAAACCCACAGGAAAGCACAAACACUGGUCCAAACAACCAUAUGAAACUAAGCUCACAGGAAGGUGCAAACACUGGUCAAAAUAGCCAUGUGAAACUAAUCUCACAGGAAAGCGCAAACACUGAUCCAGCAGUUUACAACAGUUCAGCUGAGCCGAUGGCUGCUUUUGUCAUUUCUGUGCAAGGAUCAACACCAAUGCCUCCAUCAGUGAUGUUACCUCCAGCACCUCCACCUCCAAAGGCUCCUCCAUCAAAUCUUCAAGCACCUGCACCACCUCCAAAAGCUUCUCCAGUUCCUCCAUCGGGACCCUCACCACCUCCAGCUCCACAAACUUCCCAGGUUCCUCCAUCAGGACCCUCAUCACCAACUGCUCCAAAAGCUGCACCUCCGCUGCCACCAUCAAAAUCUGCUGGACCUCGACCACCAGCGAUGCCUGGUUCCAAAACGCGUCCACCACCACCUAUGAAGAAGUCAGGCAAUAAGGCAGACACUGAUGCAGGUUCUAGUGAAGCUAAAACAAAGCUUAAGCCCUUCUUUUGGGAUAAAGUAACAGCAAACGCUAACCAAUCAAUGGUGUGGGAUCACCUUAAAGCCGGAUCAUUCCAGUAAGUUUGUAGAGGCAAUUGCAGCUGUCUAUCUUAACUUGCUAUUCUGAGAUUACAUGAGUUAUAACUAACUGAUACUUCUUUACAGGUUUAGUGAGAAUGCUAUUGAAACCCUUUUUGGUUUGAGCUCUGACAAGAAGGGCAGUGAUGUCAAAAAGGAUACAUCAAAGGAGGCCUCCCAACUUGUGAGGAUACUUGAGCCUAAAAAGGCACAGAACCUGGCCAUAUCAUUGAAGGCGUUAAGUGUCUCCUCUGCGGAAGUAUGUAGUGCAGUUAAGGAAGGUAAAGUGUAUUGUCACUCUGUACUUUGCAAGUGGCAAGUGCAUACUUCUUCCUAGAUGGAAUGCUGCUCCUUUUUAUUCUUACUGUAGCAGAUAUGUCGAUGCUGAUACCUGAAAUACUUAUUGAGCUUCUGCUUUAUUUUUUCGCGUAAUAAUAUUUCUGCCAUGAAAUGCUAUUCGUAUCAUCAGUUUCUUCACAGUCAGGAAUUAACUAUUCUUCUGUUUUAGGGGCAAUCAAUCACUUAAAAUGUGUUUCCCAAUUAUUAUUUUCCCGAAGCAAAUAAUACAGAAAUUCUGCUAAAGUGACAUGAGUCGUGUCUUCUACUUCAACUGCGAUUCUAACAAAUAGGAAAUUGGGCAAGACUAUCCAGCUAGUAGGUUGCAUGCAAGGGAUGUCACAUUUUCAUUUUGUUCUAGUGUUAACAACUCUGUACAUCUGGUAUCCAUCUUUCUCAAACCUAAGUUCAUGUGCUUCUCUUUAUCGAAAAUAGUCCAUGUGCUUCUGAGUUCUGAUCAUUGUAUUUCAACAUGCUGAAAAAUUGAAAUCCUAUUUCCCGAUGUCAUAUGUCAUUUUUAUCUAUUUCCCUUGAUAUUUUUAUAGGAAACGAACUUCCGUCGGACUUGAUACAGACCUUAAUCAGAUGGGUCCCGAGUAAUGAUGAGGAGCUCAAGCUUCGACUAUAUACUGGGGAGUUCUCACAGCUUGGUCCUGCAGAACAAUUCUUAAAAGCAAUCAUUGACAUUCCUUAUGUCUACCAGCGUCUAGAGGCAUUACUUUUCAUGGACAAUUUACCAGAGGAAGCUUCAAAUGUAAAGCAAUCUUUUGCCACUUUAGAGGUAAUAUCAUAGCCUUUAUGACCUGUCGACUUCUACUCUACUAUACUCUUUCUUACCCUUGAUGUUUUUAUCAGUAUUCAUAUAUCUGCUAUCUUGAUAUUUAAAUCCUGAUCAGGUUGCUUGUGAGGAGCUUAGGAACAGCCGUCUUUUCUUCAAGUUACUAGAAGCUGUCCUUAAAACAGGGAAUCGUAUGAAUGUUGGCACAUUCCGUGGAGGAGCUCAGGCAUUCAAACUAGACACUCUUCUUAAGCUGUCUGAUGUCAAAGGAACUGAUGGGAAAACAACACUGUUGCAUUUUGUUGUUCAAGAGAUUAUCCGUUCUGAAGGUGUUCGUGCUGCACGGGCUGCAAAAGAGCAGACCAGCACCGUAUCCAGUAGGAACACCAAUGAUCCUGCCGAUGACAAUAACGAAAAAACUGAAGAAGAAUAUAAACAGCUUGGUCUGCAAGUUGUGUCCAGAUUGGGAGAUGAACUUCAAAAUGUUCGCAAGGCCUCAAUCCUUGAUGCAGAUCAAUUGACUAUGUCAGUGGCAAGUCUUAGCCACAAGCUUGGCAAAACCAAUGAAUUCUUGAGCACAAGCAUGAAAAGUUUAGACGAAAACAGUGGGUUUCACCGCAAGCUUGUGCAUUUCAUAGAGCAGGCUCAAUCUGAAGUCAAUUUCUUGCUAGAGCAAGAGAAGAAAAUACAAACCUUGGUAAAAACUACUGUUGAUUAUUUCCAUGGGAGCACAGGAAAGGAUGAGGGUCUCCGGUUAUUUAUUGUAGUGCGAGAUUUUCUCGCGAUGCUAGACAAGGUGUGCAAAGAGGUGAAAGAAGCAUCAAAAGUAGCUCCCAAGAAAACAAAGACCGGAGGUAAUCUGCCUUCCCAACCACCUAAGUCCUUUCAAGAUCCCCGGCGUAAUCUUUUCCAAGCUAUUCAAGACCGGAGGGCAGAUAGCUCAAGCUCUAGUUCUGAUGACGAAAGUUAACUCCAUAUGAAGGUACCUAACAUGAUGCCCUUCCAUAGCAUUAGUUAGAGAGAAAGUUGACAAAGAAAUGAUAAUGUGUGCCUGUUUUCCUGUCAUCUGUUGUAGCACCAUAACCAAAUUGCUGAAAUAGGAUGGUCAUCUUCGGCCUGACCAAGUAUUCUUCACAAGAGUAGUUGUAGUACUUCCACUCCUAUCAAGCAAAUUGAGAUGCCACAGACGAGGUGCCAACUUGAAAGUCUGGAAUUGGCCAUCGAAGGAAGGGGAAAAGAAAACUGACAUCUUUAGUUAGAGCAGGUAUAACAGGGAGGAAGUAGUCUGGCUGACUGUUAGUCUGUUACACUUACGCUACCUGCUGGUUCUUGAUUGUAAAUUUGUACUAACACAGCAAGAUACUAGUAGAAAGGAAGAAGACAUGCUCCACACAAGCUCAUAAACCUCGGAUUCUUUUGUUUGCACUUCACAAUACUUUUGCAAAGAGAAUAAGAUGUUAAAAGUGUCAGGCUUUUAGCUGAAACAUCCUGUGUAAAUUCUGGCAGAUUUUGAGUGCUAUAUGCGAAGUGGUGACAAUUUAAGAGCAGGUUCGUACUGCUGUCGUCGGUAUCUUUUUCUCAGCCUGUAUUGGUAUUUCUGAACCGUUUGUGUCUCUGUGCCUCUGGCAGUUCGGUUCACUGACGCGUCAGGCAAAAACUGGGUAAUCCUAAUUUGCUUGCAUGUGCCAUUUGGUGCUCCUAUGACCAAGUGCGUACUGUUUCGUUCGCCAAGCCAUUCUACGACGAAUCUAAUCUAAUCGCAGCUAGUGUUAGGAGCUCCUUUUUUUCAGCUUCCCGCCUUGACACUCUUUCGAAAUCGCUGGGCACGUGAAUACUUGUCCCAAAAUUCAUAAGUGCCCGCCCAAAACUUUUGUAUCUUCGCAUCCCAAAUCCGAAAUCUUCUACACUUGAUCCAACAACCACGUUUGGACCAGCAUACGAUGAUCAAACACAAAGAUAGAAACACCAGACGAUUGGCCUCACGAUUCACGAACCAAGCUAAACGCCUUACUCGAACGAUGCUAACCUCAGAUAGUCAGAUGGUUUCCCGGCCAAUUCGAAUUUUUCCGCCAUUUUUUUAGAUAACCUUUAAGCCAUGAAUCAGUGAACACAUUCAACAAUUUAGCCAUGAAUCACUGAACACAUUCAACAAUUUCGCCAUGAAUAUUUUCUCAGCCGACCCAAUACCAAACAACAGAGAGAAGAGUCAACAAGGCAUCCAAAGAUGCAACUUUUAUAAAACGUAGGGAUGAACUCAGAUCAGCUAAUCCUUGUCCACACAAGAGCACAUCUAAGUUUAGCACCGGUACAAACACAGAUUCAGAAGCUAAUAGUAACAUCCUAGUAGAACGCAACACCUAGGCACACGCAACUACACAGUGAUACAGCCAGCAGCAUCCACGACGCGGAGAGGAGUCAGGAUCUAGCUAUCGUCAUCGGCAGCCGCGGACUUGGCGCUGCCUCCGGCCUUCUUGGGCAGCAGAAGGUUGUGGAUGUUGGGCAUGACACCGCCGCUGGCGAUGGUGACCAUUCCGAGCAGGCGGGAGAGCUCCUCGUCGUUGCGGACGGCGAGCUGGAUGUGGCGUGGGACGAUACGGGUCUUCUUGUUGUCCCUCGCGGCGUUUCCGGCCAACUCGAGAACCUGCACGAACGAGAGAUUCGCAACGGUUAAUCCAAAAUUCCACUUAAACUUGGAGCCAAAUUAGCAAAUUAAACUUCUCCAGAAUUUCGACGAAACCCCAAAUUUCCCCAAGAGGGAACCCUAGGACUCAUCCCCAAUUUCUCCAACCACCUCAGACGAGACCAAAUGACCGCCGACGCUCAAAUUGACAACCCAGAACAACAAAUCAAGCAUCGGAAACCAAAAUUCCACUCACCUCAGCAGCGAGAUACUCGAGCACGGCAGCGAGGUAGACGGGGGCACCGGCGCCGACCCUCUCGGCGUACUUGCCGGCCUUGAGGAACCUUGCGAUCCUGCCGACGGGGAACUGGAGCCCGGCCUUGGAGCUCCUCGAGAUGGCCUUCUUGGCGGCGCCCGAGCCGAUCGCCUUGCCCCUCCCGGCCAUGGCUACAGUGUUCCGACGGGAAGAAUCUGCGCGGCUGUGGAAGCGAAGCGCGGUACGAAGUGCGGAGGCUUGGCUGGUGGGCAAGAGGAGGUUGGUGGGAUUGGGAUUUAUAGCAGAGGCGAGCCAAUGCCGGGGAAGUACGCGGAUCGGUGACGUGGCGACGAGGGCGGGGUCAGGGGGUAAGAUCCUGACCGUCGGAUGAGGUGAGCCGCGGUUGGUUUUUCGGGUUUGCCGCGCAGCGUUUCGGCGGUCAGUCGUGGUCCCAUUCGCUCUACCUCUGCGGGCUGUGGGCCGCGAGGCUCGGGGCUUUUGUCGGGUGUGACGUUUUUCUAUUUACCGCGCUCCUGUACGGCCGGUGUAGUUUGGCAGAAAAGUGUAAAAUGUUUAGUUAAAAAACAAAGCUUGCACUAUUUGGUGCAACUCAGUGCGAAGAAUUAGGUUUUCUUAUGUAAAUAUGACAGGCAAAGUUUCGUCAUGUGAUUUCGUAAAACUUGUCUGAAAUUAUAAAUCGAUAAAGAAUACACGGCACAAAUUGGCACAUGUGUGAAGGUACGACACGCCAGUGCUCGGUCUAAGAGAUAAAUGGGUGGACAAGUUGCACCAACCUUACCAACGAGCCAUGACUCAGUUUACCCGCACAUAACAGAUGUGUUGUGUAGUCUUAUUUCGUCUUAAUUACCCUCUCUCUUUUACUAUAACCUUUAGAAGGACUGUGAAAAAAAAAUCAUGCAACCUAUAUUGUUGUAAGAUUGUCAUCACAAGUUUGUCUAAUGGCUCGAAAUGACCUUUGAUCUUAACAGAACUUAGACCGUUAGGUAAACUAGUUUGUCCAAACAAAUGGAUCAGAAUGCGCGUGUGAUUGCAACAUCAAAUCAACUCCGAUGUAAUUUGAAUUUAGGAAAAAUGGAUCAAAAUGUCCAUGUGACCGGAUAAGUAUGGUAGGCCUCGUAGUGUUUUAGCGCGGGGCAGGGUGUGUUCAGUGCAUGUCGAACACAUAUGGUCUGCAUGCAUACCUCACUCCUUGCACACCAUAUUUACUUUUUUUUUUCUAGAAUGCGUUGAGAACACAUAUGCAAUAUAGGAAAAUGUUUUUUUUCCGGGUGAAUGCAGCAAAAUGUUACAAAUGAUUACAUUAUGUAGUUGAGGAUUAGCCCUAGGUUUCCUACUUGAGCCUAGUUUAGCCCUACCGCUACCGCUUUGCACAAUCCUGGAUCUGCCACUGUUGGCAUGUUGAAAAUCGGUAUGGUCGGCUAGGGGUGAACAGGUGACUAACAAAUUUUACUUUUUGUUUUUCUUUUCUUGAAAGAUACAAAGCACUUAAUUCUAGGGUUUGCUAGAUUUUCUAAAGUGAACGCAACCCUAGUAUGAAAUGCAAUAACCACACGUGAAGACGAAGAUUUCAUCGGAGUUCCACCUAUUGGAGUCGGUGUACGUCUCCGUUUGGAGGAGUUCUCUACCACAAAGGUACAGACGCCACGAAAGCUCACUCUAUUCUCCACCUCACCACACCACAAAAGUGGGAUGAGCUCUCACAACACCACAAAGGUGAGGUGAGUUUCACUAGUGGCUUCUUUGAUAAUGAACGCCGAACUCAUAAUAACUUGACCGAGGCAAACUCCACAACUCAAUCGGAGGCUCCCAAUCCAAGCCCCGAGCACUCAAUCACAAAGGGAGAGCUUGAGGUGACUACUUCCGUUUAGGGUUCCCAACAACCCAAGAGAAACGAAAUCCACGAAGACAACAAGGGGAAUCAACUUUUUUUACUUGGUGAAACCCUAGAUGUCAAUCUUCUCCUCCAAAUCUCAAAGUAUUUGCUUGGGGGAACAACUAUGGAGGGAGAUCGAGGGAAAUGAAGUUCUUGUGUUCUUGAGGAGAGAGAGUGGGUGUUCUUGGCUAAAAAUCGAGGAAAAGACCCGUUGAGGACGAAAGGGUUUUUAUAUGGGUCCCCAAAAACGAACCGUUAUGCACUGCGCAGAGACAGGCCGGAACUUCCGCAUAUUACCAAAAGUUCCGCUAAAUAAUCGGAACUUCCGCAUUUUUCCCGAAAGUAACAGAGAGCACCUGGAAGUUGGGGCGGAAGUUCCGGUCAGAACUUCCGCCACAUGUACUGCAGUAGUCCAAAAACAAGUUUGAAUUUGGUUUAUCUCUCUUACUCUUUUUGGGGUAGACUUUUUAGUGGGUGCAAUUUAUGUAGUUGUGUACGUGAAAUCGAUUCACGCAAUACCUUCCCUUGUGGAUUCUCUCUUAAUAGUACCGAUGUCCUACGACUCAAAUCAAAUUAAAAAAGCCGCUAACACCGCUACGCUUCUUAGCAUCUUGAGGGUCCACACCAUCGUCUUGCGCCAAUUCCUUUAUAAAAUCUGAAACACUUGACACACGAUUAGAUACACUACAUGUUGCCAUCACCACCAAAACCACUUAGGAGAGAAAUGCCCUUUCACAUAUGUCGAUUAAUAUAUUUUCAAAGGCAUCUUUGUGUUAAAAUAGAGCAACUUUGACUCAUUUUUUGGCAACAUGACUCAUCUAAUCACAAAAUUCGCUCCAAUGCCUUCUAGCAGACAAUUGCGACUAUGUACUAACUACUUUGUCUCAUGUGUUGACAACUUUCGCUCCACUGCAACACUGCGUAUAAGUUUAGCUCAUUUAUUGACAGCUUUCAUUCCAUUUCACACAACUUUAGCUUAGCUCAUGUUGUAUUUUCUUACUCGAUUGCGGGUAACUAUCGUUGUACUUCAGGCAACUUUGCCCCUAGCACUUCAUAGAAAGUCACCUAUGACUACAACUUAGUUGAACUAUAAUAAGAUGAAACUUGCCUUGUUUAACUCAAGAGUUGAGUUAAUAAAGAGGGAUUUUGUCUUAAAAACUCGGACGUUGUAUUUUGAAAAAUAUUAGUCAAAAUUGGGAUCUACUCUCUCCGUUCCUAAGAUGUUUUAGCUUGAUCUUAAAUUAAACUUUUGAAAUUAUGAUCAUAUUUAUAAGAAAAAUCUAACAACAUUGACAACUCUAAAUUAGUUUUAUUAAAUCCUUCAUGAUAUUUCAUAGUAAUAUACUUAUUUGAUUCCUUCAUGAUAUUUCACAAUAUACUUAUUUUGUAGAUCUUGUUCAUUUAAAAAAAAAACUUGAUCAAACUCAAAGAGUUUAACUUAGUAGAACAUAUAAUUAAGAACGGAGUAGUAGCUGGAGAUAAUAAUUUUGAAGAUAUGGUCACGGAAGAGCCAAAAAUAUAAACAGGUUAUAAUCCCAACCCUUGGAUUGAGUAAGGGUUACCGAGGUUCUGGAGCACACAAGUAGAGACAUUAGGGGACAAACGUUUUCGGCAAUGACGCUCUUUUCAUUUUGAGGUGUUGGCUGGAUUGGUUUUCCGGCCAACGGGCACGGAUUUAGGCCCGUCUCUCUUUUUUUUUCCAGAAAGGACUCAGUCUGAAGCAAGUGUACAAGGGACUCAUCGACAACAACUGCCGCGUCAUGCUAACCUGAGCGGUCAACUACGCGCUACCUGAGCCGUCGACUACGCGAUAUUGGAGUACACAUCCACGCGUCGACACUCAUAACGGCUCAAACGGCACCAAACGACUUCACAGCUGAUCCAAGACGCUAUCUCCAGAUUCCGACGAUCCUUCUCGAGGCCACGGCAGGUAUACAAUCGAAUUUAGAUCGAUGAAUUUCGAAAACCCCAGCAGUAUUCUGCAAAGCUUACUGAUCAGGGGAGGCAACGGGCACCAUCUUCCGCAAUUUCUGAAGCGUAGUGAUCGCAUCAGAGUUUACAACGGCAUUCACAACCAUCGAUUUAAAAAGGGUUUGGAUUUUGGUUCCUGGAACUCCGCCAGUGUAUAGGCAUAACUCGCCGGAAGAAACCGUUCAUCGUUCUUCCAAAUCACCCUCCAUGCCCAUCUUCUAGCAGAAUAGAAAUUAAAAAAAUGCCUCAAUUUGGCUACUGGCUUGGCAUGUGACCAACAUAAAACGACGAAAUGAAGAGACACAAAUUGAAACAUAGUAAUCUUAAAAUUCAGUUUUUUCCCAUUUCUUCAACCAUUGAACACAAACAAGAUCAACCCGGCUUGCAUCUGAGUUUAACUCACCCGAAAAUUUGCUUGCCAUAUUCACAGCAAUCGAAACACCUAAUCCGAGUAAGAAACUGGAGUUUUCCUAUUUUGUUCCACCCAUCCGAAACUCUGCGGUAAUACACUAAAUCCUACGAAUCAAAAACUCCUUCCACUUGUGACGCGGCGCUAAGGAAUCCAUGAAGGUGUCGACGGUUGUCCUCAGUUGUCGUCGUCGUCGGCGAUGGAAGCCUUGGAGGAUGAAGCCUUCUUCGGGAGGAGGUGCUGGUGGAUGUUGGGCAUCACGCCGCCGCUGGCGAUGGUGGCACCGCCCAGGAGCUUGGUCAGCUCCUCGUCGUUGCGCACGGCGAGCUGGAUGUGGCGCGGCACGAUGCGGGUCUUCUUGUUGUCCCUUGCGGCGUUGCCGGCCAACUCCAGGACCUGUACCAAUGUGAAACGAAAACGAGAUUAGACUAAAGUCGAAACAAGCAGACUGAUUUAAUCCACAUUGCAUUGGAACACGAAGAAACCUAAUCUUGACGAGCCGGGGCCCGAUUUUGUCCCCAAAAUUAUUGACGGUACGAUUCAAAACAGAUCUAAGAACGCCCAGCCAUCGGAAUCUCCGCCGUAACCGGAUCGAGGAACAUGAGACCCAACAAAUCGAAGACGCGGUCAGGGGAGAAACGUACCUCAGCUGCGAGAUACUCGAGGACGGCGGCGAGGUAGACGGGGGCGCCGGCGCCGACGCGCUCGGCAUACUUGCCGGCCUUGAGGAACCUAGCGAUCCUGCCGACGGGGAACUGCAGCCCAGCCUUGGAGCUGCGGGACGUCGCCUUCUUCGCUGCGCCAGCGCCGAUUGCCUUCCCGCGACCGGCCAUCUCUACAACCGAGGAGAGGAGAACAACGACGGCGAGAACCGGCUGCCGGAAAGAGGGUCGCGCGAGAGGAAGGGGGCUGGUGGAAGGAAGCGAGAGAAAACGCAGAUGCAGGGAAGCGGUGGGCUCGGAGGGAGAUUAUAUAGGAGCGUGGGGACGGGGCAGCAGCCAAUAGGAGGCGGUCACGCGGAUCGUGGAUUUCGGCCGUCGGAUGCGUGGAAACGUACGGCGGAUGCGAGGGAGGGGGGCCAAGAGGAUUCUGAUCCGGAAGCGGCGGGAGAACGGGCAGAUUUUCGUUUUGGUCUUUCCGGGGGGCGGGAGGUGGAAAACUGGAAAUCGACGGAGCGGUCACGUGCUUUCUAUCUGCGGGCCCAAUUGUCGGUGUCGUUUUCUUCUCUGGUAAACAGGCGUGACAGGUCCAAAACACUCGCGUUCCACCAUUUUGUAACAGCAUGCAUGUGUGUCGUGAUGCCACGGGAAGUCCAGUGAAUUCCGGAGGCUAGGCGAACCAAUGGGACCAAAAUUUGUCUUAAAAAUACGAUACGUAUUGUAGGACACAUAGGCAGUGAGUUACUGGAUUUUGCGAAUGGUACAUUUUGACAUACUUAAUUUAAACAAAUGAACUAUUUUUAAAAAAAUAUGUCAUUUUGAAAUUUUAGUUUAUUUGGUUGAACUAAGGAGGGUCAAGAAAUACCUUGAGGAUCACAAUUUUACAGCUCUAUAUAAGGGUAAGCGCGAGCAUGAAGAUAAAGUUCUUAUGAAAAGAUCGUUGUACAAAAAUGUGAGUAUAUAACUUGACGUGUUAAAUGCACAACCAUGAAUCAUGGACGGGAAUGUGAGUAUGUGACUUAACGUGUUAAAUGCACAACCAUGAAUUAUGCACGCAAUACAAGCAGUUUUUUUUUUCGAAGAAAAAAAAGUUGUUACAAACGGCACUAAGUUUCAUGCCCUAUGUUGUCGGUUGAUAUAGUCUGAGUUUGCAAGUAGAUAUUUAAGUUCUUCCAAUCGAAUUACCAAAUCAGCAUUUGUAUUGAAAUGUGUUGCACCAUAUUUGGUUGUACAGGCUAUUGCUAGUUGGAAUGAAGAUAACAAACAAUUCAGAUUUUAGUUUGUGAAUUUUACCGGACCUCGACUACUUCGUCGGAGUUCACCGGAGUUUGUCAGACUAGUAGAGCUCACCAGAGUAGCCUCUGGCCUAGUUUUAGGAACCGGACCAAACCGGAACCGGUGGCCUCUGCGGUCUGUUAAGAACACUGGACGGACCGGACGGCACGCCGCACCGGAAAAACUGGGCUGAACCGGCCGGUUUAUGACGAAACUGGUGAACCGGGCGGUUUUGUUCGAUUGACUCUUGUACAAAACAACCUGAGAAACAAUUUGCGCCGUCCAUGAAUCAAACCCCAAGACCGCCUUCGAGAACGCACGAGCAGACCACGCUAGCCACUUGGGCUAACAAUGCUUGCUUACCAAAGUAGGAAAACGAGGUUUGUAACCUUUUAGAACGUAGGGCCGUGUCGCCAGUCGGGUUGGACCGAAACUAAACCAUAAAUACAUUAUUUUAUAUCUAAAAACCAUAUCGGAAAAACCGGAACUGAGAGCCUUGCCGGUUCAGUCACCGGUCCGGUUUUCAAAACUAGGGCCUCUGGUGGUGGGGUGGGGUGGGAGAGGGGGGCAUACAUAGUCCAAUUUCACCAAGUUUGGAGGGUUAAACUCAAAUACGCGUCUGAAAGUGCAUAUUCUCCCAUGUGCGACUUUGAUAAUUAAUGACAAUCCAUUAUUGGCCGUGCAUAUUCUCCCACUGUGAUACGACAUUAUUUUUCGUCUCAAUGAAAUUUCCACACAUAGACCCGACUUGGUUACUCAAUUUGACCAAGUUUGUAUGUCAAUCUACCAAUAUCAACUCUACAAUAGUCCGCCAUGAAAUGUAUCAGCUAAUAGUACACUUAUUCGAUAUCGUAGAUAAUUUUAACUAAAUAACGACAAUAAUUUAGGAUUGGAGGGAGUACUAUUUAAACCUCGAUCAAAUUUAAAUAAAUUUGACUUAAAGUAAAGUUAAAACAUCUUGUAACUGGAACGGACGAUGAUAACUCCGCAAAAGCCUUCGAAGGCAUGGACAUCCAGUGAUGCGAACGAGACUCGGGAAAACCAGAUAAAACGAGACUCUCCCCAAGAAUCGACGACUCUUUUCCACGAUCGUGGGGCGUGGACAUCUGUCCGGGGGUGACGAUCCUGAACAAGAAAGCUGAACAGCAGCUAGACUUUGAGAUAAGCGUUUGUUCCGUCACCUAUUACGUACUGCACAUUCACAAAUAUCCUAGACCUAGAGUACUGAAACCAACCCGAUGCCAUUUUACAAGAAAAAAAAUGAUUUCAUAGACACGAAAAGUACUGAUAAGAGUACGACUGCCACAUUUUCAUUCCAGUAACACGACGCCAAAACAUUCAUACUUCAAUGCAAAAAAAGCAAGCAGAAUCAUCAAACCACAUCUCACAGCGGGGAAGGAAUUAUUAUACGCCAAUGCAAAAAAAAAGCAGCUGUCGGCUUUAACUUUAAGGAAAAAUCCAAGAGACGAGAUCUCAGGUGUGCACGCCGACGGCCUUGGAGCCGCGGGCGUCCUCCCUGGCGGCGGCGUGGGCGGAGACGAAGUAGACGAGGCAGAAGAGCGCGUGCACGAAGCAGAGCACGCCGCCGAUGGAGAGGAACUGGUGCCGCAUCACCCCGCACUCGGCCAGCUUCUUCUUCGAGUUGGGCAGCGCGCCCAGGAUCAGCAGCGCCAGCCCCACCACCAGCACCAUCCUGCCCAAUCCAACCCCAUCCAUUUCGAAACAGAUCAGAAGUUCAGAACGCAGCCGAUGAUUAGUUUCAAUGUUCUUGGACUUGGACUCGAAUCCUGCGUGCGUACCAUGAGAGGACCAGGGCGAAGGACGCCAUCUGCCGGUUGGGCGAGGGGCGCCGAUGCGGGUCACCGCCGCAGCAGCAGGCGCACGCGCAGCCGCCGAUGAUGUUGGCGAUCGCGUGCGACGCCGCCAGCACCGCGGCCGCCGCGAUGCCGAGCUUGUAGGCCUGCCGGACCGGCUGCCUGCACUCGAUGAACAGUAUCUUCAGGUGCCUCCCCUGCAGCAGGAAUCAAAUUAACCAGAGCUUCAGCCUUCGGAGACGGGUUCGACGAAGCAUCAACUCAGCAAGCUGCAGGAGUGAGUAUUCAUCAUGGUUUACCUGGUUCUGGGCUUUCUCCGCGUGGAUGCCGAGGACGCCGGCGGCCACAUCCAUGGCGACGAUGAGGAGGCAGACGACCACGGCUUCGACUCUCGCCAUCGUGUCUUUCUCGACUUCUCGCGAUGGCGAAGAUGGCAGGAGCAGCGGUGUGGGCGCAGAACAAACAGGCUUGGUUGUCGCUACUGGAGUGUGCAGCGAAGAUGCUUUUAAGGUCUCAGCUUUUGAUGUUCUUUUAUAUUGUUCUGUGUCUCAGGCUCUCUGCUUUGUUUCGGCUUUGGGGUUCUUUACUGAUUCCCGUUCACGAGAAAGGCGGAAAGCUCUGCUAGGUUGUGCUUAAAACGAAAGAAAACAAAGCCACAAAGGUGAUGUUAAGGUGGCACUAGCUGACAUGGCUAGACACGAUGCUGGCAGUGCUAAUUACCCAUCAUCGCGAUCGUAAUGCUAAUGAUUAUUAUAUCGAGUUUUUCUGUGGAAGAUUUGAGAACCUAAGCUCGUAAAAUCUUUAGAUCAACUUCUAAGGGCACCUACAAUGGUCAAUACGAUUGUCCUAUCUUAUGUGUUCAAGGUCAAGAUGUUGUAUAAUAGGUUAUGUUUUAAUGCCAUAUCAUACGAUUAAUGCUCAUAAAAUUAAUAAAAUUAGUGUCAUUUAUUUUUACUAAAUGAAUGAAUGCCAAUUAAUAUAGGAUGGUGGGAGUAAAUGCCAAGAAAAGGUGAAAUCUAGUACAAUGAGAAGUUAUGUCUUAUCCUUAUUGUAAAGAGGUCGUCUCUUAAUUAAAAAAAGACUUGCUUUUUUUUUCAUUUAUCUUUUUUCCACAUCAGUUUCUGUCAACUGACGUCAUCUCAUUCAUUAGAGGGCCCAUUUCAAUUCAAGGGUAUUCAAGUGAAUACCUACAAAAAAAGAAAUGAAUAUCUAUAUCUCCUCCGUCAGGAAUUAAGUAACGUGGAUUUGUACUAAUUUCGGAACGGAGGGAGUACCAUGAAUUUUAUAUGUAUGCAUAAAGAAAGUGUUUUGGGCUAAAACUCAAAGUCAAGCAUUGAGCCCUAAAAUGCUAGCCAUCUAUCUCCUCUCUCCCUCGAGUUGGUCCAAUGGUCAAAGUAGAAUUUUGGAUCGCUUAAAAUCGAACUAUCUACUGGAUACUCGUAGUCUCGUAUUGAUUAAUGCCUGCACCUCAUGCCCCUUGGCUUAUUCUAAAUCCCCAAAAAACAUGUUUCAAUCCAAGAAACUAGUGAUUUCUCCUCUGCCUCCUUACAUGCUCUGCUCCUCGGCAUCCCCGGUUUUGGGCGUUGGCCGAUUGGAUGGGCUGGCUAAUGCUUCACGCUUCGGCGCUUCCGCCAGUCCACAACUGUUGGAGAUAUGCCCUAGAGGCAAUCAUGUGAUGAUGUUAUUUUCUAUGUAUUCAUGAGUUAAUGUUAUUGUCUCUGAACAUCAUCACUGAUAUGUAUCAAUAAAUAUGUGAUUUGUUUGUGAUACUAUAUAUUCUAUCAUGCUGUUCUAAUGUUUCCUAGUCAUUGAGGUUAUGCGGACACAUAACCUACACUAGCAAUGCGACUCAGUACGAUCACUAUGUUUCACAAGUCAUAGGGCAAGGUGCUGCCAACUGAUAGCAUUGGACUCGACAAUGAGAUUGCUAAGUCGGACAGACACGCACUGAGACACAAUGAGAUGAUUGUCAUUCGUUAGUCUCAAUUACGAUGUUUACGCCAGUCCUAGACCUGAGGUCAUUGCAUGAGCUUGGGACGUGAAUCGGUGAAAGAUUGGUAUGGUCGACUAGAGGGGGUUAAAUAGGAGACUAACAAAUUAUGAUUUUUCUUUUUCUUUUCUUGAGAGAUACAAACACUUAAUCCUAGGGUUUUCUAAAUUCUCUAAAGUGAAUGCAACCCUAGAAUGAAAUGCAAUAGCCGAAACAACAAUAUAUAGCAAGAAUGUAAAGGGGAAAUGAUACCACACGUGGAGACGAAGAUUUCACCGGAGUUCCACCUAUUGGGAUCGGUGUACGUCUCCGUUUGGAGGAGUGCUCUACCACAAAGGUAGAGACGCCACGAAGGCUCACUCUAUUCUCCAACUCACCACACCACAAAGGUGGGAUGAGCUCUCACAACACCACAAAGGUGAGGUGAGUUUCACUACUGGCUUCCUUGAGGGCGAACGCCGAACCCUUACAAACUUGACCGGGACAAACUCCACAAUUCAAUAGGAGGCUCCCAAUCCAAGCCUCAAGCUCCUCAUACGCCAAGGGAGAGCUUGAGGUGACCGCUUCCGUCUAGGGUUCCCAACAACCCAAGAGAAACGAAAUCCACAAAGAAAACAAAGGAAAUAAACUUUUUGACUUGGUGAAACCCUAGAGCAAGAUCUUCCCCUCCAAUCCUCAAAGAAUCAAAAGUUGGGAGUAGCUAGGGAGGGAGAUCUUGGAGAUUUGAGCUUUUUGUGUUCUUGGGGUGAGAGGGGUUGUUCUUGGCUGUGAAAACGGUCAGCUAGCUCGUUGGGGACGAAGAGGUAUAUACAUGGGGUCCCUAAAAUCGAACCGUUAUGCACUGCGCAGAGACAGGCCGGAACUUCCGGUCAUAGCCGGAACUUCCGAUCAAACGAAAGUUCCGCAUUUUCCGCCGAUCCUAACAGAGAGCGGCCGGAGGUUGGGGCGGAAGUUCCGGCUGGAACUUCCGCCUCCUGGACUGUAGGCAGAACACAACAUGCUGAGUUUAGUUCUUCUCUCUCACUUUUUGGGGUAGUUUUUUUAGUGGGUGCAAAUUGUGUAGUUGUGUACGUGAAAUUGAUUCACCCAUUACCUUCCCCUGUGGAUUCUCUCUUAAUAGUACGGAUGUCCUACGACUCAAAUCAAAAUGAAAAAGACGCUAACACUGCUACGCUUCAUAGCAUCUUGAGGGUCCACAUCAACGUCUUGUGCCAAUUUCUUUAUGAAAUCUGAAAUACUUGACACACGAUUAGAUACACAACAUGUUGUCAUCACCACCAAAACCACUUAGGGGUUACCAAACACUGCUCCGUAACUGGGUAGUUAUAAAGGUAGUUUUAGGCGUUUGCUAAGAAGCAUGCUGUAAGUCAUGGUUGAUCAAGAUGGGAUUUGUCCCUCCCUUUGGGAGAGAUAUCUCUGGGCCCUCUCGAGUGAUCAGAUUCGGAAAGUAUGGCCAUGCGACUUGGGUUAAGCGUUAACACGUUCGGGAAUCUGAAUCACGAGAUUAAGAAGAAAGUCGAGUUAUACAUAAGGAUGACAAGUACUCGCCUUGAGCUCGACACACAUAUCGUGAGGCAAAAGGAAUGUUGCAUGUGGAAACAUUGUAUGGUUCGCCAAUAUACUUUGUGGUUAUUCGGGAGUCAUCACGUGCUGCUAGGCGCUGCUACUGACUAUCGACUUGGGUCGGAACCUGUGUUCGGACUCGUAGUUGUGUCCGUGUGACCGCGAACCUGUAGGAUCGCACACUUAAGGGGAUGGGACCGAAUUGAAUCGGAUCCAACUCGUAUCGGGCUUAGACUCCUAACGGGCCUCAAGUGUUGAAGCCCACCAGGGAGGUCUAUUUAAGUGGAGGAGGCAUACCCGGUUAGGGUUACCCUAGUUUUGUGGCACGAGUCAGACUCGGCCGUCACAUCCCCACGCCCAAACCUAGCAGUCCGCCGCACGAAGUUCCUCUCUGUACGUGUGGAUACCUCGGAGGCACUAUACCUGCGGCGCUUGGACGAACUGUUCGUGUGAUUGGCAAGGAGGAACAACCCGAUCGACUACUCGGCAUCGACACGCAUCACCGACUCUACUUCCGCUACGAGUCUGCGCGUCUAGUGGUAAUCUCGUAAUCCAUUAUCUACAGCAUUGGUCCGGGCAGAAUCAGUAGAAAAUUUUAUUUUGUGCUCACGUAGCCUACCGUGUUCCCCAACAACAACAACACACACACUCAACGGCGGAGCUGGUAUAAAACCGUUGGGUUCAAAUGAACCCAAUGGAAUCGUUAAAUCCUUCACUAAUUUAGUCUUUGUGUUUUUUUAUUAGUGAAAAAAUACACCAUAAAUAAGGGGAUUGAACCCAUUAACUUUGUUUCAACCUUCGCCGCUGCAUACACUGCGUUGCACACAAGAGGACAACUCCUCAGGGAUCACUUGAUUAGAGACUCAAAAUUUUCACCAAAUUUUUUUGAACAAUUUUGACCCGUGAAUUUUCGGAACAAUUUUGACUCGUGAAUUUUCGGAACAAUUCCGACCCGUGAACUUUCGGAACAAUUUUAAAUACCCAGUGUCAAAAUUCCGGAUGACGUCGGAAUGACCCACGAGGGCUCGCCCUUGAUCCCAUUGUACAUGCCCUAAACAUCUCUAUAUCAACUUCGCUGCGUUACUUUCUCCCCACACGGGGUCGGUCCAUCAUACAGUAGCGCUAUGGUUUGCCAAACCAUCAUGUUUUUUUAGGGGACCAAACCAUCAUAUAGUACUAUAGGUGUGUUUGAGAGAGCUCCAACUACACGGAGUUGGUGGAGCAGGACAUUCAUAGCUUCAUUUUUUUAGAGUUGGAGCUGUGAUUAAUUCAAUAAUGAAAUAAGAUAGGACUACAAAACAUGUACCAAGUAUUCACAGCUCCAGCUCCACGAAAAAAUGGAGCUAUGAAUGACCAUCUCCACCGAAUCUGUGGAGCUGUUCCAUUUUUUUAGAACAAAGAUAUGGCUUUAUUGAUUCAUGAAACAAGUAGUACAAUAGAUCGGUACACGGACGAACACAAAACAACGAAGAUACUCAACAAAACUAAAAGCUUCAUUGCAGUCCUUCGAAGUAAAAUUCUCUUGAUCCACCUUUUGCAUCUUGAUGCUUCUUCACGUAUUCGUUGACAAAAUUGCAGAAUACCACACUUGCACAAGCUGAACUAACCUCAAAGGUUUUAAAAAACUGCAUGAGCCGCCCACCUCAAAAGGCGAGAACUUGAGAUCAUUGAACGGACCAUGGCCGGGGACAUACCCCUUGCAAGACAAGCUAAAACUGCUUCUCCGUCGAUGAAUAAAAAAGAAAAAGAUCAAAAACACAAAAAGACGUGCCAUGAGAACCACUGACUCCACGGCAUAGGUUGCAACGUCUAUAUCAGAACGAUGAAGGAGCCAGGACACUAAUCUUCUAGACGACGAUGGCUCCAUCGCCAAGACGCCACCAAGAAGAAGACACAAACCAAAGAAGGUAGCAAAACUAGAUGUCAUAUGUUGAUCCGUGGUUCCUUUCGUCUCUCACGGGCGAUCUGGCAUCGAGAGACGAGAGGAACCGUCGGAGAUCGAAACUUCCUCGAAGACGGCGGUUAGGGUUUCCUCUGUUAUUUCACGAAGCAGAUCCGUUCGGUUGAAUUUCAAGUUGGAACUGUUCCAAACACACCCCAUGCAAGCAUCCCAUAUUUUCAUUUGAGAAUAUGUAGCCCAUAACUUAUUUUGUUGAGCGCAAUGUAGCCCAUAACUAGGGUCCCGAAGUUUUCCGGUCGCAGAAGUUUAUGGGCCUCAACGUGGGCCAUGCUCCUAAACUGGCAGCCCAAAACACCUCACCGUGACAUCGCGCAACGAUCUCACGGGGCAAACCAAGAAACCCCAACCCCACCGCGCACGCCGAAACCUCGCAGGCAAUCCGGCCGCCGCCGCCGCCGUAGCACCAGCAACAGCAGCAGGAGGGAGAUGUCGUUCCGGGCGCGGGAGAUUUACAAGAAGGUGGUGCGCCGCGUGGGUGGGGAGGGGAAGCUGCCGGCGGAACUGAUGGAGUCGGUGAAGAACAUGAUGCCCAACAGCAAGGUCGUCAUGGGUCGGGCCAAGCGCGGCAUCUUCGCCGGCCGCCACAUCCAGUUCGGCAACAAGGUCUCCGAGGACGGCGGCAACAAGUAGGCAAAUCUCACCCGCCUCUUCGCUCGCGCAAUCUCUUUCGGGUUCCUUCUGAUCUACGCGCAUAUAUAUUCGGAAGUGUAAAUUGCAAGUGUAGGUUCUUGGAAUGGGUAGAAAUGACGCUUGAUGUUUGACCUUAUGUUGGGAUUGAUCGAAUUCGACGCAAGAUGUUGAUAGGGGUAGGAAGAGAAGGGGAGUGGUAAGAGAGAGUGGGUCUGUGUUGCUCGCUCGCCCCUUCCUAUCUGCCCUGUUUUGACCGUGGCGGAGUACUAUUUUAGAUUGUUCGCUUGUAUACUUAGUUUGCUUCCCUAAUCAUCACAGACAUGUGAAUUGGAUGGGUUUGGGAUCAAACCAGGACUGCCUUUGACAGUUUUAGAUGCAUGUAUUUGCUUGAUGGUUGCAAUGUAUGAAGCUAGAAGAUUUGCUCGGGUUAUAUGAAAUGACACGUUGUGCUAAGUGCUAACCCUAUAAUUGUAUAAUUUCCAACCUUUUUUGGCUUCCGUGAUUGAUGUUUAUUAUGCACAUUUCAAAGGAUGCAUGCCUGGACUUUGGUAAUCGUUACUUGAUUUUAUCCACCCCCCACAUCAUUGGCACAUAUCGGCACAAAAUGUUAGGUCAUCAAAAGAGAGAAGGCGACCCCCUCUGAACUCCUUUGCAAGUGUUAAUUCUUGGAUAUCCGGUCAAGCUUAGCAUGAUGUUUACUUGCUUCAGCCUUGAUAUGCCGCAAUAGUCGAUUAUAAUUUCAUAUUUGAUGAAGCCACCAGUCACAUCUAACUUGAGUGAAAGAGAGAAACCACAGAAUCUUGCAAAAGCUCUUUAUCCUUCCUGACGUUGCCACCAGACUUAGCAGUCAACGUCUUAAAUAGUUAGUGUGGCCUCAUGAUUUGAUUGUCCUUUAUGAUGCGAAGUCGCUAUGUUAAAAACAAAAAACAUAAAUAACCAUUUUGCUGGAAACAAAGCAAUGGUAGAAUGACCCAAGUCACUUGCAAUUAUUCUUGUGCAAAUCCAGUAGUUGCUCGCAGACACCUGUUUGGGGUUUACUUGAUUCAAUCAUUAUGGGUACUAGCCACUCAGGUUGUUGAUCAAUCCAACCAUUGAACCACUUUAAUUUAGGAUAACUCUGUGAUCUCUAUGCGUCGCUUGCGCAGUCUCCUUUGGGUUCCUUGUGAUCUGUGCGCACAGAUAGUCCAAAGUUUUAUUACAAGGGCCAGUUCUUCAGUGAGUGCAAAUGUUUAUCUUAUUUGGGAAAUCUAGCUGGUUUCUGUGGAAAUGUUCCUUUUAUAACUCUAUGCUAGGAUUUAUCGACCUGGAUGCCAAGUCUCUGUAGAAGUUCACAAACUUCUGUCAAUAAUAUAGGAAACAUGCAGUUUUAGGUCCACAUAAUUGCUUGAUGAUUGGAAUGAAUCUAGAAGUUUUCUAGAGUUUUAUAAUAUGAAAUGACACAUUGUGCUAACACUGGAGUAUGUAAUUACCUCUUUGUGGCUUCCAUGAUUGAUGUUUUUAUGCACAUUUUGAAUGGAGGCAUCCUUGGCCUUUGGUUAUGGUUACUUGAUUCUGGUCAUCCCUCCUCCACCUCAAUGGGGCGUAUCAGCAUAUGCAACCAGUUAGUUAAUCAAAACAUUGAAAUGGAGCCCUUCUGUACUCCUUUGCCAGUGUUAAUUCUCGGGAUGCUGGUCAAGGUUAGCAUGUUAUUUAGUUUCAGACAUGUCAUGCUGCGCCAAUCGAUUCUAAUUUCACAUUCAAUCAGGGUAAAAUGAGUGACGGAGAAACUACAUUAUCUUGCAAACGCUCUUUCUCCUUAAUGACUUUGCCAACUGGCCUACAGGCGGAAGUCACCAUUUUAAACAGUCAGUGUCCUCGUGAUUUGCGCAGUCCUUAAUGACGCAAACCUAACAUGUUAGAAAUACCAAUCACUGUUUUGUUGGAAAGAAAGAAGUGGUAGAAGGACCCCCAAUCAUUUGCGAUUAUUCUUGAGCAGAUUCAGUAGUUGCUCACAGAUACCUGUUUGGGGUUUACUUGAUUCAAUCAUUAUGUGAACUAGCUGCUCGGUUAAUCAACCAAACCAUGGAACACUUCAAUUUAAGAUAUUUCUGUAACCUCUAAGCCGUGCAAAGCAGCCAACAAUGUUUGAUCAUUCUUGUAACCUUUAGGCUUGCAUCCUUUCAUCUCUAUAGCAACACAGUAAUUUUAGGUGCUGCAUCCUUGAAUAUCUAUGUAUGAUGUUAUAUACUCUUUUGGAUGUUUAAUUACGCCUUCAUACACCCAGAAACAUCUUGGAAAUUCAGACAUUCAAGAUAUGCCCUGCUUAUUAUUUUGGCAUGUGGCGCAACCCUUUCCUAAGAAUUUUUUGUUUGCACUCUCCCUCUCUCUGUAUUAUACAAACCAAGCGGCUGUGGUUGUAUUUUUGGUACCUGUUGUUUAUGUAGUGUUUUGUUCGUUCAGGUCAAGACGGCAUUGGAAGCCAAAUGUUCAGGAGAAACGUCUUUUCAGCUAUAUUCAUGACCGGCACAUUAGAGUCAAGGUAACCACUCAUGCACUGCGGUGCAUUGACAAAGCUGGUGGGAUCGAUGAAUACCUCCUGAAGACACCGUACAACAAAAUGGAUACUGAGAUGGGGAUAGCCUGGAAGGCUAAGAUUGAGAAACUGUAUUCAGAGCUAGCUGGAAUGGAAGUUGGUUUCUUCCCUCCUGAGGAAGAGGCUAAAAUUGAGCAGGGUUUUGAGGAGGUUCGAUCUGCCAAGAGAGAGUUCCGUAGGGAAUCAAGAAGGGUUUUGGCUUUGGCAAAGCAGAGUCAGCUAGAAGCAGGUAAAGCUGAUAAUGACGAAACAACUGAAGUCGCUGAUACAAAUGAAGAAGUGUCUGAUGUUGCAGAGAAGUCUUAGCCUGGAUCUGCAUGCCCAUCAUGAGUGGUAAAUGUAAUUCCGUAACUUUUAUGUCCUCUUCAUUUGAUUGUUAAAUAUCAAAGUUUUCUUGGAAUAUUGAUAAUGAUUGACUUGCAAAGUUUUGCUUUGUUUACCCUGAAAGUUUGAAAUGUAUACUAGAAAACGGAUGUGCUGGUAUCUUGAUAUGAUUUAUGACUACGUCAUUAUUGGUCCGUAUGAAACCUGUCAAUAUUAGUGCAGACUGCAGUACUAUUUUGGACAUCAUCUGGGUGUAAUGUUUCUUCUGUGACGUCAAUAAACAUAAGGGCAAAUUUUUGUCUGGUUAACAAUGGGUUCUGCUCAAUAUCAUCUACUUUCGGGUGUUUUGUUCUUUCAUAUUUAAUUAUUUAUAUUGGGUAGCUGGAUCUGAUUACCUGAUUCUUCGUAAGGAAUAACUGGAAAUGCAUGCCACACUUGAUUUUUGCAUGUGCCUAUGAUUUAAACAUUUGAUUUCAGCCCCCUUGUAUGCUUGCAGGGGCCCUUUUCUAGCCCAAAGUUAUGUUAUAACCGAAUUACUUUUUUUUGCAGAUAAAAAGCAGAAGAGAAACAUUGAUGUCCUUUAGCAAAUAAUGGAAGGUUUUUAUUUCAUAUGAAGAGGGGAGAAUGACUUGCGAGUUAACUGCCUCCUUCUGGGAACAGCAAUGUAUCUUAAGCCUAACUGCCUAAGUUUACCAUAUAUCGGCAGCAUCACGGUGUUGUAAGCUGUUGCAAAUUUAGUGGAAAUUUUGUACAACUGUUGAAUACUCUAGUGUCAAAAUUCAGGUAAUUUUCUGCUAUUAGCAACUGUCCUUGAACUGAAAUGUUGAAAUAAUCUACUCCCUCCGAUCCAUAUUAGUUGUCGAAAUAUUACAUGUAUCUAGACGCUUUUUAGACAUAGAUACAUCCAUAUUUGGGCAAAUUUGAGACAAUUAAUAUGGAUCUGAGGGAGUAGUAUAACUGACAGGAUAGACAGGCAAUUAGCUAGAGGUGACAUUUCCUAGUUGAUUCCUGUUACACUCCCAAUCUUUGUUACCGUUCUUGCUUCUUGAUGUCGUGUGUACUCUCGAUCAAGCUUGGUGGCAACUGAAGAUUUGUGGGGUUGUUUGGUUGGACGCACUCUACGCUGCUGUUCUUGACCUACUUACCACCUUGUAAUGAAAAUCUAGGCUAACUGGCUGACUUUGUCAGUCUGUCUUGAAGUUGCUGCCAAGUGUCAUUGCAUCUGCUUAGAAUUUUACUUUGUAAAAAACUCAAGACAUAAUCAUACUUAAGUGCUUGCUGACAUAUUAUCAACAAAGAAGUUACAUCGCCGGUUCCAUAUGAACAAACACAAAAGGCCUGAAACUGAAAGCACACGGCCAUUAUGCGGAUCCAUGCAUCUAUCCUAGCUUGGCGAGGACAUCGCUAAGAACGGUCUUGGUCUCGCCGUAGUACUUCUCGGCUUCGGCGGGGCUCUUGAUCUUGGCUGCAUGGUCAAGCUGCAAAAACGGAGGAAAAUAAUAAUAAUCUCACACAAGUCAGUCCUGAAAUCCUCGUGAAAACGAUCAGGUUUGCUGUAAAAACGGAGUGGAUGUAUGUGAAUUGGCGAGAUGUUUUACUUACCCCGUCGAGGGUGUCGAAGAGCUUCCCGGUGAGGUCCUUGAGGUCCUUCUUCUCCUCCUUGGUGGCCUUGGAGGAGAUGACGGUCUUGAGGUCGUAGCGCAGGUAGGAGGCCCUGAGGCGGAGGUCGUUCAUGACGUACGGCCAUUGCUUCUUGUCGAUGAGCGGCUUGAGGUUGAGGAUGUCCUGGGCCGACUCCUUGGCCCGGGCCGCCGCCGCCGCCGGAGGCAGCGGCUGCAGGUAGAAGCGGUUCUUCAGGGGGAGCGCGAAGUCCCUCGCCUCGUCCGAGUUCUCCGUCCCGGCUGUACCACAACCCCAAAUCAUCCAUCAUUACACAUCAUUUUUCAAUUGAAAUUCUACAAAAAAAGGUAGUAAUUCGUGCACGAGCAGUAGUUAUCUGGAGGCACUCACGGAGUCCACCGGAGGGAAGCGGCGGCGGGCCAACCUUGAUGGGGUUGACGGCCGCGAGCACCGCCUGUGCGAACGCGCCGCCGGCGACCCCGCUGGCCAUGAGGCCAAGGACCGCGCGGCGGCCGGCGGUCUCGGCCUCCGCCGACGCCCUCACGGUGAGCUUGCUGGCGCCGCGCCGGCCGGCCGGGCCUGGAAGGCGCACGCCCUGCGCCGAGGUCAAGCCGGUCAUGGACGCCAUGGCCUGUGCCAUCUCGAGCUUUGCGUUUUCUCUUGGGGAUCGAGGAGGAGGUAACGAUCGAUCUCUCGCUCCACCAGUGGCGGCCAGCGUGCCGGAAAUAUACGAGGGAGCCUUCGCCGUCGCCAACCUUAUCUGACUGGAUAAGUUGGGGGCCAGUGCGGGGGCGCCAUGUGGCAUGGUGCAUCGCCUGGCCUCCCCAUUUGGAUUGCGCUGUGGCCAAUGGGCGGCUGCGGCUCCUGGCAUGUGUGGUGAGCUCCUCGUCGGUGCUUGGGCUUCAGUUGGCCAGUGACAUUUUCGUGUUUUGUCGGUUUGUUCGUUUUGGAUAAUUUUUCUUCCCAGGAGACACAAUGGACAGCGCCAUUAGUACGAAUUUUUGUGGGGGAAAUUCAUAUUUUCAGCCUGUUACGAGAAUUGGCGGAAUCACAUAGAAACAUUUGAAAGGAACAUAAAAGUUAUCAGAAUAUUCGAAAGCUCCGUAUGGAAGCUCAUCAACAUGAGAGGGCAUUUGAAGUUUAAUCCCUCUUUGAUUCACAUGAUUUCUAAAAUGUGUAAAUAGGAAAACGUAAGCAUUGUAUGUCAUAGCAUGUUGUUUCUCACAUAAUUAAAAAACACACAGAAAUAAGAGCAAGACAAGUUAUUUGAUUACACUAAAAAUACAGAUAAAGUUUCAAUAGGGAUUAGGUCAAUGCCAUACUUGUUUAAGAAAACAAAGAAGAUAUUUCAAGAGGCUUGACUCAAUGAGAAUUUUCUUUCAGAAUUGGUGCAAGUGAACCAUACAACAGAUUCCUAUAGAUUCUAAUCCUACAAGUCAUAUAAUCCACAUAUCGAGAGGUGUAAGAGCCGGUUCCUAUCAUAGAAUCCGAAAAUUUAGCUUGAAUUUAAUUGAGUAUAUGAACUCAAUCGACAUUCCGUGGAAUCACUUCUGUACUCAAACCCCAAUUUUGUUAUAAAAGACACCAUUCCUCUCUGGAUUUGUCUCGAUUUUUACGAAUCCAUGUCACUGACAAACAUGCCUUUUGAAUUCAAAAUUUAAAUUUAGCAAAAAAAAAUGAUUUUCGGAGGGCUACCAAACAAGCUGAACCGUGAGAAAGAGAGAAAAAAAUACUCUCAGUUGAUUAAUCCCACAAAGUGAGAAAGAGGAAUCAUGCAAUAGCCGCAGGAUUAGAUUGCAAUGAACUCGCGUUCAUUUUUCAGAAACACGGAGGCGGUGCCCUCUGUAUCAUUUGCACCCACGGUGCUAGCCACAAGUUUGCCUUUUUGUCUCAUUCUUUCUCUCUCUCCACUUUAAAUUAGAGAGGUUAAACAGUCUGACCACUGACAACCUUUUGCUCUUCUCUUUUUCUUUCUCUCUCCCAUUUUAAGUAUAUUAUGGUACAUGACAUAUUUUUGAAUUACAUAUUUAUAUUUAGUAAAUUAUGAUAUAUGUAUUGUACCUUAAUAGUUUUUAAAUAUCUCCUGUACAUGAAUUUAUGAUACGGGUACAUCGUAUGGUACAUCACAUUACCUUAACAAUUUGUGAGUACCUCGUGCACAUGACGAGUACAUGAAGGUAUAUGAUGAUUACGUGAAGGUACAUCACAAAUACAAUUAACAAGUACCACAUCAACGAUAAAUUACAUCAUGUACCGGGACAAAAUUAGAACACAAACAUUCAUAAAUAACUACUACCUCGUCAUGUACCAUGGGUACAUGAUGGUACUCAAAUAAACAUUUAAAUAGGAAACCACAAAGAUUCAAAAAUCACAUGGUACAUGAUGGUGCUCCAAAAUCACAUGAUACAUGAUGGUACUUCAAAAUCACAACACAAAAUCAUGGUACAAGAUGGAUCCAAAAUAAAAAUUCACAUGGUACACCAAAAAUCAAAAUAAAAAAUCACAGCAAAAUCACCGGAACAGGAGCUCUCCGCGGAGAAGCCCAGGACAGAGCUCUCCGUGGUGGCGGGGACGGGAGCGGGGGCGGACACGGACGCGGGACGAUGUCGUCGCCGGAGUUGAGGACGGCGGCGGCCAAACCCACUGCCAGCCAGGAAGAGAUGAACAGGUUUCUGGAAAGAGGAUCGAUUGGAGGGACCGUACGGAGGAGAGAGGGAAGCUGGGACCGACUGCUAAUUAGAUGGGAUGGGCAGAGAAUUAAGGAAAAGAAAAGGAGAAUUAAGGAAAGGGGAGGACAGGUGGUUGGUAUAUACGGUAGGUGCAAAUGCCAUGCAGCGUACCGGGAGGUUUGGCUGCCAGACUUGCCAAGAUCGUGCCAAAAGGUUGCAACUGCGCGACCGCGGAAGCGCCCAAAAUCAAACCCUCUCGCUCGCCAGUCGCCACCAUCAAUGGCGGUUCGCCGCGGCCGGCGGCGACCACGCCCUCCCUCCUCGACCCAACCGCUCCCUCCGCGGCACCCCGUUCGUUAAGCGCUUGCGCAAGGCCGACCCCUGCGUUCAGCAGACGAGCCUCUCUCCCUUACUGACGGCGGCCUCACAUGCAGGGUCUUUCCGCAGCUCCACUCCCACGGGCCACGGGAUCUGAUGCGAUGGCUGUGCGCGCGUUCCCGCGACCCGCGGCGCGGUUACGCUCUCCGGCAGGCACCCUUACCUGAGCCUCCCCGCCCGGCUGCCUCGCCCGACAACUUCAUCCUCACUCCUCAGCGAGCGCCCUCUGUGAGCAAAAUCCCUACUUCAGUUUAACCGCCAUUGCCAGACGAAUCUGUAGCAACUUGAGACCUAACAACAAUUGAGUAAUGUAUUACGACAGUCAACUAUGUUACCUGACGAGUGUGACGAAGUUACGUGUAAUUUAGCAGCAGGUAGAAAUUUGUAGUGUCGAAGUAUGAGUUUUAUACUUUUGUAUUGGUUCCCUGUAUUUGAUUUGGUUAAACACUUAGUUCUAUCCGCAGUAGUCCACUUACUAGUUGACCAAUAAUAGUCGAGUAGGAACUCCCGUUUUGUUAACUCCUUAGGAGGAUUCAAAGAAUUUCUAGGUUUGGUUUCCUCUUGGGGUCUCUGUAUGUAACUAACAAGAUGAAAUCGUGUGUUACUGCAGAAGUGCAGAGGCGGACCUUUGAAAAGACUGAAAAUUGUCUGCAGUGGAACUCCCGUUUUGUUAAAGUAGUUUUCGAGAUUGCAUGGCGUGGUUAACUCUAUGAUAUUACAGGAUAUGUAUGGAAGGUAAGACUCUUCUGUAUUCCAUAAGUUUCCGCUACUAGAUACAUUUCUUACAGCUGUAGUCUUUUAGGAGAGUGAGGUUCAUCUUUGAUGGGGCUUCUCAUCACUGGUUUCUUAUUUGAGAGCACAACUACAUGAGAGACAUGAUAAUCAACAUACAUGGUACACACCUUGGGCCACCAUGCCUGGUGGUUGGUUCUGAUGGGAAACAACCUAGUUUGUCAGUUACCUAAAAGGUUUCCAUUGUGUACUAUUAACUAUUGUAAUUAUGAGCCAUUAAUUCUUACUUUGCACCAGAGAAAUACGAAGAAAACAAUCAUAGUCCAAAUCAUUUUUCAUUAGGACGCUCUUUGCUUCACCCCUCUGAUUUUAGUCUGUCAUUGCAUCAUCCAAUCAAACUCUGUUUAGCUGGAUAGUCAUCUUGAUUCCUUUCAUUAAUUAUGACCAAUUCACGAUAUCACUUUCUAUUUUCAUCGAUCACCCAGUGGAUCAAAUCCAGUUCUAGCAGUAGCAGCAGAAGCCUGGGUAGCAGUUAAAUUUAUGCUGUUAAAAAGCCACACAAUAAAUAAACCAUACACACAAACUGUUUUAUUCGUUCACUCAAACACAUACAGCGACAUGGGGGCCAAGGUCACAUGUAUCACAGCAUAUCAGAGAGGCAUCAAGCCUCAUGAUUUUAUUAUUGUCACACCAUAUGAUUAUAACCUCUUAACACAUCAGUUUAUUUAUUCUCGGCCUACUUCCACACAGUAGCCUUAUUUCUGUUUACCAGCACCUCUUGGCCCUUCUUGUACACUGCAUGGGGAGAUUUUAAACUGGCAGGUCGGUGUUCUCAUCAAAGGGGAACGGGUCCAACUUUGGUUGCGCUGCUUGUAAGAUCUUUUGAAUUGGCAUUUCUGGCGUUGAUCUUUCCAGAGGUGCAAUUGGAUCAACACUUGGGUCAUGAUCCUGAAAAUUAAGAAUUAAAGAUUAUUAUAAUAGAUAGGUGCAAAUGAUGCUUUUCUUUAGUUUUUGAGAUGUCUUGAUUUGCAUGAGUGGCACUGACCUGGUUAGCAUGCAUUCUCUUGACAAAAGUUUGGAAAGUGACAUAGUUCUGUCCCUGUAGCAGCUCAUCUGAUAACCGGAGGUAGGUGAAUCCAUGCAGCUUGUGCUCCGGAGGGCCACUCUUGUUGACACCUUUUGGUCUCGCAUUUCUGAGUAUAGUGUUGUACCCCGUUGCAUCAUAUCGACCAAGCGCGUUUUCGCAGGCCACAUCUAAGCCCUCUCUCCAUCCAGCACUCAGCACCUGGGAAUUUUGAUAAGAAGUGAUUCAGUGAUUCCGUAAAAGAGAAGUGCAGAAGCCCUAGUCAUAAAUCACUGGGCAGUGGCUAAUGGUGUAGUUACCUGUUGGACUAGUUCUUCUGGUGCACUCUUCGCCUCUGAGCUCUGCUCGGAGUCCCUCAUCUCUGCACAAGUGAAGUUGAGGCUAGCAUGAUGCCUCUUGAGCAUGCGUGCUAUGGUUCUGUAGCCGUCUCUGUCAUCUAAGUUGUAGUACCCGGCAGUGAGCUCGGCUGCAUGGUUUGGAACCCUGUACCACCAGUGAAUGCCAGAUAUCUGCAACCAAACAUCGGAUCAUGUCUCAUUUACGUUCGAGAUUAAGUAAUGGAGUUGCCUAUACAUCCUCGAUCUGUCCUUUAACCUCAAGUCUAAUGUUAAUAGCAAACAUUGUGCAAUCCUUGUUGUUUAUUUAGAUUAUCUUUCUGACCUUAUCAAAUGAUCUACCAUAAUAAGCACAGAUCUUGAGAAAGGUACUUACUUUUUUUUUGAAAAGUAAAAAGAAGGUACUUACUUUGAUUGCCAGCUGCACUGUAUAUCCCACGAAGACCUUGUUUGCUUCAUCCAGGAUCUUGUCACCGUGCUUGAUCAGUUUGUUGGAGUACCAUGAGAGGAAAAAAUCCCCCUUCUCGGUGACGUAUGUUCCGUUGUCCUUGAAGAAUUGGGUCUUCUCGGGAGUGUCAUUGUACUCCCCAGCAUCAUCAGGCAAUUCCCACUCAGGAUGACCAGCCUUCGCUGCUGCUGCUUUGAAGUCUGCUACCAGGUACUUAUCGUAGCACUGCAGAUUAUUUUUGUUAUAGUAUAAUACCAGUCAGUUAGAACAGUUCACUGAAGUCCUUUUGUCUGGUAGUGGUGAUAUAUUUUUUAACAUUUUUUUAUUUCAUCUUGUGGUAUUGUCUGUUUUUAGAUGUACGUUUGAUUCCAUCUGCUUUUGCCGCUUAACCGUGUGACUGUGGUCUCACGUUUGCGUCUGGUACAUUCCUCAAAAGAAUAGUGUGGCCGUUUUAUCCAAACGUCUCUUUUGAUCAGAAUCACUUUGACGUUAGCUGUUUCUUUUGUAAAGGAGCUUUCUCAAUGGAUAUCGUCACUUGGACAAAAAUUAAAUUGACCUCGGUCAGGUUUUCUGUUAGUUAGUAUGGCAGAAAGCACUCACGAUGAAUUCUCCGAUGCCUGGAAACACCCAUCCCUGGCUCUGGGGAUAGGAGGGGUACCUCAUCUCUCCAGCCGGGCCGAGCCCCACCUCAAUGUCCACAAUGACACCAGCAUUCAAGAACUCUUUCAUGUUCUCCCUGAAGCUCGCCAUGUAAUCAGUAUACAUCUAUCACACCCACAAAGGAGAACCAAAUUAAAGCUUCCCACCAUGAGCGUACAUUCGCAUCAAAAUCGCAACUAUAUAUGCCGUUGCCCAGAUUCAUCUGACCAGACCACCGUAUAUAUAUAUGCAAGUAGAGGUGGCUUACCUGAAUUGCAGUUCUUCCGUGGAAGAGAGGCUGGUCGUCCACUCCAAGAGUGAGGUACUCGAUGUUCCUCUUCCCGCUCCGGUUGGUGCAGAAAAUGUCGGGAUCGGUCGCGCCGAUGUCCCGCACCCACUGUGGGAUCGGGAUGUUGACGACGUCGCCGACGUUGCCACCGCACUGGUGGAACGACAUGAUGGCCUGCAGCUUCAGCCCGGCCUCCUGCACCAGCUCGAACACCUGCUUGUAAGCGCUCCAGUCGUAGGCCUUGGGGCCCUUGCCCUCCACCAGGCCCCACCAGACGUCUAUCAUGACGCCAUCGACGCCGGCUUCCGUCAGCUUCUUCAGCUGCGCCCUUAGCUUGUCGCCCUUCUCGAACUUGUUGUCUACGCUCACAACAUCCAGCUGUUUUUUUUUUUCGCCGGGACAAUCAAAUCAGGGUUAGUACAGAAUUCCGUCCAUUCAUGGCUCUAGUCGACUUGUCUAUGAUUUCACGCAUGAACUAGAGUUUAUACAUAUCGCUAAUGUACUACAAUAUGCAUUAGAUCCUUGAAACGGUGUAUCAGUGAAUGGAUGAGCUUAGCUUACAGGGAGCAUGACGUUGACUUGGACAUAGUUGGCUAGCAAGCUCCCCGCCAUUGUGGCUUCUGGCUAUGCAGUACUAUGCUUUGGAAACACUGCGCUGAACUUGGUUUGAUGGAUGCUGCAGGGAGCCUAGGGGGUCUAUUUAUACUGCGAAAGGGUGGUGGGUGGCAGCUGAGAAAAUAUAUUUUCCUCUCAUUGAGUGACGUUUUUUUUUUGGGGGAAAUGUAUUGAGUGAAGGUUGGGUAACUCAUACGUCCGUUUGGAGCGGCGAUGUUUAUCAAGUAUACUAGAAAAAGGUUUCUGAAGUAUAUCCGUUCAGGUUAUUUGAAGCCCCACUUCUGACACCAUGUUCUUUGUGAUCUAGAAACCCGUAGUGUUUCUAGAGAAAAGGCUUUUCAGUUCAGCUUUAUUAGAAAGCCGAACAAGAUUCAGCUGGGAGUUACAGCGUUACAGGAUAGGAUCACCACCAACGUAGCUAAAGUAUCAAAAGGGAUAACAGCACUCCAGCCAGAUGUGCACACAAGCACUACUACCAACAAACUACAAACCUCAACAUAACAGCAUAGACUACACCAGUCCGGAUUUGAUUAACAUUGGCAAGCCGGACCACAUCUUGAAUUUGCUUCAUCAUCGCCUCCAUCGCCAUGCGCCCUUUUUCAUGAAGAGCUAUCCAACGUGUAAGUAACGCCAUGGCUUUGAACACAACCCAUACCGCCAACCUCUUUAGGACGAUAAAGGUCUUCCCACUUCACCGUAUGAUACCUCCUCUUAUCUCCAAUUCCUUCCCAAAUUUUUUCGGCUGAAUAGAGUCUAAUUUCGCAUGAAUUCCCUCAUUCAACUUAUAGAACCCCAUCAUGUAAGUUGGAAUAUUGUCGAAGCAAGCAUCACAAACGGGAGUAAAGUUCUCCAACAACAACUUCUUAGGGGCCACUGGAAUGCCCAGAUAUUUCAAUAGAAAGUGUCCAACUUCACAAUUCAGCAAAGAAGCAAUCCUAUACUGCUCUUGUUCAUCACACCCAACAACAAAGACCUCACUCUUUGUGUAGUUGAUUUUAAGACCCAGCAUCUCCUCAAAACAAUAGAGAAGAAACUUCACCAUCGCAAUUUUUAAGGAACAAAACUGUAUCAUCCGCAUACUGCAAGCGUAAAAUUCCUCAUGGGACAAGAUGCGGCAACAAGCCUCCCAUAUGAUUCUUAUCCUUCGCAGAUUGAAGCAUGAUGGCCAACGCUCACCAAAUUAAAAAGCGGAUCUCUCUGCCGCAAACCCCUAAGAGUCCUAAAAUAUUCAGAAUAUACAGAAACCCGUAGUUUACACGUACGAGUUUUUCACGUACCCAUAAAAUGUGUAAUGCCGAUGGGCUCGAUGCACCGACCACCCAUGCAGGGCCGGCCUACCCGGGCGCGGGGACGGAUGAUGAUGAUUUGACAUGAUGUGAUAUGAACAUGGACGGAUCAUCGUCUCCCCGCCGCGAAUUUUUUUUGCCACCGGUGGAACGGAACCAUCGACGCCAACCGUCCAAUUAAACAACGGUACCAGCGACCGGAAUCGUGAAAUCUCCCUGGCAAACCCGACCCAAAUCCGUCGCACUACGGAACAAAAAAUGUACUACGUAGGCAGGCACUGCCCAAUCAUGGAGCUAAUCUAUGAAGCACGUUCCCAAAAUCGUCCGUGGUUCGGUGCGUGCUGCUUCGUCGAUCUUAUACGUACCACAAAAGCACAUGAGCGCGACGCUUUAUUAAUUCUUGCGGGGUUCACUGUACCUGUCAGACUUAAUUCACGGUCGAUCCACUGAUGGAGCCACUCAUCAAUGCACGUGCCUCUGAGCUGUAGCGUGGAGUCUCACACCACAAUUUCUGUCCAUCUGAUCAGGUCCCCUACGUGGCGAAUCCGUCCAAGAAAAGAAGUGGUAAUUUUCGUGCUUGUUAAGAGUGAUCUGCUGCUACCACUAGACUCGUGUAUGUCGAAGAUUUACUCAUCUGUUGAGUUGUGUUAUCGUGUAAAAACCGUAAGAUGGGAUUAUGUAUGAGGCCAUAGGGGCUUUUCAACCGAAUACCCAUUCGACCUUCUCGAACACCCAGUCGAUGAACUCCGCGAGGUCGCCGCCGACGGUCAUGUCCGUCUCGGGGUCGAACGGGUACGGCGCCUCCGGCGAAGUCGCCUCCAGCAGCUUGUCCACGGGCAUCGCCGGCCUCGACCGCUCCAGGGGCUUCAGCGGCCGGAGGUACCGGGCCGGAUCAGGGCAGUAAUCCUGAAAUCAAACCAACAGCCCAUUGCAUAUUGUCACAAGUAUUGGGCCUAACAGAGCCCAUGUUACGAAACCCAAAGGCGAAUCUUAUGUUGGGGUUUACCUGGUCGGCGUGCAUUUUCCGGACGAAGGUUUUGAAGGCCCGGAACUUGUUCCCGGCCAGGAGCUGCUCCGUCAGCCGGAGGUACGUGACAGCAGCUAGCCGAGGCCGAGCGCCGCCGACGCCGUUGGGCCGCGCGUUCUUGAGCAUCUGGUUGUAGGCCCGGCGGUCAUACCUGGGCAGCGCGUUCUCACAGGCCACCUCGGUCCCCUCCCUCCACCCGGCGCUCAGCACUUGCUGGACGAGCUCCUCCGGCCCGCUAAGGGCCUCCUGGGCCUGCUCCGAGUUCCUCAUCUCCGCGCAGGUGAAGUUGAGCACGGCGCCGUCGUGCCGCGCCAGCAUGCGCGCCACCGGGCCGUAGCCGUCGCGGCCGCCCACGUUGUAGUACCCGGCGGUGAGCUCCGCCGCGUGGCUCGGGUGCCUGUACCACCAGUGGAUCCCGGACACCUUUGCGGCGAGCUUGACGGUGCAGCCCAGGAAGGCUUUGUUGGCUUCGUCCAUGAUCCUGUCCCCGUGCUCGAGCAGCUUGUUGGAGUACCAUGUCAAGAAGAACUUGCCCUUCUCGGUGAGGUACGUCGGGGUGUCGGGGCCGUCCGCCGUGAAGAAGGCCGUGUCGUCUGGCGUGUCGUUGUACUCUCCGGCGUCGUCCGGGAGCUCCCACUCCGGGUGCCCGGCCUCCGCCGCCGCCGCUCUGAAAUUCUCCUCCAGGUACCUGUCGUAGCACUGCAGCAUAGCAACGCCGUUUAGUUAACAAUCUGAAGCAAGGCUCACCAAACAAUUGCAGAGUACGUAGUGCUUCUUGUUGUUCUGAAAGUCUUGUCAGUUGGGCAGAGAGGGAUAUAUAUAACUAGGAGGCCUACUUGGAACUGUCCGAUGCCGGGGAACGCCCACCCCUGGCUCUCGGGGUAGGAUGGGUACCUCAGCUCGCCGGCAGGGCCAAGCCCGACCUCGAUGUCCACGAUCAGUCCAGACUCCAGGAAGUCCGCCAUGUUCUCUCUGAAGCUCUUCAUGAAAUCGGCGUACAGCUGCAGUACACGUCGUCCGCGAUCAAAUUAACUGUCUUUGAUGGUUAUAUCCUGCAAUUUUCAACGGACAGAGCAUCCGUGUAUACAUACCUGGAUGGCAGUUCUGCCGUGGAACAGGGGACGGUCGUCGACGCCGAUGGUGAGGUACUCCUGGUUCCUGGCCCCGCCGGGGCUCGUGUAGAACACGUCCGGGUCCGCCUCCCCGACUUCCCGGACCCACGCCGGGAUCGGGAUGUUGACGGCGUCGCCGACGUUGCCGCCGCAGGCGUGGAACGACAUGAUGACCUGCAGCUUGAGCCCUGCCUCCUGCGCCAGGCGGAACAGCUCCCUGUACGCGCGCCACUCGUACCGCGCCGGCCCGGCGCGCUCCACGAUGCCCCACCACACGUCCGCCAUCACGCCGUCCACGCCGGCCUCGCGCAGCCGCCGCAGCUGCGCCCGGAGCGCCCCCGCGCCCUCCACCUCGUUCUCCGCGGUGAUCACUUCCAGCUGCGUUAAUUACAACGUUGAAUCGCCGACCGUAAGCCAUAAUAGUUGUCGAAACCACAUGGGUUUGCUCUGUUUCUUACUUACGGGGAGCAUGACGAAGACCGGGACGUAGCUGGCCAGCGUCUUGUCCUCGUCGGCGUCCGAUGGCGGGGGCUGUGGUGCAGGAGAAGUCUGCGCGGUCUCGGCGGCGACAGCUCGGACGGAGGCGGCCGCCGCCCUCCCGGAAUGGACGACGAGCCGCCCAGUGCUUGCCGGUGGAAGGGGCGCCGACGCCCUUCUACGGCAGCUUCCCCAUGGCUGCACCUUGACCUGUGAUGACGGUGAGGUCGCGAGCAUGGUGUGUGUGUGUGUGUAUGCAUUUCUUGAUUGCCUUCUCUUCGAGUGUCUGAUGUACCACUGCGAUUUUGCCUUGUUCGGUCGACGAUAUUUUGGCGUGUCUGUGCUGUGUAUGUAAGUGGCCGGCCGGUCGCCGUUGCCAUGGGAUCCGCGUGACACACGAAUCUGCUCCCUUUCUUCGCGAUGUGUAGCCAUGGGAGGAGGAGCCUGCCCGGACCUUCCUGCGGGUGUCCAUCUGAAGGUGUGGUUUGCGUGAGCCGUGUGUUUUCUGCGGGUGUGCAUCGCUCGUUUUUGUCCGUAGCUUUUCCUGUUUUCGUCGUGAACGUUUGGUGUUGGAGAGAGGCUUGAGGUUGUUUGUAUCUUUGGAGCUAGCUCUAGCAAGGUUGCAGAUUCUUAGGGCCUCCGCAAUGUGCGGCAAAUUGGGAUGUCAAAUUGUCAAUCUAGACUUUGAUACCGGUGUACACACUGUAGAGGUGGUGCCAAAUCAGAAAAAAAUGGGUACGAGCACCUUCCGGCUUCGAUGCUGUCAACCCCGGGAAUACCAGAGUAUCCCGCCCGGGAGUGUGGCUCGCAGGAACUAUCCAAAGACUUGGCACAUCUCCGAAAAGAGUUCGACUGGGGCUCCGCGAAGGCGUCUGCCACCACCCGCGGGAAGGAAUGUGUCUGCCGUGGCAUCAGCUAGUCACGAGCGAACUCUUUGGCGUCCCGUCGAUUGGUAGUUUCGCGUCCAUGGACUCCGACGAAGUCAACAGGGCCUGCGAACCGUGGGCAUGACGAUCCUCACGCAUGGCUAGAGGCUGGAUGCAGCGAGCUCAUCCCUUACUUUUGAUCAGGUAAAGUCCUUUGUGCAGAGUUUCACCUCACCGGACUCGACAAGUCCUGAAGACCCCCCGCGCCACGGACGUGGCGCAGUACGCAUGUACAUAACCACACAGCACACAGGGCAGCCGACCAGCUUCAGAUUCAUGUUGCAGUGCGGAAAUCCCCUUGCAGUAAAACCCUAGCCGCCACUGUGGUGACCCCUUACCACUGUAAAAGAAGGGCCAUGGCUUCCAUAGCAAGGAUCGGAUCAUACUGCGGCCAAUUGAGCCGCCCUCCAAGGUUGAGAGCUCACCCUUGUAAUCAAGAAACAACCACCAUUUCAACAAAGCAGGACCUAAGUUUUACACCUCCAGGUAAGCUGGACAUGGGUAAAUAUCCCCGUGUCUUGAGAUUGAAGAAGAGGCUUGUGUCACUCUCGCAUUCCAACACCAAACCACAAAGAUUGGUUUUUGUUUGAGGGAAAAGAAAUAGUAGAUCAAUUGAUCUACUGUAACAGAGAAUAUGUACAAUGAUUAUCUAAAGUUUCUAAGCCAGUCAAUCAUGUCCGGAAUAGAUUUUCUCUUAGCACGACGGAAAACAAGAUUCAUUUCAUCUCUGAAGAUGGUGUCCUGACUCCCGGUAUCAGUGUGCAAAAUUGUGUCGUGCUACAUUUUUUUGUGAUGAGUCGAGAGAGUUACAUAAUGUUUUUAUUUUGAGUUGGGUCCUACUCCGCCGGUAAAACUGCGGACAUUGGAGACCAACAUUGCUUUUGCUAAACUUUAGCUAUUUUCUCCGACACAUAUUACUUGUCUGAAAUUUGUCAAAUAUGAAUAUAUCUAUGUUUAAGAUGGAUAGUAGGGAGUAGUUGAUUUUUUUUUCAGCGUCAGUCGCUUUGAUUUUGGCGCACGAAUUCUUUACUCCACGUCGGGCUGCUGCGUGUCCCGGCUCUCCGCGUCCGGCUGUUGCCCUUGGGCUGCUGUUGGUCUUUUUCGUUUUCGGCUGGACUGGAUAUUUAGGCCGAGCCCGUGCCGGGGCUGAGUUCUCUGAGUUGUCCCCCUUUUAUUUCAUUUAGCAGUGUUCUUUUCUUUUUUUACGAGGAAUUUAACAGUGUUCUUCGGAGAGCUCUAGAGAGAAGAGGGGGAGAAGAGAAGAAAGGGACAGCUUCGAGGGAAUUCGGCAAUGCUGCGGCGGUUGUUGGGAAACGGGAUGCUGCAACAGGAAGCGGCCUCGUCUAGCUCGGUAUGGAUUUUGCUCUUCAAAUCCCACGCUCGUUCAUGCUAAAAUGUCCCCGUGUGUUUUGUUUUACUGUCUUUUUCUAGACCACCGUGUGAUGAAUUCAGCUUUGUCAUUGGAUUUUUUUUCUGUAGCACAAAGUGGUGUUGGUAAGCAUUUAAUUUGAUGGCAAAUGACUGAUAGAGAUUUCUCGCAAAAAAAAAAGACUGAUAGAGAUGCACAAAGAGAGAGCAGUAGUAUAAGAUUUACUUAUGUCGGCAACUAUUGAGAUUUUUCUUUUUCUUUCGAGUCUCUGUCUGAACCGAUAUUUCUAUUCUAAGCAUUUGUUUCUGAGUUUAUGUCCAUGUAUUUUUGCCAAUUGGUUAGUGCUUCUAUGCACUCCGUACGUGUAUUUAACACCUAGUUUGGUUUACUAAUAGAAACCAAAAUUUGAUGCUGCGGCUAUUUGGGCACUUAACGGAGGAAUGUGCGUGUAAGAGAAAAUAGAUAGUUCUGAAUACCGUGAGUCAUCCAUUUCUCUACUCCCUCCGUCUCAUAUUAAGUGAUUCAAAAUUGUUCAAAUAUGAAUGUAUCUAUACCUAAAAAAGUCUAACGUCUAGAUACAUGUAAGAAAUCACUUAAUAUGAGACGGAGUGAGUAUGUAAUAGUGACCACGUUCUUUAUGUUAUUCAUUUUGUUCGCAGAGUUGAGGGCUGUGAAAAUAGAUUCUUAACUGGUUUGCCAACAUUGUCUAUUGUUUGUAGAAGGCAAAUUUCUAUUGUAUUAAAAUUCACAUUUCUUAGCAUUUAAUUAAUUACCUUUAUUCAUCUAUGCAUUAAUUGUAAGAUAUUACACUAAGAGAUGAUUUGGUGUACAACAUGUUUUGUUGUCUUUUCUAAAUGAGGUGAAACGCACAAGAGAAUACAGUCUUAUCAACCAUUGUAUAUGUACUUAUGUGUUUCAUGUCAUUUAAAAAAUAUAACAAAAUAUGUUGUACAAUAGCUUAUCUUUUAGUGUCAUGUCUUACCAUUAAUGCUUACAUGAAUAAAAUUAACUAAAUAAAUAUGCUAAGAAAAUGUAAAAUCUAGAGUACAAUGAAAACUUGCUUUAUCCUUCUUGUGAAAAUCAUCUCUUAAUUAAGAAAAGACUCGUGCCUUUUGUUCAGUUCUCUCACUUACACGCCAGAUUUUAUCCUACGUGAUAUUGUUAAGAAAAAGCUGAUGUCACCCCAUUGUACUUGUCCUUAUUCGAUUUGUAACUUCACGUCACAUAAUUACAUACUCUCUCCGUCACACAAUUCUUGUCUCAAAUUUGCCCAAAUAUGAAUAUAUCUAUUCCUAAAAGGCGUCUAGAUACAUGUAAUAUUUUAACAAGUAUGAAAUGGAAGGAGUAUUGGUAAGUUAUGAUUGGUCAAAUCUUUUCUUAACGAAAUUAAAUACGUCAAUCUUUAUAAGAAAUGAGAAGAGAAUGAUGAUAAAAGAUGUAUCCUGCCCAACUGGGCGAGAAACUAUGCUAGGAGUGUACCGAAGCGCACACAAAGAAAUCUCAGAAGGAAUAGGAAGCAGUUUAUUGGAACGCAAAAAAAAAAAUCAGUUUAUUGGUACACUGACCAAUACGUAGGCCGUGACGUGGUGAAGCUACGUCAGGAAAGCACAUCCGGCAACAGUCAGUCAUCCUCACGGUCCCGAAAGUUUUCAAUGUUUAUUAUUUGCAGAGCAGCAGGACAAGACAAUCAUGCACUAGUCUAGUGAUCUUCACCGGAUGCACUAGCACGCUGCAGUAGAAUAAGAGAUUUAGAGCGAGAGUGAAGGCCGGCACAACCUGCGUCCUGGACUCCUGGUGCUCCGCCAUGGCUUCAAGCGGCGAGCAGCGAGAACACACGGUGGCGCUGCUCGACAGCCCUGCAGCAGAGGUCUGCCUCUCUCCUGUUGAUUUAUUCAGCGAGGAUAUAUGCUCUUUGAUUUCUUCUCUAGUCACUCGGCUACUCGCUUUUCUCCGGCAUAUAGAGGACAAAUGGAUGUUUAGCUUCUAAAUUUGGCUGGGGAUUUCCUUGCGGCAGGUAGAAGGAGAAUACACCAUUGACCAAUCGCUCGACUUCGAUGGGAACCCCGCGCUGAAGCAUCAUACAGGCGGAUGGCGCGCGUGCCGCUCGGUUCUCGGUAAUCCUCCUCCUCUGAUUGAUAUCUGCCGAAGAUCUGUUGCUAGUUUGCCUGCAAUGGGUAGUAAUAUUCGGUGUUCCUUCCUGGUUCUUAUUCUGUCCGGCCGCCGGCUGCUUGUUGUUGGAUGGCACUACCACUGUACACACGGCAGCCACGGAGUUCUGCUACUGCCUGGCGUACAGCGGGGUCUCGCAGAACCUCGUCACCUACCUGACCACCGUUCUGCGGGAGAGCAAUGUCGCCGCCGCGAAGAACGUGUCCACCUGGCAGGCCACCUGCUUCCUCACACCGAUCGCCGGCGCCGUCGUGGCCGACUCCUAUUGGGGAAGGUACCGCACCAUGGUGGUCUCCUGCUCCAUGGGCGUCGCGGUCAGUUCCCUCGCUACUCUGCACUUCCAUUAAUCACUGGAUUUUGCUUUGCCCCGACCCAUUCGAUGAUCUCUGUUUUAUUUUGCAGGGCUUGGUCGUGAUAGCGCUCUCGGCGAACCUGCCGCUGCUCACCAAGAACGCCGAGCUGUUCACAGGCUUCCCUACCCUGGUCUCAAACCUGGCGUCAGCUCAGGAGUCGGUCCUGUUCCUCGGCCUCUACAUGACGGCCUUCGGGCUAGGCGGCCUGCGUCCAUGCCUCAUGUCCUUCGGCGCCGACCAGUUCGACCACAACGACCCGCCGGAGCGCGCCAGCAAAGGCUCCUUCUUCAACUGGUACGUCUUCACCAUGAGCUGCGCGUCGGUGGUGUCCAGCACCUGCGUCGUGUGGGCGCAGGAUCACUUCGGCUGGCCGCUGGGCCUGGCGAUCCCCGCGGCGGUGCUGGCCGUCGGGCUGGCCUGUCUGGUGUCGGCGUCACGGAGGUACAGGUUCCAGCGAACCCAAGGCAGCCCCCUCACCAGAGUCUGCCAGGUCCUUGUCGCGGCUGUCUGCAAGUUCAACGCUCAGCAGCCGGCCGAUCGCUCUCUCCUCUACGAGCUUCCGGAAGACGGCUCCAUGAAAGGGAUCCAGCGGAUAGAGCACACCAAUGACCUCCAGUUUGUUGUUCCUUCCUACCAACUCACUGCGAUUAUCAAUUCCAUCUAGUCCAAGUUCUUGAGAUACACAUUGCGCGCUUAUACUCGAUCCAUAUCAGGUUCUUUGACAAGGCUGCCAUUGUGCUCGCUUCUGAGGCGGCAGAGGAGGAGGCAACCUUGCCGCCGGCGCGCAACCCGUGGAGACUAUGCAUCGUGACGCAGGUGGAGGAGCUUAAGAUUCUCGUGAGGAUGGUCCCGGUGUGGGCGAGCAUCGUCUUCUACUACGCCGUCUCGGCGCAGGUCUCGUCGACGUUCGUCGAGCAGGGCAUGGCGAUGGACACCAAUGUCGGCCCCGUCCGCGUCCCCCCGGCUUCGAUGUCCGCCUUCGACCUGCUCACCGUCGUCGUCCUGGUCCCGCUCUACGACCGACUGCUGGUCCCGGCUGCCAGGCGGCUCACGGGCAGGGCAAAGGGCAUCUCGGACCUGCAGAGGAUCGGCGCCGGCCUCGCCAUGCCAGCGCUCGCCAUGGCCGCCGCCGCGCUCGUCGAGACGGAGCGCCUCCGCCGCGCGCCCUCGGGGCCGGCGAUGAGCGUGCUGUGGCAGGCGCCGCAGUACGUGCUGAUGGGCGUGGGCGACGUGCUCGCCACCGUCGGGCAGCUCGACUUCUUCUACAGCCAGGCGCCGGCAUCGAUGAAGACCGUGUGCACGGCGCUCGGAUUCCUCGUGAUGGCGGCCGGGAGCUACCUGAGCUCCUUCCUCCUCGCGGCUGUCGAAUGGGCGACGGCGGCCGGUGGCCGGCCUGGGUGGAUCCCGGACGAUCUUGACCAGGGGCACCUGGAUCGCUUCUUCUGGAUGAUGUCUGGGCUGGCUUGCCUGAAUCUAGUUGCGUUUGGGAGCUGCGCCGUGCGGUACAACUCUAGAAAAGCUUCCUGAGCUUCACACUUUCACGGUGGACAGUGAUUCCUUCCUUGAAGUGUGAAGGCCGAGAUCUACAUAUCAUUCACCGAGUGUGAUGACUUAUUGCUGAGAUUGGAUCGAGUUCUUCUUUUUUCUGUUUGACACAUUGGAUCAAGUAAAUCUCCAGUGGCGGAGGUCCCCGUAGGGCAAGGUGGGGGCCGCAGACUUGCAUUUGGAUUGUGAGAGCACAAGCCUCCGAGCGAGGAGCUGCCCACCUCCAGCUUCUUGGAGGAGAAGUCGCCACCUAAAUUUAAUUAGGCUAUCAAAUUAGUUUGGACUAAACUAUUUUGGAUGUUUAACUAAAUCUGAGAUACGGCUUCUCCAGGAAGCUACGUGAGAGCAGUUUUUAGGAGAAACCGGUUCUAAAAUCCGAAAAAAACGCACCCCUAUUCCACCAUAUCUUAUUCUCGCCCUUUUUUUUUAACUUUUGCGAAAAGCAUCUUCUCACCCUUAGGCUGACAUGCAUACGUAAUAACCAACAUGUGUAUAUGCCAUCUCUAUCGAUAGGUCAUGUAACUACUGACCACAUGUCUGGCCGUGAGUUGAAUUAUACUCCUUCCAACUCACAUUAAACUCAAAAUUGCCCAAAUAUGAAUGUAUCUGUACCCAGAAAACGUCUAGAUACAUGUAAUAUUUCAUCACCUAAUAUGGGACGGAGGGAGUAGAAUGUUUGUUUGUCGAUAAAAAUACUAUCCGCCAGCGAAAAAACUCGUUUUGUUAUAUUUAAGUUGACUGAUUUUAGUUAGAGAUAAGUUGAUUCCUCAACCAUGUAUAUGAUUUGUGUUUUAAGAUACGAAAUGGAUGCUGAAAAAAAAAGAUAACGAAACCUACGUACUAAUCCAACGGAUCUGAUUCGUCAAUUUAGAUUUAAUCAUUUUCUUAAAAAUAAGACAACUUAGAUAUAGCCACACACAAAAAAAGUUAGCUGAAUCAGCUCAAUCGAUGGCAUAUGUCCAUGGACAAAACUAUCUAGUCACAAACACAUAGCCGUACAAGGCCAGUUUUACCAAUAGACUAUGUGGCACCUAAGAUAGGACGUGGCAGUGUUAUAUGAAAAAAAAAGUUGUCGUGGAGGGACAACGCUUGAAUUAGAAGGUGUUAAUGGACGAUAAUGUAAGCAUCGAUGUAAAAAUUAGUUGCAAAUUGGAGGUGUACGACGACUUUAUAAAAAAGUGUCAUCAUACGCUCAACAAUAUUUUUUUUUGUAAAAUACACAUAAUCGGGACUUCGUUAAAUAGGUUCGACUCUCUUGUGGAGUGCAAACCUACCUACUCCUAUGUUAGGAGAAGCGGCUUUUCAAAAAAAAAAUGUUAGGAGAAGCGGUGACUGUCGUGCUUGGGGAGUUUGGUCGGUUCGUCACACUGACUUCGUAACUCUACAUACUUGGGUCACUCGGUCGGUUCAUCCCUUGUCUCCUUCCCUUGAGUUCAUUCUUUUUUUCAAGUGAUAAAUGAAAUGAGAUACAAGUCCGAACCAUAGGUACCUUGAGGGAUGAGAAAUGUUAGGAUAAAAGUGCAAGUUAGAAACUAGAGUAGGAUCAUCCUAUUCUUCUUAUCAUGCUCUAGCGCUUUAAGUCCAUUUCUUCCGCGCGUGCAUCCUUUUGUGCCAUUUUAGCUCUUAUUGGCUUAUUAUCUUACUCUAGGUGGCUUGGCUAAUCCUCGUUGGCACCUUGACCAGACAAUUUUUUUAUUGCCCUUGUCUUGUGCCAUGUAGGAUUACCGGUCUAGCCCAUAUAAGAAAACUAUUAUUCCCCAUCAUAUUUAAACUACUCAAGUAUUGGUAGAGGCACACUUUAUCUCCAAUCUCCUUUUCAGGAUAUUUAACAUCUUUAGAGUAACAAAACCAUAUCAAAUAUUAGUAAAAUAAAAAUAGAUUUUUUUCUGAAGUUGAUACAAAUGAAAAAGGGGAAAUAAGAAAUUAUAAAAUAUUAAAUAUGAUAAGUAUUUUUGAAAAUAGAUCCUCACUAAUCGUAAAUCCUCUAACAAAAUUAGAAAAAAACACUAAAAAACUCUUUAAAAUUCUGGAAAUUUGUCAAAUUUUGUGUCAAACAGGCUAAGCUAACCUUGAGGCCCAUAAUACACUACCACUUUCUGUAUCCAAGCCCAGCAUCUUUAGGCCCAGUAGUUCUAGACGGCUAGACCCAUUUGUCCGUACUCGUUAACCUCGUGCUCCCCCUCUUGGCUUGAUCCUUAUCUCGGCGUCGGAGCCCACAACCGCUUCCCAUCCUCCUCCUUCCCCGGACCGCCCACCACCCCGAAUAUCCCCCAAAUCCCGACGCGACCGCGAAACCCUAGGCCACCGUCGCCGGCCACGGCGAGCCUCUCCGCCGCCAUGGCAUCUCCGGAAGGCUCCAACUGGGUCUUCGACUGCCCCCUCAUGGACGACCUCGCUGUCGCCGACUUCGCCGCCGGACCUGCAGGAGCAUUCUACUGGACGCCGCCGAUGCAGCCGCAGAUGCACACUCAGGCGCAGGCCGUCUCCGCCGCGUCGCUUCCCAACCCCUGGUAAUUGCGGCUUCCCGCCUUCUCGGCCUCGAUCGCGCUCAUCCGCGGCUGGCUUGGUGGUUCUAUGGUUUGGGCUAUACAUUCCGUUCCCUGAUUUGCUGCCUCUGUGUACGUAUGUUACCACCUGUAGCGUAAAUUGUGAUCGUUAUAACAUAACUGCUGUUAGCAGGCGUGCGAUUGUAGAUUGGUAAAGCCUAUUAAUGGAAUUUUGAUCACAACUAGAAUUACAUGCAUGUGAAAAGAUUGAGAACGUACGGAACUCCUUACAUGUGGGUUCUUCGUUUUCAAAAUUAUUUUCGCGUGUUAGUACUUAGGACUGGUGUUAGUUCUGACAAGGGUAUUACUAUUUGAGGAUAUGGUUCUGUACAUGGAUGUUACAUGGGCCUUUUCUGGAAGGUGUGUGCAGGAAGGGCUAUUUGCAAUCUGUAUUGCUCAUUUGGUUUCCGCACACAUACAUAUAUAUGCAACAUAGAAGGCAUACACAGCGCCAUGCUUCUUCUGAGUGAGAUGAACAAGGGAAGAGUUCAAAUGAAAAUGGUUAACAUGGUCAUCAGCGAUUUUAGGGAUGCAGCUGCUUCUUCUAUCUGUGGGUCGGAUUCAUGUUGAGUAUCAAGCUGAUGGUAUCAGAUUUAUAUGGCGGAAGUUUGUCUUUCAUCUGUGAUCUAUAUUUCCAGAUCAAGAGUUUGUAAAAUCAAUUGCAUUACAUGUUUCGAGUUAGAUAGUGUAGUGAGAAAUGCCAUAAUUUUUCCCAUUAACAGCUGUAUUAAUGAUCAGAAAAUGGGUGAGGUUGGGGUUGUUAGAAAGGCCCAUCUUUGCGGAUCCCUGCAUGAAGCCUAGCAUGCAAUUUAAAUUAUUUAAAAUGUUUCCAAGUUGAGAACUAUUUAUAGUUACACUUUGGCAUAUGAGGCUAUGCUUUGAUUUAUCGACUUAUCAUAGUAUUUAGCUGUCAUAUUCGGUGCAUGAACAGAGGUGACCCUGUGUGCUGUUUAAUGUAGACCUUCUUUUUUCUCGAAAUGGUAUUUCACCUAUUGUAGGUUAUUAUAUACUAAAUUUGUGAGAGUUUGGUAUUGUCGUUGAUAUGCUAAUUUUGUGCGCUGCUUAUUAUUGUGCACUAUAUUGUGAAUUUUACAUUCUUAACUGCAAAUUUACCUUUUCACUAGUGCUGAAAUCAAUAGCCCUGUCUCUCUGGACUGUGAGCAUGCCAAAGGACAUCCAACAAAUAAACGGUUUGUUUGUGUCUAUGCCUUUUGAAUUCCAUAUUUCAACCAUACUUUUCAUACCUUUUUCUGUUGAAUGUUGCCAACUUAGUACGAAAAUGCUUCAGUCCCAGGUCAGAAAGUAGUGCCCAACCUAGCUCCAAAGCGUGCAGGGAGAAAGUGAGAAGGGACAAGCUAAACGAGAGGUAUGUCCCUGCCAGCAAUUGUUCUUUCAAGCUGUUUUUCUUGCUGCAGCAUUCUAUCUGAAAGCAACAGUGGAGCUUAUGGUCUUCUUUUGUUAGGUUCUUGGAACUGGGUGCUGUCUUGGAUCCAGGGAAGACGCCUAAAAUAGACAAAUGUGCUAUAUUGAAUGAUGCUAUUCGUGUGGUAACUGAACUGCGUAGCGAAGCAGAGAAGUUGAAGGAUUCAAAUGAGAGUCUCCAAGACAAGAUCAAAGAACUUAAGGUCAGUCCUGCUCACAUGGCUUAGAUGUUUAAGCAGUACCAUCCGGCAUCUCUCUCUCGUGAUUUUAUUUGCGUUAUCUACAUACAAUAGAUCUGAUAUUCCACAAGAUUUUCUCAACCUGCUUUGCUGUAUAUGGCCUAAAGACCACUGUUUGUUGACUACACAGGCUUUUGGAUUUCCAGCGAUCUGUCAAAUCUUCUGCCUCUAUAUAUAUAUACUUGUUUUAAGUUCUUUGUUUAGACACUGCUUAUUCUCCAUUAAAUUAUUGUCUAGAGGUCUUGUCUUUCAACAUAUUCAUGAGAUAAUUUGUGGUAAAGCGAUCAUCUGACAAAUAAAAUGAUUUUGAGAUCCUUUGAUUUUUCAGUCUGAGAAGAAUGAGCUGCGGGAUGAGAAGCAAAAGCUGAAGGCGGAGAAGGAAAGCCUGGAGCAGCAGAUUAAGUUCAUGAAUGCCCGUCAGAGCCUCGUACCACACCCUUCGGUUAUUCCGGCUACUGCAUUCGCUGCCGCCCAAGGGCAAGCAGCUGGACAGAAGCUGAUGAUGCCUGUCAUUGGCUACCCAGGAUUUCCCAUGUGGCAAUUCAUGCCACCUUCUGACGUUGAUACCUCUGAUGAUCCGAAGUCAUGCCCUCCUGUUGCAUAGGCCAGCAAAAAUCAUUUGCCUCAUCUAUCUUGAGGGGAAGGGGGCAAAACUGCCUUCCAUUCAAGUUUAUUUUGGCCGCCGUCAGUGUUACUAUUGUAGUCACACCCAGAACAGAACUGAACUGAAGCCUCUUCUUCGUAUCAGCCGGUGACAUGUGAUGUCCUGUGACACCGUUGUAUAUGUUAGUAAAUAAAUACCAUCCGUUGAAGCAAAUGCGAUUAGACGUUGUAGAGUUAUUGUCGUUGAACCUUUUCUUUUUAUUUUCAUUGUUGCCCUGUAGCCUUGUUUGCUUGUCGCCCGUGAUUUGGUAUAACACAAGUAGGUUGUAGCUGGUUGGUUCAUCUUGGAUUGAGUUGGCCUCGCGAUUCUUCCAUGCGAAAACGAAGUAACCAGGGAUCUGAGGGAUGGAUGCAUCUGUGGUCUAUCAUGAAUUGUUGGCAAAUGGGUACGACGUGAUGACCUCUCCUAGCUUAGCAAGACGUGCCCUCCACUGAUGCCGUACUAAUUUACUUUCUCCAGCAAUAUCUUACAAAAAUAACUCCUUUUGUUUUGUACUUUCUUGCCAGUUUCAUCGCCUUUGCUUACCUGCAACCGAGGCAUCUGUCGCGUCUAUUCCUUGUUCCUAGUGUUUCCAGGAGCAAAUGUGCGAGGAAAACAAUAAAUUCACAGCAAGAUGCACAAAAGAGAUGAAACCAGGCAAUGAUUGAUCUGUUUAUAAUUUACCUCUGGUUUCAUCUUAAUUUGGAAACGUGGAGCUUCGGCUCCCUGUCUAUCUAAAGAAAAUCGACUAUGUACAUCGAUCGAUAUAGAGACCGGGUUUGCCUUCUUUUUCAAAAAAAAAAAUCUGACAACAUAAUUUAUCAGAUGAGAAUUGUGGAUAAUAGACGUGUGUACAAAAGCAGAUUUGCACAAGAGUGCCUUUGCACAAAUCGAAAUGUAGUAUCAAAGACCUGUUUCAAAAUGUAGUUACAGAGUAGGAAGUCGUGUCCAUGCACGAAAUGAACAAGGAAUCAACACAUGAAAAAUAAAAUAAAUGAAAACAAGUACAGAAAAAAAAAAGGGAAAGCCUCUGGUAAGACUUUAGUACAAACUCUUUGUACCAAACGUACGUGUAGAGAUCGUGCAAUUGCUCAAAUUAAUCCAAUUAAUUACGCGGCCAUGGCCACGAGGGCGGCCAGCGCCAGCAGACCGGCGACGUGAUACCGCGGCGGCGCGGACGUCAGGGACACGGAGCCGGAGGUUCCGGGGGCGGGGAUGGUGGCCUUCGUCGGGCCGCCCGCCGGCGCGCUCCUGGCGGCGGCGUCCGCGAAGGUGUCCGCGGGCGGGGAGGGGAGCGGCGAAGGAGAAGGAGCGGCGGCUGCGGCUGCGUCUGCUUUGAUCUUGGCGGCGAGGGCGGCGUCGUAGGGCACGGUGGUGACCUGGAGGUGCAUGGUGCCGUUGGCGCAGUGGCGCGGGAUGCCGCAGAUGAAGUAGCGCGUGCCGGCCUCGGCGAGCUCGAACACGGUCUCGCCGCCCGAGUGCGUGGAGAUGGGCUUCCCCGUCGCGCAGCUGCCGUAGUCCGCCUCCGUCACCUCCAGCACGUUGUGGUACGCCUCGUACUUGAAUGCUGCGGUUAAUUAUAUUGUUACCUUUUUGACAUGGGCACAUACAUGGCCUGAUCAUAGUGAGAAGAUUAUCGAGAAGAAGAAGCAGCAGGAGGAAGAGAUAUGUCCGUACUAAGGGUGUCGCCGAUCAUGAAGGUCUUGCCGGCCGUCCACUUGUCGUAGUCGACGUACGUGUCCCAGCCGAUGGAGUCGUCCACGGUGUAGUCCACCGCCAGCGCCGUCGUGGCCAACGCCGCCGCGACCGCCAUGGCUGCGAGAAAUGCUCCGCAGCUGGACUUCAUGACUCCCGAUCGAUGGAGGAGGAUUAGUCGUUUGGUUCUGUGAUCUCUCGUCUGAGCGAUGUAUUGCUACGUUGGGGGUAUAUAUACCGGGAGCUAGCUAGAGCAAGCAAAAUAAGACUUUCCUCUUCUUUGCCCUCUGUUCAUGGCCUGCCAUGAAACAUGCGUCUGAGUAGCUAGCUAGGCUAGGUUACAUUCGAUCAGUUGGCAUAUUUGGAAUUAAUUGAAAUUAUUAACACGUGAGUACAUCGCACCUGGUUGAUUUUUGGAGCGCCAAGUUGACUUUUUCUUUAAUUUGCUAGGCUUUGUAUUGUAUUUUGAGUUGCAGUCACUAUUAUUUAUUUAUUACUCGAAUAUGAAAUUACUUGAACGGUAUUGACGAUACGUGCUUGUAUCACUUUGACAUGCGAGAUUCUUUCAGUAUAAAUAAUUGAUGAAUCAUGAAUGAUGAUUAGCUCCUCUACGUGAGCACACGUCCCUUGCUUCGUCCGUACCGAUCGAGAAUAGCUAGCGUGUUCGUGGCUUCGUGCUUCGCAUGAUCGAUCAAACAUUAAUUUCAUUAUAGGUGGUUUCAGAACGAGUUGUCAUUAAUUAUACAGUUCUCUUUUCUUGUUUUUUCUUCUUAGAAGCAGAAGUCGUCAACCUAUUCUGAAUCCGUAGUGGUGUGGAACAGCCCUUCUCCUCCCCCGCGUCGUCACUCCCGCGGGCGGCACGGGGGCAAACCCUAGCGCCGCCGCCACCACUCUUCCCUCCCCUUCUCCUCCCUCGCUGCCGCCUCUGAGGCUGCCGCCGGCUAAGCCCGGGUCGUGGUCGAGGACGGUGGCGGGGAGGGCUCCUGUCUUGGCGGCGUUUGCGGUGGCAGGGAGCGCUGCAGGGGUCGGCUUGGCAGCAGCUGGGCGCGGCUUCGGCGGCGUGUGCGAGGGCGUCCCCAGCCUGCUGCGCGGCAGAUCCGGCGGUGGAGCGGCGUUUCCGGCGGCUCGCGAUGGUGUGGGCGCGGGCCGAGCCCGGGUUGGGCGGCCGGUGCUGGUGGCUUGGCACGGCGUCGUGGCUGAGUGCGGCUCCCCAGCGGCAUGGCAGGACCUCCCGACGGUGUGCGGCCUCUUUUGUGGCGCCGUGGUGACGCGGCUUUUGGGCCGCGACGUUCGUCUUGGUGGGGCUCCCUGCUCGGGGUUGGCAUCACGGAUGGCCAACGUCGAGUGGAAGGCGUGGUGGAAUAGCCGGAUCUGGGCGGGGUUGUGUUUGAGCUGCACUGGGCGAAAGCCAUGGCUCCGUUUGUUACCUUCCUAAAGGCGUCGAUUUGGUGCAGAUCUCCUCCCCUCGACCAGACCCCAUGCUCCAGGGGAAACCCUAGAUCCAGGUCUUCUCGGAUCGGGCGAUGUCGAUGCUUGGCAUCAUUUCCCUCUUGGGGGCACCGCUUUGGAGCAGGAACCGGCUAGAGGGAUCAGUGGCUUGGUGGAAGGUGGUGGCUGCCCCAGUGUUCGUGGGCGACUUCAGUGGCAGCGACGAUGGUGUUGGGCAGAGGUUAGGCUGCGGCGUCGGUUCUAGUAGUCGGUCUUUCCGACCUAUCCGUUGGCUUUCCAGGAGUGGUUGCUUUCAUUGUUGGAGAGUCAGAGUCGCCAGCUCAGGAGGAGUAAUGCGUGAUGACGAUGACUUGGUGGGAGGUGGUCCGAUUUUUGGGGUUCCUUUUUGGCGCAGGCCUUGCAUAGUGCCCCUCUGAAGCUCGCCAUCAGAAUCGGCGUCUUUUGUUCGCCUGCGAGGAUGACCGACUGUUUGGCAUGGGCCGGUACGAGCUUGCGUGCCAUUGGAGGCGGAGUCCCCGUUCUUGGACGCUAGUGGGGGAAGUCGAAGUCGCCAGCUCAGGAGGAGUGUUUGUGUGAUGACGAUGACUUCUGCGUGCAAUCUUCCUUCAUUUGCGUGCGUUGAGUGAAUGUGGGUGGCCAGGUCGGUUAGUUAGGGUGGUCCAUGGUGCGGUCAUGUUACAUGACGGUAUUAUGGACGUUUUGUUACGGUUUUUGUCCGGUUUUCCGUUAAUUAACUGAGCAAUUCUAUUUUUUUUAAUUAAUAGAUCGAGUCCUUCCGACUCCGGUUCGAAAAAUAAGAAGAAGUCGUCAACCUAAUGUAUGUCUGUUGUGCGAAAAGAGUUAUUUCUAGUCUUCCAAUUUCGGUGUUCUUGAUUGUAUCUUUCUCUUCUUCUUCUUUCUUUUCUUUUUCUUGAAGCGGUUUUUUGUUGAAAUUUGCAAAAAAAGAAUGCAUUUUUUACACUUGAGGAAAUAUAUAUUUUUUUGAGAAAAAUUUAUGCACAUAGAGAAUAGGUAAAAACAUUUAAUUCUAAAUUUUCAUUAAAAACAGAGAUCAUUUACGUUCUUUGAAAAAAAAACAAAAUGACACAAUGAAUUUCCGGCCUGCCUAAGCCGACCUGCAGCGUUCCUAGUGACAGCGACAAUCAGGAUGUUCUAAAAAACGUACGGAAACAAGCGAUCGAUCACUAUUUCAAAAACAAAAAAGCUCACCGAGCAGGUAUAGAAAAACCCUUAUCCAGGACAACUCCAUCGAACUUAGAAAAAGUAUCAUCCGUCCAUCAGUGAAUCUGGAAUAUUUAAUUUCACAUUGUUGAUAAUCUACUCUUUUUACAGAAAACUGUAGGAUACAAAGAGCCAAAUAAGGCACAAAGGAGACCGAGACAAGCCACUAAAGCAGGCUGCCUUGGCACCAUCCCCGAAUCUAUGACACUUUGGAUCAAGAGGUCAUCUUGACCUUGAGGCUACUAAGCCAGGAAGCACCACUUGAUAAUCUACUUACUGCUAGCCACUACUACUACUUGCAGUCCCCAAGCAUAGAUAGCAGAUCAACAAAUCCACUUACACCCAGAGCCACAGUGCAAGAUCCGAUUAAAAUCGAUACAGCAGGGCCUGUUCCUCUAUCAAGAUCAUUUCCAGAAGUCAAUACCGCACAGAGAUGGCUCCGUUCAGCAAAUUGCUUCCAAAGAUUCAGGACUCAUCUUGGCAAAAGUUCUGUGAUCGAUACUUGGUUCGAAGACAUAACCGUUGAGUUUUCAGUGUAUGGAUAGGCGUCCGAAUACGCGUUGGAGCUCUCACUGGUACUGACCUCCUGGAUGCAGAACGCUGGCCUCGACAAAGAAGGCAGACGAACAGUGUGGCUGCUGAACAUGAUGUUCACCGACGACAUAGCCGGCCUGCUCCCGGGUUUUCUCUGCACGCACAGGAGUCCGACGUGAAUGCACUUGAGCAUCUGGUCGAUGGGAGGAUGGUUGCCCAAAGAUGGAUCGAUCAACUCGAUGACAUUGCCCCGGGUCCAGUGCUCCCAUACCUGCAACAAAUUGUUAAGAGUAUUCGUACACUGUUGCAGGAGUUGCAGAGCUUAUGAAAAGGCUUCAGGUGCUCACAUUAUUCAAGAGAUCCACGUCUUGCUCGGUCUUAUCUGAACCACUGUUUCUUCUCCCUGUGACAAUCUCUAAGACCAAAACACCAAAGCUGAAAACGUCCGACUUGAUGGAAUAAUGACCUCCCAUGGCGUAUUCUGGGGCCAUAUAUCCGCUGCAACAAAAUAAGUAAUUCAGAACCCGAUAUAUGUUGAUGUCUUCUUAUGGAUGUUCUUGACGUGCUUACUAUGUGCCGGCAAUACGACGAGUGACAUCUUCUGAUUGAUCCCCUCCAAAUAUCUUCGCUAGGCCGAAGUCAGAUAUUUUAGGAUUGUAAUCAGAAUCCAGUAGUAUAUUGCUCGCUUUGAGGUCUCGGUGAACUAUCUUCAAUUGUGAAUCUUCGUGAAGGUAUUGUAAGCCUCGAGCUAUUCCAUUGAUAACCUUGAACCUCUUUCCCCAAUCUAGCUCUUUGUUUUUCUCAGAAUCUGUCAUUCAAACAAAACAUAUCAUUGUAGUGUAAAUUUUGUGUCACAGCAUUACUCUGAAGAAAAUUUCAAUAAGGGAAACAAAAAAACGCUAUAAUAAGAAAGUCUUACCAAAUAGAAUGGUAUCAAGGCUUCUAUUUGGCAUAUAUUCAUACACAAGUAUUUUCUCAUGUUCUUCCAAGCAAACACCAAGAAGUCUCACAAGAUUCUUGUGGUGAAGCUUGGCAACUAGAACCAGCUCACUCUUCAGCUCUCCUAUUCCUUGUCUGGAACUCUGACAGAGUCUUUUGACGGCUAUUUCUUGACCAUCAGGUAGGUCGCCCUGUCCAAGUAAAGAUACUUAACUGUCGGCAGAAAAACAUAACUGACAAAGGUGUUAUGAUUCUGUACCUUAUAAACCAUACCAAACCCUCCUUUACCAAGCAUUCUACAUUCGUCAAAGUCAUCUGUGGCACCUCUUAGUAUCGCUAGAUCGAGAAGAAGCGAGUCGAUGUUUCGAUCAUCUGAGGUAGCUGAAUCUGUUAGUGGAUAAGUACACAAUGUGUCAAUGAUGAGAAUCAAGACUAUAUGAGCUUUUCAGGAAAUAUGAUUUUGCUGCAAGCUAUGGAAAUUCACGGUAUUAGCUAGAAUUAAGAUUUAAGAAAAUGAAAAUUGACUAAACAAAGUCCAUAUUCUGAACUAAUCAAAUCACCAUGUUCUGGACAAUAAAUUGAUUCAUACUUGAAUUGCUAUUAUUCCAAAAUUCAAAAUGGUUAAGAGGUCUUACAAGGCAGAAACGCAUUUGCUUUUGGUCUUCUCCUCCAGCAGAAAAAGUAUACCAUGACAAUGACCAAUAUGACAGCAAUUGUAGCCAUUACAAUAGCUAGAACUAUACCUGCACUAUUUCUCGUUUUCUCUGCAAGUAAGUAUAUACCAUCAAAAUGAGAAUGUAAUUAAUUUUAUUUUAUUUUUUAAUGAAAACCUGAAUAAAACAAAUACUUCCUCCGUUUCUAAAUUAUUGUCGUUGUUUUAGUACAAAUUUGAACUAAAACAACGACAAGAAAUUUAGGAACGGAGGGAGUACAUUGCUUACAAGUAGCACAUAUAUUUUGCAGGAAAACUUUCCAGGACCUUUCAUAAGAAAACCUUGUGAGUUCAGAGCACAACCAUUUGCAAUAUUGUCUGUUGUUCUGUUCUGAAGGCUCAUGUUUGCAUUACUCUGACAAAUGGUAGCCAGCUUCUACAAUCUACAUGCAUAUAAGUUUCGUUCUUUCUGGUCAAGCAACUAGUGAUUUUUCAACGGAUAUGGAGAGGUCAUGACCCUUGAGCAGGAGAGUGAACAAGCUGUUACUGCUAAUUGUUUCGAAAUCUGUACCAGGAUCAUUUCUUGGCUAGCCAACUGUUUUACAUAAAAUCGAAAUGGAUUCCACCCUUCACCCUUGUAUAGUUGUACGCAAUUUCAGAUCAAACGACCAACUAAACAAGUAAACAUGCCAUCAUAUUGCACAAUUGCAGAACAACAAACUACUCACCUCCUCCUCCGGUGGUCGCCGGUGGCGCAGGAGCGGGCGGCGUGCCGACAAACUGCGGAAGCUGCAGCAGCGGGCGGCCGGAGAAGAAAGGGAACACCUCGUACCGGAAGUUGCACCACACCCCGAAAAUCCCCCCGCCAGUCCUCCCGCUGAACAAUUUGGGCAGCUCCGCAGUUAUGGUGCCAAGGCAGGUCCGGCAGACCUCCACCGUCGUGUCCGGCGCGCACUGCGACAGCGCAUAGAUCUUUGGGUUGCUCCUGUCGUCGAAGCCCUCUGUCCCCGUGCCGAACCGCCUGGAGGAAGACGAAGAGUCCCCCGCCGCCGCGUAGCCGGCCGUGGCGUUGACGAGCAGCCCUACGGCGGCGUCGAACGCCGGCGCGGCUCCGCCCGCGACGCGGCGGGAGCGCUGGAGCGUGUACGUGGUGACGUAGUAGUCGUCGUCGAGGAGGAAAUCCCGGUUGGAGAAGCGGAGCUGGCAGAGGUCGUAGAAGAUCAUCACGUCCUUGUAGAGCGGGCACGCGCGCGUCGCGCCGCGGAAGGCGGCGGCCACGCAGCUCUCGCAGGCGGAGGCGUUGGCGACGUCGCCGCGGCAGAGGGCCUGGCCGUAGACGGCGUCCGGCACGUCUCCGACGCUGCCGGUGGCGUAGAGCUCCGGGGAUGAGGAGGCGUUCCUGGGGAGGGUGGCGGCGAGGCGGUUGAUGUUGGAUUGGUAGGUGCUGUUGGCUGUGUAGUUGCCGCUGGGGGGAUAGGGGCCGCAGGUUGGCCACGGAGGCGGUUCGUCUUCGGCGGCGAUGAGUGGCGCGUAGAGGACGGCGAAGAGGAAGGUCGCGGUGACGCCGGUGAGGCAUGGGGAGAAGCGGCGGCGGGGCUUGGCCAUGGCAACCUGUGACGUGGGGGGGCUUGUGAGGAGAGCAGGUUCGGGUGUCUGUCCGUGUAUCACUGGCAUGUGUGGUCAGUGAGGUUGACUGGAGUAAAGUGACUUCAGGUUUAGUGAACAAAAAGCUUAACCAAAAAACCCUCAAAUUGAUCCCAGGAGGUGCUGGCUAUUUUGAACCAAACUAGUAUCCCCUUGGUACAACACGGGUAACAAAAAAAUACUAACCAAUGUGUACUACACGGUAACAAGAAAGACAAAUGCUAGACGUCGGGCGGGCGAUUUUGGGAAAAAUCCGUCUCCUCACAAACCGUCCGAUUGGAACGCCACGGCUGUUGCAUCCCGCACACAAGAAAGAAAUCAAUCUCCUCCUAUUCCCGUCCCCCCCCCCCACCCCCACACACACCCAACCCAACACGACCAGCCCAAACGGCGCUUGCAGCAUACCGCCAUCGCCUUGCAGCAGCGCCGGUGGUCUGCAGCGGUGCAACACCUCCGGCAAGAAGCGAGGCGGCUUGGUAGCAACGCCAGUGGGAGGCACCACCUCCUUGUAGCAUGGACGUCAAUAGCCUGCCUCAACGCCAGCGGGAGGCGGCGCUGCCUUUCAGCAUUGCUUCGCAACAUCCAGUCUCGCGCCUCGCCAUUUGCAGCACCGCCGACAGGAGGCGGCGUCUCCUUGCAGCUGUGGUGCCUGCAGGUCUCCACACCGCACAGGGCCUAUCAGCACCGCCGCAUAAUGGACGCAAUAUCACCGGUCGCCGAUCGAAGUACUUCCGGUCGUCGUUUGAAGCAUCGAAGCCUCCCGUUCCAGGCUUCCAGCACCCUAAGCCGCCGUUCGUAGCACCCCCGGUCGCCGUCUCCACUUGCAGCACCUUCGGCCACCAGUCGAAGCACCGAUAGCGGCGCUUCCCACACGGCCGCGGGUCGCCGCAUCGCUUCCCUUUCGAGCACCAUCGUCGCAGCACCUUCGGCUUCUGAGUCACAGCGCCUCCGACCGCUUGUUGCAGCACCCUCGCCCGUCGGUCGUAGCACCGCAACCUCCGCUUGUGGCACCGACGGCCGCACUCGCAGCAACGCCCUGGCCAUCACAGCAGCAGCGUCUCCAAUAGGCUUGGACAUUUUACUCGGUACUCGGAGAGUAGCUCGACUCGUUAAGAGCUCGGCUUGUUAGACUAAAGAACCAAGUAGAGCACCUCCAGAAACUCGUUAACACUAAAGAGCUUAACGAGCCGAGCUAGCGAGACUCGCAAGCAUACUCGUUAGCUCGUUAUCUGGCGUCUGGCGGUCGAACCAAACACAGUAACCCACGACUUGUUAGACCCAGCACACCCUCUCGAACAGCCCAACUGCCUGAAUGCGGCCCAAGCCCAAGAUUCGUUAGGUCAGUCGGGUCUCCAGUCUCCUCGUCUUGUACUCUCGUCAAGCUAAUAUUAGUCUUAUUAGUGCUUCUGUAUUGUACUGUAUGAGGACACCGAAGCUGUGUAAUGGCUGCUAGUCUUAUGAGUAUUUGUGUUGUAGCCUGUAAUGGUUAUUAGUCUUAUUUGUUAUGGACUUAUUAUAUAAUGUUGUACACAUGCUUUGCUUGUCAUUUUUUCUGCAUAGAUGCUGCCCAUUUUUUUCACCGCUAACGCGUUUAACGAGCGCUCGCGAGCAGUAAACGAACCAAGCCGAACAGGCUUUGAUGUUCGUUAAGGUUGACAAGCAUAACGAGCCGAGCUCUUAACGAGCCGAGUUCUUAAAAAAGCAAGCUCUUAACGAGUCGAGCAUGCUCGUUAGCCAGGCCUAGUCUCCAACUCGCAAAGCCGCUGGCAGCCUAGCCUCGCAGUCAUGCGCGCGGCUGCAGCCAUGGAAACGCAUCCAAGAGAUUGGAACGAGGGAGAGGAUGAGGGAGAAGGGGAAAGUAAGAGAGAGAGGAUGAGGGAGAAGUGUAACGAGAGAAGAGGGAAAAAGAGAACGUGGUGCUUGGUCGUUUCCUCCUUGUCACGUGUCACGCACGGAAGGCAGUCGACACGGGCCGUGUCAUCGGUCGGGUGAUAACUAUCUUUUCCCAACAAGAAAGUACUAGCCAAGUGGAGGAAGCAUGCAUAUCACAAGUAAGUAAAAACAUAUUGAGAAGGAAAGAGAAGAAAAUUAGUAUCGACUACCAUUGGAGAUGCCCUUUAAUACUCCUCGGCCGUGAAGAUUGCAUGCGGAAGAACUACAAAACUUUUGAAAGAGAGUUACUAACUUCUGCCAGUGAAUAAACUAAUGAACAUUUUGUAGUUCAGGAACUCAAAAAACACACAAAUAAAUCAAUAAACCGAAUUACUGAUACAGAUUAGUCUCAAAAUGGUUUACAAAAGCUAAAAAGGACAUGUGUCAUGAUCCUGAACAAUGGGUUGUAACUAGGUUUGUGUCAUGCAUCCACUUUUAGCCUUGACGAACGUUUUUUUACUAAUCUUAUUACUAACUCAAGUUCAUGGAUUUAUUUGGGUUUUUUAGUUCGUGGAAUAAAAUAUUUUUCAGUUCCAUUUUAGGUUUCUUUUCCUUUCUGUACUUUUCUCUUAACUGAUGCCAUUCGUAUUUUCUCUCCUAUCUAACUAAUGAAAAUGCAGGGCCGUUGCUUAAAAGAAGAAGAAGAAGAAGAAACACAUUUUUGACCGGACGUAUUGAAAAUGAAUGAUUUUCAAAUUAUCCUGGUACAGCUCAUAGUACAUCAUUUGCUGUACGUGUCUCCAUGUUUUCUCUGUUCCUUGUCGCUAUCCAUCACUUGACGUUGAAAAGACCAGAGAAAUGAAUGCAGAAACAGAAGAAGCCUCCUUACUUGACCAAUUCCAUGUGCCACGUGAAUACGUACAUGAUAGAGACCCUGCACUCUCGAUACCUCGAUCGUCGUACACUCGCAGGUAUAGUCCAUUCGCCGUCAGCUGCUGUCCGACGGCAACAGCAGUUCAGUCCUGUCAGUUUCUUGAUUUCUUCCUCGCUGUCGGGCGUCAAUUGUGUAUUACUACUGCGUGUCCAACAUUUUAUCAGCACAGCAGCAGCGCAGCUCGCCGCCAUGGCGAUAGGCACGCGUCGCCGUCUGGGUCUGGCUCCUCUCUCCUUCUACCUCGCUCCAGCCACAGCCUCGCUCCUCCUAACGUUAUUCCUCCACGCGCCGCCGCUCGCCGGCGCGCAGCCGCUGCCGUGGCAGCUCUGCGACGACCCCGCCGGGAACUACACGGAGGGCGGCGCGUACCAGGCCAACAUACGCGCCCUCGCAAGCGGCAUCCCCAAGAACGCCUCCUCCUCCCCGGCCCUCUUCGCCAAGGGCGCGGCCGGCAGGGCCCCGGACGCCGUCUACGCGCUCGCGCUCUGCCGCGGCGACACCGCCAGCGCCAACGCCUCCUCCUCCUGCGCGUCCUGCGUCGCCGCCGCCUUCCGGAACGCGCAGCAGCUCUGCGCCUACAGCCGGAUCGCCACCAUGUACGACGACCCCUGCAUCCUCCGCUACUCCGACCGGGAGGACUUCCUCGCCAACGUCACCGACAACGGCGGGAAGAUGCUCGCGUGGAACGCCAACAACGUCAGCGCGGACGUAGCGCCAGCGUUCGACGCCGCUUCCGGCCGGCUCGUGAACGCCACCGCCGACUACGCGGCGGCGGACCCGAGACGGCGGUUCGGCACGGGGGAGUUGGACGGGUUCGACGAGACUUACCCCAAGAUUUACUCGCUGGCGCAGUGCACGCCGGACAUGACGGCGGCUGAGUGCCGGGCCUGUCUCGGCGACAUGAUUGGGCGGUUCACUCCCCGGUAUUUCGUGGGGAAGCCGGGCGGGCGAGUCUUCGGCGUGCGCUGCAAUUUCCGGUUCGAGACCUACUCUUUCUUCUCUGGGCGCCCGCUGCUGCAGCUCCCAGGCGCGCUGCCGCCUGCACCGGCGCCGGCAGCGGCCGGAGAAGGUGAGUUUCUGAAACAGAAAUCACCCCUGGGAACGUACAGCUCUGAACUUACGCGUGCCCCGGCCUUCUUGAUUGCUUUGCAAAACUGAAAACAAUUUUCUGCAGCUGAAUUUAAGAUGCGUUCCAUCUGAAAUCAACACAAUUUUUUUUGCAGGAACAACAAGACGUGGUGCAGGACCAGUCUUGGCAAUUACACUGCCUAUAGCUGCUGCAGCAUUACUUCUCAUUGCAACGUGCGUUUGCUUCUGGAAGAGGAGAAAACAUACGGAAAGAAAGGCGUCAGUACCAUGUAAGUCCUCUCAAUUAAGGAAAGAGGAACGGCGAUUCACCGAUUACUUCGAUUUAUUCAUGGUUUACACUUUCUGAAAUACUAACAAAUCUUAGUUACUGGAAUUACUCAUGCUCACUCAGAUUGUGAUUUUUUUUUCCGAAAAGAAGGUUCAAACCUCAGGCCUCCGCAUCAAUAUGAUGCUCACUCCAUUGUGAUUAGAUUCUCAUUUGUUUUGCUUUUUGUCCGGGUCUAGAAUCCUACUUAUAUUGCUGAUCAUGGCACACAUGUUUCUUCCAACAGAUUCAACUAAUCAAGAUGACAUUCAGAGCAUCGAUUCCCUCCUCCUUGACCUAUCGACGCUGCGGGCUGCAACAGAUAACUUCGCCGAAAGCAACAAGCUUGGCGAAGGAGGCUUCGGCGCGGUCUACAAGGUACCAAUCGUACCAUUUAGUAAUGUAAAUCUGUUGGUUGCAUACAGCAUUACAGAUUACAGACAUAUAUCUAAACUUGUUGACACACAGGGCGUCCUUUCUGAAGGCGAGGAGAUAGCAGUGAAGAGGCUGUCGCAGAGCUCCCGGCAAGGAACAGAGGAGCUGAAAACAGAGCUAGUCCUGGUCGCCAAUCUCCAGCACAAGAACCUCGUCAGGCUCGUCGGCGUCUGCUUGGAAGAGCAGGAGAAGCUGCUCGUGUACGAGUACAUGCCGAACCGGAGCCUCGACACCAUUCUUUUCGGUACCAUUCAUCCGAUAGAUUCUAUCCCUAGCCGGGCAUACAUAGUUACAUACUGUCACUGGCUCAGCUGUCUGACCGUCUCUCUUAUGUUUGUGUAUUGGUUUCGAUGGAUGAAAGAUCCUGAGAAAAGCAGAGACCUGGAUUGGGGGAAGAGGCUGAAGAUCGUGGGCGGGGUGGCUCGAGGCCUGCAGUACCUCCACGAAGACUCCCAGCUGAGGAUCAUCCACCGGGACCUCAAGGCGAGCAACGUGCUGCUGGACAUGGACUUCAGCCCCAAGAUUUCCGACUUCGGCCUGGCCAAGCUGUUUGGGUGGGACGAGUCGCAGGCCGUCACUAGCCACAUUGCCGGAACGUAGUAAGUUCUUCCGGUACACGUUGGCACGCACAAAUACAUCGGAACAACAAGAGAUUUUAUUUCCUCGUGCUCUAUGGAUGCAGCGGAUACAUGGCGCCGGAGUACGCGAUGCGCGGGCAGUACUCGGCCAAGUCGGACGCCUACAGCUUCGGCGUCCUGGUCUUGGAGAUCCUCACCGGAAGGCGGAACAGCAGCUUCGCUAACUCGGAGCAAUCCGUUGACCUCUUAAGCCUCGUGAGUAAUUCUACAUGUCCAAGUUCCAUCUGAUCUGCUCCCCAUGAAGGCAAUUUACAAAACCGUCUUCACGAAACAAUGUUAAAUUCUGGCGCGUACGUGCAGGUAUGGGAGCACUGGACGAGGGGAACAGUGGAGGAGCUGGUGGACCCGUCGCUGGGCGGCCGUGCUCCGGGAGGCCCGAUGCUGCUGAAGCUGGUCAACGUGGGGCUGCUGUGCGUGCAGGACAGCCCCGCGGACAGGCCGGCCAUGUCGGCCGUGAACGUCAUGCUCAGCAGCAGCACGGUGUCUCUGCAGGCGCCGUCGAGGCCCACGUUCUGCAUCGAGGAGAUGGAGGGCUACUCCGACAUGUACUCGGCGACGUAUCCAAGGGGAUCCCGGCCCACCAAGGUGCAGACGGCCAUGUCGCCGAACGAGGUCUCCAUCACGGAGCUCGAACCAAGAUGAGGGCUGUGAAGCAAUUUGCUUGCUACUAUACGUAUACUACGUACUAUACUACUGAAUCUCCUGUAUUUAUGUUGUUGUGACCUUUUAAUAUGCUGAAAGUACUCAGCAAGUUCUGUGCUACUGUAGUAUACUAAGCACUAAAGUAAAGUAAUUAAGGUUUGUUGCACAUCUUCGCACACGAGUCAAGAUGGCCGAGUUGGUCUAAGGCGCCAGUUUCAGGUACUGGUCCGAAAGGGCGUGGGUUCAAAUCCCACUCUUGACAUUAAUUUUUCGUACACAGCACUACUCCGUUCAUUUUUCGUACACAGCACUAAACAAUCCUUUCUGAAACAGAAGAAAGAAAAGAAAACCCCAACCCGCCAGAGGCUUUCAUCGCAUCCGAUGCGCUAGCAACUCUAGACUGGCAAUGGCGUGCAAGCUAGGUUUAACAGUGGCCACCUCGCCAUACCGGAACUACGCUACGCUGGAUGGUUGGCCACCCCGCGAUCCUUCAAUGCGCCGCAGUUCCACGGCCGUGCCCUGGUGGCCUGGUUCUUUCCACUCCUCUCUCGUGUUUGAACUUCCUACACGGUGAGUCCAUGCAUAUGUGGUACGUCGUCGCCACCUGCUCCAACAUCGUUCUAAUUAAUCCAAGUGUUCCAAAGCUAGAUUUAAAACAAAAUAACAAACUGCUUGUUUCCCCGCAAAAAAGCUUCCAACUUCCUGAUCUUUAAGGAGCAAAUGUCCCACCAGCCUUUUUCCUCCGCCAAUCCAACUGACAGUACCGACGUUUCUUCCGAUCUUCUCCCACUCCUCUUUCCCAGACAAUCCAUCAGUCUCUUCACAUUUGAUCACUUAGAGCAUCUGCCUAUCAAGUUUCCUAAAAAUUCUCCCGAAAAGGGCUCAAAUCCGGUACUUUACAUGUGCAAUUUCACGUUUUUCUCUUCAUGUAAAUAUAUAUCAUCAAACUGAGAAUGCACUUAUUUUUAAGUCUUAACUUUAUGAAAACAUGAAUAAAACAAAUACAUGCAUGUUCACAAGUACUCCCUCCGUUUCAAAAUAAGUGACGUGGAUUUGUAUAAAUUCUUAUACAAUCUACACCGCUUAUUUCGGGAUGGAAAAAGUAACACAUAUAACUCUUCUAAAGCUUUGUGACGCUUCUUCAGGGCAAGUGCGAAAGAAAAUUUUACUGACAGUUUUCGAGUUGUGAUCUGUGACCCGACUAUGUUUGACGCAUCAACGGUGUUAGACUGUACUGACACUUUUCUUCGUUGUGUCAGUGUUAAACUUGUAGGAGUAAUGUGUUUUGGUAGUAGUGAUUAUAAAUUUCGCAACGGGCCUUCUAAUUUUUUGUUACGGCUUAAUAGACCAAGAAAAUAACAAUCUGUCCAGUCACUAAGAAAUAAAUUCCGUAAAAAAGUUCAUACUCCUACAAAGAUCUGUUAAAUCGAAGACGUGCUACAAUUUGCGAGGCAAAGGGUCGCGGUGUGCAGAAUGUGAGCUAACUGCCAGCCUGCCAGGAUACAAAUGGCGUGGCAAAGGGUCUUAAUUUAUCUAGGCAGCACAUGACACUUUCUAGUACACAAGAAAUUCAGAAAGCAUUGCAUACGGAAGCUAGCUUUCUUUAAUCCUUCUUUGCAUCGUCAGUAUUCAGUUUGACAUUGGAGCAUUCGAGUGCAUCCAGAUCUCAGCCGAUUCCGUCCUCAUCAAACAGGCGGGGCAUGGCGUCCGAGGCAGCCAGCGUCGCCGUGGUCUCGGCCGCCGUGGCCGCGGCCAUGGUUUAUGCGCGCCUCGCCGCCUCGCGUUCGCACCCCGGCCUCCCCCGCCUCGCCGCGCUCCUCCCGGUGCUCCUCCUCCUCCCCGUCCUCCCCUUCACGUUCUCCUCCAUCCACCUCCGCACCAUCUCCGCCUUCUUCCUCGUCUGGCUCUGCGGCUUCAAGCUCCUCCUCCUCGCCGCCGGCCAGGGCCCUCUCCACCCGGCGCUCCCGGUCGUCCGCUUCGUCGCCUGCGCGGCGCUUCCCAUCAAGGUAGUAGUAGAAGUCCAGGACAGAGCAGCAGCGCAUCAGCCGUCCCGGCGGUCUCUCCCUCCCGCGUUCUUGCUCUCCUACGCGGCCAAGGCGGCUCUGUUCGCGGCGCUCGUCUCGCUCCGGGGCAUCCGGGCUCGGAUGCCCGCGUACGGCGUGGUCGCGUUCGACGGUGUGCACGUCUACCUCUUGCUCGAGCUGUUCAUGGCGUCCGCCGCGUUCUUCGCCCGGGCCCUGCUCGGGGCCGACCUGGAGCCACAGUUCGACCGGCCGUACCUGGCCUCCUCCCUCCGCGAUUUCUGGGGCCGCCGGUGGAACCUCAUGGUGCCCGGCGCGCUCCGCCCCACCGUGUACCGCCCCGUGCGCAGCCGCCUCGGCGUGCCGGCCGGCAUGCUCGCCACGUUCGUGGUGUCGGGGCUCAUGCACGAGGUCAUGUUCUACUACAUCACGCUCCGGGCCGGCACCGGGGAGGUGACCGCGUUCUUCGUGCUCCACGGCGUGUGCGUGGUCGCGGAGCGGUGGUGGGCGAUCCGGAGCCGGAGCGGGCUGUGGAGCCCGCCGCGGCCCGUGGCGACGGCGCUCACGCUGGCGUUCGUCGCGGGCACCGCGUCCUGGCUCUUCUUCGCGCCCGUCAUACGCGGCGGGCUGGACAAGGCCAUCGUCGCCGAGUGCGAGGGGAUGCUGGCAUUUUUGGAGGCGGCUGCGCGUGCUCUGGCUGACGCGGCGGCACGUUUGGUCUGGUCAUGAUUCCGGUUGGCAUUCGCGGUGUGUAUGUCAUGUAAUUGUAGUUCCGUGGUUUGCCCAUGGCGAUUCCGGUUGAAUUUGAUUUCAGGGGAACAAUAAGGUCUUCAGCGUAUUUCCCCAGAACAGAAUCUGGUAUCACCGCGCUAUGCGUGGGCACUGGAUCAUGGGAUUGUCGUGUCACGAAGGUGUAGUGUACACGCUGCAUACAAGAGCAUCAGACAACUGAAACUGGAAGAGCACAUUUUCCGUGAUGUCAAACGAUGAUGGAAAAUUCCAGAAAAGCUUUGUGAAAUAGGCAUGAUAUCUAGGACACCGACAAGUGGCCACAAGGGCUCACAGAGCGACGUGGCCUGAUCCGGGCUGUUGUUCCUCAAUCGGAUGGUCAAGAUCACCACUUCGGUUCCUCCAAAAGACAGAGUCUUGGUACCGGUUUCAGCACGGACGAGAGCAUCUCUAGAAGAUAACGCAAAAUCUUGAUAGAAAAAACACGUAUUCGGUAAAACUGAAUCCGUUUUUUAGUUACUAAUUUGGUCCGGACAGAACAUAUACCGCAUACCUGAACCGUAUCAUCGAAUAUUCCCAUCUACUACAGCCAGCCCACCUCGUGGUCGUUUUCCUCCUCGUGAACGACACGAGCACCAGAAACAUCUGUUUUCUCAAUGUUCUCUCGGCGCAUCUGCUUUCUCGGUGUGCUCUCCGUGCUCGAAGACCACGGAUCUGCGUUGGGGCAUCCAUGGUGUGGCCGCGUGAGGGCUGCAGAGGAGGGCCGCACGGGGCUCCAGCACAGGCUCGAUGCGGAGGCAGGGGAAGUACCGAAGCAGUGGCGCAAGCGCGGGUGACGCUUGGCCAGAGACGGGGAAGAAGGUCGCGGGCAUGGCGGUGAGCGCACGCGUAGGGUCCAAGUUGUGGUGGAUCUCGUGCGGGGCGAUGCCGCGGUGUGUGAGGCGUCAUCUCGGACAGGCGGAGCGGCAUGAGAGCUGCUAGAGAUGCUCUGAUGUCCACUUCGAGGUCUUCUUCUGUUUCUCGUUGUAAAAACUCUCUCUUCAGCUAAAAUUAAUCUCCCUUUUGUACAUUCGUACAAUAGAGAGAUGGAGCAUUUGCACAAUAAAAAAAAAUCCUAAUCAAUUUCGGCUGCUUCCCUUGACCCUUUAAAAAAAAUUCUUCGACAGUCGAAGGUUCAAAAAUUGGCCGCGAGCAAUGGUCAGGGUGACAGGCGAAGAAACGGAACUGUGGAGACUCCAGACGAAGAAACGGGGAGGAGGGGUGCGAUCUGCCGAGUUCAAUCUUUUUUCUGCGAGUAAAGUCUAUUUUUACAGUGGUUGGCGUCGACAUCAAACCUUGACCUUGAAAUCCCUGAAUUCAGCACUUUGUACUCAAUAAUUCCGGUCAUCAAGUGCCGGUCAUUAGGUGUUGAAACAUGCUUUACAUACUGGGAUUGCUGACGUGGCUGGGAUCUUUCACUGACCAAGUCAACAUUUCGCAAACACAAGUCAAGACGUCUACGUGGCACGGUCAAUCCUACGUGGCAAAAAAAGAUUAGUCAACGAGUCAAGCCUCUCAUGCCAUAGUCAAAGGGUCAAAUGAGUUAGAGUAGAGGGCAAGAAAGGUGUGAGGAGAGAGCCCUUAGUCCAUGGUGGACCAUGGACCAAGCCCCUCUUUUCCCCCGUGGUGCACACAAAAUCUAUGGACCAAAGGAGCUACUUUUACCACUUUGCCCCCAUUUUUCUCUUUUCCUCAAGGAUAGCCAUGGUCUUUUGUCAUGGACCCCUAGGAUAUAAAUACCCCCCAUGAGGACAUGUAUCAUUGACUCUCAACUUGAAUAAACUCAAGGAGAGAGGGCUAAAGCCUCUUGCAAAGAGCUCUAGUUUCGAGAUUCGGGAAGACGCGUUCGGCCCGGACUCGAAGGAGAAGGGGUUGGGUUAGAGUUCCGAGGGUAUCCUAACCUCGAUACUUGGAAAGACGCGUUCGGUCCAAGUACGAGGCGGCCCCGACGAACCUCUCGCCAAAAGGUGUCUUGGGAAGAUCCGCUCGGUCCAAGCCCUUGGCUAACAACCCCUCGAAGCUUUUCCUAACAUAGGAUUAAGUCGCACCCGCAGGGUCGACCGAACCUAUUCAAAAAAUAUCGACGUGUCAACUUGUCCAAGUGUACGGCGACCUUCGCUAUAAGGCCGGCGUAUAUGCCCUACUUUUAUACCCGCACUUGUGUCAUCGAUCAUUGGCACCCCUUACUCUAAUUGUUGUCGAGAACAACAACAGUAGCGCCGACCGUGGGGAACCCUCGCCGCAAUUGAAGAUCUAAUGGCCCCGACGAAGCCUACUUCAUUGGGUCCCCAACUUGCCGCGAAGUCUACACGGUUGCAAACGAAGAAAGCAAGUGCCUCGGGGGCUCCCGAGGAAGAAGGAAACAUCACCAUUCCGGACGCCGCCGCAAGCAUGGUCGCCACGACGGAAGUCACAGACGCCCCUCCGGUACCGGCCGUCCCGAAAGGAACCGAGGUGUUCGAAACCGUCAUAGGCGGUCCUCGACACUUACCAACGUAGUGGCAAGGAUCGGCGAGCUGCCUACGGUUGCCGCCCCCGCAGGGGACACGGAACUCGGCAUGCCUCGCUCGAUGGGCUUCGCGCCACCUUCCCUACAACCGGUGGUAACCCUGCCCUCGGAACCUACAAGAGGAAACCAUGUGGUGUCGGGAGGAUCCGUCCAGAAAACCAAGGAGUCCCGGCCUACGACCCCUCCAACCCGGGAUUAUCUCCACUGUCGCUCGCCGCGAUCGCCCAAGGAGCUCCUUGCUAUCAUCCUUAUUGGGGGCUUCCGCCGCAAGGUGCUCUCCAAAUCACACACCCUCAACAUCAACCUCGCUUUGCGAAUGCCCCGCAAGCGCCCCUUGCUCCCCCCGCCGGGGUCGAAUAAGGCGCCCACCAGGUACCACCUCAAGCUGCGCCUCGCGAGGAACGAGACCCUAGAGUGCAUGGAAACGAGCAAGUGGUGGAAUCCGGAGCCCGUGCCGACGGCGAAAGGAAUGCCCGGCGACGCUCCGACCCUCCCAGAAAACGUCGAGAUCAUUCUCCAAGCGACCCCUCUAGCGACGAGAGCGACGAGGGAGGACCUCGCCACCGAAGGAACCAAAAGAAUCGGCCGACUUGCAACCCGCUCACUCGAGAGAUCCAAGACGCGCCUUUUUCGCCAAGGUUCAAGCCGCCCACGAUACGACCAUAUGACGGGGAGUCAAAUCCUCUUCAAUUCUUGGAUGUCUACUCCACCGCCAUACGGGCCGCCGGGGGAGGUCCCGUCGAGAUGUGCAACCUCUUUCCACUCGCGCUCACCGGAAUGGCGCAAACUUGGUUUUACAACCCGCGGAGGAACUCCGUGCACUCAUGGGAAUGCCUCCAAGAGGUCUUCAUCGCCAACUUUCAAGGAAACUUUAAGGAGCCCGUGCAGGCUCACGAGCUAUACACCGUGAAACAAAACCCGAGGGAAUCCCUCCGAAGCUUCUUCCAUUGCUUUGCGAAGGUGCAAAACCAAACGCCAACCCGCCGUCGACCACCAUGAUCGACGCAUGCAUGUAAGGUCUUCUCCAAGGAGAAGUGAAUCGGGCCCUAAGUCGAAACCCACCGAAGACGACCGAAGAGCUUUAUCGAAUCACGCCCGGGGCGAAGACGGGGACAUCACCAAGGACGUGCCACGCGCUGCUCCCGAAGGAACUCCCUCGUCCGACAAACCUCCUGCACCCGCUUCGUCUUCCAAGAAGAAGAGGAGGUGGGGGAAAAAGGGCGUCGGUGACCAAGCCCGGAAAAUCUUCGCCGUCGUAGGCCAAGCACCACCUCAAAAGGCUUGGCAAGCCAAGAAACCACCUCGUCCGACCGAGGGAGUGGCUGGAAGGUGCCUCAUCCACAACUCGGCAAGCCAUAGCACCGAAGAGUGCAACACACUCAUCGCAGCCCGCGAAGAGUUCCAGGCGCGGAUGCAAGCCCGACGCAAGGAUGAGAAGACAGCUGAGGCUCCGCGCCUCGCCAUCGUCCUUGUCGCUGACCCGGCACCCAAGGAAGAUAACCUCCCGUUCCAGGAACCUGCACAUCACGUAGGAGUGAUACUCAGGGGCUCCGCAACGGGACAAGGAUCAAAGCGACAACGCAAGGAGUAUGCUCGCGAAGUCAAUGUCGUGGGAACCUUCACCCCGACACCCCCACCUAAGUGGGCAAGCGUGCCAAUUGCCUUCACCGAAGAAGACGCUAAGGGGAUACGCUUCCCACAUGAUGACGCUCUCUUUGUGAUGGCGAUCGUCGCCAAUUGCGAGCUGAAGAAGAUUCUUGUGGACGGCGGAAGCUCCGCUGACAUCAUAUAUCUAAGCACAUUAAAGAAGCUGAUGGAGCCCAAGGGGGGGAUACAAGAACGGCUCGCUUCAGCCAUCCCUUUAUCCCCUCACAGGUUUCGUACCAGGGAAGUCCAUUCAGCCGCUCGGACAAAUUGAGCUCCUCACGACCUUCGAAGAUGCCACAAAUCACCGAACCGAGCUCGUACGCUUCGAUGUGGUGGAUAUGGAGGCCUCCUUCAACGCCAUCCUCGGGAGGACAACGCUAAACCGUCUUUGUGCCGCCAUCAACCACAAUUUCUUAUGCAUGAAGAUCCCAGGCCCGAAGGGCGUGAUAACGGUCCGCAGCGAGCAAUCUUCCGACAGGAAGACACUUUACCGCCACGAGACCAAGUGCGCCGAAAGGGAGAAUCAUCCAAGAGUAUUAACUUGCUUUCAAGCACGGGAGCAUCCGAAACCAAUUCUCAGGAGCGCUACAUCCCCAAGCCUCUCCCUGAGGGAGAACUCAAGGAAGUACGCAUCUCCCAAGAUGACGCCACGCGCACGGUGAAAAUUGGAGCCGACCUCCCGAGUAAACUCGAGGAAGAACUUGUCGGCCUGCUCCGGAAGAAUUCCGACCUCUUCGCUUGGUCACCUCCGAAAUGGGAGGAGUCCCGCGUGACGUCAUGGAACAUCGCCUCGCCGUGCGACCGGACAAAGCUUCCGUGAAGCAGAAGCUUCGGAAACUCUCCACCGAGAGAAGCGAAGUCAUCAAACAAGAAAUCGCUAAACUCUCCGACGCCGGGCUUAUCCGAGAAGUUUGGCAUCCCGAGUGGCUAGCCAAUCCUGUCUUGGUGAAAAAGGCCAGCGGCAAGUGAUGAAUGCGUGUCGACUUCAUCGACCUGAACAAGGCAUGCCCCAAGGACGACUACCCACUCCCUCGGAUUGACUAACUGGUCGACCCCACGGCGGGAUGCAAGAGGUUGAGCUUCUUGGACGCCUAUUCGGGAUAUCACCAAGUCCACAUGGCCAAGGAAGACGAGGAAAAGACCAGCUUCAUCACUCCCGUCGGCACCUUCUGCUAACGCAGAAUGCCCAUUGGAUUGAGGAACACCGGCGCGACCUUCCAACGCCUCGUUAGCCUCAUCCUCAAAGAACUAUUGGGGAGAAACGCCAAAGUAUACGUGGAUGAUGCCGUCAUCAAAAGUCAAAUUGCAGGAACUCAUCCCAAGGACCUGCAGGAAACCUUCGACAAUCUUCGCAAGUACGGCGUAAAGCUCAAUCCGGAGAAGUGCGCAUUCGGAGUUCGAGGAGGAAAACUCCUGGGCUUUCUCGUCUCUCAACGAGGGAUCGAGGCUAACCCGGAGAAAAUCCGGGCCAUCAUGGAAAUGGAGCCUCCUCGCUCCGUCAAAGAUGUGCAGCGCCUAGCGGGAAGAAUGACGGCCUUGUGACGAUUCGUCGCCCGAUCGGCCGAGAAGGGUCUUCCUUUUUUCAAAGCCUUGAGAAGCCUCGACAACUUUGAGUGGACCGACGAAGCUCAAAGGGCCUUCAAAGAACUCAAGACCUAUUUGUCGACCCCUCCGCUUCUCACGAGCCCAAAGCAGGGGGAGCCCUUUCUCCUUUACCUUGCCGCGACCCCGGUCGCCGUGAGCGCAGCACUCGUGAAGGAGGAAGACGGGUCACAACGCCCGGUAUAUUACGUGAGUGAAGCCUUGGGAGGAGCAAAAGGUCGAUACACCCAGAUCGAGAAGAUCGCUUACGCCCUCCUCAUGGCCUCUAGAAAACUCCGUCAUUACUUCAUGGGCCAUACCAUCUUGGUGCCAACCACUUUCCCACUCAAGGAAGUCUUCUGCAAUAAGGAAGCCACCGGAAGAAUCACCAAAUGGGCAACGGAAUUGGCCCCUUUCUCGCUAGAGCUCACGGCGAGAACGGCCAUAAAAUCCCAAGUCCUGGCUGACUUUGUGGCCGAGUGGAAUGCUCCGCUAGCCCCACCCGAAGAAAUCACAUCCAAAACCAAGCCCCCCGAACCACAUUGGAUAAUGAGGUUCGAUGGCUCCAAGCGUCUCGACGGCGCCGGGGCUGGAGUCAUACUCAUCAGCCCCGAAGGAAAAAUCCUGGAGUACGCCGCCCACCUGGACUUCAACGCCACCAACAGUAUGACGGAGUAUGAGGCGCUACUUCUCGGACUUCGACUGGCCAAGGCCAUGGGAGUCUGACGCCUUCUCAUCCAAGGAGACUCCCAACUGGUGAUAAAUCAAAUGGACAAGUCAUAUCAAUGGCUUGAUGAAAGGAUGAAGAAAUAUAUCGAAGAAGUUUGCAAGAUGGAACAGUAUUUCCUGGGCAUGGAGGUGCGACGCAUUCCACAAGGAGAAAAUCACCUGGCCAACAGGUUAGCCCGAACGGCGGGUCCUAAAGAACCGCUGCCGCCCGGUGCAUUUUUCGAAGUAAUCCGCGCUCCAUCCAUAAAGGAAGAAGCCGAUGCCGUUGACGAAGCUUCAAAGACCAGCAUGGUCAUCGACACUCCACCCUCUUGGAUGACAUCGAUUAUCCGCGCCUUGAAAGGCGAGGUGGACGAAGAAGCGGAAGGCCCGAGCGCCAAAACUCUGCUCGCAAUAGCCAAGAUGUACGUCCUCCUCUACGGCGCCCCACACAAGAAGGGUGUCGCCGCUUUGCUUAAAUGCAUGCCCUCGACCAAGGAGCCAAACUCCUACCCAAGGUCUAUUCGGGAAUAUGCGGCAACCAUCUUGCGCCAAACGCAACCAUGACAAAAGCCUUGCACUAGAGGUCCUAUCGGCCAACGAUGGUGCAAAGCUCAAACCCAAGGGGAGAGGGCUAGAGCAUCCCAAGGGGCCUGCUCUCGAGUGCUUGGGUCGAGCCUAGCCUCGACUUGACCUCAGGGACGCACCUUGGGAGGCCUAGUUUCGAGGUUCCGGGCCGUCUAGUACGGUCUGGACUCGAAGUAGAGGGGUCGAGUUAAAGUCUUGAGGGUAUCCUAACCUCGCUACUUGGGAAGACGAGUUCGGCCCAGGUCCAAGACGGCCCCGAAAGAUCUCUCGCUAUAAGUGACUUGGGAAGACGAGCUCGGCCCAAGCACUUGGCUAACGACCCCCUCAAAGCCUCUCCUAACAUAGGACUAAGUCAUGCCCGCAGGGUCGACCGAACCUAUUCAAAAAAUAUAGCCCGACGAAAUGGCUAUUUUCUCGCAAGGGAACGGACCUUCUCGGGCCCUCCCCUCGCAUGCAACGGGGGCUGGAGACAUGCCAUGGUGACAGGAUAAUCAAUUGCCACUUCUCCGAGAAGGUCAAGGCAUAAAUGCUUCCCUGAGGGAUUUGUGUCGCAAGUCAUCCAAAAGUUCCGGGAAAAACGUCAUUUUGCCAAAAUGAUGUCCCGCAAGAACUAAACUCCAAGGAAUUCAUAAAAUUCUGCGACCAUCUGGAAGAUAAAAGUACACUUCACCUCCAUGACUUAUCUAAAGACAAACGGCAUAGUCAAUAGAGCCAACGGACUCGCCCUCUAGGGGGCUUCGCCAAGCAGUCAAAAGUAUGAUAAGCAAGGAGGAAUGCGAGCCAAUAGGCUCGUCAAGGGUGUGGUGUGAGGAAUACGCACCUUUGCAAGCCACUCUAUAGGGCCGAACACCGUAAUUUUUGGUGCAUAGGAGCAAAAGCAAUGCUCUCGGUCAAAGUCAAGCGCCACGCGCUCACUUCAAGAGGAAAGGGCUCCAAAAAACCACCGCCCUCGCCUUCGCGAAAAAUGAAGAGCAUCAAAUUGAGGAAACUGCCGACAGAGACCUCAUGAAGCAUGCCACUUAUAAGCAGACUGCAACUCGCUUAUACAAAACAAGGGUACGAGAAUGAUUCUCCUCCGAGAAGACCUCGACCCGAAGCUCUAGCACGAGCUCGGCCCUAAGUGGGAAGUACCUUGCCGCAUCGCAGCCAAGAGGGACAUAAAGAGAGCACACGUGUCAUCCUGAAAGCAUAAAGGGAUAACUCCUCAUCAAUGCCUGGAGCCGGCAACGAGCUGCCACUUCUAUGCCUAUAAUGGCCGAAGUAACCAAGGGUGCGCCUCCGACCCUUCGGGCGAGUAUAAGUGCCAAGCCAGCCAUCUUCGCCAAGGGAUUAUAAGCGCCCUCGAGGCCAUCUCGUCAAAAAGGAAGGGAAAGGGAUGUGAGCACAAUCAUCCUUGGAAAAAUUAAGGUAGCACAUUGUCAUGUGUGUUACCUUGGCAUGUGUGGGCACUCAAAAGAGGCUCACCGUCAUCGAAAGGGAAAACCUUGUCAUGUGGCAUCGCCGCGAAAGGUUAAUCCUCCUCGUGGGGAGUUGCUGCCUAAGUGCCACUCUCCAAACUUAUCAUGGGAAGCCUACACCGGCCUAGGUAUUUCCCAUGCAGCAUCACCGCAGAGGAGAACCUUAUCAAGCGGCACCCCCGCGAAAGGAAAAUCAUCCUCGAAAAGAGUUGCUGCCCCAGUGCCGCUCGCCAAGGAAUGCUAGGAGGCCUACGUUGGCCCAAAGCAUCUCCCGAAAUGUCUCCGGACAUAAUUGUCUCAUCGGCAACCCGUUCCUUGGUGGAUCCUAGUGUGCCCCGAGGCCAUCCACCAAGCAGAACCAAGUCCCCCGAGGGCCGGAAGCUCCUUAAAACGCAUUUAAGGAGAACCGUAAAUAAGCGAGUUAUGCAUGAGCUUACUUACCUCGGAGAACCAUGCUAUCCGUGUGCGAGACGUCACGCACGGGCCUGUGUGAUAGUAACCGAAUUAAGGCUCCAUAAUAAUCGCGGAAAAGCAUAGCUUCCUGAAGUCCGAAGAGGGAAAAUUCCGCAUGAAAUUUCCCGAACGGCAGGUCGAAAUGUCCGGAUCACUACCGGCAUAUCGAUAGCGACCCUCGCAAGGGUACCAGGAUUCAUGGCUCGUAACCAUGACCUAAGGCACCGAAGCCGAGUCAUAUCCCAACGGCAACAUCAAUUGAAAGCACAAUGUGCGAGUAAUAGCGAUUGAUCGCGAGCUGUAUAAACUCGAGGAAACAUAAUAUUCCACAAAGGAAGAAAUGUAGUACUCACAACCACAUGUUGAGCUAAAGUUGACAUUUCCUUAAUGUUAAUAACAUAGCGAUACAUGGAACGAAACAAAUGGAUGCAUUGCAGGCAUAUGGCAAGCUACACGCAAGUCAUAAGGCUAUGUCAGAAGGACAAUGUGCAAAGCACAUAUGCAAGCAUUAGAGGUGACUUGUCGACUCCAAGGACGACGUAAGCUCAUACCUCCCAAAUACCCUCCGGAAGGGUGAGGUCGGAAACUCAUCACAAAGUGAGGAAUUUUGGACCAUUGAGUACCACCGUACUCCCGAGGAACUUCCUCGCCCAACAAGGUCGUCACAACCUUAGGGCUCGAAAGUGCGACGAGGUUACAACCUCCAGCAAGCCUCAAACCUUCCAAAGGUUAAAGGCGCAUGCUAAGACUUCAUGGCUCAACAAAAAGAGUUUGAAGCAAGAAAGCCACUCACCAAGUCUCGAUCUUGGUGUGAGUAGCCCACGGCACCCUACAUGGCUUGGAGAGAGCCCGAGGCCUCCUCCUUUUUUCGUUCGCGCCAAUGUCAACUCCAGAAACACCGGAUACAACUAUCACGGUACCUGGAAAAGAAGACAAGUAUGGUGUCAAAAUAUUCACCAAAGGUGGGCGGAGCAAGAAAAUGCAGAAAAGCUCACCAAAGAUAGGCAAACGAGCUCAAGCUUUGUGCUCGAGAGCGUGAAUGACUCGAACGCCACAAAGGGCAUUGCCUUGUUGCAAAAGCUCCGGUGACAUGGUUGAAACGCCAUCUUUGACUGGGUUGCCAAGCGCAAACACAACCUGUCACAUGGUGCCUAACCAAGUCGCGAUGUCAACAUACAAAACAAGAGAAUCUCGCCAAAAUUCGCUAGGGGGGCUCACCUCCAAGGUUGCCAGACAAUCAAGGUCCUUGCUUCGAUGCGAUUGGACUCCGUUGAACAAAUACCUCGGCAAACAAGACCUCGAUUCCUUUAGGGCGAGAUACCACCAAGAUUGUGGUCAACAAAAGUCUGCAUCCCGAGAGGAUUGGACUAUAUCGAGAUGGUCCUUGAACAAAAGGAAACCCUAACCCCCACCAAGUCGGGGUGCAAUCAUCUCGGUGAUAAAAAAUCCACACCUCUUAUCUUACCUGCAACAUGGGUAACGAAGCGUGUGAGCAACACUGAAGAGCCCAAAGUUCAAGGCUUGUUUCUGCAACAAAAACCUUAACUCCAAGAGUUAGGUUUGAAGGCUCAAGACUCAAAGGCCGUCGCAGAGUAUCAUAGCUCCAAGAGCCAUGGUCGCGGCAAAGAGCCGAAGGUACAAAAAGUACCACUAAAAAGUCUAACUUCAAGAGUUAGCAUUGCGAACCCAAGGUUCGGGGCCGCCGCGAAGUACCAUCGCUCCAAGAGCCAUGGCCGCGGAAAAGAGCCUAUGGUACGAAAGUACCACUUGAAGUCUAGCUCCAAGAGCUAGCACAGCGAACACAAGGUUUGAGGCUGUCAUGAAAUUCCAUCGCUCCAAUGGCCAUGGUUGCGGCAAAGAGCCUAAGGUAUGAAAGGACCACUUAAAGUCUAGCUCCAAGAGCUAGCAUUGCAAACCCAAGGUUCGAGGCCGCCGUGAAAUACCAUCGCUCCAAGAGCCAUGGUUGCAGCAAAGAGCCUACGUAAAAAAGUACCACUUAAAGUCUAGCUCCAAGAGCUAGCGUGUAGAACCCAAGGUUCGGGGCCGUCGCAACGUACCAUGGCUCCGGGAGCUAAGGUCGUGACAAUAACGAGCCCAAGGUUCAAAGGUCCAAAUUAAAGGCGAUUGCCAAAGACCCAUCUCGCCAAGCAAACAUGAAACUCGCCUAGAAAAGAUGACACAAAGAGAUUAGUAUGAGUUGCAAAGAUUCCCAAGGAAGCUACUACGGAAAAUCUACGGCAAAAGACGUCGCCAAGGCAUGCACAACCACUGGUCUAAAAAAAAGGGGAGCCAAGCUGCUGGGCUGAAAGGCCCACAGCCUGCCUACGCGAGCAAAGCUCCUCAGGCUGCAGGCCCACCUCAGGCCAGCCCAUCAAAAAAAAAGGGGAGAGAGAGCCUCACCCCCGGGCCGCAGGCCCAUCUCUCGUCCGGCCUGCCCACGUGGAGAAGAAAGAAGGAGAGACGCCGCCACCUACAGGGUGCUCGAUGAAUCGCCUGACGGGGGCACGCCUCGCGCCUCGGCGCCUUGCCACGCACGCUCGCCCGUGUCCGCGUCGUGCUGUCGUGCCCAUUUAUGUGUCAUGCCGCUCGCAUUUGCGCCGCACCAAGCACGCUCGCGCCAGCUGCGCCCUCGCUGUGCCUCGCGAGCGCGGUCCCGCUCCAAGCUGCGUGUGCCUGCGCCGUGCCGAAUGCGCCUGCCAACACCUUGUCGCGUGUGCCCGUUCCUACUCCAUGCCCGCGCCCGCGCCGUGUCGCCCGCGCUCGUAGUGCCGUGCGCUCCCAUGCGCCUGCCGCGCCCGCACGCGCACCUAGCCGCGCCGCGCCGUGCCGCUCUGUCGCACCAGUGGCACCCGGGGUACCACCGCUGCGCGACGCGUGGGCCCCGUCCUCGAGUUCCCGGGAAGGUUUCAUCGCAGGCAGCGGCUACGAGCAGUCCGGCAAGCUACUAGCCCGGAAGGGCUAGCGGGGCUUCGGGGAAUAUUCCCGCCUGGAUACCUCCCGGGAAGCCGCUUCCCGGGGGGAGGUUCCUGGGUGCGUUGGGCCCGGGCGCUUCCCGGGGAGCGACUUGCCGGGACAGGGAGUUCCCGGGCGCCUGCCCCCGCCUCAAGCGUGGGGCCCAGUAGGCAGAUCAAAAGCGCCACGCGAGUGCGUGGCAGGCGUGGGGUGCGCGGCCCCACCGGGGCAAGGAGUAAGGCGCACGGCUCAUUAAAUGAGCCGACCAACGGGGCGUUACCCGUCCGAUCAAGUGAACAGUGGCUGUCCAAUCCUACCCUAGGGUUUUAGACCCCUAGCGGCGGAGGUGGCAUCCAUGCGUGCCACCAGCUCACCGGGGGGGAGUUGUAUGCCUCUCCGCUCGACACUUGUAGCGCAUGCACCGUGGCACCUGUGGUAUCCCCUUGAGUAUAAAAGGAGGACCCCUGCCAACGGUCAAGGGGUUCGUUCGGUUGGAAUCUCAGUUGGUUCGAGUAGACGGUAGAGUUCGGCUGAGUUCGGUCAUCCCACAGUUAGCCUCUAGCUUGAGCAGAGAAUAGUAAGGAGUACCUUGCCAAAGGGAGAGAGUACCCGGGAACUUUUCCGGCAGCCUGUAAACACUCGAUUCACAACCAAUACCAGCUCAAACAAGCAGGACGUAGGGUUUUACACCUCCGGGUGGCCCGAACCUGGGUAAAAACGUGCAUGUAUCGUUUCCUUGAUUAGCGCGCACUUUCAGUACAUCCUUUCGCCGGCCCCGCAGGGCCUCAUCGGCCGAGCCGGCGAUCGCCGGGGUGAACCCCGACGCCCCUACCGAACCUAAAAGGGGGCCGUGACCGCACGCCCCCGGUGUCGGAGCACCCUGCGACGACAUCUGGCGCGCCAGGUAGGGGGCGCGCCAGAAGAGCCUGCCGGUGGUCGCCGGCAGCAUCGUUUGCGUCGACGUCGGCCUCGCCUUCUUCGCCGACGAGAAUAGUCGCCAUGCCCCCCAAGCGGGCUGGUGAUCCUCGUAUAAACCCGCGUGAAGCCUCAGCGGCGCACACGCGGUCGCAUGACAUGCGACCCGAGUCAGGGGCUCCGGAGAAUCCCGAGCCCUCGAGGGUAUAGCAAACACAGCUGCCUCCCCUGCCUCCUCGGCCGUCUACCGACAAUCGGCCGAGGGGACCGGCUGCCCCCAAUGCCAGGGCCACUCGCGCGAGCACGCACGGUGCCGCCUGCGCCGGGCAGCGGGUUGAGUCGCGGGCCGAGGAUGCUCCGCGACAGCGGCAGCAGGAGCAUACCGCGUCACGGGCGACCCCUGGGGGUUCGCACCCAGCACACCCGGAGGUGUCCGGGGCCAGAGCGGGAAGCAGUCGCUCAGGAAACCGGUUGCCCCCCGCACGAACCCCGGCGGAAGCCAUCAUCGCCGCACGCGUCAUGGUGCGAUACGAACCGCAACAAGGCACACCGGCGCACGAGACGUGGGGCGAGGAGUUAGAAGCACAUCUCGCCCUGGCCGCCCAGCAGCCGCAAGGGGAGGGCGCCCCGGUAGGCUCCGGCCACGGGCAGAACCCAGAGCGCGGGGACGCGCCACCCGCCUCGCGACAGGGGGAGAAUCCUCCCCCUCCGCAGGGAGGCCAAGGAGACAGGGGCCCGGAGGGGUCCUCGAACUCGUCGCUCACCGUUCCGGGGGGCGAUGCACGCGGCAUCUUGAAUGCCCGCCAGCAAGAGGAUUUGCGCCAGCGCUUGGAGUGCCCGCGCAGGCGCGAGGUAGAGCGCCAGCGUCCACAGGAGCAGGAAGACGCUCCCAUGGGCCCCGAGGACGGUUGCACCGCGUUCACGCGCGAGUUGCGACGGGUGACGUGGCCCCGUAAGUUCCGAGCGCCCGCGCUCGGUACAUACGACGGGACCGCCAACCCCAAGGAUUUCCUCCUGACCUACACGUUGGGCAUGCACGCCAUCGGCGCCGUUGACAAGGUCAGGGUCAACUGGUUCCCGAUGGUCCUAAAAGGAUCAGCGCGAACCUGGCUGCUCAACCUGCCCACCGGGUCCAUCGCCACUUGGGCGGACCUGCGCAAGCAGUUCGUGAGCGCGUUCCAGGGCGGCUAUAAGUUCCCGAGAACCAUGGCGGAGCUGCACACUAUCGUGCAGAAGCUGGGAGAGACGUUGUGGGCCUUCGUCAACCGCUUCUCCAACCUCUCCUAUUCCAUCCCAGAGGCGGAGGCGGCUGCUAUCAUCAACACCUUCGCCAUCAACGUCCGUGAUCCCAAGAUGCGCGAGAAGCUGAGCACGCAUCGGAUCCGGACGACGCAGGACCUGUACGCCCUGGUGCACAAAUGCGCCAUGGCCGAGGAAGGGCGCCUAGCGCCCGAGCUUGCAGCUAAGGCUGCCGCGAGCCCUGGCGAGGGUUCGCAGAAGAAGGGUUCCCGCAAGUGCAGCGGAAAGUAAGUUCUCGCUGCAGACUCGGGGGCUCCUGCCGUGAGGCCUGCGAAGAAGGCCUCGUCGGGUGGUGGAUCUGGCGGGAAGCAUGGCAACGCGCCCCGCUGCCCCAUAAACAGCAACUCCACCCGCGACGCGCAGAACUGCCGUGUUCUGCAGGGGAUCAAGCAGCGGCGGGAGGAGCGCCAUGAGGAGCGCCACGCCGCCAGUGGCUGCUUCAACUGUGGCGACAUCGGGCAUCUCUUCCGAGACUGCCCGAACGACCCCAGGGCGGGGCCAAGGCCUGCCGGUGGCGGUGCCGCAGGGAUGAACCCCAAGGGGGGCGCGGUCAGCCCCGCGCUGGGCGGGAACGCCCACCCCGGGGACGCGACAGCGCACGCGCUGAGGAGCAGCGCGAGUCCGACUGUACUGGCGGUGACGAGCCGGGCUUCCAGGAGCCUCGUGGCGUCGCUUGCAUCCAUGGUGGAGCUUACGCUCUCCCAUCCCACGCCGCGGUGAAGCGCCUCACCCGCGACGUGUGCGCACUGUUGCCGGAUGCGGAGCCGCAACAGCCGCUGAGGUGGUCGCAUGUGCCGAUCACCUUCAGCGCCGACGAUCACCCAGCAUGGCAGUUGGGUUCAGGGGUAAUACCUUUUGUCGUCUCGCCGAUCAUUAGCAAUAUGAUGGUGACCAAGGUGCUGGUGGACAACGGAGCGGGGCUUAACCUCCUGUCCGCCAGGCUGGUGGAAAAACUCCAGUUGCCGGUGGAGCAGCUGAAGCCCACCGACCCGUUCCGGGGGGUGAACCCCGGGAUCGUGCGCCCGCUGGGACGCAUCACGUUGCCGGUCACCUUUGGGUCCCGAGAAGCGUUCAGGACCGAACACAUUGUGUUUGACGUGGCGCAUACCCCGUUGCCCUACAACGGGAUCCUUGGUCGGCCAACGCUGAUCAAGUUCAUGGCGGCCACGCAUUGCGCUUAUGGCGUGAUGAAGAUGCCGUCCGUCUAUGGAGUUCUCUCCAUCAGGUGCGACCUCAAGGACGCGGCCUGGUGCGUCGGCGAGGUCAUCAGGCCGCUGCCGCAGCUGACGCCGGCGACGAAGACGCUGCCGGAGACAGUUUGUCGGGCGAUGCCCCGGCAACGAAGAAGGCCCGCGCUACCCCGCAAGAGCUUGUCGGGGGAGGCGCAGGCUCGAGCUCGCGCCCCGGCAAGGGGCAGAAGCUCCGGGAGGAGGCCGCCAAGGUGAAGAACCUGCCCCUCCAAGCCGGCGACAAGGAGGGCACCGUUACUGUCGGUGCGAACCUUGCAGCCGAAUAGGAAAGCACCCUCAUCACCUUUCUCCGGGAUAAUGCCGACGUGUUCGCAUGGGAACCGUCGGAUCUUCCCGGAGUCCCCAGGGAGGUGAUUGAGCAUCGGCUCGCGGCGCGCCCCAUCAAGCAGAACGUCCGCCGGCAAGCACAAGAGCGUAAAGAUUUCAUCAAGCAAGAGGUGGACAAGCUCAAGGCUGCCGGAGCGAUCAGGGAAGUUCUGUACCCUACUUGGCUGGCUAACCCUGUAGUAGUGCCUAAAGCAGGGAAUAUGCUUUGCAUGUGUGUAGAUUUUACUGAUCUUAAUCGCGCAUGCCCCAAGGAACCCUUUCCUGUACCCCGUAUCGAUCAAAUAGUUGAUUCUACCGCUGGUCGUGACUUGCUGAGUUUUCUGGAUGCUUUCUCCGGCUACCAUCAAAUCAAGAUGGCGGUCGAGGAUGAGGAAAAGGCAGCGUUCAUCACCUCGGUUGGCUGUUAUUGUUAUACAUGCAUGCCUUUCGUGUUGAAGAACGCGGGCUCCACAUUUCAGCGCGCCCUGCGCGAAUGUUUGGGGCCCCAGCUAGGCCGCAACACGGAGGCCUACAUGGAUGACAUCAUCAUCAAAUCGAAGCGUGGGGACUCGCUGAUUGAUGACCUGCGGGAGACGUUUGACAACCUCUGCAGGAUCAAGCUCAAGCUGAACCCUGAUAAGUGCACCUUCGGUGUCAACUCCGGGCAGCUUCUGGGUUUCUUGGUUUCACACAGGGGGAUACAGGACAACCCGAGCAAGAUAGAAGCCAUCGAGAAGAUGGAGGACCCCCCGCAAGGUGAAGGAUGUCCAGCGCCUCAACAGCUGUGUUGCCGCGUUGGGAUGUUUCAUCUUUAGGCUGGGCGAGCGUGCCCUGCCUUUCUUCAAGGUGAUGAAGAAGAAGGGUCCAGUCGACUGGACUCCUGAGGCCUAGGCGGCGUUCCGGGAACUCAAACAGUACCUGAGGUCGCCGCCCGUCCUCGUCGCCCCCAAGCCGGGCGAGCCGCUGCUACUCUACCUAGCGGCGAUUGACUAGGUGGUCAGCUCGGUGCUGGUUGCCGAGAGGGAGGAAGAUGUCCCGGGUACUGAGGCUGCGGGGCAGGGGGCUGAGCGGCCCCCGGCAACCGCCUUGGACCCGAGGACCACCCCCGAGUCGGCAACCUCGGCACCGCGGAAGCGGUUGGUGCAGCACCCGGUGUACUUCGUGAGUACGGUGCUGCGCAACGCGCGGACGAGGUACCCGCAAGUACAGAAGCUCCUUCAGGGGAUUCUCCUUACGUCCCGCAAACUGCGCCACUACUUUCAGGCGCACCACGUUACGGUGGUGUCGGCGUUCUGCCUUGAACGGGCCCUCACCAACCGUGAAGCCACCGGGAGGGUGGCCGAAUGGAGGAUGGAGUUGUCGGAGUUCGACCUUCACUUCGCCAACUCUAAAAGCAUUAAGAGCACGGCCUUGGCGGAUUUCGUUGCGGAAUGGACGUCUAUGGGCGUGGAAGAGAAUGAACCAGAGACCAGCCUGCCCGGCAAGCUGGACGAGGACCACUGGGUCCUCUACUUCGACGGCGCGUUCAGUCUCCAAGGAGCAGGCGCCGGAGUCGUCAUCGAGUCACCGACAGGGGACCAGUUGAGGUUCGCUGUCCAACUCGAUUUCGCGAACUCCACCAACAACACUGCGGAGUACGAGGGCUUGCUCGCCGGGUUGCGGGCGGCAGUCGCCCUCGACAUCAAGCGCCUAGUUGUUCGCGGCGAUUCCCAGCUCGUGAUCAACCAGGUGAACAAGGACUACGACUGCCCACAAAUGGCACCGUACGUGUAGGAGGUCCGCAAGCUAGAACGUAAGUUCAAAGGUUUGCGUUUCGAGCACGUCAAGCGAAAGGAUAACUUCGCUGCUGACGAGCUGGCCAAGAUGGCAGCAGAGCGCCGGAAACCUCCGGCGGGGGUGUUCUGUCAGAAGCAAGCGGCUCCUUCAGUCGCCCCCAGCCGGCUGCUGGGGACGCCCCUCCGGCAACCGAAGGAACCCUUGCCGCAGCAGGGGUCCAUCUCGCUAACAUAGCGGCAUGUGUUGGCAGGGAGAUCCCUCUCUGGGCGGAAGAGAUCGCCCACUACUUGAAAGGAGGGGCUCUCCCGGAAGAUAACGUCGCCGCGGAACGAGUAGCGCAGCAAGCCAAAAUGUACACUAUGGUGGAUGGGAACCUCUACCGCAGGCGUGCAAACGGUGUCAAGCUUAUCUGCGUGCCGUAGAAAUAAGGGCACGCACUGUUGGAGGACAUACACCGAGGCACAUGUUCACACCAUGUGGCCUCCCGGGCUUUAGCCGGCAAGGCGUUUCGGCACGGCUUCUACUGGCCCACAGCCAUGGCCGACGCGGAGCGGCUGGUGAGGACGUGCGAAGCAUGCCAGUUCCAUUCGAAGAAAAGCAACCAGCCGGCGCAGGCCCUACAUGUCAUCCCUUCCUCGUGGCCGUUCGCGAUCUGGGGGCUCGACAUCGUCGGUAAGCUACCAAGGGCGGUUGGCGGUUACGAAUAUCUGUUCGUGGCCAUCGACAAGUUCUCUAAGUGGGUGGAGGUGGAACCAGUGCGGAAAGUGACCGCCCAGGCAGUCAUCAAGUUCUUCAGAGGCAUCGUGUGCCGGUUUGGUGUGCCUAACAGCAUCAUCACCGACAACGCCACACAGUUCACGAGCGCGGCGUUUCAAGCCUAUUGUGAAGACAUGGGCACUAAGCUGCGCUUCGCGUCCGUUGCUCAUCCGAGGAGGAACAGACAGGCGGAGCGAGCCAACGCAGAGGUGCUGCGGGGCUCAAGACGAGAACCUUUGACAAGCUCAAAGCCCACGGGAUACACUGGGUCGAAGAACUCCAGCCCGUGCUGUGGUCAAUCAGGACCACACCUAGUCGGGCAACGGGCGAAACUCCUUUCGCCCUUGUCUACGGGGCAGAAGCGGUGCUGCCCCUCGAUCUCAAGCACGGAUCUCCCCGGGUACGAACGUAUGGCGACACCAGCCAACGCGAGCAAAGGGUUGACGAUAUAAACUUCAUCGAAGAGCUUCGAUGCCGGGCUGCUGUGCGAGCCUCGCGCUACCAGCAGGGACUCUGUCAUUAUCACGAUAGGCGAGUCCGUCCCCGGGGGCUCGAGAACGGAGACCUUGUCCUGCGUCAGAUACAAGAAACGAAGGCCGGGAACAAGUUUACUCCGAAAUGAGAGGGGCCCUUCCGGGUAGUGCAGGUGACCAGGCCGGGGGCUGUCCAGCUGGAAACCGAAGACGGCUUGCCGGUGCCCAAUAGUUGGAAUAUUGAGCACUUGCGCAAGUUCUACCCGUGAAGCGGUGGAGCCCGACCCUUAGGUGAUGCCGCCGAUGCAUGCCUCUCGAACUAGUGAAGCCGGGCAGCCCCCGUGUGUAAACCACUAGUUAUUGUGAAUAAAGCUUUAAAUUCGCCUUGUUUAUUUGCAUGUUCCUCCUCCUUCUGUCUCCCGCUUUAAGUGCACAAAAGUGUCUUUCCAUACUUGGUUGUGAGCAGGGGGCUGUUGGAGCCUCGAAAACAUUAACCCGUUGCCGGAUCGUUCCGAUACGGGACAUGCAGUUCCGGGCUUCCCGCAACGUGCAUCCCUGGACAUGCAGUUGCCGGGCUUCCCGCAACGUGCACCGCGCAGUCGCUGUGCCUGGGAAAUGAAAUGCUCACACCCAAGUUUGGCAUCGACCCCUUUGUGCCUGGGGGCUGGGAGGCAGGAGGAGUUUGUCUGUGUUGCUUUGUGUAUUUUCAUGAAUUUCGAAAAAAAAUUGCAGCACCUCGGGCCUGGUAAGAAUCUAACUUGCAGGAAAGGGUGUAAUCUUGUGCACUGUGGUGCCCGUGGGCUGCCCACGGGUCGCGGCAUGCACCGGUGCCUUGUGGUGCGGGACGACCGCAACACAAGAGACUCACCGCACUCCGAGGAUUCUGCCCCACGGUGGGCUCCACCACGUGUACCACAGUUGCUUGGCAUGCAUGGUGGCGGAGACUGUACCGCGUUUCAAGGGAGGGGUGCCACGGGUGCUGGGCGGAUCCGUCGCGCGCGGUGGCAAACCCACCUCCCGCGCCUAUAAAAGGCACGCCCCAGCCACGGAACGGCUCAGAGCGAAGCCGGGUGAGGGGCCGUUAAGGCGGGCGGUGCCACGGAGGCGCGAUGGUGGUGCAUUCCAUCAGCGCUUAGCACCGACGGGUGCGCUACCAUCGCGCCCCUGCCGCAUCACCCCAUCGAGCCCGCCCCGAGGGGCGUCGUAGAGGCACGGUGGUAGUGCAUGCCAUCAGCGUUCUGCGCCGACGGGUGCACUGCCGCCGUGCUCCUGCCGCACCUCCUCAAGCGGGUGGCUCCUGGGCGAGGGUCGCCGCGGAGGCACUAUGGUGGUGCAUUCCGUCAGCGUCCGGCGCUGACGGGGUGCAUUGCCGCAGUGCCCUUGCUGCGUCCCUUCAUAAGACACCUCCGCAAGGAGCAGGGGCUGCCGCAGAGACUCUAUGGUAGUGCAUGCCAUCCGUGCCUUGCGCCGACGGGUGCACGGUCAUAGUGUCCCGGCAGCAUUCCCCUUGAGAGAGCCUUAUUUCGGGCGCGAGUCGUUGCGAGGACGCUGUGAUGGCGCCGGUGUCGGCGCCCGCCGCCCAUUCUGGCCCAUCACCGCGUCCCUGCCACAGCCCUCGAGCAGUUUUGCUCCCGGGCAACGAGGGUUGUUACGCCCCUCAGGACGAGCUCCCCAGAAAAACCAGGUCUUCCCAGUUGCGGGGGCUGUCGCCGGGAGGCUAUAACUUCCUCGCCACCCGUGCCCGCCGCUCGGGGUGGGGCACAGCUGGCGGCGAGGACGUUAUAGCCAUCUUGCGGCUGCUCCCGAGGUGGAGUCCUCCUAGGCCAGGGUCCCUCCCUGAAGGCGAGUGUCGCUGCAUGAGCGUGGUGGUAGCAUCGUCGUCAGCGGUUGCCGCUGGCGGCAAUCCUGCCCCCGCGUUCCUGUCGCAUCCCUCAGAAACAGUUUCCCUUGAACAGGCACCCGAGGUGGAUCCCUACCAAGGCAGUGCUCCAGGUGGUCUUUUCCGCCAAGCGUCACGAGGCAUUGGACUGAACGGAAAAGCUAAGUGCGUGAACAUGAACGCUGAAUUCGCUAAAAACGGAACGAAAUUGAGCGUUAUCUCGUUGGGUGUGGCCCCAGAUCCUGCGCGUAGCCGGAGUGUUAAAAGGAUGCUUGCGGGGGGAGUGCGCUCCCCGUGUGGCUUCGCGGGUCCGUCCCGGAAGGGCACGGCUUGGAGUAGUUACCCCGCAAGUGGAGUGGCUCCCCACUACCGCUUGGCCCCAGGUCAGCACCGCGAGUCCGUCCCGGGUCCCUGGUCUGGUCAAGGGUGAGGCGCGCGAGUCCCCCGCAACACAAGGCAAAAUGCGCAAAGGCUAAAAGGGCCGCCCCGCUAGACAGCACCAGGAACAAUGAACAUGUCGAAAAACUUAAUUGACUAAGAGUCGAACGAUUACAUGGGCUAAUCCGAAGUAUAAUUGUUCAAACAGCGCUAAGCGCCACACUUGCAGGGAAAGCAAACAAAAGAAGAUACAUCGGGGAGCAACAAGCACGGCUGGGGGCUGCGGCAACUAGUUGCCGCCAUCUUCGGCCGGGGGGUCGGUGGGGAGAUCGGGCUCCGGCUUCAUCUGCAUCCGCUCGACCACCUCGUCAACGAACUCGCGCACUGCUUGGGUGUGCAUGGGCUCGUCCUCGCUGUCGGACCAAGCGUCCAGCAGGGACUCGAAGGGAAACUCCGGGUGCCGGAGAUGAAUCCGCGGGAGGAUUGUCCCGGCAACCUUCCGAGCGCAGUUGGCGACUUCGUUGGCGUCGUACUGGGCGAUCCAGACGUCGAGCGCCCCAAGCUUUCCCACCAGAUCGGAGAAGAAGGGGAUCAGCGUCGUGACAUCUAUUCCGUCCACUUCCGUCGCCUGCAGCUCGAACUUGGGCAGCAGGUCGCGCAGCGGAUGGGCGAUCUUCAGCAGCUUCUCCGUCUCGAUCUGCCGCUGCCCGAUCAGCGUGCCGUGAUGGAGUCGAGCGUCGUGCACGGCCUUUUUGGCCUUGUGGACAUUGCCUUCCAUCGCCGCGAGCUCCGCGGUCUUCACCGCGAUCUCGUUGCCGGCCUUGGCAAGCUCCUCUCGGACGGCGGCCAGCUCGGUCUCAAGCCUGGCCGCUGUCCCUGGCGGAGCCGAGCUCGGUCUCGUGCCGAGCCGCUGCUCCCACCGCAUCUUCGGUGGCCUUGACUUGCACCUCCAGCAUGUCGCAGAAGCCUUGGAUUUCGCCGAGGUAGUUAGCGAUCAGGACACUCUUCUCGUCCAGCCGGGUCUGGGCCGCCGCGACCACCUCGGCAUGUUCCUUCCUGGUCGCCUCGAGGGUGGCCGCCAUUGAGUCCAGCUUCCCUUGAAGCUCCGUGCGCUGGGCCUCCAGCUGCCGGUGGAGCUCGGCCUCCGGGACCACCGGCUGCCAGGCGUCCUCCAAGGCUUGCCGGGCCAGCCGCGCCUCCUCCUCGGCGAGGCGCGUCUCCUUGCGCCGCCGGGACAGUUCUCGCCGCUCUCUCUCCACGACCUCCCGCACCUCGCCAAGUUGGUUCUUGGCGGCAGCGUGAUGCUCCCUCACCUCGUUGAAGGAGGUGACGAAGACCUGUUGCUGGUCCCUAACGGCGUCCAGGAACCGGUGCCCCCGUUCGAAGAUGCUCGGAUCCUAGGUGAGGGGGUUCCAAGCGACCCCGGCGAGGGUGCCGAGGUCGGUACCGGGGAGAGCAGCCGAGGACGAUGAAGCCCCCGCUGCCAAUGUGAGGCUGUGCGCGGGGUUGCCAGCCUGCUCCCGGGGGUCCUGUUGUCCUUCCCCGGCAACUUCCCCUGCGCCUGCGCCUAGGGACCCCGGGGCUGGGGAAGCCUCCCUGCUCCCGGCGGGGGCUGUCCCCUACUGGGCGGCAGGUGAGUCCGCGCCAGUCGCGUCCGCAGCUGCGGGCACGUCGCCGGGCGCCGUCAUAGCGGCGGCGAUGUCCACCGCUGCCACUGUCUCUGCCGCGGUGGGGCUUGACGUGAGAGUCGGUUCCGGCUCCACCUCCGCCCCCGCGACCUCGACGACCGGGUCAAGAUCGACCACGGUCGCGCCCGUUCCAGGUGUGGGCGCACUUGUGCCUACGACGAUGAUAAGCAUGAGGAUCGGCGAGUAAUGGGCUGGCGAAAACGGACAAGGGUGACCAAGAUGGUUACCUUGCGCGGCUGUCGGGCUUGCGGGGGGAGCCUCUCCUGCCUUGCCUGUGCCGGCGGGAGCGUCCAAGAGGCUUGCCGCGCGCGGGCUGCCGGUCACUGCGAAAAGAGGUACGUUCAUGAGUUUGGCUAACAAAAAUUGCAGCUGCGGAGAAGUAAUGAAGACAUACUGGUUGCUGGCCCUGCCUCCGUGGGGGCUGGGCCGUCAGGGGGCGCGAUCGCGUCGCUGCCAACCCUUGCGGCGGUGGGGUCGGCGGCGCCACUGGCAUCGGCGCGCGCCCUCUUGCUUGGCGUGACGGGCGGGGAAUCGCUCCUCGCCCUCUUGCUGGCACCCGUCCGCGAGUUGGACUUCAGGAGGUUACGUCGGAGCGCGAAUCCCCGGAAGACCCCCCGAGCAGGUGGCGUCGUAGGCGCCCGCGGGGUCGUCGCGACCCGGAGAGCCCCGGGUGUCGACGGUGAUGCCGCCGCAGUGCCGGGAGCCGAACUUGAGGAGGCUCCCGCUACCGGGGCGAAGGCCGUUGCCGAGACUCCGGCGACCCCUGCGGACGCGGGCGCUGCCGGAGUAUCGGCAGGCGCCCCGGGACCGGCUGCCGCCACGGUGCUGGUGGCUGCCGCUGAGGCGGAGGACGCCGACGAGCGCCCCUGAAGCGGCCGCCAUCGCAAGGUUGGUGGCCGCUGCCGGGGCGGACGUCGCCGUUGAGGAGAUUGCUGCGGCCGCUGCAAAUGCCCUCGAUCUCCUCACGAUCAGGGGCGUGCUGUCGCUGCUUUCGUCGUCAUCGUCCACGGGGACGACCUCCGGGGACGCAACCGCCUGGCCCGCCUCAUCGUGCAGCGACUGGAGGGAGGGCCAGCUGGGCUCAGAUCCGCCCCCGCUCUCCUCGAGCACCUGCUGCUCGCGGGGUGCUUGCGGGGGAGCGUGCGGGACCCGGGUGGGGGUGUCGUCCAUCAACCCCCACUCAUUGCAGGGCGGGAAGGCGCCGACGAUGUCGCUGAGCGCCUUGACGCCGACGUGAAGGCAGGAAACCCCCAGCGAGAACUCCGUUGAUUAGAAGGUCUCGCCGGAGAUCCCCCUCACCCAUGUCCUGAGGGUCUCCAAGUCCACGCCGUCCUGCUAGAGGCGUGUCCUGUCCCCGGGACCCGUGUACAUCCACGCGGGCCGGGAGCGUAGCUGCAGAGGGGCUAUGCGCCGAUGGACGAAGGUGCGUGCCACGUCCAUGUCGGUGAGCCCCGCUAGCCGCAGCGCCUUGAUCUUCUCCACGAUGGGGAAGAGGUCGGCGUCGCGGUGGUACCUGUCUGCCAGCCGUUCUGGGGUUGCGGCAGCUCCGUCGGCGACUGGAUGAACUCCUGGGGGUCCUCCACUCGGACCCAACACCAAUCGCUCCGCCACUCCUUUUUGAUUUUCUUCCCCGACCGGACGAUGAAUUCGGACUUCAUCUGGUCGCGGGCGCGGAAUACCACCCCCGACGACAUUGCCUUCGCGUUGUCAAUGCGGGGGUAGAAGUAGUGGCGGAAGAGCCCCACCGACGGCAUCACCCCCACGAACGCCUCGCAGAGGAACUGGAAGGUGGCGAGGAGGAACAAUGACGUGGGGUGGAGCUGCGCCACCCGCAGCUGGUAGGACUCCAUCAGUGCGUGGAGAAAUAGUGAGAAGGGCGGCACCAGGACGCAGAGGAGGAAGCGCGCGAACACCCAGAAGUCGUUGUCCUGGUGCUCGACGCCCGCCGGGAAGAUCAACGUCUCCCCGUGCUCGUUGAAGUUGGAGGCGACGGCGUGCCGGAGCUUCCCCAGUGCCUCGCCGUUGUAGCCGGGGCGGAAGAAGGCGACCGCGGCCCGCAUCUCCCGCCUCUUCUGGUACUUGGCGGCGGCCGCCUUGGUUGCCGCCUCACUCUUGCUGGCCGCGGUUUUCUUUGAGACCUGGAUCUCCUUCCCCUUUCUGGUGGUGGGGGGCGCCAUGGAAUGCGAGGGCGAAAGCUAGCAGGAGCGCUGGGAUGCGAGAUGCGGAAGGGGAUGAAGACGAAGGCUAUGGGGGCAGAGUGUUUUUCCCCUUUUGGCAACAGUACAGUACGAGCCUUAUAACGCCCGGCCGUUUGGUAAUGGCCGGUUCCGUACCCUACGGGUGCGCUGGGAUAACUCCUAAUCAUUACGAGUAAUACGCGGCGUGGCCUUAACUUCCCUAUUUAGGGGGGGUGUUUGGGGCGGAAAUCACGCGCCCACUACUCCGUUUGUAACGGCGCCGUACACGGGGCAGUGAAGGGACGCGGGCCGCGGCAAAUCGGGGCCCACACGUCGGUUAAGGGCGUAGCCCGGAAACCGACCUGGGGGAGACUCAUCCGGGAACAGGUGAUGCCGGCCCACGCCCGGGGGCUACUGUCGCACCAGUGGCACUCGAGGUACCACCGCUGCGCGACGCGUGGGCCCCGUCCUCGAGUUCCCGGGAAGGUUUCAUCCCGGGCAACGGCUACGAGCAGUCCGGCAAGCUACCAGCCCAGAAGGGCUAGCGGGGCUUCGAGGAAUAUUCCCGCCUGGGCACCUCCCGGGAAGCCGCUUCCCGAGGGGAGGUUCCCGGGUGCGUUGGGCCCAGGCGCUUCCUGGGGAGCGACUUGCCGGGACAGGGAGUUCCCGGGCGCCUGCCCCCGCCUCAAGCGUGGGGCCCAGUAGGCAGAUCAACAGCGCCACGCGGGUGCGUGGCAGGCGUGGGGUGCGCGGCCCCACCGGGGCAAGGAGUAAGGCGCACGGCUCAUUAAAUGAGCCGACCAACGGGGCGUUACCCGUCCGAUCAAGUGAACAGUGGUUGUCCAAUCCUACCCUAGGGUUUUAGACCCCUAGCGGCAGAGGUGGCAUCCAUGCGCGCCACUAGCUCACCGGGGGGGGGGGGAGUUGUAUGCCUCCCCGAUCGACACUUGUAACGCAUGCACCGUGACACCUGUGGUAUCCCCUUGAGUAUAAAAGGAGGACCCCCACCAACGGUCAAGGGGUUCGUUCGGUUGGAAUCUCAGUUGGUCCGAGUAGACGGUAGAGUUCGGCUGAGUUCGGUCAUCCCACAGUUAGCCUCUAGCUUGAGCAGAGAAUAGUAAGGAGUACUUAGCCAAAGGGAGAGAGUACCCGGGAACUUGCCUGGCAGCCUGUAAACACUCGAUUCACAACCAAUACUAGCUCAGACAAGCAAGACGUAGGGUUUUACACCUCCGGGUGGCCCGAACUUGGGUAAAAACGUGCGUGUAUCGUUCCCUUGAUUAGCGCGCACUUUCAGUACAUCCUUUCACCGGCCCCACAGGGCCUCGUCGGCCGAGCUGGCGAUCGCCGGGGCGAACCCCGACGCCCCUACCAAACCUAAAAGGGGGUCGUGCCCGCACGCCCCCGAUGCCGGAGCACCGUGCGACGACACGCCCGCGCCCGCGGGCGCACCACGCUGUGCCGUGUCCGCGCCCCCGCUUUGCCGCUCACACGCGCACCACGCCGCGUUGCGCACCUAGCCGCGUCGCUCCGCGCCGCGCCGCGCCUGCGUUGUGCCACCCGCGCCCACGCGCGCCCCGGGCCGUGCCGUGCCGACGCCCGCGCUCCGUCGCCGACGCCCGCGCACACCCCGGGCCAUGCCGUGCCCUGGCUGCGCUGCGUUCUACCGCCUGCGCCUGUGCGCAUCCUGCUGCGCCAAGGCCGAGCAAGGGCUGAGCCCGCGUCCACAUUGCGCCCCAGCAUGCGUGCGGCCAUGCCGCUCCCUCACCUCACCAAGCCGAGGCCACACUCGUGCGAAGACACGCCCACUUCCACGCCCGGAAGCGACGCCCCGGGAGCGCUCGACAGAAUGCCCACGAAGACUCGGAGAUGGAGAGCUUCCGCGGCAGCACCUCGGCAACCAAUGCGACCUCCGUCAUGAGCAGAAAGUGGCUAAUGCCCCUACGAGGCGCCUACAAUACACCAACCUCUCGAAGAGAUGUCGGGCGCCGCCGAACUCGUCUUCGACGCCGGACAAAUCAAACAAGCAUGGUGUAGGCUUCUCCAGUGGAUGGGGGUUCCAUUUUAUAGGCCACCGGAGUUCCUAGACGUCCGGGUCGGGCCAAUGGGGCGGCGACACCUCGCCGUCCUUCAUCCCAAGGAACAAGACAAGGAGAGGAAGAAAGAAGCAAGGGAAGUUUUGCCUUUUCCCAAAAGGAGGCCGGCCUGGCCGAAGAGGGGCGCCCCCCGCCCGGGCCCCGUGUCCCGGCCGUGCCGGCGACACCUCCGGUGACGGGCGUCGCCUGCAAAGGCGAAAGGCAGCCCCUAACGGUCCCUCCCCCGUACGAGGGAAGAAGAAGGACGGUGGUCGUCCGAUCUAGGGUGCCAGGCCGCUUGCGAACCGUCGGAUCGACAACUUAGUCCUGAACCGGUACCGGGCUCUAACUGGGCCACGGCCCAGUAUUGGCCCAGGAAGUCGGCCGGAAUAAAAAAAAAGGAAAAGGGGGCUGCGCGCCCAGGGACGGCCCAGGUGCCGGCCCGGCGUGAUCCCGCACCCCCGAAAAUGGCCCAGCCGGGGAAAUUGCUAAUAAGACCCUGAAAAUUUCGGGGAGGCCCGCAGGGCCCCUGAUUUUUGCAAAAAAGUCCUCCUGGACACCGGAUUUCUCGCAGAGAGGCCCCUAGGUCCCGGUUUUGCUAAAAAUACCCCCCGAAACUCAAUUUCUCGCAAAGAACAUCGUCAUGGGCAUGGAAUCGCCCCACGGCGCCUCCAAAACUCCCAUUUUUUGUAGGAAAACCAUCGAGUACUUCUGCUUCUCAUAAGGAAGCCAGCCAGGGAAUUCAUCAAGGACACCAUCGCAAAUACAACGACAUGAUUCAAGAGUCUCACCUCAGAGGUUGACCCGAAGGCAUUCUCAAUGCCUCCAGCUCAAGGGGGCUACUGUUGUAGUAAAAUAAAACCCUUAUAUGGGCCGGGUCAUAAAUUCUACGUGGCGACGACCAAGUCAACAUUUCGCAAACACAAGUCAGGACGCCUACGUGGCACGGUCAAUCCUACGUGAUAAAAGAAGACUAGUCAACGAGUCAAGCCUCUCAUGCCAUGGUCAAUGGGUCAAAUGAGCUAGAAUAGGGGGCAAGAAAGGUAUGAGAAGGGGGCCCUUAGUCCAUGGUGGACCAUGGACCAAGCCCCUCUUUUCCCCCAUGGUGCACACAAAAGUUAUGGACCAAAAGAGCUACUUUUACCACUUUGCCCCACUUUUCUCUUUCUCUCAAGGAUAGUCAUGGUCUUUUGUCAUGGACCCCUAGGUUAUAAAUACCCCCCCAUGGAGGCAUGUAUCAUUCACUCUCAACUUGAAUAAACUCAAGGGGAGAGGGCUAGAGCCUCUUGCAAAGAGCUCUAGUUUCGAGAUCCAGGAAGACGUGUUCGGCCCGGACUCGAAGGAGAAGGGGUUGGGUUAGAGUUCUUAGGGUAUCCUAACCUCGAUACUUGGAAAGACGCGUUCGGUCCAAGUACGAGACGGCCUCGACGAAUCUCUCGUCAAAAGGUGUCUUGGGAAGAUCCGCUCGGCCCAAGUCCUUGGCUAACAACCCCCUCGAAGCUUUUUCUAACAUAGGAUUAAGUCGCACCCGCAGGGUUGACCGAACCUAUCCAAAAAAUAUCGACGUGUCAACUUGUUCAAGCGUACGGCGACUUUCGCUAUAAGACCGGCGUACACGUCCUAUUUUUAUACCCGCACUUGUGCCAUCAAUCAGUGGCAUCCCUUACUUUAAUUAUUGUCGAGAACAACAACAGUUAUUAUUGAGUACAACCUUAUAUGAGAUAAACGUGUGAUUGCAUCACAAUUUGACAAGAAUACGGACAUGUGCAUGUAUGUGUCCGGGUGUUUGGAUCAGAGUUGGAUUUGUUCGGGUGUUUGGAUCAGAGUCCAGGAAGGAAGCAGCCUGCGCUGCAUAUCAUAGAAAACCAUCGUUACUUUUUUCUUUGCUCCGUCUUUCUUUGGUAUACGAUCUCCUUGCAUCUCAAUAACGUCCGCAUGCAGCAGGCGGCCGCAUGGCAGCAUUGCAGCGCCUGCCGGUGCCGCUUUCUCGCUAUGUCCUCGGCAUGAUCGCCGCGACCUCUGGUCGAAGCCGCCGAGCGCAUCGGCGCGCCGCUGCUAGCCAGAGCCAUCCCCACCGCAGGCAGAGCCUCCGCUGGCUGCGCGCAUCGCACCGGCCGCAAUCGCUAUUCGUUGUCGCUGCGACCACACUCCCUCCGAUACAACCGCCAUGCCAUGACCCCGCGGCGCUGGAGCCGCCGCUGGCCCUCGACGCCAUUACCAAAGAGGUUAGUGUUUUUCUUUUCGAUGUUGCAAACGUGUCCAGAUUUUUUUUAAGAACUUAGCAGGAGAUCUACUUUUUCAUUAAAGUGGACGAGAAAGUAUACAUGACUUGACAAAAAGAACCAAGCCAAUUAUACAAGCAACUGGCUGGUUUCAAAUAGAAUAAGCUACUCCUAACCCUCCUCCUCUAACAGGAGGGCACAUUCAGAUCUUAUAACCAAAGCCACGUUUUGCGACGAUGAUCUACAAUCCUUGAAUAUUCGCUGAUUUCUUUCUUUCCAAACAUGCCACACCACCAUGCUAGCCCACACAAUGUCAGAAUUUUUCUUCCUUGAAUUAAGUUUCAGCAGACGACUCCACCAACAAAUUAGCGAAGUACUUUGCUUAACGAUCCUACACAUCCUCGGCCUCUCUUAAGAAAGAUCCCCAUAUCUCUUUGGAGAAAGGGUAGUCAAGAAUCAGGUGUCGUGCCGUCUCCAAAACCUGAUCGCAAAAGCAGCAAACGUCUCCAUGAGGCCAGCCCCUCGAAGCCAGCCAAUCCCCAGUCUAAAACCUGUUCUGGAGCAAAAGCCACAGGAAAAAACGAAUUUUGCCCUCACAUCUGACACUCCAAGCUGAGUUUAGAGCCACCUUUGAAGUUCUCCCUAAAAAUUGCACCUCAUAAGCUGAUUUGGCUGUGUAAACACCACUGGCAUCGAAUUUCCAUCUAAUGGAGGCUUCCUCCUCAUUCAGAGUGGUACCCUGUGUGUCCAGAUUUUGCAAAAGUUAACAUAAUCCAAUCCAAUCCGAGUGAAGGAAAACUAAUUAUACACCAAUAGUAAGGGCCGGCGGUCAGUCCAUAUGGGAUGACAAACACCAAUCGGUAAGGGAAGUCAGUAAAAAGGCCGGAACAACCAAUCCCAGUAGGCCACAAUAGCCAUGGUAGGCCACAAUAGCCAUUGAAACUAACAGUCCACCGUAGAGAAUUGCAAAUGAUGCAAAUUAUCAGAUGUACGUAAGAGACCUUAAGGCUAGAGCAAAAACGUCAGGCCCGAAAUAGCAACUCCAACAGUCAAUGACGCCAAAUUGAUAUGAGAUGUUCACUAAAAUGAGUUGAUCUCCAUCGGAGAUAAAGAAAAUAGGAAAUCAAUAGCCAAAAGAAGACCAAUUUUUACACAGAAGCAGCGAAGGAACAAUGUGGCUCACAUUAUCGGAUAGAUGCAUGUGAAUCGGAUGGAAAUAUACGUCCACAGAGUCGCCGAUUCCGUACCUGCGAUACCAACUGUGGACUGGAAGCAACACCCUUGCACAAACGACAAUAGGAAGCCGAUCUACCAUACGUUCACUCCAAUCCACAACCACGACAGCAAAUAGACGAAGCCGAACAACUCUUGCCGCCGUCCGCCGGAAGCCAUAAUUGUACCACAAACAACACGUCAGAACAAACAAGGGAAGUUCGUGUGUUAGGUAAAGUCGUACAGGCCAAUGGUUGAUGGGCGUAAUACAUACAAAAUGCAUUGGAUAAAAAGGAAUGCUUACCGCAUUACCCAUAUAAAACUAUUGAAGAAUAAAAAUCUAUACACACCUAAUAAAUGUCUAAAAAAAAUUUUGAACAUAAUAUCUAAAUGGUAUACAAAAUGAAUCUAUUAGAAAUCAAAAUAUUAAAUACGUAGAGAGAACUGGAUUAAAAAAUAUAUAUAUAACAUAUUAUUUUAUUAUACAAAAUCUAGAUUGCGCGGGUCACCCCGCUAUUAAUAAUAUGAAAAGGAAAAGAAGUUCCGUGGUGCCUGAUGCCGGCAUCGCGGCCACCUGCCUUUACUCGCCCACUCCGCCGACGGAAUCGAUGCGAAUUCCCACACGCACAGGCUAACCGCCCCCAGAUGCUCUGAGAGGACCACCACGUACGCCAUGGCAGACCGGAAGGAUGCAGGUGGGCUCAGUGAAAACAUGGCACGACAGCUCGCAGGCCACGGCCCACGGCAAUGCUGGAGUCGGUCAGGAAGUAAGCCACGGGCUCACCACCAUGGAACGUGACAGAGUAGUGCCCCCGACGCUGUCAUCGUCUUCCUCCGGCGUGUCCAGGGAGCGUCAUUAACGGACGAGGCAUCCGGAGAGAGCGAAAUGGCGUUCUCCAUACGUUAGUGCAGGAAUGGAACACGUCCAUGGACAGCAGGGCCGGAGCUCGCCGACGACGAGGACGACGCCAUAGGGCGAGGAGCUGUACAUGGAGACGGCUUGGAGAUUCGUGUCGGUAGCUCCGGGCGUGGCGGGAGCGCACGGGAGGCGCCGGGAAGUUGGAGUCUAGCGCACGGUAGAGCACGAGCCAGCCUACGACGGCGACCGGCACUGGCGCGGGCCGCGGACUCUGCAUGGCUUCGCACGACCAAGACCCACUCGAGCUGCUAAUUCACGGUACUAAGAGCAAGUCCAGCAAUCCUCCUAAAAUUUCUCCCCUAUAUCUCAAAAUGAGGGAUUCCCUAAAAAUAUUUCCUCCUAAAAAUUGGCCAACUCCAACAGUUUACCUAAAAGAUCUCCCUAAUUCUAUAUUUUAAGAAUUUUUGUAACUACUUUUUGAAACCCAACAACUAACUCUCCAACGACUAGUUUUCGAAUGGUUGGAUUUCUAACGGCUACCUUUUCUGAUCUAUAUAUACAUGAUCAUCUCUCACAAUCUCGAGAGCUCGAUUCGGGCUCGAUCCAAACUUGAGAAACGAGAGCGGGGACGUACCUGUCGGCGGGAGGGAUCGAGCGGUUGCUCCCUGACGUGAGGGGGGAUGCCCCCACCACCUCGAUCUAUAGGAGAGAAGGAGGGGGUGGAGAGGAGAGACUUUUUUUUUUGCCUUUUUCUUCUCCCCUAAAAAUGCUAUUGGGAAGGUGAUAAGGGAACUGCCGGAAUUGUUCUAAGGCUGCUGACUGGGAUCCAACAUUCAAUUGGGCUGCUAAUUUUUGUGUGUGGAUGCUAAUUUUUGUGUGUGGAGAAUUGGGCUGCUAAUUGACUCAAGGUGGACUCACUCGUCCCGGGGCCACAUCAUCGAUCCAUGUUUGAAAAAGCUAUGUCAGUGCCUAAUAAAUGGGAUUAGCGAGUACAAGGUGCUGAAAUCAGGAUUUCAAGUGAGGGUUUGAUCUCAACGACCUCUGUAAAGACAAGAUUGAAAAUAAACUUUUACUCUUUUUUAUGCCAAGUCCCGAUCCUUCUGUUCAGUUUUUGUUUUUUGAGCGAAAUCUUUCUGUUCAGUUGAUUUUUUUUUUUACCGAACUUCUGUUCAGUUGAUGGUUCAAUUAAGCUUGCUGGACUGUUGGGAGUCUGGGCCUGGUUAUUCUAUUAAGGCCUACUGAACUUGAUUUGCACACUAUGCCACUAUGGGCUAUUGGGCUUUGAGCCCCAGCCUUCACAAUAGGAUACGCAUUUGUUGACGGCUAGUGCAAAUGCUUUGGCAUUUCUCAGCCGUAUGAAUUGGCCGAAUCAAAUACCAAGGCCUCAUUGAACACAGAGGACCUAGAUGAGAUGAGGCCGGCCUAUCCACGCUUGUGUGUCCUCUGAAGACUACAUCAAUUGGGUCAAUUCGAGUCCAAGUCUUCCCCUACGACUCGAUCCAGAUUGUGAUGGUCGUUGCCUUGUAAUAUAGCCGAACUCUUGGAAAGGAGAUUGCCCGGCCUUGGCAAAUGGCAGUGGCAUGCAUGCACAUGGAACCAUGCACCAAUUAAUAAGAAAAUGAAAUGAUACAGUAGCAUCCAAUUAUGGUUGGCUGUUACCUCAGCUGGUCUAUGCUUUUUCCACACGGGCUGACAAAAUUUGGCAGGCAUGGAUGCACCCGUACGUGCAAAUUAGUUAGCGAUGUGGUGGAAUUCUAUGUCCCGUACAUCCACAUGAUGUGGAUAUGAGGAUAUCGGUGCAACACGCAUAGAAAGAAGGUGAGGAUACACAUGCAUACAUUGUACAUACAAGCUAGUGGCCGGGGCAAUUGGGCAUACAGGAGCACAGUCGCUACUCGCUAGCGACGUUCUAUGGGCUGCAUGCUUGGUUUCUUCGCUUCUGCCAAACCAAACACUCCGAUUUGUAAGCUUCCCUAUUACAAGUGGGGUAGUUUAUUACGAGUAGUGAUGUGGCGCUAGCGGCUCAAACAUGCCACGAGGCACUGGAUGAUCCAUGUAUGGUACUCUACCUUGAUACUACCGUUAUGAUGAGUGCAUUCUCGUAGUUCCAUUCGUCUUAUCCAGUUUUAGAGGCGAUGUAUUCAGUGAAAACUCUUGUUCAGUGCAAAACUGCAAACUUCUUUAAGAGACCAUUAGAUUUGAAAUAUACGUCUCAGACGAGAGGUAGGAAUCCCUCAAACUACAGCCACUUAAGCACACCUUUAGUACGUAACACCUCGGAAUAGUUCUGUAACAAUUCAGAUAAUAAAAAAAAUAAAAAAACUGUCCGUCUUAUCGAUCGAUCAGAAGCGACAUCAUCUCUUUAUGAAAAAAAGUGCGAUUCAUUGAUCUGGAGUGUCGCCGGCCAGGUCCACCCCCUCGACACGAGGCGACCUGGACCACCUCCGCAACGGCGACCAGGAGCACCAAUGCAACGUUGAACUAGAUCCCCAACAAGACAACGACUUGGAGCUUCGCCCUCGGCCUUCCAUGAUGCGCCGCCCUCUGCCACCAUCAUGCCUUCCAUGGCGACGGCCGACGUGCCCCCAUCGACCGGCCAACGAGGCAACGGGGUCGUCACGGGACAUGGCCGGUGAUAUCGAUGAGGAAGCUCCCCGGAGGAUGCUGUCGUCGGACACGGUGGAGGACACUCCAGGCCGUACUUACCAUAAUAGCAAGUCAGGCGGCUGUUGUAUGAUGCGCAAGGUGGUGACCAACGCGGCGGAGCAGGAGUGGUAGAGGCGGCUGCACGCAAGAGAGGAGAGGACGAGGAUGUGGCCGUGGAGAGGAGGGCCUUCCUGGCCGUCGGUGACCAUGCCCCAGCGGCGGCGAAUGACGAAAGGAGGGGAUAACUCCCAAGUCGCAUGAACAGCUCGAAUUACUUCCACAUAAAAAUAAGGGUUUUCGUAAACAACUGCGUUUAAGUGAGUGGUUUCAAUCCCACCUCCUAUCUAAACCGUAUAUUCAAUGUCGCUGUAAAAAAAACCCCUAUAUUCAGUGUUCCAUGAGAAAAAGUUUGCCAGAUUUCAGUGGAUACGUUGCCAUAUAUUAAUUACACGAGCUUGACAAAAUGAUGGCCUUGAUUUUGUGAAAUGUAGCCGGCCAAUAGAACAAAACUGACUGAUACCGAGAGCAACUAAUUUCUCUGAACCAUGGAUAGAUAUAUAUCAAUAUAAAUAGCAUCAUGCAUCGCCGGCCAUAUGGAAGUAUUGUCUUUGUUUUCUGUUGGGUCUAUGGAAGUUUGUUGGAAGUCUUCAGGCUUUUUCCACACGAAUUGACGGAAUUUGUUGGGAAGCAGCAGCAGGGAGAAAAAGGGCUGCGGCGUCCAAAGGAACGGUGUUGCCACUUUUGUCCGGACCCAUGGCCUGAUGCCCAAGUGACCCAACCCAAGUGGGGUUUGCGCGAGGUUCCAGCCAAACUAUACACUGGCCACUUGUGAGACAUCUUUUUAAUAGGGCCCAUCACGCGCACGGGUACACAUUUAGAGUCAGGUCAUCGGUGUUUGACCUGUCCAGGUCAGAUUCGGCCGAUCGAGCUUGUCGUAAUUGUCAUAAAUUCAUCUUUUUGCAUGCAUGGUACUAGGUUAGUACUCUGGCAGAGUGUUACAGUGGGUGGGAGUAACAACAUAGAUGCUGCCGAUCGUGUCUUUGAAGUGAUACAUAGAUAGCUGCAGUACGUACCAGCCUUUUUAUUCCUCGCGCACAAUUUUCACAGCUCUUGUAGGUAGAAUUUCGUAGUAUAUAUAGUACAACGUUACUCGGUCUGAAUUGCAUAAAAUGGUUCUAGCUAGCCUUAUCGACUUGUAAAGAAAGUACUUACCGUCGGACGUGGGAAAAUGACAAAAGAUCAGUCGUACUACGGCUCGUAAGAGAGGAAACUCAGAAAACAGACUUGGUCGUCGACGAAAACGGCCUUCACGGCGCUGCGCAUGCACCACCCUCAACCCAAAGCGCUGGAUCGGUGAACUCACAAAUGCCGAUCGUCGAGCUAUAAAUUCCUGCCCGCCACUUUGCCUGUUCACCACUCCUCUCAUCGAUCGUCUCGCCCGCCACCUCAGAAAAGCAUAUACAUCAUGGCGCUUACUGGCUCUCUCAUCGUCCUUCUUGGUGCCACAUUGACGCUGCUCUACUUCCUCGGCGCAGGUAAUUAACCGCAACAACGACAUAUAUAAUUCGAUCAUAUGAAAAGGCAGCGGUUCCGAGAGUCCGCAAGCACGUGCACAGUCUCUUCUAACAAUGGGCCGGCAAUAAUGGCUUGUAAUUCAGUCGUUUCUUUGUGGCAUACGAUCGACAUUGCAGUUGCAGAGGCGGGCGAGGUGGGUGUGAGCUACGGGACGAACGGGGACAACCUGAUGGACCCAUCGGCGGUGGUGGAUCUGCUGAAGAAGAACGGCAUCACGAUGGUGAGGGUGUACGACACCGACUCGAAAGUGCUGACCGCGCUGAAGAACACCGGCAUCAAGACGGUUGUCGGGAUACGCAACGACAUGGAGCUGGCGGCCGCCGCCGGUGACCCGAGCUGGGCCGUCCAGUGGGCCAAGAACAACGUGCUGCCGUACUACCCGGCCACGGACAUCCGCGGCGUCACCGUAGGGAACGAGGUGUUCAAGCAGGUAAGCCAGCUGAACCUGCAGCUGGUCCCGGCCAUGAAGAACGUGCAGGCGGCGCUGGUGAGCCUAGGCCUUGCCGACGCCAUUAAGGUCACCACGCCGGUCGCCUUCGACGCUCUCAAGACGUCCUUCCCGCCGUCCCAGGGCGAGUUCAAAGACGACAUCGCCCAGCCGGUGAUGAGCCCCAUGCUCGAUUUCCUGGAACAGACGGGCUCCUACCUCAUGGUGAACAUCUACCCGUACUACACGUACACGUCUCAGCCAGGCACGAUCGACCUCAACUACGCCACGUUCCGGCCCAACGACGGCGUGGUCGACCCGGUGACCGGCCUCAGGUACUCCAGCCUCUUUGACGCCCAGCUCGACGCCGUGUACUCUGCGAUCGACAAUGUGCAGCAGCAGGUGGCCUCUUCCAACGGUGCCGUGGGGACGAUGCUCAGGGGCCGGCGUCGCCACGUGCCCGUGGUGACCGGGGAAUCCGGGUGGUGCUCCUACUGCCCGCAGAGCGUGGGGGCAUCCAUGGAAAACGCUCAGGCGUUCAAUAAUAACCUCGCCAAGCGCGCGCACUUCGGCAGCGCCAGCAGCAGCAGCUCGCUCGCCGUCGUCAGCGACGGCACCCCGGCCCGCCCCGACGCCGACAUCUCCGUGUACAUCUUCGCGCUCUUCAACGAGAAUCAGAAGCCCGCUGACGAGCAGAACUUCGGCCUGUUUUACCCAAGCGGGAAGCCGGUGUACCAGGUCGACUUUAGCGGCGGCGGCGGCGGAGGAGGAACGGCGAGCUGGUGCGUGGCGAGGAGGGAUGUCAGCGACGCGCGGCUGCAGGCGGCGCUGGACUACGCGUGCAACAACGGGGCGGACUGCAGCGCCAUCCAGCCCGGGAAAGUGUGCUACGAGCCCAACACCAAGCUGGCGCACGCGUCCUACGCCUUCAACGACUACUACCAGAGCAAGGGCCGGGCCAGCGGGACUUGUGACUUCUCCGGGGCUGCUUCCAUCGUCUACCAGCAACCAGGUGACUUCUUCCAGCUGACUCCUCCUGAUCAAUUUGUUCAAGCCCUUAUUAGUGGAAACUGUCAGGUGUGAUUAAACGCUGUGGCCUGAAAUAAUUAACAGGCAUCUGCGACCCGAAGGCGGCGAGCUGGUGCGUGGCGAACGCGGCGGUCGGGGACGCGCGGCUGCAGGCGGCGCUGGACUACGCCUGCGGCAAAGGCCGUGCCGACUGCAGCGCCAUCCAGCCAGGCGGGCGGUGCUUCAGUCCUGACACCAAGGUCGCGCACGCGUCCUACGCAUUCAAUGACUACUACCAGCGCAACGGCCGGUCGUCCAAGUCCUGCGACUUCAGCGGCGCUGGCUCCGUCGUUUACCAGCAGCCAAGUAAGUUCGUUCACGCCCGAUCCGUAUGCCCGGCCCAACAUAUCUUCACGGGCCCUAUCUUCACCUUUGCUUACUUUCUCGAGUAAAUCACCCUACCUACUAGCAUAUUUGCGAAAGAACUACGUAGCUUGUACCUAUUUCCACUUUACCAUUGACACGUACUACUUCACAAUUUUGCUGCACCACCCAGUACCGUAGUGUGAUGCUUUCAGUGAUUAAUUAAGUUGUGAUAUUAUUGUGUUUGUUCAUAUUUUACAGAGAUAGGUAACUGCGUGCUCCCAUCAACGGGCUGAAUGAAGAAACGCUAGAGAGCUAAGAUCGAAGGCUACGCGCGCUACCAGCCCAUUGGUAUAUAUGGGAUUCAGGAAUAAAGCCGUGUAAUCUUUUAUUUCGCAAGAGAAAAAUAUGUGAUCAUAUCUGAAGAUAAAUAUGCCCUUUGAAUAAACCUCCACUUUUCAAUCAGUGGAUUUUUAAACCCGGUCUCCUCACGCCCUUUCCACUACUUUGACAUAACGGAAAAACGAUGUCUCUGACUAAACCAGAAUACAAAGGGGAGAUAAAGAAGAGCAACAACGUUUUACUACAUGUGGUAGGAAACCCAUUGACUGGGCUCGUAAGCAAAACACUAACUGCCGAACGAAUACCAAACUAAAGGCACCUCCGAUCAUUGCCUAACUUCUCGCUCUGGAUUGUAAAGACAUUAUUACUUUUAAAUAAAACUCUCCUGUUCCUCGAAAAAAAAAAGUGAAGGCACAUUUCCUUUGGUUACGUGCUGACUAAUUAUUACAGUACUCAUACCAUAUUCUUGCAAGGAAAUUAAUUCCUUGCUGAUUAAUUAAACUAUGUAAUAACCAAGAGCAUACGGCUCCCUACUCUCGCCGUUCUAAAAACAACGGCAUUGGAGGAAGUUGGCACAGGCUUAAAGCCGAGGCUGCAACAGCAUCUCCAAUGUCAUCCCCUAAAACUAUCACAAAUGUUCUAUUUGGGGACAUGGACAUUUUGCCUCCAAAAUCAUCUCCCAAUGUCAUUUUCUAAAUGGACAAAAUGUCAUGUUUGUCCGGACACAUCCUCCAAACUUGCCCCAAAUUUGAAAGAUUUUUGGGGUGUCCAAACAUUGUCCAGUGCUCUCUUUUGUCCGUUUCGGCCCCACAACAAGAGAUUGGGAAAUGAGAAGAAAAAGUGAAAAGGAGAGGAGAAAAGAUAAAGAAAAGAAAAAGCUAAUUUAGGAGAGAAAUUUGAGAGGUGUGGUUUGGAUGACGAGGGCGGACAUGGAACGGACACAUGUCCACUUGCUCCUUAAAUGACCCAAAAAAAGGACAUUUGAGGACGAAAUUUGGGGAUCCAUUGAAGUUGUUCUACUCCCCCGGUAUCUCCCCCAUCGUCCUAGCUGCCGAUCAAACUUUGAGAUCUACGCCAAUCAACUAACUUACCAAUGUCUUGCAUUAGACCAUUGAUGAAUUAGUCUACGAAACGUACUGCUAUUUUUAGCGACAUCUCCCAUUCUCUCUCUGCCUUUUGCGUGUGAGUGCUUUUUCCAUGUGAAUGAUGACACUUUUUUUUUCUUUUUGCAUGUGUGCUGACACCUCUUUUCCUCACAAUUUUUCUUCUGCACAUGACACAAGUGCAUAGUCAAUAUUUAGUAUGGGCUUACAUCCAAGUACAUGCCAAGUACAUCAUCAAUUUAUAGUACAUCCAGGUACAUGCCAAGUACAUCACCAAUUUAUAGUACAUGAAGCAGACCGUGACGGGUACGUCGAAAUACAUGACAGGUACAUCAAACGUACAUUAUGAUACAUGACAUGAACAUUAACAGUUUUUAAGUACCUUGUCAAAUCAAGACUGUGUACUUCAAGUCCUAACGGUACGUCACGUACCAAAGGAAAAAAUUGCAGUACAAACGUUUGUCAAAACUUAAUACCUGAUCGUGUACCAGUGGUACAUCAGAAAAAAAAGUUGACCAUCAAUAGCUGCCUAAAACAUUAAGAAACAAAAUACAAUAGAUAAACCAAAUUGCAGAUAGCCUGCAAUCUCAAUUCAAUGAAAAAACCACGAGAUCCAAAAUCAGAACAACAACAUCUCUUGCCUCCCUCAUGGUACUAGCCAGUACCAGGAUUAUGCACAACCUCAAAGGAGCGCCUGGUGUCCAUGGACCUUGCUGAUGCCGACACUGAGGAGGGCUGGAGGGAUGAGAUGUGAGCGUCGAGGUCAUCGUGGGAUGGGGAUGGGACGAAGACCACGAGGUGGUCGAAGGAGGCCCACGGCCCGCAGCAGCGGCAUCGGAAGUGCAGGACCAUGGUAGGCGGCGGCGGAGGCCGAGACCAGGGCCCGUGGGGCGGCCUUGCGCCUGGAGGUCUCGCGCACGUACACUGCUGUGCCGAUGGCGGCGGCACGGAAAGGUUGGGACGGGCUGGUGUGUGUGUGUGUGAGAGAGAGGAAUCAAGGGAAAGAUGGGCAGCUAAUUACAGAAUAAAUGGCCAAGGAUUAAAGGAAGGGAGAGACACGUGGUUGAUUAACAAGGUGGGGGUAGAUAACGGGGGUGGUACCUGGAGGUGGCACAAGCUGAAGUGUCAUAACAGUAAAAUGUCGUCGGGGGUGGUACCUAGAGGUGGCACAAGCUGAAGUGUCGUAACAGUAAAAUGUCGUCAACUAUCGUCCGGACACUAAAGCUGGAGUACUUCCUAUGCCCCGUGUGCUAAAUACUCAACGGAGAAGUCGUUUUCCCAUGUGAAUACACAUGGUAAAAGAUCCGCCGGACAAAUCACCCUAGGCGCCUUGGACCUAUGUGCUACCCGAGGCGUUGAUAUUUUGGUAUUGUUUUGUUUCGACACAUCUAUCUCCACUCCAAUCCACGAUCUUUAUUCUGAUUUCCUGAAACUUCAUGUGCCAACAAAAUUAACAAGGAAAUUAGCUGUUUUGACAGCCGGUUGAUUAAUAGAUUAGUUCAUUAUAUCUAUUUCAUAUAAAAUACACCCAGUGUCAUUUUGGCAGCAAAAUACUUGAUCAAGCAAUUAAAAAAAACGAUCCUUUAAAAAUAAUGCUUAAUUUGAUUGACUUUUAGUUAAUGACAAUAGGUCAGUUCUUUUCGGCUUUCUGGACUGACUUCUCCAAGAAAACCUAGCUUGGCCUACCAAACUAGUUUGGUCUAAACUAUUUUAAAAACCUAGCUAAAUCUGAGAUGGGGCUUCUCUAGGAAGCUAGAUGGGGACAGAUUUUAGGAGAAGCCGGUCCUAAAAGCCGAAAAGAACGCAGCCAAUGAAGGGUAGUGUAUUUACCCAUCAGUGAUGGCUUUGAAUGCAUUUUUCAAAAUAGCAUCAAUGCAAUUUCUUCAAUAGAUCCAAAGAUGCAUUAUACACAACAUAUUCUAUACAGAGUACAUAACUCAUCCCUGUUUGAAUAUCCUUCGUUCCUAUGUUAAAGCCCAUACAUCACAAUGCCAACAAACCAAACCAGUUUAGAAAAAAAAAAGGUACCUAAUACCGCUCUAGUGAUACCUCAUCAUCCCGUUCAUAUGAUCCUUCUGCCUGCAAUUACCAAAACAUGACUACAUUAUCCCACAGCUAACAUAGUGCUUGAGAACCUCUAAAAGCUACACAAGUGAAAUUUAUCACAGGUAGCAAAAUGGAAUUACCAAAACAUGAGUACAUUAUGCAUGUUGAUUGCUUUCUGAGAGGAGAACCGUUAUGGAGGUCUCGACACAAAUCCUCUACAUCUAAGUAGAGGCAACCCAUUAGCUUAUUUCUCUCAACAUGCAGCCUAUCCACAUCAGCAACCAAUCAUGUCAACAAUUUGUGCCAUGUCAUUUGUGCCAUUGCAGCAGCCCAUUUUUUGGUGGACCAGCUCAUCCUCCUUUUUCCUUUUUCCCUUGGACCUUUGACCGAUCACCUGCUGAGCCCAUCACGCCCGAUGCUUUGCUCGCUUCGUCGUUGUUACUCCAUAUCGAAUCACUGUCCGUCCGUUCAUCUCAUAAGUCGUCGCCGUUAAUGUCAAAUGGCAUGUCCGUCCGUUCCCCUUCAGUUCCAGCUUCCAUUUCCCAUUCAAUACGAGUCCCGUGACUUCUCCACUUCCUCUUCUUUCUCCUCACCACAUCCUAUAUAUCUCCAAGAAUUUCAGUGCGAAUCUGGAAGCCACCACAGACAAACAAAAAAAAAGAUCGACGUCACAGAUCAAUAGAAAACUGAAAACAAAAAACCUGGCAUCACAACAUCAAGAACUGAGCAGGAGGAUGCAGACGGCGACGCACGGUGGCGGGCGGGGUGGGACGGAGCAUAGUGAUGAGCGAGCUGGAGACGGUGCGCAAUCACGGGCGGGCAGAGGCGCUGUAGCAGGCUAGCGGCGACGCAGUUGCAGGCGCUGGCGGCACACCAACGGUAAGGGUUCAGGAGUUUCUGGUUGGGGUGAGGAAUCAGAGGGCGAUUGGCAUGAGAAUCAGGUAUCGGUACAGGGGUAUUGGGGGGGGGGGGGUACGAGAUGGGCCUUUUUCAGAGAUGGGCCUGCUAGAUGGAGUAGGUAUCGGGGGGGAUUUCGGUUCAGGUUAUUUUGGAUGGGCUGCUCGAGACAUACCAACGAUCUAUGAUUAUGUUUCAACACUAGCUAGCCAGCACAACGAUAAGAAAAGUGGAAAUAGAAAAAAUAAAAUCCUCUUUUCUUAUUUAUCAUGUUGUGUUUACAAUACAAAUCAUCUUCAUCAAAUAAUGUAUUAUAUAAUACACUCUUCAUAUUAUUUUAAUUUAGUACGUCCGCUGAAUCGUGAAUCAAAAUAUCAGGUCCGCAAACUACAUAUAUCACAUAUUGUCAUACUAAAUUUAUGAUAUUUAUUACUCCAUUCGAUCCUAAAUUGUUGUCAAAAUAUUACAUGUAUCUAGACGCUUUUUAAUAAUAGAUACAUUCAUAUUUGGGCAAAUUUGAGUCAAGAAUUUAGGAUCAGAUGGAGUAUUAUUUUUUAUGUCUUAUACUCUCAUGAGAAAACUAUUUCUUUGAAAAUUUUGCUCUUAGUUUCCGCAGCAACGCGCGGGAAAUUAUCUAGUUUUAUUAGUAAGAGACACAAUAAUUACAAAGGGAUGGGAUACACAACAAGGGAUGCAGGGAGCAAGCUAGAACAGAGCAGUAAAGCCAUGCUGAUUGUGAUUCAGACUACAGCUCUUGCAACAUCUAAUCUUUUAAAUUUACUACUUAUUAAUAUACUCCUUCCGACACAUAUUACUUGUCUCAGAUUUAGUACAAAGUUGUACUAAACCAGUGACAAGUAAUUUCGACCGGAGGGAGUAAUAAAGUUCUUUAAGAGCAUCUCCACUCGGCCCCUCUAAAGUCCCCCCGAACCGGUUAUGGGGCCGCCGGCGCCAAAAAAAAACGACCCAGCCGUGCCCUCAUUUUGUUUUCUUGUCCGGCACGGCCCCACUUCACAUCCAGCGCCCCUAGGCUGAACAUCAUCGGCACAACCCAAAACAUAAAACCCAUCUCACCCUCUCCUUCUUCCGGUGGCCACCUCCAUCCCAAAUUGCCGUCGGAACCACCCCUCUCACGAGUGACGGUCCGCAGCAAAUGGAAAGGUUGUCUGCCGCAUAGAUCUUCCCGCGCCACCGCAGCAACUGACGAAGGGUUAACUUCGGCGAUGUCCAUAUUAGUCGACUUGUGUUCAGGAAAGCUACGUGUGUGUAUUGGCAAACCCGUCAGCUUACAAGCAACGGGAGGCGAACAUUUACCCAGGUUCAGGGCCCUCGGAAGGUAAUACCCCUACGUCCUGCUUGUCUGAUCUGUAUUGAUGAGUCGAUUACAAAGUUGCCGUCACGAUGAAAAGCUCAGAUUGGAUCUGGCGAGUGCGUCUAGGCGGCUUCUGUGAGAGAUUGGAUGAUCUUGGCUCCCCCUCUUGGUCCUUUAUAUAUGCACGAAGUCAGCUUUUGGGUAGAGUCCAAGUUGAUUACAUCAUAGAGAUAUACUAUAUGUAAGCUUCCUUAUCUUGAGUCGCAAGAUUAGGCAUCUGGACUCCUGAAGUCGCAGUAGGCUUCUACAUGGGCCCGCAGCUGGGCCAUGGCGGGUAUCCUCAAGUCGAGUACGUGGUUAGUCAUAACCACGUCAACGACCCGUUCCGCCGUUGUUGUAAGACUACCGGUAGCUCCAAGCCCACCCCGCAGCCACCUUUUACGGGACGUGUUCGACGAUUUACCAAUGCCAUGAAUUCGGAUGACGAGGAGAUGCUCACCGUGCUGUUUGACGAGGAAGUCGCCGUUGCCGAUGAUGCGGCCUCUGACGGCGAGGAGGAGCAUCAGGUGAUCCUCUCUGCCCUCAUUGGCCUAAUUGCCCAGGAUGCACAGCCGCCGGGCUGGGGAGAUUCGAGGAAGGGCCGCCACAAGGGCAAGGAGGCAGAGGAUGGAGGGCUGUACGCCGACUACUUCGCCGAUGAUCCAUUGACGACGAUGUGGUCCUUCGGAGCCGUUUCAGGAUGUCCCGGAAUUUUUUGUUGAAGAUUGCCGAGUACCUCAAAGAGUUCGACGAUUACUUCAAAUUGAAGAGAGACGUCGUUUGCAUGCUUGGUUUCUCAACUAUUCAAAAAUUCACUAUAUCCCUCCGGUUGCUUGCAUAUGGAAUUCCUUCCGAUACACAGGAUGACUACCUCUGCAUGGCAGAGUACACGGACAUCGAUUGCAUAUACAAAUUUUGUAGGGUAAUUAUGGUAGUGUUUUGGGAUAUUCACUUGAGAUCACCCAAUGCAGAAGACACAGCUCGGAUCCUGGCACAUAACAAAAAAAGAGGAUUCCCAGGUAUGCUUGGAAGCAUCGACUGUAUGCAUUGGUCAUGGAGAAACUGUCCAUUUGCACACCAGCGCAUGUACAAAGGUCAUAAAGGAUCAUGUAGUGUGGUACUUGAGGCAGUGGCCGAUCAAGAUCUUUGGAUUUAGCUUUCUUUCUUCGGUAUGGCAGGAUCGAACAAUGACAUCAAUGUGUUGCAGUGCUUGAAUGUGCUCUCCAAGCUUGUUGAAGGCAUUGCUCCUCCGGUGAACUAUGAGAUAAAUGGACAUGUGUACACCAAGGGCCGGGAUACUACCUGACAAAUGGCAUCUAUCCAGAAUGGUCAACUUUUGUGAAGACAAUCUCAAAAGCACCUUCGGGUGGAGCAAGUUCUUGGUUUGCGAUGCAACAAGAAGCUUGUAGGAAGGAUGUUGAGCAGGCAUUGGGUGUGUUGCAGGCUCGAUUUCCAUUGCCGGUACCCUACUCUUACAUGGUCUAGAGAUCAGACGUGGGAGGUCAUGGUUGUCUGUGUGAUCUUUUAUAGCAUGAUCAUUGAAAACGGAAGGGAAUUUUCAGUGUUUGACACUGAACCUUAUGAACGGAUGGGUCCUCUAGCCAAUGUUGAUCAUCAUUUAUCGGCCGCCUUUGCUGCUUUCCUUGCCAAACGUCAGGAAAUUCGGGACACAAAUACUCAUUAGCAACUUUAAGAUGAUCUGGUGGUACAUUUGCAUGUAGUUCUAAUUUGUUUGCUUGAAUCUGUGAUUCAAAACUUAUUAAAUAAUGUGCUUGUUUAAGUUUUUUUAUUUGCAAAAUUAGGUAUAAGGGAGCCGUUUGGGGUGGGUGGGGGGGUGGGGGGCUGGAACUCUAGCUGGAGCCCUCCCAUACAGCCCAUAGCCGGAUGCCGCAUGGGAGGACGAGUGGACAUGCUCUAAGAUUACCGGCCCUCACGUGGUUGACACAAACGUCAUCAAGAGCAAUCAUUUUUUCUUCUUCUUUUGAAAAAGAGGACGUUCCUCCGGUCUCUGCAUCAAUCGAUGCACACAGCCAUAACAUUAUUGAAGUCACAAAUAGCGACAAAUCACAAUUAUUCAAACUCAAAAUUGGCAAUGAGUUAGGAAACGCUCCUAGCCUGUCGCCCUCGAGCCACAUCAGAACAAAGAGACCGUUUGCCCAACCUGUCUUCAAGCGCAGUCAUGUUGAUCCAAAAGCAUUCGAGUCGAAGUCUUCCCCUGUGACUCGAUCGAGACUGCGAUAUAUACAAUGGUCGUUGGCUUCUACUGCAGCCGGCAGUGUUAAACACUAGUGGACGCCUACGCCUGAAUAAUAAGCAUCUUUCUUUCUCUGAAGUCUGAUAGAAAGGACUCCUGCUUAUUUAUUGGCAUGCAUCCAUACGAACAUGCACCAGUGAUAGUAAGAAAAUGAAUAUUGUAGAAUAGCAUUCAAUUAUUAUUAGUUGUUACUUGACCUGGUCUGGUCUAGGCUUUUUCCACAGGAGCUGACAAAGUUCGGCAGCCAUGCAAAUUAACAAGGUCGAUCAGGAAUUCUCUGCACGUACGCCUAAUGUUCCAUCCACACCAGUAGAGAGCUAGUGGAGGGGUGAAGAAAAUAUGACGUUGUUCAAUGGAAGUCCUAUUUGUCGUUCUCACGAGUUUUUGACAUAUGGAUCAGGUGGACAAAAUGGACUAGUAUUGGACACGUAGUUUUGAUGAUGACCAUAUUUUCAAAUUUGGGAAAGAAAUGAAAAAGAUUGACACAUUUUGAACAAAUAAGAGUUCUCAUUGCGUUGCAUUUUUGUUAAUGAACCGUCAAAUGAACAAAUGAAGAGGAUUUGGAGAGUGCCUUGAAAAUGUCGCAAACACGGUACUUUCAAGAGGCGUAGCUAUGGUUUUUGUUUGGACCACCUGAUCUAAGAUGGCAGGCAUGCAGGAGGACGGUGACGAUCGAUACACAAACGUAUACACAAGUGGAGGGAAAUUGGGCAUAGAGAACGCAAUGUCGCGAGCGUCCUUUUAGCUGUAGAUGACAAGGGUAAUUUUUUGCCCUUAUGUCACCAAAUUUAUGCUGAACAAUUAUGUCAAAUAAAAUACACCAACCCAGCCAAAUUUAGUCUACCAGCAGUUUCAUAUAGUGAGGAAGAAAUUUCUCUCAACCUUGCAUGCGUGGACACCAGUAUAAUGAGUAGCAUGCAUGGCCAGCUAUACUCCCUCGGUGUAGGGUAUUUCCACACGAGUUGACGGAACCUCUGUUAAGAAGUACUCCCACAGGUAUAUAUAAUGAUAAAAAAUAUAUUGUGUAGGGUAUUUCCUCACGAGUUGACAGAACCUUCGUAUAGACUUAUUAUAUUGCAUGAUAAGUCUAUACAAAAAUCUAUUAAAAUCUCUAAUAAAUGAUAAAUAUAUUAUGAAAAUAUAUAUUAUGCCAGAUUUAAUAAAAUCAAUUUGGAGUUAUAGACGUCGACAGAUUUUUCUAUAAACUUGAGCAAAAUUUUAAAAAUUAACUUAGGAUAAAGCUAGGACUUAUGUUUGGUCAAAACAAAAGAGUAGAUUUCAUAAAAUCACGGGUUUUGAGGCAUUGUAGGCGCUCCCGAUGCUGGACUUGCCGGAGCUGGUGCUGGACCGCGUGCUGGAGGAGCUGGUGCUGGACCGCAUGCUGGAGGAGCUGUCCCCGGCAUCGCCGGCGACCAUGGCGUGCAUCUUUACGGGGCUCAGGGCAUGUAGGGGAUGAGGAAAAUAAAUAAAAACAAAUUGGUUUAAUGAAAAAGACGUGACGCAUGACAUACGGGACCCACAUGUAAGAAAAACCGUCAAAUGCGUUUAUACCGUUGUUUUGGAUGAUGUGAGACAAUUGGACACAAAACGUGUCGUUUUGCGAACAAAUUAGUAAAAAUGAGGGCUCGUUGAGAAGACUGCCUUAAAACCUGUGAUUUCGUGAAAUUUACAUAAAACAAAAUGGUGCUGCACUGCUGCCCACUUUUGUCCGAACCUAGGGGCCAGCCAGGGCCAAGUGGGGUUUCCGGUCGGUAUACACUGUCCACUUGUCACUUGAGAGCAAUCGUUGUGCGGCCUAUCGGGCGCGCACACACAAUACAGAGUCUGGUCAUCUGUGUUUGACACUUUGACCUGUCCAAGUCAGAUUCGGCCGAGCAUGCAUGUUGCAGGUGGGAAGAAUGUGGUCAUUUUGGUGACCAGGUCCCGUCUCGAAUUUGGUCCCGGCGAAACAUUUAUUAGGCUUAACGUCGGCGGCCUUCCUGAUGUUACAGCGCCGUUCGAUCAUAUAGGUUUUGGGGUUGUGAAUCGGUGGAUAGAUCGAGCAUUCGAGCCUGCGAGGUGCCAGGCUCCCUUACUCUGUACUAGUAUGACGCUCGAGACAAGGGACCGAUACCAAGAGUUUCUUACGGUACAUAUAUUAUAGUGUAAGGAAAACAUAAUACUUAAUGGGAGUGAUUUUAUUUAAUGGUGUCGAUUUUCUAGGAUCAAAAGUAUUACAGUUAAAAUACGCCAACAACAUGGUCUCGAACAAUACUAGGUGACAAGCUGCGAGCACAAAUGUUGUUCCUAUGUAUACUUGAUUAACAUCAACGGUAUGAUCAAAGAUUCCAUAAAUGUUUCACAUCAUGAUACUUAAUGUGUUUGACAACACUACUUGAUAUGUUGUUACUCGCGAAAACAACGAGUUCAUUAUUACAAUAUAAAUAAUUUUUCAGCAUACAACUUGCCAACUGGUCUCAUAACACGCUAAAAUUAACUUAAUUAGUUGACAUUGUUGAUCAUUUGGUCAGUGUUUGUUUUGAUAUUUUCCAAGGCACAACUCCUUUAGCGAGUUGAAAAUAUAACCUAACAUUGAUUUCUUGUUUGGCUUAAUCAUGAAUUUCUACCAAAUCCUACAAGGGUCUUUUUGGAUUGAAGGAUUUUCAUAAGAAUUUGUUAGGAUUCUAACCAAUAGGGAUUUUUCCUGUAGAGACUCUUAGGUUCAAAGGUAUACAUCCUCCAAAAUAUCAUAUAUUGAUUUUCUACAUUCUAACUUACAAGAAUUCCAGUCAAGACGUUAGACCUUUUGAAAAAAUGUCUUAUGAGUCUAUGACAAUUACGGCCUACACUAGUCUCUAUGCAAAAUUGCCUGCAUUUUUUUACUGUGCAACCAAACAACUUCUAUGCUUCAUGUGUUCUAAAUUCAUGUAGGAUUCUAAGUGCCAUCAGUGGCGGAGGGAGAGUGGGGGCCAGCAGGGGCCAAGGCCCGGGCCAUAUCUAGGAUUAGUUCUGCCUAAAUUUGUGUAUUCUAUAGUUAUGGCCCCCCUCAACAUUCACACACAAAAACAGCAGCCACAGAAAAUCUGCUCUUUGACUAAUUGACUUCUCAUAUUCCAAGCCAAAAGCAGCCUGCUGCCUGCACUCAUCGCUGGAACCGGCCGGCCUCCGGCCAUUCCUGCCCUCGAAUAGCUACAUGCGCCUGGGCUUCUCCUCUUCUUUCAAGAAUUUGUUUUUCUAUUUUUUGUCAUUUUUACUUGGCCCUCACUAUCCAAUUUUCCUGCCUCCGCUCCUGCGUGCCAUGACAUCCUUAUCUUUGUUUUCUAUUCAUGCAUUUUACGAUUCCUGUGAUUAAAAAGGAGCUAAACAUUGUUUGAGCUAAGAAACUUCAAUUUGUCGUCUUCCAUAGCGUGCGGGCCAUUUGGAUGAAUUUUCAGUUACAUCACGUCUCAGGUUACACCGGAUGUUUGCAGACUCGUAGAGGUGCAAAUGUCAAGCGACCUCUGACCCUACUAAUUUCAACCAAAUGAAGUAAAAAUUUAAAAUCACAUCUCUUUUUAAAAAACUAUAGUAGAUUUGUUUGAACUAAAGAGAGUUGCAUGGUAUCUUCUUCGGUUCAUCUUUUUGCACCUGUACUGAGUCGGCAGUUAUUGUAGUAACUGUGCCGUGAAGGUUAGAGCAUGCCAGGGCCCAGGAGGGUACCAUGCGCAGCUGUUUUGAGCCAUCAAACAAUGCGUACCUGUCCUGGAUCAAACACGCGCGACAGGCGGUAGGAGUCAAAAGGCCUUCUCUGGUGGUGCUGCACUACACCGCGCAUGCUUGGUUUCUCUUCGUGUUUUCGAUCCCAACAUCUAUAUCACGUAUUCACGUCCAUCUUCUUAUAUUAGUUUAAUAGAGGAUCAGGAAUGGUGGUGCGUCGGAUUGCAACUCCACGAUGUUUACAAUCCAACAUUGUUCUGUAUCCAACAAACUAGACUCGAAUUGGUGUGCCUAUAGGUUUAAAAAUACAUUUGCAAGAAGAUAGUUGUAUCCAUUACCCAAGUGGACAAAUGGUGUGGCUAUACAACGGCCGAUGUAACGCCAACACUAGUGCUCAACAAGAUAUUUUUCUGAACGAACAUAAGCACCUGCCUUCCAUGAACAAAUAAAAUAAGAAAUAUAGAGUACAUGGCAUGGCCGUGGAGGUAUUUGCUAGUGGUUGUAAGUUCACAUGCCUAGCUAGAUUUAUCCAACACGUGCGAGUUGGCAAUGCCUUUUGGAAAGUAGGAUGAACAAAUCAAAUAAAGGAUAUAUUGGGCAGGAUAGGCAUUAUAUGUGUUUUAUCCACAUGAUCAUGCAUUGCAUGUCUGUCGUUGGUUUUGUGCCGACCGAGCACUACUGCGUGCAAGUUGGGCAUAUGUAGAGGACCAGGAGUGAUGUUUCUGCAGUCUCUCUCUGAUAUGGAGCAUGGCUGAAAGAUCCGUAUAUACUACGCGUUGUACAUUGUGUCAAAUCCCAAAAUGAAAUGGACAGUCUUCGAUGUAACAACUGGCGGGGUGACCCGUGCAAUUUCAGCAUCUAGUUUUUUUUAAUGUAUAGACAUCAUUGCGACUCGGACCUGUUCUGAAAAAAUCGAGACAUUUCAAAUUAUUUGUUGGUACGAACAAAGCAAGAGAAACCUUCUGAAAGAAUUUACCCGCACAUAUGUAUGCGCACUAUAUUUGUUACAUCUUGUUAUUCAUGUUGUUGCAUAUUUAUAUUAAGCAAGUUUGUAGGAACCCUAGGAGCUAGCCAAAUUACAUAAAAAAAAUACUUAGUAUUGGAUUAAGCUGGACAUAGACUUCUCCUGUGGGCAAGUAGUGCAAUUACAAUAUAAUCAAUCGCUUGAUUUUCUCAAUUUUUAACUUCGUAUACAGAGUUCUAUUGUUAAAACCAACUUCUAACUUUUUUUUAAUAAGAUAAAGUUUGUGAGACCGAAAUUUGCGUGUCUUAAAAAAACAUGUGAUUGAAGCUUCUUGCUACUCUAUAUUUUCAAUCAAAUGUAAUACGGAGUAGAUUGUUUCACUAUAAUAUGCUUUUAGUUCAGAUAAACAUACUGCAUCUUCGAUUCUGAAUCCACUUACCAUAAAAAUAACUAUCUUUGAAUAGACCAUGCAGCGUGAGUAUAUAUGAUAGAUUUCCUGAAUUCCGAUUGGCAUCCUCCUGAUACACGUUGCAAGCUCUUUGUAAGUUCCCUUAAGAGCAAAGUUCAUAUUAAACCUUGACUUAGUACUAGAGCAAGUCUGAAAUCAACCAUGACUUUCUAAUCCCUGAAAUCAGCACCCUGUCCUAGCUUGUUAAUCCUGUCUAUUCUCAACCUUCAGGAAUCAAACCCCGUUUGGGAGAACAGGAUCCCUGACAUAACGGUUAAAAUUUGGAAAUUAUUGACUAAUUCAGUUCAGCUUAUUGCUAAAAUUUGACGCCUAUAUUUAUACUAAGUUAUAUAAUGUCAGAUAUAAUAUUAUUUACAAUUUUGCAUUCAUGCAGGGAAUUUGAUCAUAUGUCUAGUUACUUGGAAAAUAAAAAUAAUUAUAUGUCAUAUGAUAUAUAGUCUGUUUUUGAUCAUUUGUCUCAUUUUAUUUGGACACCUGAUGAUUUACCCUUUUCUACUUUUAACUUGAAUUUUUAUUUUUCGAGCACAUGUGAAAUGACACAACACCCAUCCGCUUGCGUAUGUGCAUAGCUGUAUGGACGCCUAUGUGGUUGCGUGUGCGCGGCGUUGAAGAAAAUGAAUGCAUCUUAAUUUUUUGUUUUAAUAUAUGUCUACUAAAAUUGACCCAAUCUAAGUUAUUUUGUAGUUCAAUGUGUUUUUGGAUAAAAAUCCCGAGAUUUGUCUAUCUUGUCAGCAAUCCCGCUCACCCAAACAAGAUUUGGUUCCCAAAGGUCGGGAUCGAACAGGAUUAUUAAGGACAGGGUGCUGAUUUCCGGGAUUGAGACGUCAGGGUUUAUUUUAGACCUUGUCUACACGUUUAAGGUUUACAAUGUACUUUGCUCUUCCCUUAAUUAUGGUUGUAGGUGUGUGCGUAUGCAACGUGACAAUUGUUUUUUUACGUACAUGAGAAUUAUUGUACCACCUCCAAAUCUUGUAAAUCUGAACCGUUUAAUUUACGGUCAACUGUGUAUAUAUUUUAAACCUAAUAUGAGUGGAUGAAUGUGGUGACUUCUCGUUCUUCUGUUUUAACAAUAUGAUAGCUGAUCCAUAUUACUUGUCGAAAUAUUACAUGUAUCUAGACGCUUUUUAAACAUAGAUAUAUCCCUAUUUGGGCAAAUUUGAGACAAAUAAUAUGGGUCAGAGGGAGUAACUUUUUUUCUAAAUGUAAGACGUUUCAAUAAAUUAUAUAACCUAUCAAAACGUCUAUAUAUACAUUUAGUAACAAAGGUAGUAUAUGGGAGUAGAUAGUAAAGAAACGAGGUGGGUGAUUAUGCCCAAAAAAAGACGCCAUAGAAGAUUUGAAUAUCUGUGUACAUAAUUAGUGUAAGGUUUUCUUUCCAUUUUAUGUUUAAGCUUGUGUACAUAACUAUAACCUUACUCUAUCUUAGUCAAUAUAAAAUAGCACUACUAUAUUUUGUUAAAAGUCAAUCAGAAAAUAUAUAAAAAAAUAAAAAAGAUAUAUAAAUCGGGAGCAGUUUUUUGCAACUCGGUUGAAUCGCACUCUAAAUCUGAGCCAUACGAUUUAAUUUAGGGAUUGUGCCCAAAAUUUUCUAUUCCCAAAUACACUAAUAUGAUGGUCCACCUAUCGAAUGAACCUGACCGUUUUCUUUGGAAGCUUACUUCCUCACGGGUUUUUUCCUGACUUUAUGUAUGGUCAGACGGUUUUUAGAGGACUCUGAAAGUUAAAGAUUCCAACAAAAGUUAAGAUAUUUAUGUGGUUUUAGACCAUCAAGUCCUUCUUACUAAAGAUAAUCUUGUCAGGUGGAAUUGAGAGGGGAGUGUGAAGUGUUGUUUUUGCGCGUGACUCUUAUGAGAUUAUACAACAUAUUUUUCUCUCUUGUCCUUUUACUCGCACUGUUUGGCUUAUCAUUUUUAUCUCUUUUUAUUUGCCUCAACCGACUACGAUUAUUUAUUUAUUUGGGAAUUGGCUUAUUGGGGUUCAUAAACAUAUUAAGAUUAUAUGCAUAGACUUGUUAUGCUUGAUUUAAUACGCUGGCUCCUUUUUAAUCCACGAUCGCUGAUCAAUGAAUUGUAUGACCUUAUCAACAAUGCAAUAAAGAUGGUUAUGUGCAUCGAUUGAUGCAGAAGUCAGAGAUCCUUUCCCUUUUCAAAAAAGAAAUAUACUGAAUACAUGGAAGAAUACAAAUGUGCUGGACCCACGUCCCGUCGCCUCUUUCCUCUACUCUCGAUCUCUCCCUGCCAUCUUGUCGCCUCUCUCUCUCUGCCAUCCCGACUGCGCCCCCCACCAGACGAAUACAGAAAAUACCAUUUCCGGACGUGUUCCACGGAAAACGUCGAUUUCAUUUCCCACUUGGUAAACUUUUGUUUGUAAAGUUUCAUUUUAGUUUUCGUCUUCUCACCAUUUCCGUUAUUCCACAGAACGGAGUAAAUGUUUUCGCUAAGUUUGAAAUCCUAGACAAGGUACCCUGUGUUGUCCCCGGUUCUUUGUUUUUUGGUUUUGCCUCGUCCAAUAUGAAGAAAUUGUACUAACUAUCCAGUACUGCCUCUCUUCCUAAAUCUUACAUACUAGUCGUCGAACUGUCCACGAAGACAACCUUUUCAAAUUUUGACCAAAUUUAUAGAAAAAUAUAUCAACAACUAAUAUAUUAAAUAAUUAUAUUAUUAUUUUUUCGAAAGGGUGAUGAAAAUAUAUAUCAUGACAGAUAUAAUAAAACUAAUUUAGAAUCGUGUGAACAAUUUUUCUUAUAAACUUAAUCAAAGUAUAAUAACUUUGACUUAUCUAUUACAUUCAGAAACGGAGGGUAUGUCUUGCCGUAAAAAAAACUGUUAGCAUGUGUGACAUCGUACGUGGGACCCACAGUGAAGCGCCUCGACCAAGAAUUUGUUGGCUGCUAUAAAUUCACGUCCACACUCGGACUCAUCCACACUCCUCAGCUCAUCUCUGCCCCUGUUACACUGUACACAACAGCAUGGCGCUUACUUGCCUCCUCAUCGUCCUCCUCUGCGUCUCACUGUCGCUCCUCUUCGUCAACCAUGCAGGUAAUCGGGGUUGAUGUAUAAAUUAAGGCGGCUGUUUUGGAAAAUACUACGACCGGCCGUUUAUUUUAUUUUAUACUAACUGAGAAAAGCUAAAAUAUCUUAUAUUUAGAAACUUAGAGAAUUCCUACUCCGUAGCCAUGCACGAUAAUUAAACGGCUACGCAUCUGAUUAUUUCUGGAUUUGUAUUGCAAGUUGGUCGUCCAUAGACGUUGAGUGAAUGUGUGCGCGUGGUGGUGUGCGUGCCUCUACGAUGUUUCUAUAAAAAAUAAUACUAGACACUAGAUCGAUAAGGUAAUUAAUCAUAUUACCGACCCAAGAAGGGUCUUUACUUUGUACCCUCUCCUCCCACAAAAUAUAAGUCAGAUUAUUACAAAAGUGGUCAAGAUUUUAGAACUUUCAUCACUAUGCGGGAAGCUAUAUGCAUGGAUUGAAAUGUAAGAAUAAAAUCGUUGUAUUUGUCUUGCAGAAUAGUUUCUGUCGUAUGUUCUUUUACAUAUUAAUUCAAAAUCAUGCAUUAGAGAUGUUGAAAAUUAAGCGCUAGUUAGCAAGGAGGUAACAGGUGAUUUUGGAUCCAUAUGUUGAGUUUGAGUUUGGUUUGAAGCCCAAGCGCGUAGGCUGGUCGAUGUUGGUAAUGACUAGUAGGUUGAUUGGACUUUUUCUUUUUCAAAAAUAAGGAAAUCUCUCGGCCUCUGCAUCGAUCGAUACACACAACCAUUAUAUUAUUAAAAUAUCAAGCAAUCAACGUGCAAGUCUCAAAUAAGCUUAAAAAUAAAAACAAACGAACAAGAGAAACACCACACGCCCUCAAGUUAAAGGUCAGCACACCACCCAAAUUGGCCGAAGAACCCCUGUGCUACCAUCUACAAACGGUGGCACCCAGAGUCCAUACAUCCAUGUCCCUUCGUCGGAAGCAGUACGGAGCCAAUGUGACGCCCGGAAAACAACCUGCAAAAAAUUAGAAUUUUUUUCUGUUUAUAUAGCUAACAUACAAAAAAAUAAAAGUUGAUAUGAUGAGCUAGAUCAUUGUUUGUACCGAUGUUAGGUCAAUCCGCAAGGUUACAAGUUGUAUCGUGAGGCAGGGCGGACCUCGGAAGACAAUCACUUAAUGUCCAUCUUUUCAAAAAAAAAAUAAUGUCCAUCAUUAGAAGAAGUGUUGUCCAGUGCACCCUCUUGCAUGAACAUGGGUGCCGAUUACUUGGAUGGGAUGUUAAUUACAUCAGCAUGUAGAAAUUAACUUCAAACUCAGUGCUCGUUGAGACAAUCUGUUGAAACAUUUUAUAAAUUUGUUUGAACAAACGUGUGUUUGUGUGAAUAUUCACUUUGAUAUAAAUGAACAUUCAAUUUGAUAUACUUGGACAUUUUCCUAGGAGAGUAUUUAAGGUUAACAAGUUUGAAUCAUGAAACUAUUUUUACAAUUUGUGAGAAUCACCAGUACAAAAUUAUACUACAUUUGAAAUAGAUAAAUAUUUUGUCUGGCAUAUAUGGGCAUUUCAUGCAGACGUACAAAGAAUAUCUGAAAUUGCAGAGAACAUUCCAAAAAUAUAUAUUACUCUUGUAGGCCCUAGCGUGCUGCGGAAGUUAUGCUAAUUUCAAGAAUCAGAAGUGAUCCACACAUUUGCGAAAUUAUGAUAUUUUCAUUGAUGAGUCUGUCGAUCCGUAGCAAUGGACGGGCACUGGUGUCGAAAACGAAAUCUACCCAAAUAAUAAAAGGAGGAACGCUUCCUUCGUCGUCGUCGUCGUCGUCCGUCCGUGAAUUUUGCAAUUUGCCCCUUCAAGUUUUUGUUAAUUCAACCCGCCGUCCAAAUAAAGGACGGAACUGGGUUUGUUUUCCAAGGUUUCGGCUAAACUGCAAUUUUGCAUCUCCUUCCACGGAUCUCUCCCCAACUCAUCCCCGAGUCCCCGACCCGCAUCUCGCCCUGCCUCCUGACGGGUUGGGACCCAAGGCGCUGUCCCGUCAUGGCACGGAUCUGGGUUUUUCUGCAAGUUUACCCCCCCCCCCUCCCCGCGCUCCCUCUCCAUCUACCGGCCCAAUAGCUGCAGCGGCGCUCUGGUUGCCACGAUGCUGCUCCACCUUCUACGGCCGAGCGCUCGCCUCCGCCCCGACACCGCGCAGCCGCCGGCCGUCCCCUCAUCCACACCGACCUCCUGCGCUUCACCGCCGCCGUUCACCCACCGCCCCUGAAGCUAGAGCGCCACACAUGGCCUCCUCCACCUCCGUCUCGCCUGCCGCUGCCGCCUUCUCCGGCAACAACCGAUGCCUCCUCCUUCCAUGUUCACUGCGUCACCUCCCUCGCAGCCGCUCGUGCCCGCGCUCAAGCUCCCGCAUCCGCUUCGCUGCCUGCCACGCCAAUACCCUCCUCUCAUCACCCGGGGCCAGGUGCCAUCCGCUACCGCGGCGUGGUCGUCUGCCUCCUCCGCUAGCGGGUUCUCUGUAUAGCUCCUCACGCACGGGCUGCCGCCGGGCAAGGUCGCCAUCCUGGAGCGCCCAGUGGCUAGCUCCGGUGGAGGCAAGGACCGGCCUCUGCACCCUUUGGACAAGGUGGCCAUCCUGCAGCGCCCCGUGCCUAGCUCCGAUGUGGGGGGGGGGGGGGGCGCAAGGACCGGCCUUUGCACCCUUUGAAGAAAUCAAUGAUAAGUCGGUAAUACACUCAGUGACUCAGAAUUCUCACGUUCAGGAAUAUGAAAAUUAUGGAUUCUAUGACAAAAGCAAUUGUUCCGUUAAAUUCGAUUGAAUGUCAAAUUAUCUUAUUGUCAUUUCAAUGAACAUGAAUUUUUGUGUGCAUAUGUUUAAGAGGCCGUGACAAUGCACGGUCACCGUACUAGUUAAGGAAUUAAGACGCCACGGCAACACGGGCAUUGUACUAAUUGACACAUAAUCUUUGGUGUGCAUUAUUUGCAGAGGCGGGAGAGGUUGGGGUGAGCUACGGAAGGAUCGGGAACAACUUGAUGGACCCAGCGUCGGUGGUCCAGCUUCUGAACCAGAACGGGAUCACGUCGAUCAGGGUGUACGACACCGACGAGGCGGUCCUGAACUCGAUGGCGAACACCGGAAUCAAGAUCCUGGUGGGUCUGCCCAACGAGCUGGUAGCCUCUGCGGCGGACGACCCUUCGUACGCGCUCCGGUGGGUGCAAGACAACGUGAAGCGGCACUACCCCGACGCGAAGAUCAAUGGCGUGACCGUCGGGAACGAGGUGUUCAACCAGGCAAGCCAACUCACCUCGAAGCUGGUCCCGGCCAUGAAGAACGUCCAGGCGGCUCUCGCCAGGCUAGGCCUGGCGGACGCCAUCAAGGUGACCACGCCGAUCGCGUUGAACGCGCUCAAGCAAUCGUCGCCACCGUCGCAGGGCGCGUUCCGGGACGACAUCGCGCAGUCGGUGAUGAGCCCCAUGCUCGACUUCCUGGACCAGACGGGUUCUUACCUCAUGGUCAAUAUCUACCCGUAUUACACGUACAAGGAUCAGCAAGGCGAUUUCUCCCUCGCCUACGCGACGUCGGGGCAGAACGACGGCGUGCUCGACUCUGGGACGGGAGUCAGGUACUACAGCCUGUUUGACGCGCAGCUAGCCGCCGUGCACUAUGCGAACCGCAGGCGCGGCCACCCAAGGGUGCACGUGGUGGUUGGGGAGACGGGGUGGUGCUCCUACUGCAACAACGCCGUGGCUUCCAAGGAGAACGCCGCAAGCUACGUGAAUAACGUCAUCCGGAGCACGCACUCCUCCUCCGGCGGCAGCGCCGGCACCAUGGGCAGCAACAGGACGCUUGCCGUGGGUGCUGCUGGGGCAGGCACAAACGGUGACUUCUCCGUGUACAUCUUCGCCCUUUUCAACGAGAACCAGAAGCCCGCCGACGAGCAGAACUUCGGCCUGUUCUACCCGAACGGGCAAGCGGUGUACCAGGUCGACUUCAGGGGUGGCGGCGGCGGCGGAGGAGGAGGAGGGACGGCAAGCUGGUGCGUGGCGAGGAGUGAUGUCGGCGACGCGCGGCUGCAGGCGGCGCUGGACUACGCGUGCGGCCACGGGGCGGACUGCAGCGCUAUCCAGCCCGGGAAAGCGUGCUACGAGCCCAACACCAAGGCCGCGCACGCGUCCUACGCCUUCAACGACUACUACCAGAGCAAGGGCCGGGCCAGCGGGACGUGCGACUUCGCCGGCGCCGCCUCCGUCGUGUACCAGCAGCCAUCAGGCACCUGUGACCCGAAGGCGGCGAGCUGGUGCGUGGCGAAUGCGGCCGUAGGGGACGCGCGGCUCCAGGCGGCGCUCGACUACGCGUGCGGCCACGGCGCGGACUGCGGCGCCAUCCAGCCGGGGGCGCAGUGCUUCGACCCAAACACCAAGGUCGCGCACGCGUCCUACGCUAUGAAUGACUAUUACCAGCGCAACGGCCGUACUGCCAGGUCCUGCGAUUUCGGUGGCGCCGGCUCCGUCGUCCACCAGGCACCAAGUGAGUUCUUUUCAUAUCCUAUGCCUAGAAACGAGGCAGUUAAGCUUCUCCAAUUUUGACUGUAAAUCUUUAAUGUCACCCAAAAAACAGUGCUCCCUUUGAUUUGUACUCUGGUUUAAUAUUAGUAUUAGUCUAUUUUGGCAAUUAAUCUAAUGUUUGUUCAAAUGUUUGCAGACACAGGUAACUGCGUCCUCCCAUCAAGGGCCUGAACUGAAGAAAGGCAGCGAGGACUAAAAGCCUUGACUGUUAGCUUGGCAUAUGAGAUGAUAAUAAACUCUGCACUAUAGCUACUUUCGAACAAGUCUAGUUUUCUGCUAUACAACUAGGCAAAUAAACCCCAUGUACUUGCCAAUCCGCCGGUAGCCCGGUGCAUGCUAAUCUAUACUUAAAUACUUAAAAUGCCAGCAUUCCCCGAUUAAAAAAAGGGUCAAUACCAUCAUGAGUACUGUACUACUUUGUGCAACUGAUCAGCUCAGGACGGUUUAUGCACGAUCACCUGCCUUAAUUAAGGUCGAUGUCGACGGCACAACGGGUCAUCAUUUUCUUUUUUGGCGCGAACACGGGUCACCGCAAAUUUUCAGUGACAAAAAAAAUUCAAAUAUAUUUUGAGAGUAUUUUUGUCCCUCAAUUAGCAGUAAAGUUUAGAAAUAUAGAAAUAGUGUUUGAACUAAAUCGUAUAUAUUUGGUCCCUCAAUUUGCAAAGUAGACACUUUUGGUCCCUCUUCAGAAUGUGAACGGUUUUGACUCCACAUGGCAUGAUUUUUCCCAUAAUUGUCCAUGUUAGAUACCAUGAUAGCGUCCGUUCCUCCUACAAAUGGUCGUUGAACUUAAAAUCGUACACAUUUGGUCCAUCAACUAUGCAUCAUGGCAUCCAACAUGAAUAACUUUAAGGGGGAAAACCAGUCCAUGUGGAGCCAAAACCAUUCGAAUCCGGAAGAGGGCCUAAGAGUAUCCGAUUUUGCCGAUUGACGGAUCAAAUGAAUACGAUUUCGAGUUGAGUGACCAUUUCUAAACUUUGCUAUCAAUUGAAGGACCAAAAUUAUACUUAUUUUCUCCCAGGUAAAUAACAUGGGGCAACCACGUGUAAAAAUCAAAAAGUUGUCUGAAAGGGCCAUAUAUAGAGGCAGUGGGAAAAAUCUUAUAGACCAGUCGUCGAAUUGCCCAUAAAGACAACAUAUGAACACUUAUUUUGGAGCAAAUCAAACACAAACGGAUUUAGCCCGAACUUACAGCUUUUUAUCUGAACAUCACACCGACUCAAAAGUUACCUAGGAUACAGCUCAGUAAUUGUAACCCCAUUCACAGACACGUCCAUUCCCAAUAAGAAAUCUGAUCGGUCAGACGGCACAGAAGCUAAAGCUGAUUCUCUCCCGAAGAAGAACGCGGGCUGUGCUGGUGCCUGAAUCUCCAUGUUAUCUCUGGUUAACAUGAAAAUGACGGAUGAUAUAGAAGGCCUGUCGUUGGCGUCCGAUUGAACGCACAUCAACCCGAUAUGGAUGCAUCGUAGCGCCUGGUUUCGAGCGUUUUCAUGGAGUGAUUGGUCUAGCAUUUGAGAUAUGGUCCCUUUUGUCCAGCAAUUCCACACCUAUUCAUAAGGACAGCAUUUUCAGAUAUGAUGAUACAUUCAUACGAAACUUCCAAUGUAGAUAUGUAAUUAAAGUAAAUAAAAUCAGCACUUACAUCACUAAGGAGAUUCACGGCAUCACUAUCAUCAGAACUGGAAUUCCUUCUCUUAGUUACAAUUUCAAGGACCAACACACCAAAGCUGAAAAUAUCGAUCUUGGGUGACACGAGUCCAUGUAUCGCGUACUCCGGUGCCAUAUAACCACUGCAGAGGAUGAGCAGUUAGGCUACGAAAGAUGCUCGAUCAAUAUCUGCGAGAUGUGAAUGUUUGAUUAAGGUAGGUAUGAGCUUACAGUGUUCCAACAGCUCUAGCUGUCCUAGUAUUAGUAUGACCUUCUCCUAGCAGCCUCGCCAAUCCAAAGUCUGCGAUUUUUGGAUCCAUGUCAUCAUCGAUAAGAAUGUUGUUAGCUUUCAGGUCCCGGUGGAUGAUCCUCAUGCUUGAGUCCUCGUGAAGAUACAAUAUACCCUUGGCAAUUCCAAGAAUGAUGUUGUAUUGUUGCUCCCAGUUUAGUGUAUUCCCCUCAUUAGUAUCUAUUGGCGAAACACUGGAUUCAUAUUAGCUGUUGCAAAUUAAACGCAGAACAAUCAUAAUAACUCACCUACCGGUCAAAAAAAGAUGUUAACUGUACCUACAGUAUCUGCUGCAGUGACUUAUUUGCCGGAAAUGCUACAGUGGGAACUUAUUGUCUGUGGUUCCACGCUAGGUGUGAUACUCCGGUCACUAAAAAUGAUACUCCGUUGUACAGCUAUGCAUUACUCAUUCUAUUCUUACCUGUAUUUUCCUUGAGAAAUUUACGGUACCCUAGUACUCCAUGGAGAGCCAUGGGAGUACCGAUCAAAUCUAACCCUUCAUUUAAAAGAGUAAAUUAGACUUUUUCUGCUAACAAGGUAAUCUCAACUUCCCAUCUAUAACUCCCUGUGGCCCUUCGUCUUGAUCCAACACACACGCACCGACUGGUUCAUCCCGAUCGAACUGGCCGCGAGACGCACCGCUGCCUCCCCUGCAUGCCGCCUCCUUUGCAGGGCACAUUUAGGCUUUGAAUUGGGUGUAAUCCGGCAUCGUUAUGAUCACCAAAUUGACACUGCUGCCAAUUGGCCACCGUGCUCCGCUCUCCUCUCCUCUUCCAGGAGUUUUAUAGCAUGCGUUCCAUGGAACCUUCAUGUCCAUGUGAUUUUUCUUUGAACUAAUUGGGAUGUAUUUACUCUAAGAACAACAGAAACAAAGACCUGAUCGAUCUUUCUCUAGCACUACAUGCGGGCAUCAGUUUCAAGAUUCUUUGAAUCCCUGAUUAGGGAUUACUAACCCAACUCACUCCUGUUCAUGGUGAUCCUUCGGACUCACCAAUUUCGUUCUCACGACUCUCCUCGGGCCAGGACACUCUGGUCGGCGGUCGCCAUCGAUCCCUUUGCAAGAGAUCUUUUUUGCGGGAAUCCUCCGAUUGGAUAUAUAUAUUUCUAUUUUAAUCACAGGUGACGUAUAAUUUUCCUCCUAAGUCUUAAUUUCUUGAUUACGAUUUUACCCCUGAACUCAUGGUACUCCAUAAUUUUUAGAGAUGUUACUCCUAUCUGAUUUUGUUGGAGUACCACUUGAUAUCAGCCAUUAGAUUGAAACAAACGGAUGGCUUUUAUUUAUUUCGGGGUACUGUAAAAGAGCUCUUUUCCUUUUGCGGCAUACUUUGUAUGGAUGGUGUUUCUCAUGACAAGCAUCAAUUAUCGCUGAAUCCAUAAUUAAAAAAUGUUUUGAUGCAUACCAAAUAAAAGAGUCAAAUAGACUUCAGAAACACAAUAGAGAAAUGCCACAAUUUGCAGUGACCACUGACCAGAGAAUUUUGCAUGUGCAAGUUUGUAGCUAAAGAUGUUUUUUUUUAGAAAAUGUGUAGCUAAAGAUGUGAGUGGAGUAGAAAAAUACCGAAUAUAAAGUUGUCAAGGCUCCCAUUCUUGAUAUACUCAUAAACGAGUAGCGUAUCAUCCCUAUGCGAGCAAAACCCCUGCAAUCGAACAAGGUUCUUGUGCUGCAGCUCUGCCAAUAGUAGCACCUCGUUGUGUAGCUGUUGCAAACCAUGCCCAGUUCUUCCCAGCAGUUUCUUCACUGCUAUUUCUUGACCAUCAGGCAGUAUCCCCUGAAAUGGAAUCAUUUUCAGACAACAUACUCCCUCCAUUUCACAAAGGUUGGCGUAUUUUGUUUCGUUAAGACAAAACUUUGACCAAUAAAAACUCUAUUGAUAUGUAUUUUUUCAUACAUAAAAUAUAUAUCAAUGGAUUCGUCUUUAAAAGUUCUUACUAAUGAUCAUGGUUUUGUAUCAUAUAACUUACAUAUUAAUAGAGUGAUUCUUGGUCAAAGACUUAUCUUAACGAAACAAAAUACUCCAACAUUCGUGAAAUGAAGAGAGUAUGAUGCAUUACCCUUUUCUAUCCUUGAAUUCUUGGCUGUUUACUUACCUUGUAUACAAUACCAAAACCACCUUCUCCGAGCUUGUUGUUCUGUGAGAAGUUUUCAGUUGCCUCUUGCAGUGCAAGCAAAUCAAAGAUCGUGCAUUGUGCUCUUGCAAUUUUCUUCAGUGCUGGUAUCGUACGACAAGAUUGCCGUCAGUAAAUGACAAAAUUCAAGCUCUUGGAUAGAUAACAUAUUAGAUGCUACUCACGGUGGUCGUCCUCGGUAGUUUUAGUCCUUCUCUUGAACCGGACGAAAGCGAAAAUGGACCACAGAACCAAUAUCAAGACGACGGAACAAGCGAUGCCUGCUGAGAGUCCUGCUGCACUGGUUUUGUUCCCUGAAACAGCAUACACCAAGCGAGAACUUUAAGUAGUACUGUAAUUUCUUAACACUAUUAACUAAACAAAAAAAUAAAAUUCUUCAGACAAAAAGAAGAAUUGAGAGAGUGUGGGUACUGCUACCUGCUCCUCCGGAAUCUGGAGUUGCAGAUGGGGAUGGGGGCAUGACUGCCGGCGCUGGUGGUGCUGGAAGCAGCAGCAUCGCCGGGCCGUCGAAGAACGGCUGCACGCUAUACCUCAGGUUGCACCACGUCUCAAGCCCUAUGAUCCACCGGCGCUUGAUGCUGAGAAAGGGUUUUUGGUUCUGGAGGUUAGUCCCGAGGCAGCCCUGGCACUGCGCAGGCGUCAUGUCCGGGAGGCACUGGGCGAGCGCGUAAAUCUUGGGGUCGAACUCCACCUCGGCCGUGGCGAAGUACUUCUUGCUGCCGGUCGAGUUAUUGCCCUGCGCGGCCAACGCGCGGUCGACGACGGCGGUGAGCACGGCCGUGGCGGCGGCACUGAACCAGGCACUCGGGACCGUCGACACGUUCCCAGGAGCCUGGGAGAUUCGAAUACUUAUCCAAGUUUCCAAAUCCAUUGUUUGUUGUAAAUUUCAUUAGUUUGGAUUACAGAUACUAUAUAGGUACGCAUUUAAAACUAUGAAGUUUUGGAAGUGAAAUUGGGUGGCGGCGCGGCGUACUUGAGCUCCCUGACCUGCCACUGGUCCGCUCUGAGGAAGUCGAGGAACUGCUGGCCGCUGGAGAAGCGGACGACGCAGCUGUCCUCGUACAUGGUGACGCCGGUGUUGUUGGGGCAGUGGUCCGGCGCGCCCGCGGCACGGAACGCGGCCGACACGCAGGCGGCGCAGGCGGAGCCGUUCACGUCGCCGCGGCAGAGCGCCAUCGCGUAGGCGCGGCCGGGCUGCGUGCCGGCCGCCGCGGUGGCGAACCCCGUGGGCGCGGAGGAGGCGUUCCCCGGGAGCGCCCCCGCGACGAGGCCGAGGUUGGCUGGGAAAGUGCUGUUGGGCCCGUAGGUGCCGGCGCCAUCGCAGGUGAAGUCCUCGAACGAUCUAGCCCGCGGCAGCAAGAGGAGUAGCAGGACGGCAGCGAGGGGCCCGGCGAGCAUCGCUGCUGGCGCGGGGGCGCGGGGCACUUCGGGGAAAUCGUCCUUUUUUCUUUGGCCUGAGCCUGAGCCUGACCCCUGCGACAACGGCGAUAGCAGGCAGAUACGACGCAUCGCGUCACUUCCAUUUUUCCACGGGCGCGCGCAAGUGGUAUACUGCAUUCCUGCUUGAUUUGUUGAGUCAAAGUUGAUUGGCCGCCUGCGAAACCGGCUGCCAGUUUCGCGGUGUCACCAUCGAACCCGUUGUUACUCAUCACGAAUUCACGAUGUUUUUUCACAAAGGGGCUUUCUGCUAAAUAAUUCGUGCCACGGCGGGCCGGAAAAAGAAAGAUCGUGUCUUUUUGCUACGGACCAUGCUAGUCGCUUAUUCCACCCUGCGUGGAAAAAGACACCAACUUGCGUUUGCUUAUUGCGGCAAUGCCGUGCCGGACAGGUCGUUGGCUCGUUGCCAUUCGGUCGCCUACCUCCACUUGAUUAUAUUCCGGUUAGUACAGUUUUGAUGUGUGUAUUUUUUUGAUGCAGAGGUUGAGGGUUUCAACCUCUUUUUCGGAAAAAAAAACCGCUUAAUACAAUGGUUUACUGCGCUAGCUAGCUGCACGCUUGACUAGGUGACUGAUGGAGUGUUGUAAGUUUUCAUUAACAAACCCAUGUACAGUAGUUAAAAAGGGAUGUGGAAGAGGGAGGGAAAAAAUAGUCUUCUCUUAACCACGAGAUAAUCACUUAACACUUAAGAUAAUAUGUUUUUCUCAAUUGUAUUGUACCUGAUGCAAUCUCUUAAGUCACUUUUUUCGUUCAAAUUUAAUCUAUUCAUAAUUUUAGAGGCAUCUAAGCAUUAAUUGAUAGACAUAAUAUUAAGAGAUGUCUCAUUGUACAACAUUUUUUCAUUGUUUUCUCUAAAUGACGUGAAAAAUGAGAAGAAAACAUUAUCAACCACUCGAAUGCGCGACAACGUAUUUUCUUCCACUUCGAUGAAAGUUGUGCCUAUCAGGCUAGAUUGUCCUGACAUUUUAAGACUUGGCCUCCAAGUGUGCGUAGUAUGUAUGGAUGCGCCCUUUCACAAUGGCAAUUGCACCAAGAGGUCCAAUUCGUAUCCUCUGAGACGUCUCCAUCUUAUAUACAUUUGACUCCAAUUAAUCACACCUAGCUUUGACCUGAAAGGUAAUGUUGCACUGGUUCAUAACAGUGCCAAGGAGCAAAGAGCUGGAUCAUGUAGGAAAUUUGAAAGUACAAAAAAAACAUCAACAAAAAUAAAAUAAAAUGUCUCUCCCUCAAAAUUUGAAAGUAAACAAAGGAACCCAUCUUAAUUGUUUUGAAAGUUUGUCCAAAACUUUUAAAGGUUUCAGCCUAAAAAUUUGAAAGCUUUUCUAGAAGUUUAGAAGUCCAUCCGAGAUUUUUAAAAGUCUAGAAAAAAAAGAAAGCUUGUCAAUAAAAUUUUGAAAGUUUGUUAACAUUAGUUGAAAGCUCAUCAACAAUUUGAACUUCGCUCUUGUUCCAGAAGGUUCAAAAUCCAUCUCAAAUUUUGAAAGUUUUAAGAACUUAUUUCUAGGGUUCUGGUUAGAGAAUUUAGACUUCUUUAUUUUAUAAGAGUCAAAAAGGGGAAAGAGUAAAAGGUUGGGCAAUCGGCUUGUUUGCCUGUUUUCUCGAGGAAAAAAAAGGAGGAAACCACGCGCUCCCUCCUCACACGGUGAAAGAAUUAGUCACAAGAAAAGAAUCCCUUAGGGGAACGCCUGGUAGGGAUUCAAGUGCGGGGUUGUUUCCACACAAAGCUUUUUUUUUUCAAAUGGCCUCGUGACCGGAUUCCGCUCGGAGUUCGUACAUUGGUUUCCCGCAAAACUCUAAAUUUCACAAGAAAAAAGUGUCUGCAUAACUCAAUAGUAGAAAUAGUUAUUUCUUAAACGAUAAUUAUAACCACUAAAUUAAGGAUUAAUAUCUUCUUAUAUCUUUUAUAGUUGCCUCGUGUUUAACUAAGAUGUUUACCAAAGCCCAGUGAUGCGAGCUUGCUACGAAACAAACCCAACUGGCCUAAUUUCUGCACAGAUCGGAGUAGUCAGUUUUUAUUUCCUUUUUGUCUUCUUUUUUUGUGAUGGAACUUGGAAGUAGUCAGUGAGUCACUGACGAGACUUGCACUACUAAUUUCCAUGGUAGUGGUCAAACUCGACAUGCGUCCAGCGGUCAAAUUUGGUCCGGCCGAUCUACAAAAGCGACCCCAAAGUACUUUCUCCGCUCCACGGCCGGUCCAGAGUCCAGCCUCCAGAGUAUGAGAAUGGCUCACCGCCUCCUCCUGCUGGCGGGCAUCGUCGCCCUGCUCGCUUCCCCCGCGGCGGGCGUAUACCCGUGGCCAAUCUGCGGGCACUCAGGCAACUUCGCGGCCAACAGCACGUACCAGGCGAACCUGGCCCGCAUCGCCGCCACGCUCCCCAAGAACGCUUCUUCAUCGGCGACCCUCUUCGCCACGGCCCAGGUCGGCGUCGUCCCGGAGCAGGUCUGGGCGCUGGGGCUCUGCCGCGGCGACUCCAACGCCUCCUCCUGCUUCACCUGCCUCGACCAGGCCUUCACGGACCUGUCCAACGCCUGCGCCUACACCAAGGACGGCACCAUCUACUACGACUCCUGCGCGCUCCACUACUCCAACAUCCACUUCCGGGCCUCCGACAACACCGAGUACAGCACCACGUACAGGCUCCGGAACGACUUCAACGCCACGCUGGAGCCGGCCCGGUUCCAAAGCGUCGUGGCGGCGCUCAUGAACGCCACCGUGGACUACGCCGCGUACAACAACAGCGGGCGCAUGUACGCGUCCGGGGAGGCCGAUUUCGACCGGGAGCUGCCCAAGGUGUACGCCUGGGCGCAGUGCACGCCGGACAUGGCGCCCGCGCGGUGCCGGGACUGCCUCGGCCGGAUCAUGGAGGCGCUGCCCAGGCAGUUCACCAGCGCCAUCGGUGCCAGGGUUCUUGGGGUCAGGUGCAGUUACCGGUAUGAGACCAAGCCCUUCUUCGAGGGCCCCGUCAUGGUGCGGCUGCAAGGGACGUCCUCGGCCAGCCCUGGAGCGCCGCCGGCUCCUGCGCCCACGACUGUGGUGCCCAAUGUUGUGACGCCGGGGACAGCGGCCCCGGCCGCACAAGGUCAGUCAAAGCGUUUACUAGUUUCGUCUUUGCGCGACUUUUCGUUACGGCGUGCUUAAUUGAUUGCAAACCGUGCGCACCGAAAAUUUUGCUAUUCACAAGUCGCAUGUUCUUUUUUAAGUCAGAGAUGAAUCAACAUGUUAGACAUCGGAUAUUAAUCCAACGACACCAAGUGAGAGAUGAGAGACUGGAGAUGACCUUUUGAUUUUAAUCCAACGGUUCUGAAACGUUCACUACUGAUAUAUAAGGCUUAUUUCUUAGAAAUAGCCACACCUAAAUUAUUCAGGCGUGCAAACCUCCUUUUUUUUUCCUCGGUUAUGUUUCCACUGACUCCGAGUCUCCGAUAUGUGCUCAAAACAUAAGUGAAAAAAAAAAUCUAUAUUUCAAUUAGGUCCCUUAAAUUCAUUUUAUUUGAGUCUUGCAUGUACGUAGCUUAAUUAUUUUUUUGCAGAGUCUUGCUUUUUGUUCUCUGUAGAAUUUUACAAGCAGUGACACUCUAGUCUCAUGUUACUCCAUGCGUACAUUUUUAUCGGUCCUGCAUUUCAGAGGGCCCCUGUAUUUUGUUGCUGCUUUGCAGUCCACCGCAAUAAGCCUUGUGUUAUUUCAUUUGAAGUUUAUUAUACUCAUCUGGCCUUACACUGGUUAAUUCACAGGGAGAAAGUACAGUGUUCCUGGUAUGGUUCUUAUAGUUCUGCUGCCUACUAUAGCAGCCAUAAACCUCGUCGCCUGCCUCGUCCUCUGGAUGCGGCGGCGGCCACUGGCAGAAGCAAAGCAGACAUGUAUGUUCUGCAAGAUUUUGCAAAUUUACUGCGUGGAAGACACCUAGGGGCCCAAAGUGACAUAACUGACAAACUCUUGGCGGCAAUGCCAUUGCUAUUUUAACAGAUCCAGGCUAUUCCGCUGAAGCCGAGGACAUUGAAAGUGUAGACUCGAUGCUGAUCGACAUCUCAACUUUGCGAGCUGCAACCGGAGAUUUUGCGGAAAUUAACAAGCUCGGUGAAGGCGGAUUCGGUGCGGUGUACAAGGUACGUACGGAGCAAAGUAUUUCCUUGAGAAAAAAUGAAUAACACAUCGAAAUUUUGUUGAUACCUGAGCUUAAUUUUGGUUCGAUCUGCAUAGGGCAUUCUCCCGGAUGGCGACGAAAUAGCAGUGAAGAGACUGUCGAAGAGCUCAACGCAAGGAGUAGGGGAGCUGAAGAAUGAGCUCGCCUUAGUUGCCAAGCUCAAGCACAAGAACCUUGUCAGGCUUGUCGGCGUCUGCUUGGAGCAGCAGGAGAGGCUGCUUGUCUACGAGUUCGUCCCUAACCGGAGCCUCGACAUUAUCCUUUUCGGUACUAGUCUGAAUGAUGCAUGCUCAGCUCAGUCCUCUCCCCCGUUUCCUCUGCAAAAAUCAUCACACUGAUCGAUGUCUGCUACUCUUCUUUACACGAAAUUAACAGGUGAUACUGAGAAACGCGAGCAACUGGACUGGGGAAAGAGGUACAAGAUCAUAAACGGAAUCGCUCGAGGUCUACAGUACCUCCACGAAGACUCCCAGCUCAAAGUAGUCCAUCGUGAUCUCAAGGCCAGCAACAUCUUGCUUGACACCAACAUGAACCCCAAGAUAUCAGACUUCGGCCUCGCGAGGCUCUUCGAGCGAGACCAGACCCAGGGUGUCACGAACCGUGUCGUCGGAACAUAGUCAGUACAGAACAUAAAUAUUCUACGUAGUCCAUUCAAAUCACCCAUUUUGGUACGAAAAAUUUAACUUGGUGUGUGCCUCACUUACCUUACUGUUCCAGUGGAUACAUGGCGCCGGAGUACGUGAUGCGCGGGAACUACUCCGUGAAAUCGGACGCGUUUAGUUUCGGGGUGAUGGUCCUGGAGAUCGUGACGGGGAGAAAGAACAACGACUGCUACAACUCCAAACAGUCUGAAGAUCUCUUGAACACGGUACGUGCUUUGCUUGCUAUAUAUGUCUGCAUUUUGUAGCUGAUGUCUUUGCGCGGUUUUGCUCACGGUGGCUGCUGCUGCUCUGCAUAUGGCUCAGAUGUGGGAGCAUUGGACGGCCGGAACAGUGCUGGAGACGGUGGACCCGUGCAUGAGAAGCAGCUUCUCGGAGAGCGACGUGCUAAGAUGCAUCCACGUAGGGCUUCUAUGCGUUCAGGGGAACGCCGCGGACCGGCCGGUGAUGUCGUCGGUAGUCAUGAUGCUGGGAAGCGAAACGGCCUCUCUCAGUGCCCCGUCCAAGCCGGCGUUCUAUGCCAGGAACCCCGGUGCCAACCCAGGCAUUGCGUCCGACGUGUCGACCGUGUCAUUGCAGGAUGAGUCCUGAAGAAUCCAUGAGGCCAGGGCUGUAGAGUCCAUUUCUUUUACUCCCUCAAAGGAUGUCUCGACUUUGACUAAAUUUGAAUACAUCUAUAUACUAAUUCAUGUCUAGGUACAUUCAAAUUUCAACAAAUUUGAGAAAUCUUUUGUUGGACGGAGGGAGUAUGAAAGGAGCAUAUUUCCCCCCAGAAGCUGUGGGAAGCAACUACGGACGUGCUUCUCAGUUUCAUGUGUAAACAGGAGAAAUGAUUUUUAGAGGGCUAGAAGCACCAAAAACUGAAGCAGAAGGCCAAACAAACAGGACCUAAAUAUAGUCAAAUUAAGUCAAACUGAAUUCAAAAAUAAAGUUCUAAUGCUGUUACGUCAUUGAAAACUCUUCAUUUGUUUAUCAUGCAAGGGAUUCUAAAGGAGAGGUCCAACGGAAUUGUAAAAAUCCUGCGUUUUCCUUUUGAAAUUGAGAUCACAUGAAAAAAUACUUUUUUUUUUGCCUUUGCUUCAUUACUUUAAAUCAAAUCGAUGAAUAAUGGCACCAAAUAAAAUUUUCCUAUUUCUAUAUUUUUCUUCCACUCUUUCUCCAAAUCAAAGAGGGCGUGAAUAGUGUCACAAAAGAAGAAAUUUAAAUAUGUAAAGUCACUCUAUCCCAUAUUAAGUGUCUCAAAUUUUCCAAAUAUGCAUGUACCUAUACUUAAAAUUAAAAAACGUCUAGAUACAUAUAAUAUUUUGACACUUAAUAAGGAACGGAGGGCCGGUCUUUCUCCAAAUCGAAGAGGGAUAUCCGAACUGCGAAGUGGACCAUUUAACAUGCAGUAAUAGAAUAAGAGCGUGUACAAUCUGGUGACAUCAGUAGGAUAAUGGCUGAUGUGGAGGAGAGAGGGGUGAAGAAAGGCACGAGCCUUCUUUUAGCUAAAUGGUGAUCUCUUCACAAAAAGAAUAAGGCAAAGAAAAUGCAAAGUCCUCGUUGUACUAGAUUUCACAUUUUCUUAACAUUUAUUUAAUUAAUUUUAUUCAUCUAGGCAUUAAUUGUGAGAUUUGUCACUAAGAGAUGACAUAUUGUAUAAUCAGGCUAAUAUAUUAGCAAGGGCAUAAUAGGGCCGCUAACCUUUUUGGGGGCCCAAAAUUUAGUUAAGCAUAUGUAUUAUUUACCAGGCGGGGUAUUAAUUAGGUGAAGAUAGUAUAGCCCACCAAACGCAUGCAGCCCUUUCAAGCUCACGACUAAAGAAAACUAACGCAUAUGCUCCCUAAUCGCUCUUCCUUUUCCUGCCCUAAUCACUUGCUAAAUUAAUCUGAUUUCUUCACGCACAUUGGCCUACACAACUCCCCCAGCCCGAAAAUCAAUUAGCGGACUCAAUCUCUACUCUAGUUCACCGGUGUUUUUUUUUUCUAAUUCCACUUCUAUACUUAGGAUUUUUCAAGACGUGGGGCCUCAUUUUAUGUUUGGCACAGGGGCCUCCAAAUUCUAGAGACGGCCCUGUGUAUAACAUAUUUUGUUGUCUUAUCUAAAUGAUGUGGAACACACAAAGGAAGAUGGUCUUAUCUUAAAUACACAGGUCUAAAAUCGGAUUUGAUCUUACUGAACGCGGCGGUGCCGCUGUGUACGGAUGGGGACGAGGGCAGGAGAUUUUCGAGAGUUUUCUACUCCAACAAGCCUAGCUUUUUUAUCAACAUUGUACGUGCUCUGUAGCCAGCAAAGAAUCUACCCGUUCCUGCAGGCAAAAGCCACGUGAACUUGACAGGUGCAAGCAGCGGGACCCACGUCAUUCAUUCGUUGUUCUGCAGUCAAACAAUUGGUUCUCCAUGCCACGUCGGGAGUCAAACAAUCCUUUCCUGAUUUCUAGUUCCUUCUACUCGCCGCCAUGGUUUCACACGCUCGAUCGCCAGACCGGCUUCCCUGCGAUCUCCAUGGCGACGGGCCACCGCGUCCUCGCCCACCUCACUGCGAUGUUGCUACUCGUACUCGUACCCAUCCUCCUCCUCGUGCCGCUGGCCGCCGCGCAGCCACAGGUGUGCGGCGACAGCGGGAGCUAUGCGCGCAACAGCACCUACCAAUCCAACCUCCGGCGGCUCUCCGCCACCCUCCCCGCGGACGCCUCCUCGUCCACGAAGCUCUUCGCCACCGGCAGCGUCGGCUCCAUUCCGGACAUCGUCUUCGCCCUCGCGCUCUGCCGCGGCGACGUCAACGCCUCCGCCUGCGAGGCCUGCGUCACCACCGCCUUCCAGGACGCGCAGCAGCUCUGCCCCUUCGACAAGGAUGCCUCCAUCUUCUACGACCUCUGCCUCCUCCACUUCUCCAACCAGAACUUCCUGCCCGCCACCGACGGCCACGGCAACCAGUUCUUCUUCCAGUCGGACUCGCGGAAGGUGUCCGCGCCGGCGACGGUGUUCGACGACGCCGUGGGGGUGCUCCUGAACGCCACCGCCGACCACGCGGCGUCGAGCUCGUCGUCCAGGCGGUUUGCCACGGGUGAGGAGAAAUUCGAAGGAGGCGGCAUCUCCGCGAUCUACGCCCUGGUGCAGUGUACGCCGGACUUGGCACCGGCCGCCUGCCGGAGCUGCCUCGGGGAUAUAAUUCAGCAGAUGCCCGAAUUUCUCAGCGGUGGCAAGAGUGGGAGGGCCUUUUGGAUCCGGUGCAACUAUCGGUACGAGCUCUAUCCUUUCUUCUCAGGCAGCCCUCUUUUGCGGCUUCCGGCGCCGGUGUUUGCUGGAACCCCGCCGUCGCCACGGCUUCCAACAUCGUCGCCGGCGAACGUUAGACCGCCGAUGAAUGAAAGAGGUAAUUAUACGGCACAAUAACAGCUUUAGUUGAUUGAAACAAAUCGGACGAAUUUCUUCGGAAAGCUUGGUGAGGUACUUCAACUGUUGCACACCAGGUGUUUGUCGAAUUUCCCCAAUACGAUAGUUCACAUGCUACUCCGGUUGAAUGUCUUUGUUUCAUCUUGACUUUUCUAGUCACGCAGCUAUCACUAGAUUCUUGUUGACGAACCCGGAUUAAGAAAACUAUAAUAGGCCUACAAGAAGUGGAUAAGAUAUUGAGGAUUGACUGAUUCUCUUAGUUAAAUAGUCUUCAUGACUACACGUAUACGAUUAGGGUGUAAAUUGUACUACUAGCUUGUUGCGUGUCUGGAUCAUUUAGAAAUAUUCUUUAGGAGCGCUGAAGUGGAACACUAGCCCUCAGUACAUGGGUCAAAUAUGACCAAACUAGACCAGUUUCUAAAAGGAGUUACAAAAAUAAAAUCUUUUAUUCAGGGUGGAAGAGAAGAUCAGCAGCAAAGAUCUCUGCAUCAGUCGCCUGUACCAUUGGCUUAGUAUUGAUGCUUUCGGCUUCGGCGUUUAUUUUCUUCAAGAAAAGAAAGUCUCAGAAGAAGCAGCCAAGUAAGUACUAACAUUUUGCAGAUCUCAAAAUUUAUGAAUUUACAUUUUAUUGACACUCUUCAUUCUUGCAGCACCAGCAUUUCAGAAUGUUGCGAGAGGAAAAUGUAUGGUCUUUGAUUUAUCUACACUACAAGAGGCAACCGAGAACUUCUCCAAGGAGAAUAAACUUGGCGAGGGUGGUUUUGGUAUUGUGUACAAGGUAAACAAACAAGUUGGUGUGCAAUUUGCACCAUGAUUUUUGGUCUUUUUUAAGGAAGGAGGGUUCUUUACAGGGAGCACUCUCAGAUGGGCAAGAUGUGGCUGUGAAGAAACUUUCACAUAGUACUACUGAGGGACUGAAUCAGUUGCACAAUGAAGUGCAAGUUCUGGCUCAGCUCCAGCAUACAAAACUUGUCAGGUUACUGGGGUAUUGCUCGCAUCAGAAUGAAGUGAUGCUUGUCUAUGAGUACGUAAAGAAUGGGAGCCUCGACAGCUUUCUAUUUGGUAAUUUCCUCCAUAUUUAUUAAUCUAGUGGAGUACCGUGUUGCCAUAAUUAACUUCUUCACCGACUGGAAUCAUUUUCCAAUGUGCACGAGUGAAUUGUUAGUUGCAGUCAAUGACUAGUUGCACAAUGUACCGAAAUAAUGCAUGCUGAGAAACGAGCCCGGAUGUGAUAAGACCAAAAAUAUUAGAGUUGUAUUACCACUUACCAGUCUGCCACUACAUAUUCACUGUAUCAUUUCUGGCAAUAAUUUCAAAAGCUAAGACCAAUAUCAUUUUUCUGUUAUGGAUUAUAUAUGGUGCUAAUGCUUAUGAUUCUUAUGAGAGUUAUUCAUGUAACUUAAGUUCUUCAUUUCAUGGACAAAGAUGAUAGCAGGGCAAGGAAACUAAAUUGGGAUCAACGGUACAAUAUCAUUGUUGGAAUUGCCAAGGGAAUAUUGUAUCUUCAUGAAGACUCGAGCAUAAGAAUCAUUCACCGUGAUCUGAAGUCUAAUAACAUCUUACUGGACGAGAAACUGAAUCCCAAAAUUGCAGACUUCGGGCUGGCAAGGCUGCUAGGAGGAGGUCAUACACAGACAAAGACAGCUAAUGUUGCAGGAACAUAGUAAGCGCACAUGCAUAGUUAAAAUUUGAAACGUCAUAUAUGACAUCGUUAUAUUUAUGUAUACAGUAGGCUUCUAGGCUUAAUUGCUAAUCUUUCACAGUGGGUAUAUGGCACCGGAGUAUGCAAUACUUGGAAGUGUGUCACCCAAGAUUGAUGUUUUCAGCUUCGGUGUUUUGGUCCUCGAGAUUGUAACUGGGAGAAAGAAUAACAGUUCUGAUCAUUCGAAUAGCAUGGUGAAUCUCCUAAGCGAUGUAAGUGAUAGUACUUUCAGCUUACUCUAUAAAUGUGAAUAUAAAAAUAUUUCAUAAUCUUAUUGCAAACCAUACAUUUAUAUGGCAGGUAUACAACUGCUGGACUAAUAAGAUGGCAUUGCAAACAGUUGACCAAUCACUCCGUGCAUAUUCCAAAAGCCAAGUACUACGUUGCAUCCACAUCGGUCUUCUUUGCAUCCAAGAUGAUCCAGAUGGUAGACCAAGGAUAUCAUCAGUUGUUCUAAUGCUAACCAGAGACAGAGUAAAACUACAUCCACCAGGACGACCAGCAUUCUUCUUCCCGAGAGGCUCGACUUCAGUAGUCAAACAUGCCAGACAUGGUAACUACAUAUACGAUAAGUCCGAUGUGACCACGGAGGAUAAUUUCUCGGUGAAUGAUGUCACUAAUACUGAUCCAUAUCCUAGAUAAGCUGAAGCCUGAAAGCUUUUUAAGGAUGCCUGAGUGGACUCUUUUGUGCUGCUCUGCUGUAUAUAGAAUGAAUUUUUAUACAGUUUUGCUAAUUAUCAGACACCUAUAUUGUAGAUGUGCAAAAUUAUUAACUUUUUAGUGUAAUUAACCAAAGGGUUAUAUACGUAGUUACUAAUUCUCUGGGUUAUGUACGUAGUUACUAGGUGAAGAGGAUUGUUGAAUAUUGACCAAAGGGUUAGAAAUGCAAGUGGGACUUGAUGAAUUCCAGAAGAAAUAUCCACUGCCUGAUCAUCAGCACCCGAAGAUUGUCUACAGGCAAUGAAUACAUAGGAGAUAGCAUUGUCUGCAGGCGUUGUUGCUUAGUAUCUGCUCGAAAUUGUUUCAGUAAAUUAAUGAAACGGAACACACCUGAAGAUUAAUUUUCUCUAAAAUUGGUUGAACUUCUCAUGCCCUUCUCCCUACUUCUUUUCUCACUUGUAAUGUCUGAGAAACAAAAAUACUAAAUAGAGAUAUACAGAAAAGUCAAGCUCACGCCAAUCUGGACAAUGCAAGAGCGUGGCAGGGUAGCAUCUAACAUGACCUACUUCUAAUGCUGUUUCUUGUUUUUGUUUUAUUGUAAGCAUUGCUCAUUCUUCACAGCGAACAAUGUACUAGCUUCCUAACAAACAAACUGAAAAUGUUCCCUAUCAGUUACUGCUGCUCUCUACCAUCCUAUGUCGGCCGAAAGGAAGUUGUUAGGCAGGGAAACCUGGCAAUCAGAAAACAGCAGAGUCACUACAUUGCAUCAAAAAUAGCUCAACACAUAUCCUGAAACUCCUUCAUGAAUCUAGACAGCAAACAAGUGAUUACCUUCUCGCCCAACUUGAAUGGUGCGAGGCCUCUGUAUGGGCAAGCACCACACCUGAAGGCGUCGCCCAAACCACACUGCAGUUUUAAUUUCAAAGAGAAUAUCAUCAGGCAGAAACAUAAGUGCAUCCAUAUAGCUAGCAACUAUGGGUCUUCGCAAGAGAUCGCCAGCGGCAUUGUAUGUGUACGACCAAUUAUUCCACUUACACUGCCGCAGGCUGACUGAGGGUUGUCGAUCUGUUCUGCAGUGAGCUCCAGCUUCUCCACCUUCUGCUCAGCCUCAGCCCUGCCACAAGUACAGUUCUUGCAUGCCUUUCUUGCGGCUUUCACCUUACCAUCCCCAACUGGUGAAACAACACUGAACCAUUUAGGAUACAAACCUAAAUAUCUUCGAAACAAUUGAAGAGUCAUAGGGUUUGGUGACUACCAACUGGAAGCUUUGGUUUCUUCAAGUCCUCCUCAGUCAAGAGGACAUUUUCGUCAAUCAGUUCAGUGUCAUCAUCAAUUUGCUUAUUCGGAAUUGCUUUUGUUGCUUUCUUCAGGGAAAAGGAAGAGGCCAUGGCCCAAUAGGGCUUCUUUGCCUUAACCUGCAAAUCAUGCACGCAUGUUAGCGCUAGAGUUCUAGGAAACAAGCCUGCACAGCAGGUCUAACAAAAUGUGACACUCACAGUAACAGAUUGCACAGUGUCCUGUGAGCUUGUAGCAGAAGCUUGUGCUUCAACAAAUCCUCCCAUCAGUAGCUUGCGUGAAGCCUGCACAGCAGCCUUAAUGCAAUGUGACACUAGACCACUCACAGUAACAGAUUGUUCACUAGCCUGCGAGCUUGCAGCAGAAGCUUGCACUUCAACAAAACCACCCAUCAGUAGCUUGCGCUCGAUAUGGUUGUUCAGCUAAUGCAUAGGAAAUUAGAAAAAGAAUAAGUCUCUGCCAGGUUCGUCAAAAAAAGAGAGAGGAAAGAAUCAGUGUAAGCUAAAAUAACGUUACAAGACAAAGGAUAUGUAUGAGAAGAACCAGUUCAGAUAUUCCUCCUUUUGAUUAGAGGAGGGAGUGAUGCUCUGCACCAGUAAAAUUCCUCCAGCUUGGAGCACCCGGUUAAUUUCAGCAACCAAUUGAUCUCCGAAGCUUUCUACGUUUUUUACGACAGAAAGAACAGCACCAACUGACGCAUCAUCAAAAGGCAACUUCCCGCGCCCUGAACCAUGCCAAUGCCAACAAUGAAAGGUUUUCUGGCAAAACAGAUCUAGUCCAAACCAAAAGGGGAAGAGAACGAACUCACCAAGAAGCGAGGCGCAUUGCGUGAUGACCACCACCUCCUCCCGCGAGACCUCGGCGGCGGCUGCCAGAUCCUCCACCGCGCGAAGCGGCAACACCAGCUCGUCCGUCACCGCGAGCGCCGCCGCCAUCGAUCGUUCGGUUGCAGCUGCAAGCGGGAAAGAAAUCGAAUUCGCCAAGGAUGGACGAGAACAAACUGGAUAGGAAUUAAGCGGGGUUUUCAUACCUAGGUUAAACCAGCAGAGGAUGGAAGAGGAACUGGUGGACGUGAUUUGGGGUUUGGGGUUUGGGUCGGUAGCUCGGUGCGCCCUGAGUCGAGUCGUGACUCUCCCGUCGAGAAAGCCUUUUUUUUUUUUGACAGCUCCCGUCGAGAAAGCCUUGUGUUAAAUGUGCUCCCGAGUCCUGAUUGAAUCAACAUUGUAUAAGUAGAAAAACUAACGCCAUGGUUCGCACAUUUAUGUCACUUUGAUGCAAUUUUGGUGUCAAAUUGUUGUCGAUGUGCUAUAUCAUGAGUAUCCACGAAAAUGUGGUGUUGUUUUAAAAAAAAAAGUAAAUACACUCGUGGUCCAAUUAGUUGAGAGGUGCGAGCAAACUAGUCCAACUCUUUUUAAAAACAUCUUAAAUUACGAUCUUUGUCUAUUGUAUUUGAACCGCCACAUUUUCGUUCAACGCAUUGGAGUAAUUCUUACUAAAUUGAAUUUGACUCGGACUCUUAAGUUUUGUCUCUAUACAGAAUAUUCUAUUUUAUGGGCUACGUGGUCGUACAAUUUAGGAUUUUCUUUAUUUUCUUUUUUGUCAAAAAUCACCAUCACCACUAAUAAUAAAAGUAUGAGUCGUUCAACACCAUCCACUGCACAAAUUUUACGCUUCAAAUCAUUCCAAUGACAUGUUGUGUAUGAUGUCAACCUCUGACCCCAUACCGUCUAAGCCCGUGAAUCCGUACUGCAUGUAAAAAUCAGCCAACACCAGCUGCCGCACCUCCUCCGGCGCCACUCGCGGCAAAGCUCUUUUCCAAGCCCGUCCUCUGCCGCCCUCACGCGCUGUGCACGUCCGCCUGCCAAAUACCGCCCUAGCCACCGCUCACCGUGCAGCACAAGAGCCAUUCUCAUCCACGCCCCCUUCUCAUCCAUGACCCUAGUUCUGGCCAGCAUUGCUCCCCUCCAAACAUGCGCAUCACAUCCCUUUUUAUACAAAAAGGACAGGAGUUCUGUGAACAGGAAAACUAUACAAUUUACAAGAUAAAAAUCUGCGCAUCACAUCCCUCAUAUGAAAGCAUUUUUUCUCCUUUGAAUUUUCUUUUGUAUGGAUGUGAAUUCCCUCUAGAAGAAAUUAAUUCGGGAACUGUAUGUGUAUUAGCCCGAAGAUGGUGUAUGUGAAUUUAGCAUGCUUACUAUUUUUUGAAACAACUUCAUGUGUAUUCAUAUUUGGCCCGGAAAAUGUCAAACUAAAUAUGUACACCAAUGGAUCGAUGAGCAAUCACCGAUCGUCAGGGAGGUCUUCCACAUCAAGGAACUUUCAACGAAAGUUGUCAGACUUAUAUUUUCAGAGACAGACUUUUAAUAUUUUGACAAUCAUUCAAACAUCUGAAAUGGACUUCAAUUCUUUUUGGACAAACUUACAAAAUUUUUAGGAUGACACUUCUAUUCUUUUGGGCAAAUUUUCAAAUUUUAUUAGAUGAGCUUCUAUUUUUUUAGCUUUCCAAUUUUCACGGACAGUUUUUGUUUUUUCCGUAAACUUUCAAAUUUCUGAAAUAGACUAAACUGGAUUACAUCGGACUAGGCUUGACUGGAUUGAGCUAGGUUACUUUAUAUUGUGUUGGGCUGCUUGGUUUGACAACACGCCGCUGCACAGACAUGGCGCGAUGCUUCCUCUUAAAAAUGUGAUGUGAUGCUCCAUAGAUGGUAUGACUAUUUGUUUCUUGGUCGUCUAAUUUUUAAGAAAAAUAAUUUAAUUAAGUUGACACAUCAGAACUAUUGGAUUGUGUCAUCUUCACUCCUCCCUCUUCCACGUGUUGUUGUUGAUUUCUUGGAUUAAAAAUUUGACGGCUAAGAAAGGUGGCUGAUCUCUAAUAAAGAACAUGCGACUUCUCGUUGGCAUAGCAGAACAUAUUUACAAAUGGUGAUAUGGAGAAGAGAGAAAAACAAGGAGAAAGCUAAUUCUACUUCAAAAAUUAGGCUCGUAGCUCCAUCUUCUUAGGCUGCAUUGCGAUGGAUUCUUAUAAUUUCUUUGUUCUCACCCAUUUUUCACUAUUUUCGUAUUUGGCUAACCAAUUUUUCUCUACUUUUAUGUGUAUUUUUACGCAUCAAAUUAUAAAAUAAUUUCAAUACAGCACAGAGCCUUUAAUGUCAAUAAAUUGGAUAUCUUUGUUUUAGCAUGUAUCUAACCGUUUGUUUAAAAUAGAUACAUUUAGAUUUUAACAAAUUUGAUACGAUUAAAAUUUAGGAACGGAGCAGCACAUUCGGGCAGUGGCCACGCGCGUCAUUCACGGGAGUCAAACUAAGAUUCUUAAACAGAUUGCGAGUCAAACCAUCUUUCCUUCAAUGAUUUACCUUGCCUCUGCUCUUCUUCUCCGAUCACCACACCUGAGUAGCUGAGCAGUUUUCGGCGACCACCAUGGCCGCGCGGCGCCGCAUCUUCGCCCGCCUCGCCGCCGCGCUCCUCAUUGCCUUCCUCCUCGCGCAGCUCGCCUCCUCCCAGCCGCCGUGGCAGAACUGCGGGGACAGCGGCAAUAAUUACGCGGCGAACAGCACCUACCAAUCCAACCUAGGGCAGCUCUCCGCCACCCUCCCCAAGAAGGCGUCGGCCUCCCGGACGCUCUUCGCCACCGGCAGCGUCGGAUCCGUCCCGGAAAUCGCCUAUGCGCUCGCGCUCUGCCGCGGCGACACCAACGCCUCCGCCUGCGAGGCCUGCGUCGCCACCGCCUUCCAGGACGCGCAGCAGCUCUGCGCCUACAGGAAGGAUGCCGCGGUAUUCUACGACCUCUGCUACCUCCGCUUCUCCAACCAGAACUUCCCCGCCACCAACAGCAACGGGAACCCCAUCGUCCUCAAGAACUCGCAGAAGGUGAGCUCGCCGGUGGAGGUGUUCGAUACCGCCGUCCGCCAACUCCUCAACGCCACCGGAAAUUACGCGGCCGCAAACUCGUCCAGGCGGUUCGCCACGGGGGAGGAGGGUUUCGAUAGUAGCAACCCCACCAUCUACGGGCUGGUGCAGUGCACUCCAGACAUGUCGCCGGCCGAUUGCCGGAGCUGCCUUGGAGGCAUAAUUGCGCUGAUGCCGCGGUAUGUCAGCGGGAUGCUGGGCGGGAGGAUUAUUGGGGUGCGGUGCAAUUUCAGGUACGAGGUGACUCCUUUCUUCUCCGGAGGCCCGAUGCUGCAGCUUCCUGCGCCGGCGCCUCCACCUGUAGCUGCAAACAUCACGCCACCAACGGCGACAGGAGGUGAGUUUGAGACAUUUAAAUCACUUCUUUUCAUCUUUUGUAUUAAUGUGUAUGGAUAUGAAGUACUACAAUAGAUAGUCACAUUGCUGUCAGAGUUGAGCAAUUCGAGAUAAAGUUUGUACCAAACAACGAAAGCAUCUUAAGUAAAUGGAAGUCCAAUGGGAAUUAGUUAGUUUUCAUCACACUCUUGUCAAGAUCACAAUGUCACAUCUCUCUUAACCUUGUCUUGUUUUUUAUUCCUGUUUUGGGGUUGAUCUAGACAUUUCUGAUCUUCUGUAGUCCCAUAGGCCAUAGCUAUCAGUUGCUUGACAAAAUGACAAGCGGACGGUGAAAAGCACACAUGUGUAGAAAAAUCCUCAGAAUUGCAUUUUUUUUAAUGCACACAUUUGCAGGAAUGAUUAUGAAAAACAUUUCCUACUCACUCUGUAACAAAGAAGGUGAUUGUGUGUCUUGAAAUUUAGCCUGGUCAAUUCACACAACUACGAUGUGACACUUCUUGUUGUUAAUUAUGUCUCCAGUAGGCAAUAUUCAUUUUCUCAAAAUUUGUAUGUGAAGUUCAAUGAAAAUGCAAAGAUUGAUGUAUUCUUUAGCUAGGCAUUCUGGCAAUUAGUAUCAGAGAGGAACCACCCAACCCAGGUUUGAGCCCAGGUCAUCGUGACCCUUCAUGAACUAAGCAAUACUGGGUGCUCAGAGUGCCGUUUUCCCAUUCUUUAAUAUGGAAAAGUUCAGCAGAAGAUGAUAUUUGUAUUGUGAAGUGCUGCUUUCUGUGUUUGACAGCAGAACUAAUUAAUUCUUAAAUCCCGAAUAACAUGUUCAGAAGUGCCUGACUGCUGGGAGCUACUGACUCUGGGUUAAUAAUUAGUGAUAGAGUGUAUGGAUCUCUCGGAAAACAAAUAUGACUAAUAAAACAGUUCGCUUGUGAGUGAAACUGUGCCAUGACGAUCAGGUUUAUGUAAACUCUUACUAAGAUGUAUUCUCUCUGAAAGUGGAUUCCUAUUUGCAGGAAGAACGGGAAUUAAGACUGGGAUAGUUCUAGCCAUUGCACUUCCUAUAGUUGCUGCCCUGCUAGCUAUCAUUUUGAUUGGUCUCUGUAUCCGGAGGCAGAGAAGAAGAACAGAAAGAACACGAUUGCCAUUACGUAAGUUCACCUCAAUUUAUAGUUAUAAAUAGAUAACAAGAAAAUGGAUAAAACAAUCAACUAUUUUAUCCAUGGACAGGAAAAAGAAGUGUUUUCUCUAACAGGUUAUCGGGCAGCCCAUAUGUUCCGUUUCUGUGUGAUUUUUGUUAUUUGAAAAUUAAAGAUUGGAGCUAUAUAUUGCAUCAUGACUUGGUUGGCUUCUCUUAACAGAUUCAACUGACACAGAUGACAUUGAAAGCAUAGAUUCACUUAUUCUUGAUCUGUCAACACUACGUGCUGCAACAGAUAACUUUCCUGAGAGCAAUAGGCUUGGUGAAGGAGGGUUUGGUGCUGUUUAUAAGGUGCCAAACCGUACCAUUUUACUUAACAUACCCUUUUCAGCUUCAACAAAUGAAUGUCUGUACUUACCCAGGGUAUCCUUCCUGAUGGUCAAGAAAUAGCUGUAAAGAGGCUCUCCAAGAGUUCAGCACAAGGAAUAGGGGAGCUAAAGAAUGAGCUUGUUUUGGUUGCCAAGCUUCAACACAAGAAUCUUGUCAGGCUUGUUGGUGUUUGCUUGCAGGAAAAUGAGAAACUGCUCGUGUAUGAAUACAUGCCCAAUAGAAGCAUUGACACCAUACUUUUUGGUACUAUUUUCCAUCACCAUUCAUCAAUAGCAUAAGAGUACUAAAACUAAGCAUUACAUCUUUUUUCGAAUGAGUUUAUACCUAGACAAACACUUGGAAGUUGUGGGUUUCAGAUUUGGAGUCUCAUCUUCCAACUAUUAGAAACACAGUUUGGGGUAAAUAUGAACUUUACUAAUUCAAGAUUUCUUGUUCAAAUGUCAGACCGAGAGAAAAGAAAGGAGCUAGGCUGGGGAAAGAGAUUAAAGAUAAUAAAUGGAAUUGCUAGAGGAUUACAAUAUCUUCAUGAGGAUUCUCAGAUGAGAAUAAUUCACCGCGACCUCAAAGCAAGCAAUGUUCUAUUAGACUCUGGUCAUACACCAAAGAUUUCAGACUUCGGCUUGGCAAGGCUAUUUGGAGCGGAUCAAACACGGGACAUCACGAACCGUGUUAUUGGAACAUAGUAAGUAUGAUCCAAAUUCUGUGACUAGAUACAAACUGUGUAUAAAAUGUAGUGACAUUAUGCUCUUAUUGCAGCGGAUAUAUGGCCCCAGAGUAUGCUAUGCGUGGCCACUACUCUGUAAAGUCGGAUGUCUUCAGCUUUGGAAUUUUGAUGCUAGAAAUUGUGACGGGAAGAAGCAGCAGCGGCUCCUUUAACUUUGAUCAAUCUACCGAUCUCUUAAGUCUUGUAAGUCAUUAUGCUACUACCCUUGUUAUCAGGGAGUUAAUUCUUUCUAAAAAUACUAAGACAAGUUACCAAUUUGAUACAGAUAUGGGAACACUGGACCACUGGAACAGUUGCAGAGAUCAUGGAUUCUACUUUGAGAGGUCAUGCUCCAGGAGACCAGAUGCUCAAGCUUUUUCACAUCGGACUACUGUGUGUUCAAGAUAACCCAGCAGAUAGACCAGCGAUGUCGACAGUAAACAUCAUGCUUAGCAGUAAUACUGUUUCUCUCCCGUCUCCAUCCAAGCCAGCAUUUUUCGUUUCCAAUAGCGGCACAUACUCAAGUCCAUACUUGGAGUCAUACCCUACAGCUUCCACUAAAUAUUCACCGUAGCAUUUCAGGCAAGCAAGUUACUGUGGCUAAGACCAGUAUCGCUGUGUUGCAUGGAAUUAGUCUCUCUUUUUUUCCUUCUAGGAAUGUUAUUAUGAUUUUCCUUGCAACUAUUGCAUUUGAAUUUGUAAUUUUAUUGAAAUAGAUGACACGAGCCCAGGAGAAUACGCUGCUGGAUGAAAAUGAAAAAAAAAUCAACAUUGCAAAAAAAAUCUUGAAAGCACAAGUAUAAAUACUACCCAUAUUAGAGCACUGUCUGCACUUAAUUGCAAAACCAUGCAUUAGUGCACCGUGGCAAAAAAACUAAUUUCAGUGCACACAAGGAUGCUCUUUUAGGCACUUAUUCUUAUCCAUCUUGUUCAACCACAAUAUUGAAAGAACAUAACAACUGACGUGUGCCUAUAUUAGAGACUCCAAGAUCAUCAAUAAGUGUGUUUUUGUCUCAGGAGAAUUCAAUACUCCCUCCGAUUCAUAUUAAUUGUCUUAAAUUUGUCCAAAUAUGAAUUUAUUUAUGUUUAAAAAACAUUAGAUACAUGUAAUAUUUUGACAAUUAAUAUGAAUCGGAGCGAGUAUUUCUUUUUUUUUCGACUGUUCAGUACUCCAGUCCGGAGAAACCAGCUGCCUGCGGCCUGCCUGAGGCUGAUAGGAGUAGCUGUGGCCCCAGACAAGGCAUAGUUGACAGUUGACCCCCGCACAGUUCAUUGAAGUCAGUACUACUUCCGGACUCCACUGAACUGAGCGAGGCAGAGUGCUACUAAAACCAACAGCUUAAACUCUUCGCCGAGAUCACUAAUCACAAAUUCAGCACACCCACCUGGCCACCUGACCGAUUCUCCGCGACCACCAUGGCCACGCGUCCCCGCGAAGCCUUCCUCCUCGCCGUCGCCUUUUUCCUCCUCGCGCAGUUGGCCACCGCUCAGCCUCCAUGGCAGCUCUGCGGCGACAGCGGCAGCUACACGGCGAACAGCACAUACCAAUCCAACCUGGGGAAGCUCUCCGCCGCGCUCCCCAAGAACGCCUCCGCGUCCCGGGGGGCCCUUUUCUCCGCCGGCAGCGCCGGCUCCGUCCCGGACAUCGCCUACGCGCUCGCGCUCUGCCGCGGGGACGUCAACGCCUCCGCCUGCGAGCGCUGCGUCGCCACCGCCUUCCAGGACGCGCAGCAGCUCUGCGCCUACAAGAAGGACGCCGCCGUCUUCUACGACGCCUGCUACCUCCGCUUCUCCAACCAGGACUUCCUCGCCACCACCACCGACAACGGCAACCCCAUGAUCCUCCUGAACUCACAGAACGUGAGCUCGCCGGUGGCGGUGUUCGACGCCGCCGUCCGCGCUCUCCUCAACGCCACCAGCGACUACGCGGCCGCGAACAACAACUCCACCAGGCGGCGGUUCGCCACGGGGGAGGAGAGCUUCGACAGCGCGAACCUCACCAUCUACGGGCUCGCGCAGUGCACGCCGGACAUGUCGCCUGCCGACUGCCGGAGCUGCCUCGGGAGCAUAAUCGCCAUGGCGCCGCAGUAUCUCAGCGGGAGCCUGGGAGGGAGGGUUAUUGGGAUGCGCUGCAAUUUCAGGUACGAGGUGUAUUCUUUCUUCUCCGGUGGCCCCAUGCUGCGGCUGUCAGCACCCACCGCGCCGGCGCCGGCACCACCGCCUACGCCUUUCAAUGUGACGCCGACGGCAACCCCAGGAAGUGAGUUAGUUGCAGACACAAAAAUCUCUCAAUUUAAAGUUUUAUCGGACAUCUGGGUAUGGCUUAAACCAUCAACACAAAAAAUAAUCCCUCCAACUUUGUUCUUCCUUCAGGAAAAUUACGUCGUUUGUUCUUUUCUGCACUAAAAAUGUCAGAUUGCUAAGUACUUCAUACUUGUUACAUAGUGUAUAUGUUAGGCUAGGAAUUUACGGAAAGCGACCAAUAACAUCUGAAUAAUUCAUUAUCUAGAAAUUAACCGUCAACACGUUUUGAUAGUGGUGAGGUGUCACAUAGCCGCCGGUGUGUAGACCAGUUUCUUUGGUGAUAGACAUAUCAUGUAGUCCCGUCGCUGUCACUUGCUAGGAGUACUUGUUUGACGGGUUUGCUUUAGCAUGCAAGUCAAACUUACUUUCUGUGAAGCAUAUAUUAAGCAGUCUGAUAUUUCCAAUUGGCGGUGUUAGUCUAUGUCACUAGCAGCGCACUACACAUUGUUAAAUGGACUAUUUUGAGGACGUCCAAAACUCAUAGUACUACUUUAACACCAUGAUUUGCUUUCUUUUUGCUGAAUAGCGUCGUAGCUCAGGCACUACUUGGUACUUUUCCUUAUAUUACCUCCGUCCAACAAAGGAUGUCUCAAGUUUGUCAAAAUUUGAAUGUAUCUAGACAUUCAAAUUAAGUCAAAGUUGAGACAUCCUUUGUUGGACGGAGGGAGUAUAUGUGGACCAAACUGCACUAAGCGUCACAAUUCCUCAGUGGCUUGACUUCAAAGUUGAUUUUCAGGACAAGAGUCCAUAGAUGUGUAUGUAAAGAAAAGAACAACUUGGUUGUAGUGAAAUAUACUACUGCUACUAGCUUUUGUUUUCAAGGGAGGUUUCAUUGCAUGGCUCUGCAUGCCUCUUGGUCAUGCAUAGCGUUUUAUUGCUUUUCCAACCUCUGCGUCAUGCAUCAAGACUAUGCAAAAAGCCAAAACAUAUAUUACGGAAUACUAGCUAGUAGCUACUGAGUGGAGAAUGUGUCAUACUCUUCACACUUUGUUGAACUGUUACAGAGGUAUGCUAAAUACCUCUUUCUGAAGUUGAUGGCAUCUGUUUACAGGGAAAUCAGGAAAUAAGACGGUGGCUGUUCUAGCAAUUGCCCUGCCUAUAUUUGCUGCAGUUUCAGCUAUAACUACGAUUUGUCUCUGUUAUUUGAGGAGUAGAAGAAGACCAGCAAGCAGUGAGCCACCAUCUUGUAUGUUUCUUCAAAACUUGACAUCAUUAACAGCUAGCAAGAAAGUCGAUAAAUCUAUAGACGAUAGAUUAAUUGACACACUGAAGGGAUGUUCAGAUGUAGUGCCUACUCUUCGUACAAUUGAAUUUCCUUGUCUCCUAAAACUAAAACAAAGUGUUUUUAGUUAGAAAAUAUCGAAGUUAUGACCCUCUUCUUUCUGGCAGAUUCAACUAACCAUGAGGACGUUGAAAGCAUUGAGUCACUUAUCAUUGAUCUAUCUACCUUACGUGCUGCGACGAACAACUUUGCUGAGACGAAUAAGCUUGGUGAAGGAGGAUUUGGUGCAGUUUAUAAGGUACCGAUGAAACCAAUUCACUUAAUAUACUCUGUUAGCUUCAACAAGUGAAUGCUUACUCCUUAUGCAGGGAGACCUUCCUGAUGGUCAAGAAAUAGCAGUAAAGAGGCUUUCCAGGAGUUCAGGACAAGGAAUAGGAGAGCUCAAGAAUGAGCUUGUUUUGGUCGCCAAGCUUCAACACAAGAACCUUGUCAGGCUUGUCGGCGUCUGCUUGCAAGAACAUGAGAAACUGCUUGUGUAUGAAUACAUGCCGAAUAGAAGUAUCGACACCAUCCUUUUUGGUAAUAUUUUCUAUCAUGAUUGCAACAAUAGCAUAAAGUCCAUCACCAGUACCAAAACUAGGCAUUGUAUGGUAAAAUCCUAAAGACUUUGGAAGAGAGGGGUGUUUGUUGGUAAAGUUUCAGUAUUUAAUUCAAAUUUGACAUGAAUAGCAAAGUUUACUAAGAAACACCACUUUUCCGAACAGCGCCCAUCUUGGUGGCAAAACACUUGGCAGUUAGGCUACAUAUAUUUGGUGGAAAAACUAAAUUAUUUUCUUUCCUUGUUCAAAUACUAGAUCCAGAGAAAAGUAAGGAGCUAGACUGGGGAAAGAGAUUAAAGAUAAUAAGUGGAGUUGCCCGAGGAUUACAAUAUCUUCAUGAAGAUUCACAACUGAGAAUAAUUCACCGGGACCUCAAAGCAAGUAAUGUCCUAUUAGACUCUGAUUACACUCCUAAGAUAUCCGACUUCGGUUUGGCAAGGCUAUUCGGGGCAGAUCAAACACGGGAGGUCACAAACCGUGUCGUUGGAACAUAGUAAGUAUAGGGCAAAUUAUUGUGAUAAAAAUGGUAAAUCAACUAUAUUACUGUAGUAACAUUUUGCCCUUAUUGCAGUGGAUAUAUGGCCCCUGAGUACGCGAUGCGCGGCCACUAUUCGGUAAAGUCAGACGUGUUUAGCUUUGGCAUUUUGAUCUUGGAAUUUAUGACAGGAAGAAGAAGCAGUGGCUCCUAUACCUUUGAUCAGUCUGUCGAUCUCUUAAGUCUUGUAAGUUCUUAGGCUGCUCCCAAACUCCUUCUGAAACUAAUUUUCUAUAGAAGUACUGAGACGACAUUUUAAUUUGAUACAGAUAUGGGAGCACUGGUCUACGGGAACGAUUGCGGAGAUCAUAGACUCAACUCUGAAAACUCAUGCUCCAGGAGACCAGAUGCUUAAGCUUUUUCACAUCGGACUUAUGUGUGUUCAAGAUAACCCAGCGGAUAGGCCUAUGAUGUCAACAAUAAACAUCAUGCUAAGCAGUAACACCGUGUCGCUCCAGUCUCCAUCCAAGCCAUCAUUUUUCAUCACCAAGAGCAGCACAAACUCAAUGGCGUACUCAGACUCGUACCCUACCGCUUCCCAGUCGACCGGUAAGUCAGGAAUAGUGUCACCAAAUGAAGUCUCAAUCACAGAGCUGGAACCAAGAUGAAAGAAGGAUCGCAGGGACCAUCAAAAUGUAAUCUCGGAAGGAAACAAGAACUUGAUUCAGGGAAAAAAACAUCCCUAGUACUUUGUGCUACUGAAAUUUGUGUAUAUUUCUCCAUUCGUCAAGUAAGCAGUUAACGGCAAUGCUUCAGAUUCUACGUUUGUACCUGUAAAGUCAGAAAUUUUCUGAUACGGGGAAGUUCAGAACAGAAGCAUAACAGUUUUGUUAUUUCUCACGAUAUUUCUCAGUCAUCUCUAAGAACCAUCUGAUUUCGUCAGGUAGUGAGAACAGGCCAGGCUGUCGAUGCCUGACGGCAACGGAGAAACUUUGCAGGCAGCGAAGCAGAGAUGCCAAGCAUAUACACACUUGCAUUGCAAAACGACACAUUGUUCUGAACUUCCAGGAGGACUGGCCCUACACCGAACCCGUGGACGCGCCCGAGCUGGCUCCGCCGCCGCUCCUGGCGUAGGACACGGGCUUGGGCGGGGCCUGGAGCGACACCGUGCCGCUGCCGAGCAUCAUGACCACCGACGACAUCGCCGGCCGGCCCGCCGGAUCCCCCUGCGCGCACAGCAGCCCGAUGUGGACGCACCGCAGCGCGUCCGUCCUGGAGAACCCGUCGCCCAUGCCCGCCGGGUCUACCAGCUCCGACACCGACCCAUCCGCCCAGCGCUCCCACACCUGCAAUAUUCGCCAUUGGGUCCGGUCAAAAACUGCAGGAAAGCGCAGCGCAGCAGGUGUUUAAUUCACAGCACUCACGAGAGCCAACAGAUCUCCGGAUUGCCCGGAGGCGCAGCCGUUGUUCCUCCUCCCCGUCACGAUCUCCAGAACCAUGACGCCGAAGCUGAACACGUCCGAUUUCACGGAGUAGUUCCCUCGCGUCGCGUACUCGGGCGCCAGGUAUCCGCUAAUAAGCAAUCAACCAGGAAACUUAGUCGCCUAUGGGCCGGAAAAGACUAAUCUGCUGCUACAACAUGGAUAGAUAGUAGUAGUACUCACUAUGUCCCAACGACACGGCUGGUGACGCCCUGCGUCUGGUCUGGGCUGAAGAGCUUGGCGAGGCCGAAGUCUGAAAUCUUGGGGUUCAUGUUGGUGUCCAGCAAGACGUUGCUGGCUUUGAGGUCACGGUGGACUACUUUGAGCUGAGAGUCUUCGUGGAGGUAUUGCAGGCCUCGAGCGAUCCCGUGUAUGAUCUUGUGCCUCUUUCCCCAGUCAAGCUGCUCGCUUUUCUCGGUGUCUACGCAACGUUUCAUAUGUAAGUUCAGAAAGUAGGUAGGAGUGGUCAAUUUUAUGGGAUGCGGCGAUCGAUGGUGCUCCAGACUGCUGAGAAAAUACAGAUAUACUAGAAUAUGUUUUUUCACAAACUGAAGUUAGUAUUACUACCGAAGAGGAUCUGGUCGAGGCUCCGGUUGGGGACGAACUCGUAGACGAGCAGCCUCUCCUCCUGCUCGAAACAGACGCCCACAAGCCUGACCAGAUUCUUGUGCUGAAGCUUUGCGACCAAGGCGAGCUCGUUCGUCAGCUCUCCAACUCCUUGUGUCGAACUCUUGGAUAGCCUCUUCACUGCUAUCUCGUCGCCGUCAGGGAGGGUCCCCUGUGAACAUGAAAUAGGUGCCAAAGCUUAAUUAGAGACCAAUGCAUACGAUUUCAUCUUUGUUCUUUCCUUCUUCUUUUUAAGCAAGAUUUUAUUGCCUUCCGAAUUUCUGUUUGUUUAGUAGUACUACUUCAGCAGUACCUUGUACACCGCACCAAACCCGCCUUCGCCAAGCUUGUUGUUCUCUGCGAAACCACCCGUCGCAGCUCGCAGCGUAGAUAAGUCCAUGAGCAUCGAUUCUAGGCUUUCGAUGUUCUUCGGUUCAGUUGAUUGACCGUUGGCAUCUGUUGAACGAUGGAAUGUUUUUUUUUAAUGUUAGUGCAAGGGAACUGAAUUAAUUAUUGUUUCGACCGUAAUGACAUUUGAGAAUAUUUGCCUCUGGUUUGUGGUCUCUUGGUCCUCCUCCAGAUGCAGAGCCAGACAAGAAGGUUGAUCACCAGCAAAGCUCCGAUGGUUGGCAGCAGAAUUACAAGGACCAUGCCUGUAACAGUGUACUUCCUCUCUGAGAAUUGACCAAUGUAGGGUGACAGAUGUCAGCUUAAAGGCUUUUUUGGAUCAAAGGAGUCAAAAAAAAACCAUAAAAAUAAGAAAAAGAGUAAAUUUCACAAAACAACACAUUUGGAGGCAAUCGUCUCAAGCAGCACCCGUUUCGCUAAUUUGCUAACAACGACCGAAGUGACAUUCUUAGGCAAUUUGGCAGUUUUCGUUGCAGAUCGGACCCAAACCAAAUGUAAGGCGACAGACCAACCCGACCCGUUAGCCUGUCUAAGUUCGAUCCCUUCCUCUCUCCCAAAUCAGCGCAGAGUAGAGAGAUGCGUCGGUCCGCGACGGAGUGCGAGGGGAGAUUCGCCGAUCCGCAAUGGCAAUUCCUCGUCUGCGCUCCGGCCAUGUAGCUCCUCCGCUGCCGAGCGCCACCACAUUCCUCCUCGCCCAUCACCGGCGCCAGCCUUCGCUCCCGCUGGCCUCCUCCCGCAUCCGAGCGCGUUAGCGUGAGCGGCGAGGAGAGGAAGAGGCGCGUGGCGGGCGCGAGCGGGCCGAGCAGGGCGUUGAGAUGUGGGGCAGUGGGCCACGAGGAAGCGGCCGUGGUGCGCGCCGUCGAGGAAAGGGUAGAGGUAGGCAGCCGCCGCCGCCAUUGUUGGCGCGCGGUGGCGGGCCGAGGAGGUGGAGCGAGCGCGAGCUCGGGGCCGGCUGCAGCACGGUCACACCCACACCGGCGGUGGGGAUGGGGCCGGGGAGAGGCAGGCGAGCGGGGGGUUGAGGAGGGAUGGCUGGAUGGAGCUGCGCGGUGGAGCGGGUAAGGGGACGAGAGGAGGAGCGAGACGGCGGAGGCCAUGGGAGAAGCUGAUACUCGGGCCAAACGCAGGCUGCGCCUCGAGGGUCGCGGCCUCCUCGUCCUUCGUCGUCGGCGCAGAGCCGCAGAGACGAGGACGACUAUCGGGUCGGGUUUGUCAUACGUGUACUCUUACAUAUGGGCCCGAGCUUUAAGAAAAGUUGUUAGUACACCUAAGUCGGUUACUUUAGGCUUGUUGUUACAGUCGACCGGUAGAUCUGUGGUUUUUCAGGAAAAUUAGUAAAAACAUGGGUGGCGUGAGAAGACUGCUCUAAAAACUAAUUUACUCUAGGAAAAAUGCAGGAUUAGAAUGGCAUGCCAUGGUGAAUACUACAAGAAUAAAAAACACAUGAACUAUUUGAAAUGAAAGAAGUGUUUGGGAAAAACAAAGGAAUUUGGAGAUUAGAUGGUACUUAAUUAGUUGGAGCAAGAGAGGAGAGAGACAGAGACAAGUUGCAUUGAAACUUUCAAAGGAAAAUUUUCAGGAGGUUAGAUUCUUGCAAAAUUCGGAGGAAAAUUUCCUAUCGAGACAUAUAUAUAAACUUCUAAUCUAUAUUGUGCCUGCGCACUCUCUAGCAAUUCUCGGUGCUCAGUUGCUCACUUCUCACCCCUCUGAAGUCUGAACAAUAUCCAUGAAAGCACAGCCACCCAUUCCCCAUCUCCGCACGCCUCCUUCCCCUCGUCUCCUCCGCUUCGCACGCGCCCCAUCCCUGCACGCCUCCUUCCUGCACCGCCGUCGUCGCCCGGGCGCCCCCAGCCCCGGCCUCUCCCUCUGCCGCCGGCGCAGACUUGCCCCCAACCCUGGCCUCUCCCGCUGCCGCCGGCGCAGACCCGCCCCCAACCUUGGCCUCGUGCGCCCUCAUCCCGAGCCUUCCCAGCCCCGCCGGCGCCGAUGCGCCCCACCCCGGCCUCGGGCGCCCCCAUCCCUAGAAUCCCCCGUCGAAUCCCCCGCAGCCUCCCUCGCUACCACCGGCGCUCCCCUAGCUUCCGCCAGCGACACCCGACCCCAACCCUAGCGUCGCUCACCCUCAUCCCGAGCCUCCUCGCCCUCGGUCCCCGCCGGCGCGCCCCCAUCCCGGGAAUCCCCUGCUGCCCGGCGCGUCACGUUACUGCUGGUGCUGGAUUGGGCUCCCCUCCCUUCUUCUUCGACUCUGAGCUCGCUGGCGACGGGAACGGAGACGACCUAGCGGUGAUGGAGACGCUGCGGUCGUGUUCAUGGGCGCCAGCGUGCUCCCGGCAGCAGCGGACAGGGACCACGAGGUGGCCUGCGUGCGCAGGUGCUUCGAGUACUUCGUCGGGCGCAGGGAUCUCAUUUCUUGUUGAAUGCAACUUCAUUUUAGAUGUUACAUUUGACUGAUUUUACAUGUAAAUUUCAGGUAAGAGUUACUUUUAAGUUUGGUAGAUGUAGUUUCAGCUAGUGUCGUUACUUUCAUGAGCUUACGAGAUGUAGUUUUAAUGUUCAAAGUUACUUUUUAAUUUUUAGAUGUAAAUGUGAUGCCUAAAAGUUACAUCUACUUGUGAGAUGUUUAUGGGUAUUUUAACUAGCAGCAUAUGUUUCUGUUUUGAUUUUGAUUUUGAUUUGUGCUUGCCCUAGCCCUAUUUAUCAAGCGGUUAAUAUACCACCUGUGAUAGUCGAGUUUUGAGAAAGAUUCAUGUGCAAUUUUUUCGUGUACAAUAUGGCCCUUUAUUUUUUUUUGUUGAGGGCCAUUGAGAUCCGAAGAAACAUGGGCGGCAGUAGUAGUCUGGUAGAGAAAGAGAAAUGCUGAUGGGGUAAAAGUUGGGGUGACCCAUUCGUGCGUGGUAGGGUAUAAGUGAGGAAGAUGGAUUGUUUAUUUGUCGUCGCGCGUAAUGCGGGGACCACAAUAGGAGGAAAAGAAAUGAAAGGUCACCCUAUUGGUGCAUGGGGACCACAGCGGACAGGUAUCUGGUCGGGAUGCACUUUGUAUGCCAGAUCGUGCGCGCGCACUCCCUAGCUGCCUCCAUAUAUAAAUUAUUCUAGAGCUAGAACCCUCUGUUUUUCAUGAAAAUUCUUUUGGUCCAGAAAAGGCCUAAAUGAGUGUCUCAAAAGCACGAAACACUAGUACAGUGCUAUGCAAGUGGGACCGUUAAUUAAGAUGCAAUCACUGAACCAUGUGCGUGGAUGCUGUGUGAACAAAACCACAGGCGCCGAUCCGUUACAGGAAGAACGAAGACAGUACCCUGCCUGCUCCAUACGUGGCCUUUUAAAGCAAGUGGCAAAAUUAUAUUAGGAGCACGGGAAAAGUACAAGAAAUGUGGCAACCUAUUUCCCUCACCUGCUAGCUAAGAACAUUGUAUCCCUAGAGCUUGUUUGGUAGCAGCACUCAUGAAAUGAAGUCAAAAUUUCGAUAGAAUUUUGUUUGGUUGAAUUGAAUUUCAUAUUCAAAUUUCAUGUUUGUCUACCACAUGGCCGACUUGUAGAAUGGGAGACAAGUCCGAUAAAAUGAUACCUUUUCUAGAGGAGUCGGGGGUUAGAUAUAGGUGUGAUUUCGUGAAAUUUCAGAUUGAAUUCUUGUGUCCAAUUCCAUGCUGCUGAAAUCCAAAAUGAAUUCUAUAAUUUUAGACCUAAAUGAUACAAGCCAAACAAACUUUGAUACCAUUUUAUCUCCAUGGAAUGUCCCUAGUGUAGAUGCAAAAAUACACAAUUACACAUCCCUAGAACGGCAACCUUUGUAAUAACAUAUUGUAUUACAGGUUUGCUAUAAAGUAGUUGCCUGAAUUUUAGUUAAAAAUCAGUCGACUCGUUUGAUCGUUUGAUCUUAAUCAAACGGCAACACCUAAGAGAGGAAGAAAUGGAGAUGGCAUUUAAAUCUUAAUCCAACAAUUCUGGUUGUCAACUAAUUAGAUUUAAGCAUGCGACCGAGAACUAGCCGCACCCAUUGUAUUGCAUAUAGUUACCAUUGUACUUUCUCUGAUCCUAAAUUAUUGAUUCAAAUUUGUUCAAAUAUGGAUGUAUCUAUUAUUUAAAACGUCUAGAUAUAAUAUUCCGAUAAAAAUUUAGGACGGGUGGGAUUACUGUAUAUAACUGGUGCAUGAUUGCUAAACGACUCUCGCCUGCAGGCUACAGCCAAACAGUCCAACUGUCCAAGAGCAGACUUACGUCAGAGAACUGUACUUACAUACGUAUCGUCGUCAUGAGAUAGUGAAUGAUUUAUUUUUUCUAAUCAUGCGACAAUUUUACGAUUAGAUAAACAUGUACACGGACUGACCUCCUCCAUCUACCGUCGACUCUGGAGCCGGAGCCGGAGCCUUGGACCCUCCGGCCGGCGCAGCCAGCCGCACCGUGACAGGGCCGUCGAGGAAGGAGUAUACCUCGUACCGGUAGCUGCACCUGACCCCAAGAACCCUCCCCCCGACGCGGUCCGUGAACAGCCUCGGCAUCUGGGCAAUGAUGCCGGCCAGGCACCCCCGGCACUGCGCCGGCGUCAGGUCCGGCGUGCACUGCGCCCAGCUGUACACCCUGGGGAACUCCCCGCCAUCGAGGUCGGCCACCCCGGACGCGUACCGCCGCCGCGUGGAGUUGUACGCGGCGUAGUCGGCGGUAGCGCCCACGAGCGCGGCCACCUGGCGGUUGAACCCACCGGGGUCCGUCGUGACGUUCCGGAAGUUGAUCCGGUUCGUCAUCGCGAGGCUGUCCGCGGAGGAGAGGAAACCGGCGUCGGAGGAGUAGUAGAGCACGCAGGGGUCGUAGUAGAUGGCGGCGUCCCUGUCGUAGGCGCACAUGUUCUGGACGUCCUGGAAGGCCGUGGCCAGGCAGCCGGAGCAGAGCGUGGCGUUGGUCACGUCGCCGCGGCAGAGCGCGAGCGCCGAGACCGGGUCGUCGUCGGCGCCGACGACGGCCGUGGCGAAGAGGCCCGGGGACGACGAGGUGUUGGUGGGCAGCGCCGCCGCGAGGAGGCCGAGGUUGGCCUGGUACGUGCUGUUGGCCGUGAAGUUGUUGCCUGCCUUGCCGCACACUUGCCACGGGUACGCCGCGGCGCGCGCCGCGAGCAGCAGCAGCACCAGGGCGACGAGGAUGAAAUGGCCAGCCAUUGCGUCGUGUGUGUACCACUUGGGACUUGGGAGCUGGCAGGUGGGUGUUCUUAUUGAGGAAACGCGGGAGAUCAAUGGAGAGAAUGGACUUGACCGUCCGUUGACUUGACAAGGGCGAUCAAAUUGAGUCCGAAAUAACAAUGCCGAUCAAUGCAGGCAGACCGGCGACUUGGCAUACGACCAUUCCGGUUCUGGAAAGGAAAACCUCGUGCGCUUAUCGUCGUGACGCGGACAAGUUGUCUUUAAUUUUCUGAGUUUCUGUCCCGAGAUUCUUUCCCUGAGGCUCCUGGCACGUACAUUGGCUUGUUAAGCUUAUUAAUGAAACCGCAUAGUGUAUAGUUUGGAUCUAGAAGUUCAACAGAUAUAAAAGACGACCAGCAAGUCCUCGUUGAUUGUUUUCUGCCAACCAUGCUCGCCGGCUACCACAUUCCCGCCGUCGCGGUCAUCGUCGCCGUGCUGCUUCCGCUGGCCGCCGUGACCGGCCAGCCGACGCAGUGGCGCUCCUCGAAGUGCGCCAGCGGCGCCUACGCGGCCAACGGCACAUACCAAGCGAACCUCGCCCUCCUCGCCGCGGCGCUCCCCGCCAACGCCUCGGCCGGCUCCGGCUUCGCCACGGCCACCGUCGGCGCGCUGCCUGACCUCAUCUCCGCGCUGGCGCUCUGCCGCGGCGACGUCGUCACGGACGACACCUCGGCCUCGUCCUGCCGCGCGUGCGUCGCGGCCGGGUUCCGCGGCGCGCAGCGCGACUGCCCCGGCAGGAAGGACGCCACCGUGUACCAGGACGCCUGCGUCCUCCGCUUCUCCGACCAGCGGUUCCUGGACUUCGUCGGCGCCAACUCGCCCGACGGCAUGUUCAGCUCGGACAGCUCGGGGGACAUCAUCACGGCCCCGGCGGCCCUGUUCAACGCCGCCGCCGUCGCGCUCAUGAACGCCACGGCGUCCCACGCCGUGACCGCCGACAAGUACUUCGCCACGGGCGAGGAGGACUUCCACGCGUCGAGCCGUUACCCGAAGAUCUACGGGCUCGCGCAGUGCGCGCCGGACAUGACGGCGCCGCAGUGCCGGAGCUGCCUCACUGGAUUCGUCGCGAACAUACCGUGGUUCUUGAACGGGAAUCCCAGGGGCCGAGCCCUUGGGAUUUGGUGCAACCUCAGGUACAGCGUGGACCCGUUCUACACGGGCGGCGCAAUGGUGAAGCUUUCGGCGCCGGCACCGGCAAUCGUGCCUUCAAUUGCUAUUGCAGAGACGGGAACAGGUUGGGUUCGCUUCUCACUUUUUUUUCCUGUGUCCCGCAAGUUUCGCUCGAGAUUUCCGUUUGAUGUAUCGAAUGAUCUCAACUGUCCAAUUCAGGGAGGAAAAGGAGAAUAGCAGGAAUCUCUGCAGGCGUCGGUUGUUUCCUACUCCUGAUAUUGAUUCUUGCAGCUUGUGCUUUCAUUCGCUUCAAGAGAAGGAAGGCUAACAAGAAUGAUCACUGUGAGUAACCUGUGGAUUGUUCAACCGCUGGAUGUUGUAAUUUACUGAUGCCUCUUUUUCAUACAGCAGCGUUGAACGAAAUGGCGAGAGUGAAAUGCACCGUCUACGAUUUCCUUACGCUGCAAGAGGCAACUGAGAACUUCGCAGAGAAGCAUAAGCUCGGAGAAGGCGGUUUUGGUGCUGUGUAUAAGGUUUAGGAAUAAACAAACAAGAGUGCAGGGGAGGGAUUCUCUACUACUAAAGUCUGUUUUUUUUUCCUACUGAAAAGAAAAUAAUAUUUUUCAGGGAAUCCUCCCGGACGGGCACGAAAUAGCAGUGAAAAAGCUUAUCGACAGUACUGGACAUGGACUGGAUCAGAUACGCAACGAAGUGCUGGUAUUGGCGCAGCUCCAGCACAAGAACCUUGUUAGGUUGGAGGGAUUUUGCUUGCAUCAGAACGAGAUACUGCUUGUUUAUGAAUUCAUCAAAAACGGGAGCCUCGACAACUUUCUAUUCGGUAUUUCCCUGAUUUCCUCUCCAUGUACUAAAAACUCCGAACUUCCUCGGAAGUUGCUAAAGGCAAUGGCUUGGACUAGUAGAUACAAUUGAAGGUUGCAUUAGUAAGUUAACCUGAUGGUUCUGUAUUACUUCUCAUCAAGUAAUUGAACCUUUCGUUGCAGUAGAUGCUAGUAGAAGAAACACACUAAAUUGGAAUGAAGAGUACAACAUCGUUCUUGGAAUUGCCAAGGGAAUAAUGUAUCUUCACGAGGACUCGAGCAUAAGGAUCAUCCACCGGGACCUGAAAGCUAAUAACAUUCUGCUUGACGAGGCCAUGGAUCCGAAAAUUGCAGACUUCGGAUUAGCCAGGCUGCAAGUAGGAGGACAUACUCAAACCAAGACAACCAGAGUUGUUGGAACAUUGUAAGCUCAUGCAUACAAUUCAACCUUCUUAUAUUGCAGAUACCAAAAUGUGUGCUUCCGUGCCGAACUAACUGUCAAUCAUCUGCAGCGGUUAUAUGGCGCCAGAGUAUGCAAUACAUGGGAAUGUGUCGCCAAAGAUCGACAUUUUCAGCUUCGGUGUAUUGGUGCUUGAAAUUGUGACCAAGAGGAGGAACUGUGGCUCUUGCGAGGCCGACACGGUGAAUCUCCUAACUGAUGUGAGUGGCUUUGUACAUUACGUUGCAGAAACCAUAUUUCAAGUCUGAAAGUAAAUUCUGAAGUAACAAAGUGAUGGGGAACAGGUAUGGGCAUGUUGGACCAAAGGGACUGUAUCGCAAAUGAUCGACCAGUCCCUCGAAGGACACUCUCGAGUCCAAGCGCUAAGAUGUGUCCACAUUGGGCUGCUGUGCGUUCAAUCGGACCCCCACGACAGGCCUGACAUUCCGUCCGUCAUUUUCAUGUUGAACAGGGCCGACAUGGAGCUUCAGCCACCAGCACAGCCUGCAUUCUUCUUCGGGAGAGACUCGAACUCAGAUUCCCAGCAAUUGGAGCAAGGCACCUACGUGUACAACCGAUCUGAUGUGAUGAUUGAAGAUAUCUCCGUGAAUGGGCUCACUAUCACGUAUCCAUAUCCUAGAUGAGUCUUUUUUGAGUGUAUAUUCUAGGCAGAUUCUCCCGUACCUAAUACUCCAUCCAGCCUCAACGGAGUAUUAGGGAAGGGCAUAUCUGACUUUUCACAUUUUUGCAUUAAUAAAAAGUUAAAAAAAUAUCACUGCUUAAGCAAACAAACUAACCAAGGGAAACUAGGGAAUUUGCAUAGGAUAAAUCUGGUCCGCGCGCUUCUCAAAGUAGAAGACGACACAUGUCCAGCAGUGAGUGUAUUUAUCAAUGUGUACUUUCUUUAGAUAAUGAUUUAUCAAUAUGUAUGAGAUGUAUUUAUGCUAUUUUAUUUUUCUAAAAUGUACAUUUCAACCAUCAGACUGCACGGCUAGACAUAUUGUUUGUUGGGAUAAAAUAAACUAGCGAAAUGGCCCUCGCAGACUGCACGGCUAGACAUAUAUAAUGCAACAUAUGUGUAUUUUUGUUGCAUCUAAAUUUGUAUCAUUUUAGAUAAUAUUUAAAAUUUUCUUUUAAACAUCAAUGAGUUGUGUAGAUUUGUAUUUAUAUUUGUAUUUUUAAUUAUUAUUUAUGUAAGAUGAAGCAAUAAGCAAUUUUUUUUACCCAACCCUGUUUGUAUCUAUUAGGUCCAUUAUUAAAAAAAAUCGUGUUCAUUAUUCAUUUCAUUGGCAUGUCCACCUUUUCUAAAUUUCUUUUAGCUGACAUUCCACACGAAAUCGUCAUGUUGUGGGUUUGGGUGAGUUUAUUGUCAAUCAGUUUCCGGCUGGCUAUCAAUCUUGCAUGGCAGAUCGAUGUAAGAAGGCCAAUAAUAAUUGCUAGCCAUGUCUUUCCAUUCGAUACUGAUAACAUCUAUCAUGUGAGUCGCGCAGUUUCUUUUUGCAUUUUUUCUAAAAAAAUCAAUCCCCUUUGGUUUACCUCCUCUCAUCAGCAAAAUCAUUUAGUGAACACCUUAUAUCAGAUGUGGAUGUGGCAUGGCAGAGGAUGCCAGAAGUACGCUAGAUUGCGAACUGAGCCUAACUCAGGUGGUUGUUUUCUUGUGGUGGAACCAGCCCACUUAGGUUCCAGUCCCAAACUUGGCAUGUGUGCUCGUAUUUUUUGGAUUUAUUCCAAGCUUUAACCGGCGUUGUGCUUUCAGUGGGAGUGACGUACCCGUCAAUUACAAGGCGCCUGCGGUGACUUUUUCAAUCUCAAAAUGAUCUGCAGGCGGUCCAUUCUCUCGGAGGUGCUAAUAUGAGUAGGGUGUGCGUGCGUGCGUUCAUAGGGUGAGUGUGAGUGCUUGCGUCUGUACUGUGUUUCCUAAAAAAAAGUACGCUAGAUUUGCUUGGGUGUGUUUGUAUGGUGUCAAAAGUGUACCUUACCAGUUCUAUGGAGUUUGCACGGUUUGCGAACGUUUGAUUUUGAUAUUUUGCCAUUCAUAAAACGAAGUUCCAUACUUUAUAUAAAGAUAUUAAUGUUUGUGAUGCCAAAAAAUUGUGUGUUGAAAGAACACACACAUAAUAUGCUUUUGGUUGAGAUAAUCUUCUUUUACGGCAUUUUGUCAAGUGACCACACAUUUGAGCGCCUAUAUUUCACCCGUAUUUAUACCGUUUUAGUUGUUGAGAUGGCCUAUAGUUCAGUUUUCUUAAUCAUUAUUUUUCAUGUGAUGUGAUUGACUUGCACAAAUUUCAAUGUAAAAAGAAUAACUGAACUAUUAGCGAUCGGAGCUAUGGAGUAAAUGAUCGAGGUUGGUGCACAAAUUCUCGAAUUCUACAUUUGCCUACUUAAUAACACAUACGGAGUAGACGUUUGCUUUUAGGCAGUCAUUUUAAUCAUAAGCACCCAGACAGAAAAACCCCGAGAACACAACCUGUAGCCAUAUGUGAGCGCCAUCUAGUUUGGCACAAAUAAGCCACGCCCGAGAUGGAUCUCCAUCUCUGUCCAUGCGAGCCAAAACACACGUGAUUUUUCAAAAUCGACUCUUUAGGUACGCUCAGAAUCCUAUGUAUGAACAGUACGGAGAAAGGAAAAUGAGGCCAAUAUAUUUUUCUGUGAGAUGUUGAGGCCAAUCGCAGCCUAUCACUUGAGAAAUACUACUCCUGUACUAUGUAUGAGCUGUAGGGAGAGAAGCCCAUCUGCAGCCGUCCAUCGGAGCACCAUCCAACGGCAGAGCAUGAUAACGGUGUCGUCCGUCACGGACUAACGGGAAGGGAGGACACAACCCGUUUCCCCCGCCUUCUCCGUCAGCCAGGCCCCAUCGCAGCCGUCAGGGAGCCAUCGGACGGUGGGGGGCACCGGGAGGCCGGCUGAUCUCGCCGUUAUAAAUAGACCCACACACGCUCCUUUCCUUCCCUUCCCUUCCCAUCUCCAUUCCCUCCUCUUGCUUGCACACACAGCAGCAAUGGUGCCGCGCUCCCUCAACUCGACCUCGCUUCCCGACGCCGAUACCCCGCCGCCGCCGCCGCCGCCGCCGAUCGACCCGAACGACGACGCGGAGGAGCAGCUUUCGGCUGAGGCCCCUGACCUGGCUGCCCGCCUGGAGGCGCUGGAGCUGGCGGCGUCCGAACGCGCGGCGGAUUUGUCCUCCUCAUCACGCGCGGGGGUGAUACUUGAGGAGCCGGCGGAGCCUUCGUCUUCCAAGCCGUGGUGGUCGCCGCCACGGUACGUCACUUGCCAACCAGCUGCUGCUUGUGUGGGGUUUAAUUUGGGAGGGUUUGUACUAUGGUUCGGCGGCUUCGAUAUCUCCUCUCUUCUGCGUUUUAGUUUGUUUGGUUUCUUUGAGAAUGCAUGUAAGCAGAUCGAACUGAAGCUUCAUGGGAAGAUUUUGGUACCGAUCGACAUAUGAUCGUUGAUCGAUCUCCGUCUGUUGAAAAAAAGCUGCAGUGUACUGUCGAUCACCUCGCUUAAUAACUUCUGUUGUGUUUCCCUUGCGUUGUUGGUAUUCUCGAAGCAACGAUCUGCGUGCGGUGGUGCCAAUCCGUUGAGAUCUCUUGCAAGCUUUUGGUUGGUUUAUACCGCAGUGCAGCGUUGCAGAGAUCGAGGAAGACAUGGAGUUGUUGUUGUUGUUGUGUGUGUCGGUCUUCUUCGUCUUGCUGUACGAUCGAUCUCUACGUCUUGGUUUCUUUGUUUGGUUUGUGAUUAAUUCGUUCGCAUGCAUGUUUUCUGGCUUCAUCUUGGUGUAGCCAAACCAGCCUGCAGCAUGUUAUCUGCUCUGCAUGCAGUUGUGUGUUGCAGAAAGAGAAAGCCAGGCCCUGGCCUGUACUUUUCAGUCUCGUAUUUGAGCCUUUCGUUCUUCUUUACUCCAUUUGAUUUCGAUCGAUCAAAAUCAGCUAGGCUGCACUUUAUCGUCUGCGCUCUAUGUUACUUUGUGGUGUAAAUUCUUGUUACUUCCUAAGUAAUAUACCUUUUCCUCCUGGUUAAUUUAUUUUGAUUUCUUUCUCCUUCUCGUCUGGAAUUAAUUCACUACGGUUCGCGUCUUAUCCUCCAAACCUUUUUGCUUGUUUCUACUCCCCCGGUCCAUAAUAAGUGUCUCACACUUAGUAUAAAUUUGUACUAAAUUGGAGACACUUAUUAUGGAUCGGAGUGAGUACUUCUUUUACGCUUUAAUUGUCUGCCGGAAUACCUAGUAAAUUACCCUCUUUAUUAAUUAACGGCUUACUGCUUGUCUGUCGUGGAUUAGUCUGUUCUUCACUGCUUCUAUUCUAGAAUGCCAUGUUUUGGUUACUCUGCAGUUUCCGGUUCAACAUCAUAAUUGUACCCUAGUUCUCCACUGCUGAUCUAAUUCUAGUUUAUUACAUAUAUAGUACUGGAGAUACAUGAAUGCCAGUUCGUUUACAGCAUGUUGAGUUUCCAAUUUGACACCACUGGUUCUACUGCUUGUUUACUGCAUAUUAGAGAUGCACGCUGCAUUUUAGAUUCUUUUUUAUUUCAGGGAGAUACAUUUUAGAUUUUCAGUUCAUCAUGUAUAAUUACUACAGUUUCAAAAAAAAGUGUGAUCACUAUGCAAUUUCCAAAUAAUUUGAUACCACAGUGUUGCAUUUCUUUAUUGCGCACUUGCAGGGGCUGGAGAGUGGCCUUCAGCACCGCAACUAUCAGUGACACGCUGGAGAGGCUGGACGACAGCAUCGUCCUCAGACUCCGGGGGAGGGCGCUGCACUGCUUCAACAAUGAGGCCUACGACCUCCAAUGUUACCCGAUCAUACACUCCAAUGGGCAAUACCUGUUUAAGGGAUCCCUGUUUCAGUACCUGUUCUUUGAAGACGAGAAGCUGCACGCUGAGGUGAUCCACUUGAUAUCUUAAUUGUCAACUCAACUCAAGCUGAUGUUGGUUUCAGGAUAAUGGCAGCAGAGGCUGACCGUUAAUACACUGCAUGGUUUUGUCUUUGUCAGAUUGCACGGUACAAGUUCAGCUCAUAUGAGACCCCUUUCCUCCCUAGCCUUCUCAUGGAGCCAAUCACUAGAAUUCCCUGGAGUCUACAGGUUCUAUAUUAUUUAGCUUGUUGAUUAUUAUAGACGUAUCGUUCCUGGUAGUUCCUGGUUGUUCGAUGCAUGAUCAUUUAGGAUUCUAGUGUACUCUUAUUUGCUCUGCUUACUUGUUUGGACAAAGGCCACUCCUAAGCUGAUAGUUGGCAUCAGCAUUAGAUAUCAGGUAGUAGGUAACAAGAAGGCCAUUUUAUUUCUACUAGUCAAGAAAAAGUCACUUUGAGACUGGAUCUGAAAUUUUGGUACCAGACUACUUUAUGUAGAAUGGUAUUUUCAAAAGGUGCUUAAUAGAAGAAGAAAAAUUAUAACCUGUUAUGAGAAUGAUAACACAGUUUUGAGGAUUGGUAACACAGUUUUACACUAGCAAAGUUUGAUAUCGUCUGAUAGUGGAACUCAAAAUCAGUUUUCCUGCUUUUAGAAUACUUUUAAGAAUGUUUACUUGCGCUAAACAUGUUAAGGCAGGAAAGCUUUCAUGGGGCCAUACUCUCUUUGGCUGCACCAUAAAUCAUAGUCCUCCGGAUUUAACCCAGCUAAACUUGUCUGCACAGGGUCUGCAUCCAGCUGCUGAAUCUAUCAACAUAAAUGAGAGGGUUUUGAUAAGGUACUUCUAUGAAUUUCUGCCAAUGCUUGUGAACGAAGGAAGUGAUGGUCAACCUGUAUCAAGCUCUCAGUGUGAUGUCAAGAUUUUACAAGUGAGAGACAUAACUUUGUCUGUUAGUUCUUCAUUCGCCAUCUGCCCUUCACCAUAGAUCAGGCCAUGUUGUUGUCUUGCUUGAUUAAUUGUUCCAGAGCUACGAUUUCCUACCGGAAAGUUCUUCACAACUCUUAACGUGUCACUGUCACUAGUUGAUAUACUCCCUCUGUCCCACAUUAAAUGACUUUCUGUUACAUCUAUCUAGACGCUUUUUAGGCAUAGAUACAGCCAUAUUUGGGCAAAUUUGAGUCACUUAAUAUGGAACGGAGGGAGUACUUGUGAAACAUGUUUCUGUGCCAUGAAGAUUCAUGCAGCAUUCUUUUGAAAUACCAGCACUUCACAUCCUUGACAUUGCUUCUGUGCGAACUUUUUCUCUUUUGAUAAAUUGUUCUGCCUGAACUUUGAUCAACUGCUGCAGGCACUCUCCAAUAGGAUCCACUAUGGCAAAUCUGUGGCAGAGUCAAAGUUCCUGGAGGAACCUGAAAAAUAUACGUCUGCAAUCAGAGAACAAGUAAGUGCACUGCAGUCCAUUCCCCCAUUCUUCAUGGAAAUCACAAUAUGUAGCAGACAGUACACCUGAUUGACAAGCUGCUGUUUGUGUCGAACUUUUAUGCAGGACAACGAUAACCUGAUGGAGACACUGACUAACCCUGAUGCUGAGGAGGAGGUUAUUACGCGUGUGAAGAACAAGGCCAUGGUCUAUAGGCAGGAGGUGGACCCUGAGUUGGUCGGCGAGCUAUAUGACAAGUUGGUCAUCCCAAUGACCAAGGAAGUGCAAGUGCAGUACCUCCUCAGGAGGCUCGAUUAGUCUGAGCCCCAUCCUUUUUGCCUAUCUGCCUGAAGACACUGAACUCUAUGGACAUGCAACAGCUUACCCUGAAAUGAUUAGGCCAUUUUUUACUUCUGACAUCAUGCUCUGGUGCAGUUUUCCUUCCAGUAAUUGCAGCUUCAUGUAGUGUAGUUCGGUUUUCUGGGGAACACAAUGUAGUUGCAGAUUCAUUGAAUCAGAAUGAGUGGUUAAGAGUUGAGAUCAUGCUAUCGUUGAGCGAAUGGCUGGACUUGUGUUACUCUGAAUCUUGUACUUGUUGUUUUUUGUGUUUUAUUGUACUUGCUCCGGCAAGAUGUAUUGCCCCUCGGACACGUUUGAACAAUAUAUUCAGGUGGGGAGACUCCCCCCACAACAACCCCCCCACCACCCCCACACCCUUGAUUCCUAAAAAUAAAGAAUUCUGUGAACAGUGUUAAUGUUUCAUCUUUUCCUGAUAGCCCAUCCUCAGAAUUUUCUCUUUGUAUGUAUUUUUCUAAGUGACAACUGACAAGAAUGUUUAGUUAGCUGCUUCUUGAUGGUUAUUUCUCCUGCUAUUAGGCUGAUGUGGGAUACCAUUACAACUAGUAUUGAUUUUAGGACAUCUUACACUUGGUAAGGAAAAAGGUUCUGUUUUCUUGUCCUCCAAAUUUUGCAGCUUCAGAUGUUUGUCGUAGACAUGGUUGGCUGAUAGAUAAGCCAAGAUUAACUAUUCUCAGAGUGUAAGCUUGGUAGUAAUCUGAAGUUGAGAGAUAAGUCCCCUGCGGACGGGGGCCAACCCAUAUGGUUUGAGCCCAAUUCAUGUCUCAUGGGCUCAAACCAAACCUCUCUACCCAUCUGAAGUUCUGAACCCAGUGCAAAACAUCAAACUCAACGGAAAUUCCACAAUUUCGUUCUAGAAAAUAAUAAUCGGAACUUCCGCAUCAAUAAAUCCAGAUGAAACCGCAUCAAUAAAAAUGGCUUAUGCCAGGUAAAUAUCCUUUCACUAUAUUUUUAAAAUUUCACUAUAAAUGUUUAGUCGCCCAAUAAAUAGACAAUCCCAAUACAAUCAACUGGACAACUACUAUUGUAAUCUGCCAUUGAGAUCGUAAAAUAUAUACCAUGCGGGAAAGGGGAUGAGUAAAUAAUACAUAUGAAGAAGGCUCUGCCCCUACAUCAAACUUGAUAAUUUUUGCAAGAUGAUACACACAAUAAACUCCACGAUAAUCUGAAACUUAUCUCGGUUCAAGUUCAGUAAUCGAAACUUCGUUCGGUGACAUAGGCAACCUGUCCGUGGACUGCGAAACUCCUCGGAAUGGCUCCGAGUGCAUGUCUGAAUCUUUGGUGCCCCAAUUUUGGAAGCAAAAUGCUGGCCUAGAUGGAGCUUGGAGUGACACGGUGCUGCUGCUCAGCAUGACAUUCACCACCGACAUCAUCGGUCUAUCUGCCGGGUCUUCUUGAACACAAAGAAGUCCCACGUGAAUGCACUUCAGCAUCUGGUCUCCAGGAGAAUGCUUAGUCAGGGAUGAAUCCAUUGUUUCUAGAAUUGUUCCCAUUGUCCAAUGCUCCCAUACCUGCAUUACGCAAGUUUAGUGCUCCAUAUUAUUAUUACGGAGUAUAAUAAUAAUAAUAAUUAUUAUUAUUACAGGAUGUAACUUUGGGUAAUAACCGAAGUUUGUAAUAGCCAGAUUACUCACAAAACUUAAGAGAUCAACAGAUUGCUCCGAGUCAAAUGAGCCGCUGUUCCUUCUUCCUGUGACGAUUUCUAGUAUUAAAAUACCAAAGCUAAACACAUCGGACUUGAUGGAGUAAUUCCCACGCAUAGCGUACUCCGGAGCCAUGUAUCCACUGCAAUAAGACCAUUAUAUUACAGACAGGCACACAUGCAAAUUUCUUAUAAUGGGGCAAUGUCUCCAGAACUUACUAGGUUCCGACGACACGGUUCGUGACAUCUUGUGAUUGAUCACUUCCGAACAGCCUUGCUAACCCAAAAUCUGAAAUCUUAGGAUUAAAUUCAUUGUCUAACAGAACAUUGCUUGCUUUAAGGUCCCGAUGAAUUAUUUUGAGCUGAGAAUCUUCAUGGAGAUAUUGUAAGCCUCGAGCAAUCCCAUUGACAAUCCUAAAUCUCUUUCCCCAAUCUAGCUGACUGCUUCUAUCAGGAUCUGUCACACGGAAGGAAAAAAAAAGUCAGAACUGUACACAAGAAAUUUCAGUUGUUUCACUGUUGCAAAAUGGGGAUGAGUUACUCUACCAAAAAGAAUGGUGUCAAUGCUUUUGUUGGGCAUGUAUUCAUACACAAGUAAUUUUUCAUUUUCUUCCAAGCAAACACCGAGAAGUCUCACUAAAUUCUUGUGUUGAAGCUUAGCAACCAAAACAAGCUCAUUUUUUAGCUCCUCUAUCCCUUGUCGAGAACUUUGUGAGAGUCUUUUAACUGCUAUUUCCUCAUCGCCAGCAAGGACUCCCUGUAAAAAUGAAGAUGUUACUCACUAGAAGUUUACAGAACAGAGACUAGAAGGAUACAGUGGAAUGAUAUGAUUACCACCUUAUAAACUGCACCAAACCCUCCUUCGCCAAGUUUAUUGCUUUCAUCAAAGUUAUCUGUUGCGACUCGUAGAGUUGAUAGGUCAAGAAUGAGUGAAUCGAUAGUCUGUAUGUCCUCUGGAUUGGUUGGAUCUAUCAUAAGACAAAGCACAUUCAAAAUAGUGCAAGGCAUUACUGUAAUUCCAGUUUUCAUGUGAGAAUGAUGUCAAAAUAGAACGUUAUUAGGUGCAUCUGUAUAGAACGUUGAAAAUAAUACCAUAUUGGCCAGAAUCUUAAUAUGAAACAGUGCAAUUGGAAAAUAACUGAAAAGACUUACAAGCUAGUGAUUGCUUUCGUGCCGGUUUCCUCUUCCUCAUCCACAGACAAAGGCAAAACAUGACAGCAGCCAUAAUUGCAGCGGCUAUAGGCAGGGCAAUCGCUAAAAUCCUACCAGCACUGUUCGUUGUUCCACCUUUAAAUAAAAGGAAUGAUUAAUAAAAUACAAACAGAAUAUAGUUCUAAAAUAUUCCGAAGAAGAUGAUGCAUCUGCCUUGUUGUGAUGCAACUUUUACUUGAUGAAGCUAUCAACACCUUUGAUGUGUAUAGUGCCCAAAGUUUUAUAUCUUUCUGCUUUGAAUUAAUACAUGGACAGGAGUGUUUCUUACAAGAGCCUGUGUGAAUACGACAAGUAAGAAGGAAAAACGUGCAAUUAUGUAGUAACUGAAUACCAGAUGAGAAGGAGAUACUUGUUUCAAGAAUUUUAUUUCUACUUAGACCAAAUUAUAGAAGGACGAUCUAAUUUCAAAAUGCACUCUUCACAUGAGAUUUUUUAUGGCUAGCAUUCAGCCAGAAUGCAACACUGACCAGGCAGCCAGGGGCUUCUAUGAUGUUCCCUGUUCUCCAGUCAAUCAACUGAUAGCUACGGGACUGCAAGGAAGUCACAAAUACAGAAAAAGGAGAAAGCCAAGUGCUUCUUGAAAAUGAUCUCUGACUCUUUUUCGUUGUUUGCUACUCCUUUUUAAUACAAUUAAAACAACCAAGUGCUUCAGAAUUCCUUUUUAAUAAAUUAAAACAACCAAUAGAAAAACACCUGAUUGGCGGUGACACUACAUAUUACUAGUAUAAUUUGGAAUCGGAUCAAAUUGGGCAACCUGUUAGAAUUAUGUUGUGUAAAUGGACUCGACGCAAUUCACCUUGAGUUUCUUCAGAGAUCGAAUUCUCCCUGAAUCGCGCAAUUGCUUCUAGUAUAAAGACGAGUCGUGCACGCGAAUGCAAAUGAGAUGGAAGUUAUUUCUCCAGGCUCACCUCCUCCGGUUUCCGGUGGCGUCGCGUUCGCCGGCGCCGGCUCUGGAGCUGCCCCCAAGGAAGGCGCCGGGAGCUGCAGCAGCGAAGGCCCGAAGAAGAACGGAUACUGCUCAUACCUGUAGAAGCACUGAAUUCCAAUAAUCCUACCACCCUGCUUCCCGCUGAAGAAUUUGGGCAUGUCCCUGAUGAUAUUCGCGAGGCAGCUCCGGCAAUCGGCCGAUGCCAUGUCCGGCCUGCACUGCGCAAGCCCGUAAAUCUUCGGGUACCCCUUGUCGACCGUCUCGAACCCGGCCUCCCCUGUGCCGAACCGCCUGGAGGAGUUCGCGGCCGCGUAAUCCGCGGUGGCGUUAAGCAGCACGCCCACGGCGUCGUCGAACAGCUUCACCGGCGCGGUCACGUUCUGCGUGUUCAUCAGGGCGAUGGAGUUGCCGUUGUCGCCGCUGGUGUCGGACACGAAGUUCUGGUCGGAGAAGCGGAGGAAGCAAGGGUCGUAGAAGACGGAGGCGUCCCUGUCGUAGGCGCAGAGCUGCUGCGCGUCCUGGAAGGCGGUGGCGACGCAGGCGCCGCAGGCGGAGGCGCUGGUGUCGCCGCGGCAGAGGGCGAGCGCGUAGACGAUGUCCGGCAGGGCGCCGACUCUUCCGGUCGCGAAGAGCGUCCGCGACGAGUUGGCGCUCUUGGGUAGGGUUAGGGAGAGGGCCCGGAUGUUGGCCUGGUAGGUGCUGUUGGCGGUGUAGUUGCUGUUCUUGCCGCAGAGCGGCGUCAGGGCGGCGGCCGGCGGCGCGAGGAGGAAGGCGAGGAGUAGGGCCGCGGCGGGGGCGAGGUGGGAGGGGAGGUGGUGGUGCUGGUGGUGCGAGGCCAUUGGAAUCGGUGGAGAAAACCCGGAGACGGUGGUGAGGUGAAGCACAGCGAGGAGUAUAUGCAGUAGGCAUUUCCUUUAAAAAAAAAAGGGAAGAAGAAGACGAAGAGGGUACCGGUGGUGGGGCCAGGGGCCCUGUGAGUUUGACAUCACUAGAUUGAAAGUCUGACAUGGUUGGCGCCAUCCAUAAAUACACGCGGGCCUGGGCGUGGGCCAUGGCCGGGCCGGACAACAGCGGCGGCGAAAGUGGGUCAAGUGCUUCGUUUCGUUUCCACGCCAAGUCUUCGUGAUGUAGAACUGUACUGUGCUGAGAUGCUCUUCAGACGAUUCCAGCACGGCGUCUAACGGUUGAGUCUACACGUAUACAGCGUAGGUUCCCGUCACCUUGAUGGCUUCACAGGCCUUUUGUUUUUGGACUGGGAUAAAACUCUGAGGGCAAUAGAAUAGAAAGAGUGCAAUUAACUGGAGGAUAGGAUCUGGUGGAUUCCUUCUCCCGAAGGGCAGUUCACUGUAAGCUCUUUCCGUAGAAAAUUAAAAUGGCAGUAAGUUGAUCUCCCAAAAUAUUUUCCGUGGAGAAUGAAUAUUUCUUUGAAAAUUAGUAUCUUUCUGUGGCUGAUUGCCCAUAAGAGUACACUUACUAAGGAUGUAUUGUUGCUCAGGCGAUGGAAGGGGAUCCUAGAUGCCAAUUUUGUGGGGCGAAUGAGACUAUUGAUCAUUUGUUCCUACAUUGCCUCCUUGCGCGUUUUCUGUGGAAUGUAAUUAAAUGUGAUUUUGCUCUUUCUGUUUUCACUGACACGGUCUUUGAUAUCUGGACAAAAUGGCUGCCCCUAAUUAGUGGCAGGUCAAAAAACUUGGUGAUGGUGGGGAUCGCUGGGGUUUUCAUGGUAUUAUGGAAUACUAGAAACAAUGACUGCUUCAAAAAUAUAAAACCUGCUUCUCCUUCUGGGGUUGUGAGAUUAUUAUGCUUUUGGCUUAACCUGUGGUCGAUUCUUCAGAAAAAGUAGACAUAUCAAAACCUCAUGCGGUGGGGAACUAGGCUUGCGGAACAAGUUGCCAAAGAAGUGUUGAAAGCUGCCUGUGGAUGGCAUCCUCUACAUCAGCCAACUGCGCAAUGAGAAGAAAAGUGGUGUUGUUUGAAGUUUGACCCUUUGGUGUCUUGGUCUACUGAAUUGCUGCGGUUCUUAGUUCUGUGUUUUGGUGGUGGCACAUGACAGAGGACUGAUUCAGCUAUGUGAGCUCCUUUUAGUUUACUGUAGCUUUUUGGAGAUCUCUAUCUGUGUUGUGCACUGUAAUGUGUCGUUUUUUUUUUCCUUUUUCUUUUUUCUCGGACCUGAACCUGUAGAACAUGUUGGUUUCUUAUAAUAGAAAUCGGAGAGGGCGAGCCUCUCUUUUUCAAAAAAAAAUACUACCUCCGUUCCAUAAUUCUUGUCGAAAUCUUACAUGUAUCUAGACACUUUUUAGAAAUAUAUACAUCCAUUUUUGAGCAAAUUUAAAACAAGAAUUAUGGAACAUAGGGAGUAAAAAUAAGAAUAAGCAUAAGGGUCGGGUGAUUGGACGCAGAAUCCCAACACUAUGUACCGUGGGCCGGGUCUCACUUAUUAUUUUUUAUGAAAGAAUGUGCAUAAUGUUAUCUGCGGACCAAUAUCCGAUCUCCUUGGAUAAAAUGGAUUAAUAUCUUAUCAUAUGUAUAUGAUUUUCUCCAUGCACUUUAGACUUUGACUUCAUUUGUGUCUAUUUUACCAUUUGGCUAACUAACUUUUUUUCUUCUAUUUUGGCUAUUUUCUCCAAUACAUUAUAAACUAAUUCAAUCAAACAUAUGUGAGCUAGUACAAAUAUUUUAAAAUGUUGUCAACUUUGUCUAACAAGAACUACUACAGAAUCACUUAUUUCUGACGCGUCGGAAAACCUCUAAGCUGACGCAAAACGGACGCGUCUGUAAUCAAGUCUCAGAAAUAACCAAAAUAGUACACGUCGAGACGCGUCAAAGAGAAGGAUUACGUUCUGACGCUUCUUACGAGCGAAUUUUCAUAACUGAACAAGUGCGAGCCAGCGGGUACUUGUAGAGGUCACUCUUCUGACACUUGCUCAUCGGCAAAGCGUUAGAGAAGACUUUUCCUCUUACACAUAUUGACUACGGAUGAGUCAGACAGCUUUCUCCGCUGGCACCUUAUUUGCUAAGAUGCGUCAGAGAACGUUUGUGCGGUUUCAAAAAAAAUUGCGCGCACUGACGAUUUUUCUUCACGUCGUCAGCAGCCAGUUUUGCAAAAACAUAAUUAAAUUAAUUGCACAGAACUAGCCACUAAAUCAAAUGCAGGGUCAAAGAUUAUCAUUGCAUAGAUCUAGACAUACAUUGCAUUACAUGCAAGAUCCAAAUUAACAUACAUUGCAUAUUGCACAAGAUCUAACACUAAGAAAUUGAAACAUCUAACACAACCGUGUCACAGACGGUGAUGAUGGGGAUGCUGCAUUGGUGAUGGUUACCGUGCUGCAUGUCGUCGGAGGAGGACACACUGAAGUAGAGACAGUAACAGUGAACGGUAGCACAAUGACAAAGGGCAGCAACGUGGAUGAUGAGAAGGGAGAGACGGAGUACAAGAAUGGUGGAGGAGGCGAUGGCGAUGGGCACGGUAACGGUGGUGGACAGAAGUGAAGCGCCUUGGGGCACGUCAAGGCCGGCGUCGUUGCCGCAUCCUUUCAUCCACAGCGUCAUCACGGGUCCGGAUAGGGAGACUUGACAGGCGUAGCUUGCUCUUCACCGUUUCGCUCUCCGAAGACGCCGUGCAGAUGAUGGCGCCGACCUCAGAAGAGCCAUGAGGGGUGUCCGAGUCGGAGGAGAGUGCGAUGUAGUCAUCCGUCGAUAAAUGCACCGGUAGCAGAGGUGUAGCUGGCGGACGAAGCGGAGGCGCCAUCGGAUGCCGCACCAUCGGCCGGACCGGCGGCCUCGCCAACGACGACAGAGCAGCCGUCGUCAGAGCAGCAACCAUAGAUCAGUCGGACGAAGCGGAUCUACAAACCCUACCAAGACAAACCCUUUUGGGCGAACCAUGGCGAGGUGGAUGGAGGUAAGAUAUAUGAGGAGCUCGUGGUGCAUCGUCUUCCUCCGUUUGAGGGUAUUUAUAGGCGGGGGUGAGGCCGGGAAACGGACUGGAGGCGGAGGCGAUGGACCAGAAGAGGAGGCCAUGGACUGGAUAAAUAGAUGUAUGUGCAUACUCCCGAGGCGGGUCGCCGGGAGCGCCAUGGCUAUAGGCUCAUACUCCACUCGAUUCCUGAAAUACACUACAUCUCCGCAACGAGGGGCAAACCCGUGAACCUUUAUAAGAUUCGAAAACUCCUCUGAUGCUUCCAAAAGACACUUCACUGACGUUUGUUUGUGUGCCACGCGUCAGAGGUGUGGUUGAGCUUGCCGCGUGCCCUUUGGCCUUCAUCUUUCGCCUUCCCAUGCAAACUCAAUGCCUUCAUCGUUUUGAAUUCCUAAGCAAUAACUCGAUCUAUAUAUGCCUAUAUACAUUCCGGCAUGUGCAUCCUGCAAAGAUCAGUCCGGCGGCCUUGUGUGAUUGAGUUCGAUCGUUCGCUAGCUUUAGAUCAUCGAGAAAAUGGCCUCCUUCUACAUGCAGACGUGGUGUGGGGACUCGUUCCAGUCCUCCUCCAUUGAGGCGGAGAAGAGGGAGUUAGACGGCGAAAGCCCUUACCGGAGGCGGCCGGAGCCGGUCUCAUCGGACGAUGAGGAGGUUCGUCGGAGGAAGCGGCGCCAGAAGAACCGUCGCUGGUCUGUACACGGCGAACUGUGAUGCCACCCCCCCCCCCCCCGGCUCCCGAACCAAUGGCGGCCGCAAAAGGCACCGGGAUGACCCGCCUCCACUGAUGCCUCCGCCACCUCCCCAGACCCAUCGCCGACGCCACCGACGCCGACGCCUCCGAUAACACUGUCGGCAUCAAGCACCGCAACGACCCGCCUCCUCCGCCACCAACGCCUGCAUCUCUUCCCGCUCCGUCUUCGCCUGGAGCUCAGGCUUCAGUACCGCCGCCUUCAUCUCCUCCAGCACCACCUCCGGGAUUUCCAACUGUUCCGGUAUCACUUCAAGCGCUCCGAUCAUUGAUCGGCGCCCUUGAGAAGUGCACCGAGGCAUUGGGGAAGAUAACCAGAAGAGCGCAAGAAUAUUUUUUUUUGUCUUUAUUUGUAUUAUUUUUAUAUUUUUAUAUGUAAUGAUGGAGAUGAACUAUAUUAUAUAUGAUCAAUAUGUAUAUGUAUUUUCAAUUUUCGAUCCAUUCGAGUUUUCUUUAAUUAAAUUAAUUUCGAUCAAUUCGUACAGGACUGACCCGCAAGUAUCAGAAGAGAGAUUUAAAUUUGUAAAAGGUGAAAAAAAAACAUCACAAAUAAUAAUGCAAGACGUACAUCAAGGUUGGAAACAAGCUAGCCUGACGCGUGAUGAACAUGGUCAGAAAAACGCCUAAGAAACACUGACGCUUUACUGCUACUCGAAUGUCAAAGAUUGUGCCGCCCAUGUCUUUGACACGUUCUAAGAAGAAAGCAUCAGGGGAGCUUUACACUCCCCUGACGCUUUACUGCUACUCGAAUGUCAAAUAAUUAGCUUGCAGGAAAAUUAUUUGGGUAUGCUCUUGUCCAUUAAGACCAGAAGAGAAAUUUUGUAAAAGUUAUUGCCAUACAAGUUUAAUCUUGCUCUAUGUUUUGCAAAAACAAUAUAAGCUUUUAAUUAAAGCCUAUCUUUGUUUCUUGCAUGAUAAUUAUCUUUUGUUUAUGUUAUAAUCUGUCCAAAUCUUUUGUAAAACUCUUCAAAACAGAAACUAAACAAGUUGCAAUUAGAAGUAACCAAGUGUGCAUCAUCAUGGCAUAUGCAUCAUAGCAUGUUUUUGUAUUGAAUGUUGUGCUUAUGGUGUGUAUGCUUUCUUUUAUUUUAGAUUGUGUGGAUUGUGAACCUUGUUGUUGUGAAGAGUGAGAGAACUACCACAACCUUGGACAAUGCAACUUCACUUUGAUCAUUUUCCCAAAUAUUUUACUAUGCACUAGUUGUUUUAUUAGAUGCAUUAGGAAUAUUACUCGUACCUUUAUGCUAACUAUAAGUCCCAGGUAGUAUAGUUUACCUUUGCCAUUACCUUGCUACCAAAUUGCCAUAGAUUGUAGUUGAAUGCUAGGCUAUGGUAGUAUCGUGGGGAAAAUUACUACAUUGUGAUAUUGUUAUGCCUUUGGCGAUAUGAAAUGUUUUGAUAGAUUAAGGAAAAACAAUUAAUUCAAUGAACCGUCCUGGGUGGGCUGCUUUGAGGAUUUUGAGGAUUAGCGGCGUCAGAUCCAUUUCUAUGGGUCCCUCUGAGUCGACUUCCCGUGGAUUCGGGAAGGGAUCGUCCAUGGACGUCUCACCCGUGGAUUUCGGGAGUGCCUACGUUGCAACUGUGGAAUGCCACCUGGGGUAACCAAGACUGGACUAGUUUCCUAUUUAGCAGCUUCCAGUACAACCACAAUGCUAUAUGGGCUCUGGCGAGACAAGAGUAAGUUGUAUGAACCUAGACCCGAGAAAUUGUACUGAGGUAGAAUGUGUAGGGGGAGCGUGUUUCUCUCGUGGUUUAGGAAAUUAUUUCUGAAAAUCUCGUAAUCGAUGCCGUUGCUACUCUACCCUGAGGACAGCAAGGGUUUAACCCGUCGGUUUCUUGUGGGGAAUGUGUACAAACUCUCGAGAGCGUCAAAACUACUUAGCCGUGUCCCCGGCAAUGAACAAUUUGAGCAACUAGAUGUGGAGCUGUAAGGAAGGUCUCACUCAUUCUAAUUUCUUAAUAAAAUGAAUGGUUUGAACUUGGGUUUAGGAGCAUUGAUGUGUCUACUCAAUGUCCUUAGUUUAAUAGGAACAUGGGUGUGUCUACCCCAUGUCCAAUAGUGAUAAAAUUCUAUUUGAUUAAAAGAUAGGAUUAAACAACUAAGCUUUUAUGCAAAUUUUCUUGAACCCCACUUUGCCACAUUAUGCAUAUACUUGGUAGGUUCUGAUAUAACUUCUGGUGAAUCUUGCCAAUACAUUCAAUGUAUUGACCCUACUGGCUGCAUCGUUUAAUGAUGCAGGAAGCUCCGACGACGAGUAAGAGUACGUUCUGCUUGUAUUGGUUACAGGCCUAUAUUCCAACACGCUCUCACCGUGGUGUUGAUGUAGCCCUUGUAUCUUUCGUUUUCCGUUGCUAAACAGUUAUUUUAUUUCCAGCUAACCCAUGGGGUUAUGCGAGUUGUAAGUAUUUUUUUUUAAUUCUGGAUGAUGCGUUGUAAUAUUGAGACCUUUGUUCUAUGAUAUUACAUCUUGAAACUGUGUGCGCUAGUGAGUCGAUCCAGGGACUAGCACUAAAACACAGAGAUCGAACCCGUGUACGGAGGCGGUCGCUUCAACAAUGUAGAAUGAUCAAACGAUUCAAAGUUUGGUUGUACAAAUGGUGGUUUCAUAACCAAAUCAUUUUAUUUUGAGUAAAUUUCACAAAACCACACUUUUGGGGGGCAGCUGUGUCGUGGAGCCAAAGUUAACAAAAAACCGUCCGUAAAACCACAAUUUUUGAGUUAAGUUGUCUUAGUAAGCCCAAAACCGCUUAUCCAAAAGGAACUCGAGGUUUUGGUGCGAUCGCUCGGGAAUUGAGACUUAUGAAUUUCACUAAAAGACUCUUGGUGGUUUGGCUCGAAUCCUUGCAGGUGGGGCCCACGUGUCGGUCGCCACAUUAGCCCCAGCCCAAACCCGACCCAUUAGCUACCCAAAAUUAGGCACAAUCUGAUUUGGCUAAUUAGUAACUUUCAUACUUCUAGGUGUUGUGAGACUGAUUAAUUGUUUGUUUCUAGAUGUAUUGGUUUGAUUAUUUUGCCUUUCUAAUGAUCAAUCGUGCAAAUAAUAUGAAAAUACAUAUCUAUUUGAGCCAAAACAUUAAGAGUAUAUUUUGCAAAAUCACAGUUUUUGGGGUAGUCGUGUCGCUGAACCACAGUUAACGAAAAACCAUUCGCAAAACCACACAUUUUGAGUCAAGUUGUCUCAGUCAGCCCGAAACCGGGUGGUUUGGCAGUUUUGCUUGAUUUUUUUAACGUGGGGCCCACCUGUUGGACUCCACGUCGGCCCCGAAAACUUGCAGGAGUGAGAAGGGGGCUGGGGGUUUAAUCGAAGGCUAACGGGUCAGGUCGGGUUGGGGCCGAUGUGGGUCCAUCUGUAAGAAAUCAAGCAAAAUCGUCAAACCACUCGCUUUCGGGCUGACCGAGACAAAUUGACUCAAAGUGUGUGGUUCGGCCAACGUUUUUCGUUAACUGUGGUUCUGCGACAUGACUGCCACAAAAAUUAUGGUUUGCGAAAUUUACUCAAACAUAAAGAUAGAUGAUUAGAAUGUUUUUCAUGUAAUUACACCGGACACCAUGCUAGUUAAGAAUAUGAGCCAAAACACAACGAUAGCCCAAGAUUUUUUUUCUCGCAAUUGUGUCUGACACCAUGCUACACCCCUCCAUUCCUUUAUACAAUCCAUGUAGAUUAUUUUUUUCAUUUUCUCCCUAAUAUGGCUCAUUUGCUUAGCUUUUUGGCUCCCACAUCCGACCAAUAACUGGUUAUGCACAUGUGUUUCUAAACCAUGAAUGGUCACAUUAUAAUUGUUUUGAUACAAGAGGAAAAAAAUCUAUCUGAGCUAUACAAAGGAAUGGACGGAGUAGCUAGCAAAGCAAAAGUCUUGCCGUGAGAAGAUUUUUUUUCUUUUCUUUGGUGUGAAUUUAACAAAGAAUUCGGUUUUGACCUAUUUCCCGAAUAUUGGAUAUUUUUGUUUGACUUAAAUUAGUUUUUUGAUAGUUUUUUUAUAUCUUUUUUCGAUAAAGAGUUUUUAUCCUAUGGUAUAUGAAAUGCAUCAGUGCAUCUGUCUCACGGCAGCCGGGAGGCGACAAAGGCCAUGUUUGUUUGGUCUUCUGGUUCAGUUUUUGGUGCUUCUAACUCUCUAAAAAGCAUUUCUCCCGUUUACACAUGAAGCUGAGAAGCACGUCGGGAGGUAUUUUCCUCCAGAAGCUGCCGGAAGCACCUUCGACGUGCUUCUCAGCUUCAUGUGUAAACGAAAGAAGUGCUUUUUAGAGGGCUAGAAGCAGCAAAAACUGAAGCAGAAACCCAAACAAACAUGUCAAAUCUCCCUCAAAGAGUUCUGCAAAAACAAACCUUUUUCCCUUUAGAAGACACCACAUCAGCAACCGAGAUUCUUUUAUUAAAGCAAAUCUCAUACAGAGGUGGAUAUUGAAGUUUAAAAGGUUUGUCCCCAUACCACCAAUCCUCCCAGAAACAUGUGUCCCCCUACCUUGCCCAAUUAAGAAUUUACACAAGCUCAGGAACUGGUCCUUAAUGCGCACAACUGCCAAAUCCAUUUUCCCAUCAGAGCCUUAUUCAUGAUCGCAAGAUCUAAAAUGCCCAAACCACCCAUCUCUUUCAAUUGGCAUACCUUUUUCCAGGCAACUAAAUGGUAUUUUUUUUAUCUUUUCAUCACCCAGUCACAGCAUGCGGGCUCUGUAGUAGUCAAUUAUUUUUCUGACCCCAACUAGGAGUUCAUAGAAAGAGAUCAUGUACAAGGGAAUACUACUAACGCAGGAGUUGAUGAAAACAUUCCUCCCUCCUAUUGAGAUUAACUUCCCCUGCCAACAACUCAUUCUAUUUUCAAUUUUAUUCUCCACCCUCUUCCAAUGCUUAUUCCUUAUCCUAACUGCAUCAACAGGUAUCCCCAGAUAGGUAAGUGGCAGCUCACCCCUCUUACAGGUAAGAAUACUGCUGAAAAGAUGUUCUCUGUUAAUAGCCUCCCCAAAGCAGUACAAAUCACUUUUAUGAAAAUUUAUUUUGAGGCCUGACAUUUGUUCGAAAGCACUCAAAACAAAUUCAGAUUCUUAGCACUAUCUAGGCCAUCUUGCAUCAAAAAGAUAGUAUCAUCAGCGUACUGCAAUAUAUUAAACACCCCCCCCCCCCCCCCUCCUCCACUAAUUCACAAGCAACUCUUUUAAUGAAGCCAACUUUACUAGCAUUGCAAAGAAGCAUUGCCAAUGCAUCACCUCACCCCCGCCCCUCAUAAUUUCCAUCAUCCAGUCACACCAUUGGUCAGGGAAUCCUUUCAUUUGUAGCAUUUGGUAUACAAAAGAUCAUUUAAUUUUGUCGUAGGCUUUUUCAUAAUCUACCUUAAAUAAGAUUGCAGAUUUCUUUUUUUUUGUGAAUAUGAUUCUUAUUGUACGAUAUUGCAUUAUAAAUGUUUAGUAACCCAAUAAAUAGACAAUCCAGAUACAACCAACUAGGCAACAACUAUUGUAAUCUGCCAUUGAAAUCAUAAAAUAUCUACCAAAGGGGAUGAGUAAAUAAAUACACAUGAAGUAGGGUCUUUCCCUACAUCAAACCUCAUUAUUUUUUGCAAAAUGGUACACACAAAGGACUCCACAAUAAUCUGGGGCUUAUCUCGGCUCAAGUUCAGUAAUAGAAACUUCGUUUGGUGACAUAGGUGACCUGCUGGUGGACUGCGAAACUCCUCGGUAUGGCUCCGAGUGUAUGUCUGAGUCUUUGGUACCCCACUUUUGGAUGCAGAAUGCUGGCCUAGAUGGAGCUUGGAGAGAGACGGUGCUGCUGCUCAGCAUGACAUUCACCACCGACAUCAUCGGUCUAUCUGCUGGGUCCUCUUGAACACAAAGAAGUCCAACGUGAAUGCACUUCAGGAUCUGGUCUCCAGGAGAAUGGUUAGUCAUGGAUGAAUCCAUGAUCUCUAGAAUUGUUCCCAGUGUCCAGUGCUCCCAUACCUGGAUUAAGUAGGUUUAUUGUUCCAACAUUAUUAUUUAUUAUUAUUAUUACAAGACGUAACUUUGGGUGAUAACCAAAGUUUCUAAUAGCAAGAGUACUCACCAAACUUAAGAGGUCAACAGAUUGCUCUGACUCAGAGCCACUGUUUCUUCUUCCUGUGACAAUUUCUAGUAUCAACACACCAAAGCUAAAAACAUCUGACUUGAUGGAGUAAUUCCCACGCAUAGCGUACUCUGGGGCCAUGUAUCCACUGCAAUAAAAACAUUAUAUUACAGAGAGGCACACUACCACAUAUCUUAUAAGGGCAAUGUCUUUAGAACUUACUAGGUUCCGACGACACGGUUCGUGACAUCUUGUGAUUGAUCACUUCCGAAUAGCCUUGCUAACCCAAAAUCUGAAAUCUUAGGAUUAAAUUCAUUGUCUAACAGAACAUUGCUUGCUUUAAGGUCCCGAUGAAUUAUUUUGAGCUGAGAAUCUUCAUGGAGAUAUUGUAAGCCUCGAGCAAUCCCAUUGAUAAUCCUAAAUCUUUUCCCCCAAUCUAGCUGACUGCUUCUUUCAGAAUCUGUCACACAGAAGGAAAAAAGUAGUCAGCACUGUACACAAUAAAUUUCAGUUGUUUCACUGUUGCAAAUGGGGAUGAGUUACUCUACCAAAAAGAAUGGUGUCGAUGCUUUUGUUGGGCAUGUAUUCAUACACAAGUAAUUUUUCAUGUUCUUCCAAGCAAACACCCACAAGUCUCACUAAAUUCUUGUGUUGAAGCUUAGCAACCAAGACAAGCUCAUUUUUCAGCUCCUCUAUUCCUUGUCGAGAACUUUGUGAGAGUCUUUUAACUGCUAUUUCCUCAUCGCCAGCAAGGAUUCCCUGUAAAAAUGAUGAUAUUUAAUCACCUGAAAUUUAAAAAGCAGAGACUAGACGGAUACAGUGGAAUGAUAUAAUUACCACCUUAUAAACCGCACCAAACCCUCCUUCACCAAGUUUAUUGCUUUCGUCAAAGUUAUCUGUUGCGACUCGUAGAGUUGCUAGAUCAAGAAUGAGUGAAUCGAUAGUUUGUAUGUCCUCUGGAUUGGUUGAAUCUAUCAUAAGAGAAAAUACAUUCAAAAUGGCGCAAGGCAUUACUGUAAUUCCAGUUUUCAUGUGAGAAUGAUGUCACUCCCGGACAAAAACUUAGGUACAUCUUUAUAGAACGUUAAAAAGAAUACCAUUUUGUCUGAAAAGACUUACAAGGUAGUGAUUGCUUUCGUGCCGGUUUCCUCUUCCUCCUCCACAGACAAAGACAAAAUAUUACAGCAGCCAAAAUUGCAGCGACUAUAGGCAGUGCGAUUGCUAAAAUCCUGCCAGUACUGUUUGUUGUUCCUGCUGUAAAUGAAAGGCAAGAAUUUUUAUAAUACAGAUUGAAGAACGUUUUACAAAAUUCCAAAGAAGAUGAUGCAUCUGCCUUGUUGACUUGUAUUGUAACCCAACUUUUACUUGAUGAAGCUCUCAACAUUUUUGAUGUUUAUAGUGUGCAAACCUUUAUAUCUUUCUGCUUUGAAUUAAUACAUGGACAGGAGUGAUUCUUAGGACAAAAGCCUAUGUGGAACGACAAGUAAAAAGGAAAAAUGUGCAAUUAUGUAACCGGAAAGAAAAAAGAAACCUGAUGAGAAUAAGUCAAUAAGAUACUUGUUUCAAGAAUGUAUUCCUACUUAGAUGAAAUCAUGGAAGAACGCUCUAAAUUCCAAAAUGCACCCUUAGAGUUCAUAGCUAUUCUGCCAGAAUGCACAACUGACCAGGUCGUCAGGACUCCUAUAAGAGACUUCCCUGUUCUCCAGUCAAUCAACUGAUAGGUACGGGACUGCAGAGAAGUCACUAAUAAACAAAAAGGAGAAAGUCAUGUGCUUCUUGAAAAUGAUAUCUGACUCUUCGUUGUUUGCUAGUUUUCCCACUAUUUUUUAUGUCGACUGUCGUACAAAUCAAGUGCUUCAGAGUUCCUUCUUGAUACAAAUGAAAGAUGCAAUAGAAAAAAGAAACACCAGAUGUUAAUAUGAAUUGAAAUCGAAUCAAAUUGGGCAAACUGUUAGAAUUAUGUGGUGUAAAUGGACUCAAUGCAGUCCACCUUGAGUUUCUUCAGAGAUCGGACCUCACUAUUUUCUCCCCGAAUUGCUCAACUACUUCAGGUUUAAAGAAUGACCAGUGCACGAGAAGAGCAAAUAAGCUGAAGUUAUUUCUCCAGGCUCACCUCCUCCGGCCACCGGUAGCGUUGGAUUCCCCGGCGCUGGCUCUGGAGCUGCCCCCAAGGAAGGCGCCGGGAGCUGUAGCAGCGAAGGACCGGUGAAGAAUGGAUACUGCUCGUACCUGUAGUUGCACUGAAUUCCAAGAAUCCUACCGCCCUGCUUCCCGCUCAUGUAUUGGAGUAUGUACGGGAUGAUAUUUGCGAGGCAGCUCCGGCAAUCGUUGGAUGCCAUGUCAGGCCUGCACUGCGCCAGCCCGUAAAUCUUUGGUUUUCCCUUGUCGACCGUCUCGAAUCCCUCCUCUCCUGUGGCGAACCGCUUGGAGGAGUUCCUGGCCGCGUAAUCCGCGGUGGCGUUCAUGAGCACGCCCACAGCAUCGUUAAACACCUUCACCGGCGCGGUCACGUUCUGUGUGUUCGUCAGGAUGAGGGGGUUGCCGUUGUCGCCGCCGGUAGAGGAGAGGAAAUUCUGGUUGGAAAAGCGGAGGAAGCAGGGGUCGUAAUAGACGGUGGCGUCCUUGUCGUAGGCGCAGAGCUGCUGCGCGUCCUGGAAGGCAGUGGCGACGCAGUCGCCGCAGGCGGAGGCGUUGGUGUCGCCGCGGCAGAGAGCGAGCGCGUAGACGAUGUCCGGCAGGGUCCCUACGCUUUCGGUCGCGAAGAGCGUCCGCGACGAGGAGGUGUUCUUGGGUAGGGUGGUGGAGAGGAGCCGGAUGUUGGCCUGGUAGGUGCUGUUCAAGGUGUAGUUGCUGCUCCCGCCGCAGGACUUCCAUGGCGUUUGGGCGGAGGCUAGCGGCGCUAGGAGGAAGGCGAUGAGUAGGGCCGCGGCGGGGGCGAGGAAGGAGGAGGGGAGGUGGCGGCGCUGGUAGGGCGAGGCCAUUGGAAUUGGGAGGGGCCGAGCCGUAGUCUGUAGACCGGCGGAGGUCUGGAGGAGAAGUGGAGAACCCCGAGAGACGAUGAAAUAAGGCGAAGAAGAUCGAGUCGGAGGACGAGGGGGUGCCGGGUGAUGCCGGGUGAUGGGGCCCUGUGAGUUUGACUUGACUAGAUUAGCAGUCUUGACAGUGGGGCCGUCUCUAAAUGCGCGCGGGGCUCACACACAUGUUCGUGUUGGGUCAACACAGGCCUGUCUGUCGGCCUUGAUGGCUUGAUAGGCUUGUGUCGACCGUCGCCGUGACCGUGAGGGUAGAUGCACCGACGCAUGCCAGAAGGCUUUAUUCCUGCGUGGAGUUUGCUACGCUUGGUAUUGCUCUAUCAAAAUUUUCUUUGCUUAAUUCUUUUCAACGCGGUCUGAAGACUUCCAAAAAUAAUGAAGUCCAGUAAUAUUGUCCAAUUAGUCAUGGAAAAAAAUCGACCCAAACCAAAUUCUUUAAGUUUGACGCCAUAGAAAAGAAACCAAUUCUUCUAUUUUGCGGGCCAUAUGGGGGACGCCGGUGCAAAAGAAAAUUUGGGGGUCUGGCACGUCCUAACCGGGCCCCGCUACUAAAUUCGAAACAAAUUUAAUUUUGGUAUAUUUCAUUAAAUUAGGUGACAUGUCAUAAAGUUUAGCGACAUAUUCAAACUUGCAAUAAUUUAGAUAAUUAAAAUUAAAAAAGACAAAAAAACUAGUCGUCUAGGCGGUUGAUCCAGGACGCGCCGGAGUCGCCGUUGUCGUCGUUGUCGAAGUUGAAGCCGUUGCCGUUGUCAUCGGAGUCGAGGACGAUAACGCCCUGCUCCUGCUUCACCGGCGCCAGGGCCGGCUUCUUCUUCGCCGCCUCCUCGGCCCGCCACGCCUGGACUUCGUCCUCGGUGGCCGUGUAGCCGAGGAGGCGGAGCCGGCAUUGUUCCUCGUCGCUGGCGUGCUCGGUGGCACAUUGACCCGGAAAUUCCUCCGGGUCAUCGUCGCCGCGGUACUGCAUGGCGGCGCUCUCGUACUCCGCCGGAGGCGUCCACUCCGGCUUCAGCCGGACGACGUGGAGUUGGCCGCGCGGCGGCAAUGCAGCUUGCCGUGCUCCGGAGGCGGCGAGCGGAAGGGUGCGCGCCGCCGAGGAAGAAAAGGAGGAGCCGGAGCCACCGCCAAGGUAGUGGUGGCGUCCGGCCGGUGGUGGAGGUGGGGGAGCGCCGCCGUCGAGCCUCGGCUCGUUGCCGACGGCGAUGUGCGCCAAGAUGGUCUAGAGGGACCGCCCCAGCUGCUGCCAGAAGGUGCGCCGGCGCGCGAUAUUGUUCCGCACUGUCGGAUGCGACAUAUCGCGGACGGCGCGCUGGUGCUCCUCCUCGAAGAAGCCAGCCCAGGCGCUGCCGGUGUGGCGGUCCCACUCCGGCAUCACCUGCUGCUGCGGCGUCAGCACACCGUAGUAGUGGACGACGAUGCGUUCCUAGCGACGAGGACCCACCGGCGAGGCUCAACUGCCAGUUGUGGGGGAGGCGGCAGUCUGGCGGCACGGGGUAGCCGACACACGCCAUCGCCUCGGCCUCAUCGAGGCAGAGUCAGCGACGGUCUUGCUAGUUACCGGCCAUGACAUCGAGGAGCAGAAUGGGGUGAGAGGAGGUCGAGGGGGCAGGUCAGCGAGGGAGGAGAAGGGCGAGCAGGAGAAUGGCGAGCUCUCCGGACGGCGUUGCCUUUUAUAGGCGCCGAAGCUAAACCGCGGGGAGUGUGAACGUAGCGAGAACGGCGUUGAGAAUACACGGGGGCGCACCGCGUGGAAGCCGACGAGGAUGGGCGGUGGUUUGACCCGGCACCGCCAUAACUCGCUUGGGAAGCUGAGGCGAAGCCGGUGAGGGCAAGUAAUGCCGAAGCCGGUGAGGGCGAUAAAUGGCGAUGACAAGGUGGGCCCGCGCCAUAAAACGCUUUGCCGGCGCCCCCGCUCGCCUCCUCGUGGGUUGGGUUCGGCCUGGGGGGCGCCGGAUAAAAUUGAGAAUAAAGGGCUGGACUGGGUGGGUUUUUAGGUGCCGGCGCUGCCAUUUGGCGUUUGGGGGGGCGGCUGGAGAUGCUCUAAGUAUGAUAAUGUUGGCCUCCCUCCCUCCUUUCUCUUUUAGCUUGCCUGUAAUUUUCUACUCCUGUUCUCCGUUUUGAACAUUCCAACUCUUUUAAUGGAAUCGCGUCGUAUUCGUCAAAAAAGGAAGUUGCAGGAAUCGGCCACGACCUGGAAAGCAAAUCUAAUCUGAAUCUUUUGUCUCUUCUCAAAAAACGAAUAUGUAAUAUCUCUCCCCGCCAUCAAGGCCAUGGCUCUUCUCCUCCUUCGUCUGCCACUCUGGCGGCAAGAGGGGUGGGGAAAUCUUAUUUGCCUUGCAACGCAAUAGACAGGUCUCUUAGAGUUAUGAUUUAGUUCCUCGGCAACGACAUUAUGGUGAAUAUAGCGUCUGCCGCAGGUAUAGGAAUAGGAUUUCCCUAACUCCUGAUUGAUCUACCUCAUCGGUGCGUAGAGAAGGACGGCGGAUAGUCCAGUCGCUGCUCUUCUAGAGUAGUGAAUUGUCUUUGUGUUUUGUGGAUGGCCUUCGUGCCUUGUGCUUCUCCUCCGAUUGGCGAUGUUUUGCUAACUUUGGCUUCAUCGCCGAGUUAGUGAGGUUAGAUCUUUUCGGAUCUGUCUCGCUUGAUCCGGGUGGUCAUGCAAUCUUCUUUGUCACCUUCUCCGAGGCGGCGGUCCGAUUCUCAUAUCAUCGUUAUGGCUACCAACAACUUCCUUGUUGCUACGUCAACAUUUUCCUGGCUCCGAUGUGGUUCAGAGGUCCAAAGGCAGCAUUGAAUGUCGCUCACGGCGUCGCCGGUGAUUGAAGGGGGGAAAACGUCGUCGGUUUUCUUGAAAAACGUGUGUUAAUUUUUUUUAUGUAAAGAUAGUCAUGUUAUCUGAAAGGGAAACCUUGCCCCUGUAUGGGUUUUGAUGAAUGAUGACAGCAUGGUUGAGGAACUAAUGAGUUACACUGAGUGUUUCAGGUUUUAGUUCCUCAGAAGAGUUGGUUUAACCAGCAUCGACGACCCCUUAAAAUUGAAGUACAGGUACCGGCGUGAAGUAUGAAGAACUCAGUGAAGAACGGUGAAGAACGUCAAGUAUAGCAUUCUUCAUAGGUCUUUCUGUAGCUUUUUCUCACUUGAGUAUAGGAACGCCGUACUAUUAAGGGGGGUUUGAAGUGUGGAGCUGGUUUAGGUGAAACCUUAUUCUUCAUGUUCAGCUUAGGCGAAAACCAUUAUGUGUGUGUUUUUCGUCGGAGUGAAGAAUGAAGCAUUUCAGGCUUCUCAGAAACUUCCGCGUGAAGUCUUCACUCUGAGUUCAAAUGUGUUUGAAAUUCUGUCGCUUUCGUGCUUGACUACCUAAUCUAACCGUUGUGAGACGAAGUGAUAAAGUGUGAGCUGGAGGCUCAAAGUUCACUUUAUCCAAUGGGUCACAACGGCUAGAUCAGCCGUGGCCAAGGCUAUAUAAGACGACCCACCCUGAAGGAAUUCGGUGGUGAUCCCGAGUGAGUUGUUUUGAAGAACACCUGAUAAAAUCCUUAGAGCUGAACUGAGCGUGAAGAAUGGGAUCCCCUCUCUAGCCGAGCACUUGAAGCUUGUUACUCUUGGUGAUUUGCAUCACCUAGACGGCUAGGAGUCAGUGUUGAAGAGCAAUCGAAGAUUGUGAUUUGCCAUCAACCAGUCUGUGAAGGUCCGAAGAUCACCUCAAGAUCUACCACGAGUAACUGGGCGAGACUUCGGUCUUAGCUCAGAAGGAUUGGGUGGACUUGUGUGUCCGCGAGUCUUGUGUGACUCAGCCGCCUCAACGGAGAUGUAGGAUUGUGCCAACAAUCUGAACUUCGGAAACAAAUCCCUGUGUCUUCAGUCUUGGUGAUUUCGUUCCUCAACUUUUACUCUCUAAAGUAUUUACUGAUUCAUUGUGUUGUCCUCAUUGCUGCUGCUAAAUCUAUUCAUCUUUCUUCUUUCCACUGCAACUCUAAAAUUGGUGUAAUUUAAAUCGUUGAAGUACUGUGACUGUUUUCAGUCUUCAGUCUUCAUUUUGAAGAAAGAAUUAAAACUGGUCACAUUCACUCCCCCUCUGUGACAUACUCGAUCUUUCAUUAUCGCAGAAGAAAAAACAAUGCUCUCUUGUUAUUUUGAGGCGCCCAAUUAUUCUAAGAGAAAUACUUUGUCGAUUGACCUGAACUCAUGACACAUUCCUUGAGAUAUUGUGCUUAGAUGUUAUUUUCUUCAGUAGGUUUGACCCUCGAGACAAUAUCUCUCACCUCAUUAAUUGGGCUUUUACAGUUUUGUUAUAGACUCUCGUUUUGUUCUCAAGCCCACUCACGUUGCCACAAUUUAAUCUACGUUAAAGGCAACUGAAAUUUGAAUAAGUAAUUUUUGUAAAUUUCAAAUGUUUUGCACAUAGACUGAGAACGUUUAAUUUUUGUGCAUGUUGGGUGCUACGAAAUUUUCGGGAAAGAAGUUUUGUGGAUUCUACUAAAAUAAAACUAUUAAAAUCUACUAAGGUCACCCGUCGUGAAACCAUUGCAUCUUGGGCCAUCCGAACUUUGCAUCCGAACUUCCGAAGGCUAAACAAUUACUCAUCCGAUUCUCAAAAAAAAACAUUUACUCAUCCGGUUGUUCUGGCCCAGUUCAACAGAAACACAGAAAUGAGGCGACGAGCGGCCUGAGCAGCAGCCCCCCUGGCAGCGUGGCCCCUCCCCCUCCCCCGCCGAUCAUGCAGCCUGCCCCGAAGUACGUCAUAAUUCUAGCGAUUUGUUUUAGUUUGCGCUCAGUAAUGUUUAGUAACGUUUCUGGAUUUGUGUUUGAUUUUGUAAUAUGGCAUGAUUCAUUAUCAGAUUUGGUAGAUUUUACGCUUAUUUAUGGAGUGUUCGAUGUAGCAUCUGAAAACUUUUAGACGGAGUAUAAUGUUCAGAAAAUGCACUCAAAAUCCAGAUACUUCAGAAAUUAGCUAGACAAAUCCUUGAAUUUCUGAAUAUACAAUUGCUAGCGGUUAGUCACGCAUUUGAAAAAAUAUCCUUGCAGACGAACGUUCUGCUUGAGUUCACUGCUUUAGAGCUGAGCAGAAUGCACAUUUCCCCCGAGCUGGAGUUACACGCAUAUCCGGUGGUACGGACAACAAAUCAUUAGUCAGUUAAAUAACAACUGAAGUGGAUAACUGCGAAUUUGUAGGCAAUUUUCCAACAAUUCAAAAACCUUAUUAUAGGCAAUUUCAUGACUUAACUAUGGGUUUAGCCGAUUCAUUGAAGCCGGAUAAAUUUUCCGGGAUGUACUUCAAGAGAUGGCAAUUAAAAGGCCUGCUCUGGUUGCAGACUCUGAAAGUAUCCUGGGUGACAGACGGCAAACCAGAGGAAGAUUUAUCUGAGGAAGUUCAGAAAAAUUUCCAGUAGGCGUUAAAGCCAUAUGAGGAGUUCUUGGCCUGCAUGGCUGCGAGGCGGUGGAGGCUCGCAAGGUCACAUCGCAAGAUGGCCGCACGCAGGGGCGAAGGUAGGAAAAAAAUAUAGGGAGGGCCAGAAUAGAAGGGAUAAUUUAUUAGGGGGGCCAAAGCAUAAAAAUAUGAAGCUUACAUGAUUAAAUUGCAAUGAUUAUACAGGGGCUUAACUAGAAAUUGCAAUUCUUGGGGGGGGGGGGGGGGGCAAGGCCCAGGUUGGCCUGGGAUGUCCCUCCACCACUGGCCGCACGUUGAUCACAGCAAUGCAAUGCCGAUGAUGAACAUGCUGAAAGAUCGGUAUGGUCGAAUAGAGGGGUGAAUAGGCGACUAACAAAUUUUACUUUUUCCUUUUCUUUUCUAGAAAGAUACAAACACUUAAUUUAGGGUUUACUAGAUUCUCUAAAGGUAAUGCAACUGUCGCACCAGUGGCCCACGGGGUUCCAUUGAUGCUGGACGCGUGGGUCGCAACGGCUGAGAUCCCGCAAGGUCGGCUUCCCGCGAAGGGCGAACCCGGGAAGCUUCCCCCCGCAAGGUCAGCUAACAGGCCUUACGAGAAGACACUCACUGGAAGGACCAUCACACCGGAGGUUGAUAGUUCUGACACCAUUGACAACGUCAAAGCCGACAUCCAGAGUAGGAAGAAUAUCCUCCUGCAACGGCAGCCCGGGAAGCGUCGUCCUGGCAAGGUCAAGACGUGCUGCCCCCGCAACGUCCCUGGCACAAGUGCUGGAGCGCCCCCCGGCAACGCGUGCCCGGGCCUACAGGUGGGGUCAGCGGAAUAGUGAAGACAGAGCAUUAAAUGCUCUGACAGAGGCUAUAGCGGCGAGUCUAGUCUUGCACGGCAAGGCUACGAUGGUUACCCUAUGGAUCAUUUUAUUCACCGUGAGCAAUGACCUGGGCAUUGCAUGAAGCCCAGCACGGAUCAACAGUGGAGUACUAAUUGUUGCAUUGAUACGCGUUUAGCUAACGUGUCGCGUUGUAAACAAAGGCACAUGUGGUGUCCCCUUGGCUAUAAAAGGAGGACCAAUGCCACCGGUAAAAGGGUUCAUCAUCCGACCAAGUAAACAGAUCCCUAGAGAGACAAGUAGCUAAGCCCGGGAACUCCCCGACAACCUGUAAUCCUCGUACAAAUUGAAUGCAAAGCCAAAAUCAGGACGUAGGGUGUUACACCUCAGGGUGGCCUGAACCUUGGUAAAAUCUACUUUCCAACACAUCGUGUCUUUGGCCACGCCGGUGAUCGCCGGAGCGAUCCCUUUCGCCCUCCACCAAACCAAAAAGGGGGUGUCCAGCAUCCCCGAUGCCAGAGUUUCGGGCUCCGACAACAAUCCUAGUAUGAAGUGCAAUAGCCAAAGCAACAAGAUAACAAGUAAGCUUACAAGAAUGUAAAAGGUAAGAAUGGAUACCACAAGGAAGACGAAGAUUUGACCGGAGUUCCACCUUUUGGGGUAGGUGUAUGUUUCCGUUUGGAGGAGUGCUCUUCCACAAAGGUACAGGCGCCACAAAGGCUCAUUCUAUUCUCCUCUCACAACACCACAAAGGCGAGGUGGGCUCCACUAAUGGCUUCCUUGAGGGCAAAGUCCGGACCCUUACAAACUUGACCGGGGCUUGCUCCACAACUUAAUUGGAGGCUCCAAAUCCGAUCCCCGAGCUCCUCAACACCAUGGGAGAGCUCAAGGCAACUGCUUCCUUCUGGGGUUCCCAACGACCCAAGAGAAAUAAAAUUCACAAAGCAAACAAGGGGAAUCAAAUUUUUGACUUGGUGAAACCCUAGAUCUCGAUCUUCUGCUCCAAAUCUCAAAGUAUUGGCUUGGGGGAUCAAAUAUGGAGAGAGAUCGAGGGAAAUGAAGUUCUUGUGUUCUUGAGGAGAGAGAUGGGUUGUUCUUGGCUAAAGCUUGGGCAAAAGACCCGUUGGGGACGAAGGGGUAUUUAUAUGUGGUUCCCAAAAUCGAGCCGUUAUGCACUGCGCAGACACAGGCCGGAACUUCCGGCAUAUUCCUCCGAUCCUAACAGAGAGCGACUGGAAGUCGUGGCGGAAGUUCCGGCCGGACUGUAGUCAGAACACAACAUGGCGAAUUUUGUUCCUUCUCUCUCACCUUUUGCGGUAGGCUUUUUAGUGGGUGCAAUUUGUGUAGUUGUGUACGUGAAAUUGAUUCACUCAUUACCUUCCCUUGUGGAUUCCCUCUUAAUAGUACGGAUGUCCUACGACUCAAAUCAAAUCAAAAGCCGUUAACACCGCUACGCUUCUUAGCAUCUUGAGGGUCCACUUCGUUGUCUUGUGCCAACUUCUUUAUAAAAUCUGAAAUACUUGACACAUGAUUAGACACACAGCAUGUUGUCAUCGUCACCAAAACCAGUUAGGAGAGAAAUGCCCUUUCACAUGCUAGCUUUGCUGAUGGCUCUGAUAUUGAAUAAGAUCGGUUGGCUAAUCCUGGCGCUGCAAACAAUGUCAAAAUAAGUUCACUAGUAGCAACACGAGAAUUCGCCAAUAUUUCUUUGGUGCUGGUCCUAGUAAGAAGGCACAAAUCUCAUUUUGUCUUAACAAGUAAUCGUCAGAAGUAUAUGAAAAGUGUUGAGUUUGUGUCGAAUAAUAAUUGUACUAGGUAGGUUAUGUGGACUUGGUGUUGUAAUUGUGGUAUAGGGUGGAGUCCUUGUCAGACUCCAGGUACCCGGAUCCUAUAUAAUCAGGGGACAACCACACGAUAUAACCAUGACAACAUAAUAGCAAUAGGCUCGCAGGGGGAGCCGGCGCCCAGGGUGGCCAGUGUUGCGGUAUUAUGGGGGGAGGAGCGCUCGUAGUCAUGCCCCGGGGAUGUAGGCUUUGGCCGAAUCUCGUUAACAAAUAUCGUGCCUCGGUGUCAUCCUUGAUCGUGCAUCUGCCGGAUUUUGUAACAAGUGGUAUCAGAGCAAGGUGGAGGGAUGCGGAAGAUCUUGACGGAGGUGCGAGGAUCAUGCUUGACGAGCGCCGUGGAACGUCCAAUGCGGUACAAGGUGGAGCAUGGCGGCGAUCGGAAUUCCGAUCGGUGGAGUCGGACACUUCAGGCAGGCGGCCUGAACCGUUCGAUGGGCUGCAGUUGGCAAGUAUCGACCAGGCAUGGUGAUCGGGCCGACACGGUGGCCGGAAAGACGUCGCAGCCCGGACGACGGCUUCGGCUCGCGAUCAGACCGGCGACCAGAUGCAGGGCGACCGGAUAAAUCGGAGCGGGAUGCAUCACGGUGUAGCGGUGGAUCGGUGUAGCAGAAGGCGACAUUGUGACACGAUUAACGAGUUGUGUUAACAGUCUAGGUGGCAAGGUGCGACACGGGUUUGUGCAUAGAAUUUGCGAGGCCGUGGUGGAUGGAUUAUGAACUGGUGUCGGACGCAGUGCAGCAGACGAGAAGAAAAAACAUGCAAGGCAAUGCUAUCACGUAGGAGCCAGGUUUCCAUGUUGAUUUCUGAAAAGGAGUAGUGCUGUUGUUUUCCACGCAAAGAAAGAAGUGCUAGUAGCCUAGUGCUAGCCGGAUUCAACGAAAAAGAAAAGCAAAGGAAGCAAGUGCUCUGGUCGGAUUCAACUAGAAGAAGGAAAGGGCCUUGCAGCACAUGGGAUGGGACAGCUAGUCAGAGAGCUGUCGGUUUCAUCAAAAAAAAAGAAAAAAAAAGGUGGUGCGUUGCAUGAGCGUUGGACUCGGUUUCUAGCUCGCUUUGGCAGUGGAAACGAACGCGUGAUGCGCUGGCUUCCAGCGGCCGACGGCACGAGCGGUGCAGCAGUCCGAUUAGGACACAAAAACGAAGGGCAGGAGGACUCGUAGUCAGGCUAAUCCAGGACCUAUAAAAGCAGCGUCCGGUGGCAAAUCACAGGCACAAACAAAAAUCGAGAACACAAGUUCAGAACAGCGGCGUGAGGCAGCUCUGAGAAGGUGUUGUCGGGGCUGAGGAUUUUCAGUCGAUAGGUCAGAUCGUCGUGCUCGGGCGAUCGGAUCGGCGCAGCAGACGGCUGCGGAAGGCAUCACUAUGAAAAGUCCAGGCACGAGCUUGGAGGAGGCGGUGAGUUCGGGCGACGAGUACUGCGCAAGCGAUCUGCCAGACGACGACAGCAGGGCCGGAAACGAGGGCGAGGUCAUCGCGGAGGUUGAUUCGGAAGAAGAAGCAGUCGAGGAAGCAGCAGAGGCGGGUGACUCGGAGCAAUCAGAUCGGUCUCCACCACCGGUGAGAUAGCUGUGGUUGUCUGAGAUGGCGACCAAUCUCAGGUUGGAGGUGACGAAGUUUGAUGGCAGUGGCAACUUCGGAUUGUGGCAAGUCAGAGUCAAAGAUUUCUUGACGCAACAAGGUACUUUGAAGGGUUUGAAGGAGGAGAAGCCAGCCAAGCUUGAUGAUGAUCAAUGGGAAGAGAUGCAAGCACGGGCAGCCGCUGCUAUACGGUUGUGCUUGUCAGAUGAUGUCAUGAAUCACAUCAUGGAGGAAACUUUGCCUAAGGAAAUUUGGGAUAAAUUAGCCAGUCGUUAUAUGUCCAAGACUCUUACCAACAAAUUGUUUGUGAAGCAGAAGUUUUACAAACUAAAGAUGGCGGAGGGGUCAGAUCUUGCGGAGCACGUGAAUGUCUUCAAUCAAAUUGUGGCUGAUCUAACACGUCUAGAUGUCAAGGUUAAUGAUGAAGACAAGGCAAUAGUUCUUUUAUGUUCGUUGCCAGAGUCCUAUGAGCAUUUAUCUACCACUUUGACAUAUGGCAAAGAAAUCAUCAAGGUUGAGGAUAUUACUGCAGCGUUACUUGCACAUGAUUUGAAAAAGAAAAAUAGGAAAGCCGAUGCAGUUGGAAAUUCUCAUGGUGAAGGUUUGGUUGUCAGUUUUGCCUUGUCUCACCAAGAACAUGGAGAUAAACAUGGUGGACCUGGAGAACAAUCUCAACGACGAGAUGGUUCGGGCCGACAUAGCUGAGGAGCAUGUGGGCCAACUUCUGGGGGACAAGGCAGUACUGCAAGACACCGUUCUCAACAUGGGCACCGUCAUCGAGCACCUGCACUACGAGAAGAAUCUGAUCCAGUUCUCCUUCGACCAGCUCAAGGCAUUCCUGGUCAACGCCGCCGCAGCUGCACCAGCCCCUCCACCGGCACCAACUCAGAUUCCGAUGGAGCCCUAGGGGGAGGAGCCAAUAGAGGAGGAACCUGAGGAGGUGGACACCCCUGCCACGAACACCCGCUCCAGGAAGAGGGCGGAUGGAGCCACCACCUUUGCCGCACUCCCUUAGUCCGAGAUCAGAGACCACCAGACUUUAUAUUUUAUCAUAUCUAUCGUUCGCGUGUUAGUCAUUGACCAUACAGACUUUGUUGUAUGGCAAUGGGCAGUGUGCCAUCAAGAACAAGUUUGAUAUUUGCUGGAUUUUCAAAAAAAUUAAUGAAUGUUUGGUUGUGUGAUUGUGAUAUGCUUGUAUUUAUGUCUGCUUGUGGGGUUUAGAUAUCCUUAGUCUUUGUCUAUAUUUCUCAUCUAUGCUAUCCUAAAUAGAUGCCGCCAAGACGCCAGCCCAACAACAACGCUGACAACAACGAAAUGCGGACGGAAACGCAGCCAUGAUGCAACAGUUGUUGGCAACCCAAACACAGUUCUUUCAGAUGAUCACGCAACAGAUGGCCAACAACAACCAGCAUAACAACCAGAGACUGGACUAGUUUUCUGUUUAGUAGCUUCCAGUACAACCACAUGGUAAUAUGGGCUCUGCCAAGAUUGAGUAAGUCGUAUGAACCUAGAUCCGAGGUGACAUCGGUAUGUAGUCGUAUAGGAGGGGGCGCGUCCCUCAGGUGGUCUGGGGGAUUAUGUUCUGAAAGUCUUGUAAUCGAUGCCGUUGAUACUCUACCUUGAGGACAGUAAGGGAUUAACACGUCGGUUUCUUGUGGAUAAAGUAUACCACCUCUCGAGAGUGUCAAACUAAGUACUUAGCCGUGUCCCUGGUUACGGACAAUUAUGAGCAACUAGAUUUGGGAGCUGUAAGGAAUGUCUCACUUCUUCUAAUCUCUUAAGAAAAUGAAUGGUUUAAACUUGGGAUAGGAGCAUUGGUGUGUCUACCCAAUGUCUAAUAGUUUUAAUAGGAACAUCGAUGUGUCUACCCGGUGUCCAAUAGUUAACAUUAUUGUAACAUCCUUUUGUAGUAUGGUAAAAUUAUAUUCUGCUUCCACGCAAAAAGUUUGAACUCCAGCUUUCCAUAUACUGCAUGUACAUUGUUAGGUCUGUUAUAACUCUUUGGUGAUUUGCCAAUACAUUCCAUGUAUUGACCACGUAGUGGCUGCAACUAAAUGAUGCAGGUGGAUCAGACGACGAAUAAGAUUACGUUUUGUUUGGGGUUGCGAGCCUACAUUCCAACAUGAUUCCUCUGUGGUGUUGAUGUGGCUCCUGAAUGUUUAUCAUUUUCCGCUGCCAAACUCUAUUUUAUUUUCGAGCUAAUCCGAGUGGUUAUGCAACUUUUUAAGUACUAUGAGUUCUGGAUCAAGACGUUGUAAAAAUUCAUUUGACCUUUGCAUCUUGAUACUUCAUCUUGAAACUGUGUGUGCUAGUGAGUCGAUUCAGGGACUAGCACUGUAAGCACAGAGAUCGAACCCUACCCGGGGUUGGCCGCUUCAAGUAUUUUGAUGUGUGUCAAAUUUGUUAUAUAGCUUUAAUGCUUGGCUCCUUUAUUUUGCAUAGUAUACCCAAAGUGUCUUUGUUAUUUCAAAAUGAUAGACAAAUAUAUAUAUAUAUAUAUAUAUAUAUAUAUAUAUAUAUAUAUAUAUAUAUAUAUAGACACACAGACCAUUAAUAAAUUUCAUAGCCUCGAAUAGUCAUGGGCCGAUUUUUGUCCUUUCUAGUGCCUUUUCCAGGGUUGAGAAAAUCGGUGAAGCCAUUGCAAAAUAUAUGUUUAUUUAUGGUGCCUUUGCCCAGAAAGGACAAAGAUCGAGCCACGACUACUCGAGAAAAUGACAUUUAUUAAUGGUAUAUUGUUUUUAUAAUUUUCCAUCCGUUAGAAACAAUGGAGACACACCAUGGGUAUACUAUAUAAAAGAAAGGAGCCAAGCAUUAAAGCUACAUGACAAAUUUGACAAACAUCAUAAUAUCAAGUUAGUAGAACUAUAUAAUGAUGGAGGCUUACCAUGUUUUUCUAAUUGGUGCUAACUUAUUCUCCACCGUUCUUUUGGAUGGGUUAAAAGGUAGUUUCGGCCUUAUGAAGGAGGGUUGUAUCCCUUCGGUGCUUUUGAAAAUACCGUUGACUUCUCAACACAGUGGAGGGACUUCCAUUAGUUGUAAGGAACAUAAUAUUUUUUUUCUCAUCUACAUUUUCCCUUUCCACAUGAGCAAAACAUCCACUAAUGCACCAACAUUGUUCUUUGUAGAUUGUGAGUUUGAAACUGACUUUUUGAGCUUGUUAAUCAUGUUGAGAAAUCAAAUUAAGAGAAGAUCUGCAUAAGUGCUGAUAGAUAUGUCGUUGUUUGCUGAUUUUAAAUGUGGGAUACCUUUUCAUAUAUUUUAGAUGAUCAUUUGUUAAGACAGUGCAUCGCGAGAUUUGUGCCUUUUUACAUGGACCAUCACCAAAGAAGUGUUGUCCAAUUUUUGUGUAUCUACUAGUGAACUUCUUUUGAUAGUGUGUUGCAGCGCUAAGUUUCCGAAGAUUUUUUCCCAUUAGGUGUAGGGAUUGGAAUUAUUUCAUCAAAGGGUUUAGCAGAUUUUGCAGUACCAAGCUAGGCCGGUUUGAUCUUCUUCAGCAAAGCCGUCAUCAGCGCUAGGGUGUUCAUCACCGACAUUGGUGAGAUCAACGUCCGCGUCAGCCUCCUCGACUUCAUUCCGAUCUACUAGCCUAGCCCUACGGCUCACUGAACCGAACACCAUAGCAAUCUCUAAAUUUUACCAAUAAUCAAGACUUAACAAGUUGAUAGAUAUUUUACGCAGAAAAAUUGUAACCAACUAGCAAUAUUUUGUUUAUAAUAAGGACAUGGUGUACGUCAGUACGUGUACGGCGUACCUGAUAACCUGAAUUUGAACUGAAAGUUGAUGAUUGAAGUACGAACUCUCUCUUUUUGACCAAAUGAUUGAAGUACGAACUCUGAAGUCUGAAGUUUGAAGUCCUGGAUCAAUCAAUCUUGCGCCGUGGUCUCGUUCGUACAGUCGUGCUCGCGUUUCUCGUGGGAGAGAAAAAAAUGGGCUUUAUAGACGGCGCUGCGGCCCGUACGGCGUUGUCAAUGGCAUCGAUUCAUUUAUUUGGAAGGCAAUCGAUUCAUAUCUCUAGUUGCCUAAUUACAUGGCUGAAUUCUAGCUACAAUUACGGAACAAUCAUUUAUGUACGUUAGCCAUAUAUAGAAUUUUCUGCAAAAAGAGAGAGGCUAUACAUGGAAUUACUUGUUUUUGUUAGGACAGGAGUUAUUUGUUUUUCAGUAUUGUGAUUACUCGUGCCAUCGGUUCAAUUUUCAUAACUACGUUGCGCGUAAGUAUGUGUCACGUAUUUGCCAUUACUUGUCCAGUUCAGCAGCACGUGUACAAAUAUGUUGGAAUUUAUUUGUAAUGACCGAAGCGGAAACGAUUCAGGCUGCAGCGUCGUUCGCGUAAAAUACAUCAAGUCAAAUCAUCAUUCAGUUAAUCAUGUGUGCAUUGACUGUAGCGCCUGACAUAAUUUUUCUUCUUCUUGGGAUUAGGUUGAUGCCCAAAAGCAUGAGUGCAUGACCAAGUUGAUCAGACGUUGAUCUCCUGAUCUUCAGAUGGAACAGAGCUGUAACGCCUGCAGCAUGUAAGUGUUACGAAAAUUAAAUUUAUGCAGUUCCAACUUCCAAGUCAGAAAGGAGGAAAAACUACUCUUCUGUUUCAUAAUUCUUGUCUCAAAUUUGUCAAAAAUAGAUGUAUCUAUUCAUAAAAAGUGAAUGGAUACAUGUAAUAUUUCGACAAAAAUUAUGAAACGAAGUGAGUACAUAAGAAAUGCGCGCGAGGAGAAAGAAGUGUACUGAAAACUCAUUCUUAUUCAGAUCAUCAGGUGUAUCUAUUCGUUUGAAUUCGAUUCCGUAGAAUAUAACGUCAUAAAGCUGUAUCUUUUUAACAAAAGAAGGAGAAAUUAAACAUUUGGAUACUUAUUCCAAUUGGAGUUUAUUCAUAAAGUAACAGUUUCGCAAGCUAACUCGUAUUGGUAUCCUACGUUCAAAAAAAAAAACUCGUAUUGGUAUCCCAUCUUAGAGUUAAGACGGAUACUUCUAGACUACAAACUUACAUCAUAGAUCUUCUUCUCUUAUCACGCCAUUCCUGAAGAAGCAAGAAGAAAAGCCAUGCAAAUCCAAUUGCUUGAAGUAUCAAUCCCGGACCCAAGAGCUCAAACCAACUGCUCUGGCCUGUGAAAUGAAAUGAAGAGAACUUCAAUUUGAGCAUAACUGAUCAUUAUGUAGCUUCCUCAGGACAGGUUUUGAGGGGAAUCAUUAGAAUGUGAGGUUAUGGUUUUUUUAGGAAAAUGUGAGGUUUUGCUAUUCCUGAGGCUUAGUUCUAAGUCGAUGCUAAUAACCAUCUAAUUUGAUUAAUGAGAUUUAUAGAAGUACAAAAACAUAAGAAGAUUUUCAUAAUUGUCGACGGAGAAAUAACUAUUUCUUAAUCUACUGAUAAAUAGUGCUGCCUAAAAUGUCAGCACAUAAUCAGGGACGGACCAACGCCCAAGACAGCCUGGGCUAUAGGCUUGCGCUUGGAACCAAAUUUCUUUGUAUACGUAUUGAAAAAAAAAUCAAAAAUCUCUACGAAUUUAACACAUGAUACACUGUUUAGCCUAGGCUUGGGUGCUCAGUCUUGGCCUCAAGGCAAACCAUGGUCCGUCACUGCACAUAACAAUAAAUUCGCAACAUGGUGAAAGAAAGCAAGCAGAAUCGUAGCAUAAUAUAUACACGAAUACCAAUAAUAUUGUAAAUUUGUACUUUCUCUGUUUCAAAAUAAGCGACGUAUUAUGUGAAACCAUGGUGAAAUUUGCUAACGUUUGGAUGCACUUGACUAAGUUUCAUGAACCAGCUGCAGAACAGAGCCGAACCAGUCUAUCUGCUUAAUUAGCUUCCCCAAGUAGGUGAUGAUCAGAUAAUUCAGUUCAAUCAUCGCUGGCCCAAGCUACUAAAUGCGUAAGACCAAUGCGCACCCUAAAUCAGCAGAUGCAAGGGAAGGAUGGAAAAUCUCUCACCGAAGACGACAGCGCUAGGGAAACCGGCGAGGCUGAGGCGGCAGGAGUGACCGAAGACGACCGCCUUCUUGCCGUAAGGGCACGCCCUCUCCGCUUCCCGGAAGGCGCCGGCGAUACAGGCGGCGCAGGAGGAAGCGGAGGGGGAGCUGACGGUCCCGUUGCUGUUAAUAAUCAUGUAGCAGUGCGAGGCGGCACGCGGCCGGUUGGGCCAGGACCCGACGCCACGGAACGCAAAGAGGAUAUUGGAGGAGGAGAUCUCGGCCGGGACGAUGGCGGCCAGGCGGCGGAGGUUGGCUUCGUAGGUGCUGUUGGCCUUGUAUGUGCCGCCGCCAUCGAUGCAGUCGACGGUGUACGCGCCGGUGGCGAGAGGCGAGACGGCGACGGCGAGGAGGAAGAGCCAGGAUUGCUGCAUAGCGGCGGUUGGUGACUGGCCGGCGGUGAUGGAUAGGGGAGAAGACUUUUAUGUGCAUCCUACGGAAAGUGAAACAUGUGGGGAGGAUCAGAGGAUUCGGGCAGAUCAGCAGUAUAGCGUGGACCGUGGACGACGACUUUGACCCUGUGCCGGGUCGCCCUCGACGGCCGGGCUCGCCCAAUUGUUGCAAACAGAGCAUAAACAGUAACUACACUAGCACUAGCAGAGCAGUUCCCCGCAGCUCAAUGCACAAUGUCAGCAGUUCUUCGUUCUACAUGACCUCAUUUCAGAUUUUUCAGGCCAACAAGGCUUAUCUGGCUACAAGCUCCGUGAGCGAGACCUCGUUGAGUGACAUCACCGCCGCCGGCCUGCCUGCACCACCAUGCGAGGCUCCCGCUCCCUGACGUGGUUCCGGGUGAGCGCUACUCCCCCGGAUACAGAACGCCGGCUUGGACGGAGCAUGAAGCGCGACGGUGUCGCUGUUAAGGAUCGCAUUCACGGCCGACAUGGUCGGCCUAUCUGCGGGGCUCUCCUGCACGCACAGCAGCCCGAUGUGGACGCACGCCACCAUCUCAUCUUCCGGAAUGCUGCUGCUGCUGGUGGUAAUAAGGGACGGGUCAGCUAUCUCAGAGAUCGUUCCCCUGGUCCAGUUCUCCCAUAUCUGCACCAUGUUUAUGGUUUCUUCACGAAUUUAUAAUUGCAAGGGGUAACAGACUUACAGAAGUAGUCAAGGUAUAAAACUCAUAGAAAAUGUAGUACGUAUAUAGCUACUACUUACAAGAGUUAAGAGGUCAACAGACUGCUCGGAGUUGUAGGAUCCACAGUUUCUUCUUCCUGUUAUGAUCUCUAAAAUCAGAAUGCCGAAGCUAAACACGUCUGAUUUGGUCGAGUAGUGUCCGCGGACGACGUAUUCUGGUGCCAUGUAUCCACUGCCACAAGAGCAUAUGAUCAACUAGGUGAUUUCCCGCACGUUACCGCGGAAAAUUCUAUAUGCACGUCUGGAUAUGAUGUUAGGAACAAAUAAUAAUAAUAUGAUUCAAUGCGAAAGAAAUAUGAAUAUUGCAGGACACCAAAACAAUUAAACAAUAGAAGUAAUUUUGAUGUACAUGAACAUUAACAACUUCAGAAAAACCGAAAAGUGAAACUUCGUCAACCUAAUAUUUGCACAUCUUAGAAACGUACUUGAUGAACGACUUAAUGUGAAAGUGAAAAAUCCUAAGUUUCAAAAUAUUAAAUCGUCGAAUGUACCACCAAAAUGGAUUCCUAGUGAUCUACAACAAAUGAGAUGGAUGGUGAUGUGUACAAUUUGCAUGUCCAUGAUGUGCAUGAUGUGGAUGGUGAUGUGGACACCUUGCAUGUGAAGCUAGCAAAUAUUAAUUGCAAUUAGUGGGCAUCAACUUUAUAAAUUAUAUAGAUAUAGAUUAGUGGUCCGAAAGAAAAUGGCACCAUUACUUAUUUCUACAGUCCAUGGUGGAGUAUAUUACUGUAUUUAUCAGGGCAAGGUUGACUUCACUUACAACGUCCCAACAACUCUGUUUGUGACAUCCUUUGAUUGAUCGCCUUGGCACAGCCUUGCCAGACCAAAGUCUGAAAUCUUCGGAUUCAAAUCUGAAUCCAAAAGAACAUUGCUCGCUUUGAGGUCUCGGUGGAUUAUUUUCAGCUGAGAAUCUUCAUGGACGUACUGUAAACCUCGCGCAAUCCCAUUAAUUAUCUUGAGCCUCUUCCCCCAAUCAAGAUCCUUGCUCUUCUCAGGAUCUGUUAUUGACACAAGGGGUUAGUUAGGCUGGGAGUGCAUUUUCACCAUGGCAUAUAGUUUAAAGAACACAAAGGACUGAGGUGGAAGUUUACCAAAGAGGAUCGUGUCAAGGCUUCUAUUGGGCAUGUAUUCGUAGAUAACAAGCUUCUCGUGCUCUUCCAAGCAAACUCCUAUAAGCCUCACAAGAUUCUUGUGCUGAAGCUUAGCAACCAAAAUGAGCUCUGUUUUCAGUUCUCCUAUUCCUUGCGCUGAACCCUGUGAGAGUCUCUUCACAGCUAUCUCUUGGCCAUCAGGAAGGGCUCCCUGUCCAAGUUCAUAUAAUAAUUAAUUGAUGAACGAAAUUUAAUGUUAAAAGAACCUCUAAGGUCCUAUUUGGAUUGGACGUUUUUCCGCUAAGAAUUUUGAAGUGUAUGAGAUCCCCUUGCACUCUGAGUUUCUCCUUUCGUCUGUACAGUAAUUCUCCUUUUUCCUCCUUCGCGCGACAGUGCUGGUGUAAAUCCCAACUCUUAAUUAAUUGAAUCUGCACUGCCAUUUUGUAAAAAAAAAAAGGCCUGGUGAUUGUAUGAAUAUACCUUGUAAACUGCACCGAAUCCACCUUCCCCAAGCUUAUUUCUUUCUGCAAAAUUUUCUGUUGCAAUUUCCAAUGUCGACAGACCAAGAAAGGAUAAAUUGAUGCUUGGAGCGCUCUCCCAAUUGCGGGAAUCUGUCAAAAUAAAACAGCCACUGUAUAAGUUGGAAGUUUCUGAAACAAAGCAAAAACCUUAUGUGCAUCUCUGAAAGUUCCGACUCAAAACUUGUCGGUGGUUUAAACUCACACAUGAACUUUCUGAGCCAAGGAUCCUUAUUUUCCUUUCUUUUUAGGACCAUCAACCAUAAUUCUUAUAUCCUUUUUAUGGGACCAAUCUGAUGAUAAACACUUACAAAUCCCUUGGCGUAAUUGUCAAGAAUUAGCCAAAACCCACUAUAUAGGGAUGAACGAUGCACUUUCAAUGUGAUCAUAAUCAUGUGUUGCAUGCUCUUUAGGGUUAAUUCACACGUGCGCGUGGAUAAGAGACACACACUCGUGUUUGUGGCGGUGUCAUUGUAGUAUGGUGUAUGAUUCUACCUUGUAUGCUCUAAAAACAUUGUCCAGAGAAGUAUUAUUCUUCCGCUUGCAUAGACACUAAGAAAGUCACCGGUGGUUGUAGUUUUCAAAUAAUAUUUUUUGUAGUUAUUAAACUAAAAGAACUCAAAAGAUCAUUCAUGCUAGAGUAAAGUUACUAGUUUCGUUAAUGUAAUGAGUUGGGAUUUAUAGUGUGGACGACUUACAUGGUAGUGACGACAAUCGUUGGUGUCUUCUACUACUCCAUACACCAAAGCAAACUAAAGUGAAAGCCAAUGCUGAAGAAACUACAACCAGUGCAGCGAUUAGGAUGAUAGUUGAUUUAUUUCUCCUUCCUCCUUCAAAAUGACACUAGAGUUAGAAGCACUUAUAUGUACAAGUAAUAUGAGCUUAACUAGUUUUCUUUCAAGUAAGAAAACUUUUAUUUACAUCAUUGGGUUGUUGAGGUAAACGCUGAUUGGCUACUUUAUCAAUCAACAAAGAUGUUUACAUCUGUAACUAGGAUAUUACAAAUGAAGUCCAAAGGAUCUUCCUGCCAAACAGUAAGAUGAUCGACAAUUGCGUUAACCACUAGUGCAUGUGCUACACUGUUGCUUAAUUUGUCUCCAACAAUAUUCGAAGACCACAUGGUUGAAUCCGCGCGACAAAAACGAACAUUAAUUCUUCAUAGGUAGCUGCUUCUUGUUUGGCUAUUCGGUUGUGCCAUGAUGAUGCGACUUCAUCCAAACAAGGUUUUGCUCAGUUGUGCAAGAUUUUGACCCCCUUAUUUCACGGUACUAGAUUAUAAUAGCUAGUACAAAAUAUCAUAAGAGUAUCAUACAUGAACAAUAAGUCUAGGCACGUAAACAAUGUGAGCCACUCCAAAACAUUUGAAGGACAACAAAACAACAACCCAACCCCAUUCAAACUCACAUGACCAUUCAUUUGGGGUUUAAGAGUAAAUGGACGUGAGCAGUUAUUGGCCGAGUAAGAAAACAAUGAAUUAUAUUAGGAAUAAAUAAAAAAACAUUUAUAGGAGGAGAUGUAUUAUGAAAUGAAGGGAGCAAUAGAUUAAUGUGUAAACAUAUGUUGUACGUUUGAUUGAUGAGAGGCGGGAUUUCCUCCUUUUCAUGGAAGAAAAAAAGAAUCAAUCGCCAUCAUCCGAGCCCCCUUUAAAAGGGUUUACUUUUCUCUAGUUUGGUUGAAACCUGCAGCUCACCUCCAUCCGUCGUUGGUGUCUCACCCGAGGCCGGCGCUGGAAGAUGCAAAAGCGGAGCACCGGAGAAGGGAGGAUACAGUUCGAACCGGUAGUUGCAGCGUAACCCCAGGAUCCUCCCGCCCUGCCGCCUGCUGAAAUGCUUCGGCAUCACCUUCACGAUUCCCUCGAGGCAUCUCCGGCAGUCGGCCGGCGCCAUGUCCGGCGUGCACUGCGCCAGCGCGUAGAUCCUCGGGACGUCGUUCUCAUCAUCAAAGUCCUCCACUCCCGUGCCGUAAUACCGCGAGGAGGAAGAGUCGUUCAGCGCCGCGUAGUCGGCGACAGCGGCGAGGAGCACGCCCACGGCGGCAUCGAACGUCGCAGCCAGGGCGGUCACGUUCUCCCCGUUGGGCAUGAUGUGCCGCUUGGUGUUGUCGAUGGAGGUUAGGAAGUUCUGGUUGGAGAAGCGGAGGUAGCAAGGGUCGUAGUAGACGGCCACGUCCAUGUUGUAGGCGCACACCUGCUGCGCGUCCCGGAAGGCGUUGGACACGCAGACGUUGCAGGCGGAGGCGUUGUUGGUGUCGCCGCGGCAGAGCGUGAGCGCGUACACGGUGUCCGGGAUGGCGCCGACGGCUGCCGUGGCGAAGAGCGUGGCAGAUGAGGAGGCCUCCGUGGGGAGGGUGGUGGAGAGCUGCUUUAGGUUUGAUUGGAAGGGGCUGUUGGCUGUGUAGUUCUGGCUGCUAUCGCAUUCUUGCCACAGCACGUCGCUGGCGGCGAGCCGCGCUAGGAAGGGGACGACGACGACGAUGAUGGAGGCGUAGCACGAGAGUUUGUGAGAGAUCAUGGUGAUAACCAUGGUUGCCCCUGGUGGUGAUGUGCGUUAACUUGGGGACAAAAGAAGAUGUGGUGGCCAGCUGGGUGUAGCUAGCUAGUAGAGAAAACGAGUGGUUCUGGCUUUUUAGGUUGGCUUCGCGUUAGAUCAAGUCACAGUUUGAUUUCCACAAAGGAAAUCCCUGUUUACGUCACGUCCCAAAACAACAAAAAAUUAAUCAAGAGAUGUGCGUGCUCCUGAGAAAGUAUGCAUGGGGGACAUUUUGAAAGGAGAUGAAAUCUUGUCAUAGGUGCCAGCUUAGCUAUAUAUAUAUAUCCACAUCGGCGAAUCGGAGUUAAAGCGGGGCUUGGAUUCUCUGACCCUUUCUGCUCCGCGAAUGUCAUUCAUCAAAUUAAGAUCUGUGUUAACUUAUGGAGGAAGAGUGUUGACUGUUGAUGUACCAAACUGAACGAGUCCUUCUUGCCACGACCAUUUCUUGCGACUUGGGAGCUUUCUUCUUCCAGCUGUUUCGAAUGGGAUAGAGCUAUAACUCUUCCACAUGUUGGAGAAAGGUUUACUCUCAAAUUUUCCGUUGUCAACAUGCCAUCAGAAAUUGCUAUACUAAGCUAGUAGGCCUGCGGUCCAUAUCCUACUGCUGCUCUUUUAAUCGGUUUCGUACAACGUUGAGAAUCAGUAAUACGUCCUUAUAAAAAAAGUGUAUUCCCUCCGUUCCAUAUUAAAUGACGCAAGUUUGUUCAAAUAUGAAUGUAUAUAGGCCUAAAAAGCGUCUAUAUACAUGUAAUAGAAAGUAAUUUAAUAUGGGAUGGAGGGAGUAUUUUUUUAGACAAAAAGCAUUAUGUCAAACUUUAAAUGUAAAUCCCCAAAUGGUGAAAGGGGUACCAAGAUGUCGAAGAAAAAGAACAAGAACAAACAAAUUUGUUUAAACAGGCAAAUAAAAAUGAGACAUGCCGCUCAAAGGUCCUCCAAUACCGAAACAAUUGUUGAUUGACGGUGAGACAAAAUGCAGAAUCUUGACGGGGAACAGGCGAACCAUUAAAGGAUAUACUUUUACUAUAAACUUCGUCAAACUUUAAGAAGUUUGAGUUAGAACAUCCUUUAUUUAAGACAAAAGUACUUUUUUCGUCCCUCAAUUUUUAAAACCGGACACUUUUAGUCCCUUGGUCCAUCCAGAGUGGUUUUUCUAGCCACGUGUCUGCUUUUUGCAUAGUUUUUCACUUAUUUUUUUUCCAAUCAAGAUAUGGAUGAUGCAGGUGGAGGAGAAGUACAACCAGUGCUUGGACGAGAUCCAGAGCACGACGACGACCAAUUUCAACAGCCUCGACGGUCACGGGAUUAAAUGCAAACCGGACACGUGGCUAGACAAACCGCUUCAAAUAGCCUUAAGGACUAGAAGUGUCCGGUUUUGAAAGUUGAGAGAUGAAAAAAGUAUGAAUUGUUUUUGAGAGACCAGAAAUGAAUUUUCCGACAAGUUGAGGGACGAAAAAAGUACUUUUCUCUUUAUUUAAAAGCGGACAGAGUAUUUGUUUACCACUAAAUUACAUCGCGCAGCGUCUUCUUGCCACGCCAUUCCUGGAUCAGCAAGAACAGAAGACAAGCGAACCCAAUGACUUGGAACUGUAGCAUCAAAAUGACAGCUUGGACUGAACCAUUAUACAUCCAAAAUGAUUUCCAAAAUGACAUAUCUGAAAAGAACAUUAACUUGAAGUUAUGAAAACUUAAGAUUACAUAUCACUGAACUCUUACUUUUGGACAUUUGCUUUAAGAAACCCACAACUUCUGUAAAUGUUAUCAUUUAACCAGAUAUAUUAUACUAACCAGUUUCUGGAAAUCCAGAAUAUGACAAUUAAGCAUGUUAACCGCAGAUCUCACUAGUGAGGCCACAUAUCAGCCUCUAUAGCUGAAAUGAGAUGGGAUUUUACUUGCGCGGUCCAGGCCCAUACGUGGCUCCUGUAACUAGAGAAAACUGGUGUGAUAUAGAUCCAUCAAUAUUCACUAAGCAACCAAGCAAAGAGGACGAAAAACAAAAGAAAGAGCAAGAAUGAGAAGGCCAAUAACACUUGUAAGGAAAGGAUUGGCCACAAUAACUUGUUCAGGCUGUUAUCUUCAAGGGCACAAGUUCACUCACUGGUCUAGAGCUGCGCCAGACCUAGCUAUUAGGAAGCAAAAUGAUACGGUAACAUACAUUGGCAUUUAUCAUUCCGUUUUAUUUCAGUUAUCUCGCCAUUUUCCUCGGGUUACAAGAGCCAGGUGCGGGCUUGAACUGGGCAAGCAAAAACUUGAACUGGGCAAGCAAAAACAAAUCCCACUUCUGCGAUAAAGGUUGGUGUGUGGUGUGGAUCCCACCAGUCAGAUAGCGGUUAACAUGCUUGAUUGUAAAAUUAUGAGUUUUUCUCCAAACCAAUUAGUAUAAUGGUUGCAGGUUUUGAAGAAAAGGAAUUGGACACACUGCCUCCGCAUCUAUCGAUGCACACGAUCACUAUAUUGUUAAAGUGAUAAAAUUUCAACAAGUUACGAUUUUCUGGUAACAAUUGUCCAACAAAAACAAGGGUUACGUGAUAUUUACUCAAAACUUAAUUGUACCAAUAAAGCAGAUAAAAUUCUACGGAGAGACAAUACUACAAUACUCAUAUCCAGAGAUACAGUUUAGUGAGAAUUUGAGAUCACUCACGUCUGUUGUUAUCCACCAUAUCUUCCUGCUCCCUGAGUUGCGCAUCAUGGAAGGCGAUUUGGCAUUCGCCACGCUGUACCAUGGCUUCCCUGUGGUACGGGCACAGCCGCCGCGCGUCCAGGAAGGCCAAGGCGAUGCAGGCGACGCAGGUGUCCGACGCAUUGGCGACGUCCGGACGCCGGCGGCAGUAGGCGUACGCGGCGACUUGAUCGGCAUUGGCAUGGGCGGAAGUGGGGCAGGGGCAUAGUUCUGAGGAUGCAUUUACAAGCUCGGCGGCGAGCUUAGCCGCAAGCAACCGUAGCUUGGCCUCGUAGGUGCCGUCGGGAGCGUAGCGGCUUUGCGUCCCGCAGAAGUGGCGGCUGGGCAUGCUGUGGUUGGUUUCCUCGGCCGUGCAGGCCAGCGGCGCGAACACGGCGAGGACGAGUAGGACUGUGGCUUGAGGCAUGGCGGAGAAAGAAUCAAAGAAAUGAAUUUUGGUUGAAUACGGUGUGCCAUGUGCCUGCUGGCUGCUGCACAUUAGCACGUAUAUGAAACUCCCUGCAACAACUUUCUUUGAACUUGAUCGUUGACAAUGUGACCAUGUGAUUAUCUGGUGGCAUGAUGUUGGAGAUUCCAUCUGAUUCGAACUCAGCCUUAAGCCAGUGUUUACAAGAAACGAAACAUCGGUCAGUAUAGUACUAGCACCUUAACCCAGGAAGAAAAUGCUAAGGAAACUAACAUCUCGUUUGGCACCCAUCAUUUGGGCCUACAAUUCUAAAAUUCAUUUGAAUUGUAGAAACCAAAUUGUUUGGUUGGUAGUGAAUUGGUCACGAGAAUUCAAUCUCAAAUUCUAUGAAAUCACACUAUAACUAACUCCAAUUUCUUUCUAAAAGCCAUUAUUUCUAUGAAAUUGUCUCUCACUCUACAAAUCCAUGUGGUAGACAAACAUGAUUUUUGAAUCCGGAAUUCAAAUUCAACCAAAUGAAAUCUUAUGAAAAAUUGGAUUAUACCAAAUGAAAUGAAUGGAUGGAUGCCAAACGAGCCGUAAAAGAAAUUCAGCGGAGUCAACCAUGAGUCCAUGACUGAUAUGGACUACCUCCUCGGUCCUCACAAUGUUCUGCAAAUUAAUUCAAGUUGGAAAGACGUUCAUAUGUUAACAAAUACUAACGAUGUGGUAAAGUUACAACUAAAGAAAUUCAGCGGAGUCAACCAUGACUGAUAUGGACUACCUCCUCGGUCCUCACAAUGUUCUGCAAAUUAAUUCAAGUUGGAAAGACGUUCAUAUGCUAACAAAUAACGAUGUGGUAAAGUUACAACUAUUACAAAGUUCCACUAUCUACCAUCCGGAGGUGAACCAGUUACAAGGUUUACACUUUGUGGUUCCUCUAGCUCAAAUGGAUAUUCUCCUCUGUUCCUAAAAUAAGCCGGCUGCUUUGGGUCAGGCAAGCUUGUGCUCUCAUUCAUAAGCAGUGAGAUAGCAUCCGAGAUCGCAGGCCGAUCAACAGCGUUGUCUUGAACACACAUUAACCCGACAUUAAUGAAUCUCAUAAUGUCCAUAUUUGGAUGCUUAACAUCUAAGCAAGGGUCAAUGAGCUCACACCAAUUUUCCCUUUUCCAUAAUAGCCAAGCCUGAAAAGUGGUAAUGAUUAUGAACUUAACUAAAUCAAACUUCUAGGUUUCCAAGAGUGCCAACCACUAAACACUAAUCAUAGCAGAAAAAAAUGUUUGCAAACUAAUGCAGCCCUGCUGAAAAAGUUUCUUGAUUAUUUGGACAAGAUGCAUAACUAAAGUGGUAACAAAUGUACCUAGUAAAGGGACCAUAUAUAUGUUACUCACAUAUCCAAGAAGAUUGCCAUAAUUCCCGGUUUGGUGGAACCCGUUGUUUCUUUUGCCACUUAUAAUCUCCAGGAGCAGCACACCGAAGCUGAAGACGUCUGACUUGAUCGAGAACUGUCCCUCUGAAGCAUAUUCAGGAGCCAUAUAACCACUGAAUAGAUAAAAUGGUUACAAAUUAGUCGAAUUCAUAACUUACAAAAAGUAACAAUUUAUAUAUUCAUUUUGCAUUUGAGUAUUGCAAUUGAGGUGUGAUCUUACUGUGUUCCCAUAACUCUGCUUGUAUUAGCGUGGGUUUCAUUCGACCCAAAUAUUCGAGCUAGACCAAAAUCCGAUAUCUUCGGGUUCAUAUUAUCGUCUAAGAGAAUAUUGCUCGCUUUUAAAUCCCUGUGUAUAACCCGCCAACGCGAGUGCUUGUGGAGAUAGAGUAGUCCUUGAGCUAUCCCUUCAAUUAUGUGGCGCCUCCUGUUCCAGUUUAAUAGUGAUCUUCUUGUCGUAUCUACAUAUAUAUGAGAAGCACAAAUAUUUUCAGAUGUAGUAAUUAAAAGUAGAGUGACGUUAGUACUAUUCAUAUCGAAAGAUUAUGGAUAACUUGCCAAAUAUGAAGAAGUCCAAGCUUUUGUUUAACAUGUAUUCAUAUAUAAGAAUCUUCUCUUCUCCCUGAAUGCAGCAUCCCAAGAGUCUCACCAAGUUGGUAUGCUGAAGCUUGGCAAUAAGCUGAAUCUCAGUCUUGAACUCAUUCAGACCUUGCCCUGAAUGUUGAGCUAGUCUCUUAACUGCUAUCUCAAGACCAUUUGGCAGUUGUCCCUUCAAUUGUCCAUCAGUCAAAGGGUUAAACCCAAAAAAGAAAGAAAAGAGCUUAGUUUUAUGCCAAAAACAUAGAUGCAUGAUUAAGUAUGUAUAAUUAACUAGGAAUGAAAUUGGAUUGGGGGUUGGACUGACACUUACUCCAUCCUAGUUUGCUGGUUGAUAUUUUUCAUAAUGCCCCGGCUUAUGAUUUGGUUGUCUGUUGACCAAGGGUAAAAUCGGCCUUGUGGACACUCUAUCUAAUCAUUUGGGCAACUUAUGGGCUAAUUUGAAAAGCAAGGUAUUUUCGGUUUUCGGCCCAGUUUUCCUUAUAAACCAGGCCACUUCUUCCGCGGUCGAAUUCUUUUCGACCGUUCUUUGGCAAUAAAUAACCCACUGAAGGUUGUUUCAUCAAAAAAAAAAGCAAGGUAUUUAUGAACAUCUCCAUGGUCCAGCGGUAAUCUACCUUAUUAGCAAUUUAUUUAUAGUAAGUAAAACACAAGGUACUUACUUGGUUGUCCAUUGUAUUUAUAAAUUGUCCUUCCUAUUUUCCGAAAAAUAGUGUGUGGUCCAAGAAACAGUUAUAACUUUCAUUCUUAGGCGGACGUACAUUUUUAUUUUUUUACUUUUUUCCCUUACAUAAUGGUCUCUCUGUUGCAAUGUAUAUAUAAGUCGUAUUUCAUUUCCUACGACCGAGCCUGUGAGCAAUAAUUAGUCUAUCUAUGUAACAUUUGUGAAAUAAAAUUGAUAUCGUUGUAUUCCUAUCACUUAAGUCACAUGUUGAUCAGUAAUUCUUGGUCAAAGGAAAUUGAAUACGCCUGAUACUUUGAAACGGAUGAAGAGUAUGAAGUCAAAAUACUUCAUAAUUUGAUUUUUAUUUCUGUUUUGGUUAGUGAUAUAUUGUUGAUCUACUCUGGCAUGACAAAAUUUGCAAAAUACUUCACCUUGUAUACACGACCAAAACCACCUUCUCCAAGUUUAUUUAUUUCUGAAAAGUUGUUUGUGGCAUCUACUAUCUGAGAGAACUCGAACGUCGAGAAUUCAGAGUGACCCUCUUCCAUCCUCCAGAUCAUUAUAGCCUCCUCUGUGCUAGGCGGAGCAACUUGCAAUUGCGAGUUUGUGUUUCCUAGUCAUCAAUAAGAAAUUGCAAGAGAUGCUUAAUUAUGAAAGAGUAUACAUCACAAAAGGUUCUUUAUUCAAGUUUCUUUUUGGAAGAAUGUACAUUAACUUGGGUACAUAAUUUCUCUCUACAGAACAUAUUACUCCAAUAUACAAGGAGAUCAUUUAUAUAAUCAUUUAUUUUCCUAGAGAAAAUAAUUCCUUACUCUUAUCUCUUUGUCUUGACCGAGUCCACAUAAAGGCAAAAAGGAUGGAAAAUAACAGAAGUGCGAGAGACGCACUCACGGCUAUUAUCCAGAUCUUAUUCUUGAUUCCUGCAUAGAAAUCAAACCAUACACAUCAAUGUGUAAUUACAAACAUGUCAGAGAUACGCCAAGUUUACCAUAUCUCCAAUUUGACACAUCCUUCAACAAGUUUCAUCAAAAGAUUUCAUGCGAGUUUUAACACGGUUUCCCCCUGGGACCAUUGGCUGAAGAAAAGAUGUGCGGAGAACAAGGAAGGGAGAUAGAACGAUGAAUGGAAAAGAAAGACUUUGUAUGCAUAAUGUGAGCUCAUUAUAUGCGUCAACAAGGAUGUACGUGAUGUUCCAGUAGUUCAUAUGAAGUGUUCUAGUAGUUCAUAUGCCGUCUUUCAACAAUCUGCAGGAAAUGUUCCAGUAGUUCUAGCCAAAUCAAUGUGCAAUUUAGUUUUGGGGGAUUUGUUAAAUCUCAGUUGGUUGAGAUUUAAUUACGGCUCAAUCGAUUCUACAGCCAAUCCGAUUUUUUGUAUGGUUUAUUUGUCAUGUUGUCCGUGGUCUAUUUGGUGUGCUCGCAACCCCUGCGUUUGGGCUUCCUAGGCUGUUUGCCCGUGCAUGGUCAUGUCUAGGUUUUGGAAAAAAAUUCCCGUGCAUGGCCCGUGUAUAUGUUUGGGCUUGCUAAUUCUAAGUCUCCUCGUUGUUUCUUAGAGCUCAGUUGAUUACCUGGCCGUCCAAUCAGUCAUUCGUUAAGAUUUGUGUGCCUCAUGCUGGUGCUCAUUUUUGAAUGACAGAAGGCUCGAUGUGAUCCUUUUCUCUGAGGUGGUGUGAUCAUUGUUCCAUGUUCUCUUUUAAUGUGUGCACACUUGAGUUUUUGCACAACACCCGUCCUCGUGUGUAAUCAAGUUUUUUGGGUCAAUUGACCAUCUCUCGUAUUGAAGUGCAAUUGAGUUUUUUUUUAAAUGUGAGUUGCACAUUAAGACCUUUGUUGUGCAACCGUUGCUGAUUCACAUCAACUCUCUUCAUGUGUAGUUGAGUUUUUUUGAAAUGGUGAGUUGCACAUAAAGAUCUUUGAUGUGCAAUUGAGUUUUUUCGGUGAGUUGCACAUCUUCUCUCUUGAUGUGCAAUUUAGUUUUUUAGAGAGAGUUGCACAUUAAGAAAUUUGACCAUUUGAGUUUUUUUGGUGAGUUGCACAUCAUCUCUUUUGAUGUGCAGUUUAGUUAUUUUAGGGUGACUUGCACAUUAAGACUUUUGAUGUGCAAUUUGAGUUUUUUCAUUAUUUCACAUCAUCUCUCGUGAUGUGCAAUUUAAUUUUUAUGUGGGUUGCACAUUAAGACUCUUAAUAUACAGUUUAGUUAUUUUUAAGAUGAGUUGCACAUUAAGUCUCUUGAUGUGCAAUUAAGUUUUCUCUUGUGGGUUUGAGAUUUAAGAGAUUUUUAUUUUCAGACACCUACCCUAGCCUAGAGACUAAUUCAGUAAUCAAGGCCCAGUAAGCACGACAACAAAUACGACUCCAUGUCCGCUAUGCGUACCAGCUAUAUGUGUUAUUGGGGUAUCUAAGUUUUGAAUUUGAUGGUGCGCUCAAUGGACAUAUUUGCUCAAAAGACCAAACAAACAAAGCCCAACCUACAAAGUCAAGCUCAGCUUAAAAAAAAAAAGACCAGACCACGUAUGGUGAAUAUAAAAAUACGAGAUUGGCUAUCGUCGGAAUCGAUUCUUAUUUCUUAGUUGCCUUCUGUAUAGACAGACCCAUUUCAAUUUUGUUCAUAACUUUUAAACAUCGCUUUUAUUUUCAGUUUUCACAUUCAUGGUUCAUCUGAAGUCUCGAACCCCCAGACCGAAAUUCAGUUUGCGGAGAAUAUGUUCCAGUCUCCAGCAAUACAUGCAUAGUCAAUGUUCAACUAAUUCUACCUGCAAAAAAAAGUUUUCAACUAAUUCUAGGAAGUUCAGUAUCUCAUGGAAGCGGUACACCACGAAUUCAUGUUAUCAUUUCAUUUCCCGCCGAUGCAUGUACUCAUGUACUAAUUCUAGGAAGUUUCAGAUUUUGUAAUAGCACAAAUUUGUACUCUCUCCGUUCCAAAAUAAAUGAAGUAGAGUCAGUUAUUUUUCAGGGAACACUGUACAUCUAAUCAAACGGAAAUCAUUUGAAGAUUGGAAGAAUACAUACCUCCUUUGUUCGGUGAACUAACAGGGGUCACCACUUCACGAGGCGUGGGCGGCGGACUCGACGGAAAGGGCGCAGGUGACGGCGCCAGCGUGGUUCCUUCAAUUCUUACCAUCGCCUCGCCAACAUAGAACGGAUACACCUCGAAUCGCACGUUGCACCUCACGCCAGACACUCUCUCCCCUAGAGCCCCACGAAUCCUAAGAGCCAGUUUGUCCAUCAGAUGCGCGAGGCAAUCGCGGCACCACGCGGUCGCCAUGUCCGGCGUGCACUGCGCCAGGCUGUACACCUUCGUUUCCGGCGAAGGAUCACCCGCGCUGAACACGGCCUCGCCGGUGGCCAUCUUCUUCUUGCCUGCAUCAGCUGCUGCAGCCGCAUGCUCUGCUGUCCUGUUCAAGAGCGUAUCCACGAGAACGUCGAAGCUGCCGGCCACAGCGGCGGGCAUCGCCAUUUCCGUGUUGUUGAGGAUGACUACCGGCUCGUUGUCCUUGGAGGAGAGGAAGUCCUGGUCGGAGAAGCGCAUGAUGCAACCGUCGUAGAAGAAAGUGGCGUCCUUGUCGUACGGACAGAUUAUAGAGUUUGAUGCUGCUUCGGAGGCCGUGGAAAGCCACUGGUAGCAGUUGACAUUAUCGGGGGUGUCGCCGCGGCAUAUCCCGAGGCCGUGAACGGUGUCAGGGCCGGCACCGAUGGUCGUCGUUGCGAAGCCGUUGCCUCCACUGAAGGAGGCUUCGUUGGCGAUGUAUUCGGUGACGGACCGGACGUUGUCUUGGUAGGUGCUGUUGGCCUUGUACUUGCCGGUUUUGCCGCAGACAGUGGCGUAGGUGUUACCUGUGGCUAAAGGUGGCUGCAGGUAGGAGAUGAGUAGGAGGAGGAUGGGGACGACGAGACGCCUGGGUAAAGAUUUCAUGGUACUCGAGUGAAGGUGUGGAUUAGCUUAUAGGCAGAGUAGGAGGGUUGUUUGUGCAUGCAGGCUGAUAGCUAUAUAUACCGUACUGACAUAUCUGGUCUUCUCUGAUCGAUCGGUGACUUUCAAUUGACUUGCAUUUUGCCCUUAUACGCAGUACUAGUGUCCCAAUCAAACAGAAGAUCAUGAACAAUGGCUUACAACUUAAAUUUGAGAGAGACAUGUGUCCCGCCGCUCACGGCUAAUCUCGUGGCCCGUCGUGCACGUCUGGACUGGACCGGAUCCAGAAAGCAUUGACCAGCAAAACCGAUCAGUACGUUAGCAUGGAUGCAGGGAUGACUUGGACUUUGAAAGCUAUAUAUAGCAUGCACCUGACCGGCCAAGAGUCCAGUCUACAUGCAUACAAGACAAAGGGCGCAUUGGUGCAAUCACAUACACUCUCCCUUCCUCUCGUAUUAAGUGUUGAAAUAUUACAUGUAUGUAUCUAAACAUAUUUUAAUAUAUAUAAAUAUGUACAUACAUUUUACAUAAAUUUGAGUCACUUGAUAUGAAACGGAGUGGGUCCAGAGUUAGGCGCAGCCUCCCCUCGGCUACCGCAUCGCCACGUCGCGCUCUUUAACGGAGGGGUCAUUGACGUUCGGUCACCUUGCCCGGCUCACUGAUUGAUGCAAUCCGUGAGAUGCACAAAACUUGGGACAGGGUUGAAAUACUUGUGCAUAGUGUUGGUUAGCAAGGCGAAAGAACAGAAAGAAACUGUAUGCUCGCAGCGACUACCUUGACCGAAGCAAAGACAUUCAAUAUGAAUCACACCUGCAUGUGCACACGUUGCUAGCUAAACAUGCAUACGCGUGUACUAUACGGGCCGGGUUGGUACGUACUCGAUUGGGCCCUGUGCUGCACCGGUGCACACGAAAAAAAGAUAAUGACAGUUAUAGUCGUACGGAACCAGAAAUCAGUAGGCCGAGCGGCCCGAUGCAGCACGCAACGUCCUGGGCUGCUAUCCUGUUGAAUUUUAGCACCACAACGAAAACAGUGUGAAAAUCAUGGGCCCAACAAGUCGUCCAAAGUAGUUUCCCCUGUUAGGCUGUUGGACCGGCCUCAACGAGAACAGUGUGAAAAUCAUGGGCCCAACCGGGGAAACAAAUUUGGCGGUUUGUAAACGUGCGUCGGCUCGGGCCAAAUCCUGACUCACCGCAUGUCAGCACUUCCCGUGGCCCAUCUGUCGUCGCUUCCCGUGGCUCAUCCGUCAGAACCAAACGGUCAAAAGGGCUUGACCGUUAGCAGGUGCUCCGUGAGGGUAUCUGUGAGAAAUCACGAAAUGAACGUGUAACAGCGAGCACUAUUUCUGACGUCAAGUAUAACUGAGUACGGUUAAAGAAAGAGAGGCACAGAAAUAAAACGAGAAGAAAAAUCAGAGCCAAAGACACGGUCAUCAGCUUCGCAUUUGCUCGGUUUGAAUAGUCGCCGGCGCGCGUACCGCACCUAUCCUCACACCUGUGCCUGUCAAGAGCAAAACCCUUGCAUCCUGUCUUUUCUUUUCAUUUUCCCGUUUGUCAAAGCACUGCCACAGCCGUACUAGCUCUUCUUACAUGCUCCUGCGUGCGGUCCUACAAUAGACCGUCUGUACAAAACCACAUAGCUGCUGUCACACGUCAAUGACUAUGUCAAUCAGCAGCCAGAAAGCCCCGAAAACAUCCCAAACCCAAACAAUCCGUCUGCAUAUCCACAGUUCCAACACACGGGUAUUAAACGACCACCUGGUUGGCGGUUGCCAUUGCUGCUAGCUACCUUCCUUCCUGGAUGGUGCUGAUGGUCACCUCGUUGGUGCUGCGCGAUCCGGUGAAGUGCGACCGCGUCCGUCGCACCACACCCGGCCCGGCAUCGUCUUCUUCCUCGUCGUCGCUGGUGACCCGCAGGUCGAAGUGCGGCGGCCGCCUCGGGUCCGGCAGCGGCACCCCGUCGUUGCCCAGCAUCGCCGUCACCUCCGUCAUCGUCGGCCGGUCCGUCGCGUUGUCCUGCACGCACAGCAGCGCCACCUUGAUGCACCGCAUCAUGCUCGUACCCGCCUCGCUGCCGUCGCCCGGCGUCUGGUCAACCAGCUCCAACCAUCUCCCUUCCCUCCACAUCUUCCAUGCCUGUCACAAGUCAGAAACCAACCCAAGCACAUUAGUUAAUACCAGUAUAAUAAUAUAACGGUAUCUAUGUCAUUUCUGUUUCAAAAAAAAAAAACUCGGUCAGUAGUUACGUAUAUGUUGCCAAAUGUAAACGCUAGAAGCGAAAAUCUUGACUGAUAGUGGACAAGCCGGCGACCGUUUUGUACUAGUUAGUUUUGGGAUUCGUUGAUGAAGCGAUUUAAGAAAUGUGAAGAUCAUAAUCAGCGUGUGUCGUGUUCUUGUUAGCUAGCUCUUGGCAUUAAAAAUAUCAGACGAGAAGAAUCUUACGUAGCCGAGGAGGUUGACAAAGUCCCCAUAGUGUUGAUGACCGCUGUUCCUUUUGCCGCUCACGAUCUCAAGCAGCAACACUCCAAAGCUGAACACGUCAGACUUUACCGAGAAGAUGCCCUCGGAAGCGUACUCAGGGGCCAUAUAACCGCUGUACGGUAACAUCACGAAAACAAAAUGUGGAGCAAUAUUAGUGGUCAAUCAGCACGCUGCAUUUAUCGAUCGAUUGAGCAGUGUUGACUGUUCAGCAUUGUAAGAAAUUGAUAGGUGUUUAAUUUUGUCUUACUAGGUGCCGACGACCCUGUUGGUGUUGGCCUCCGUCAUGUUGGAGCCGAAGAUCCUUGCCAUGCCGAAAUCCGAUAUCUUGGGGUUCAGAUCUCUGUCCAGCAAAAUGUUGCUGGCCUUGAGAUCCCGGUGGAUGAUGCGCACGCGCGAGUGCUUGUGCAGGUACAGCAGCCCCUGUGCGAUCCCUUCGAUUAUGUGCCGCCGUUUCUUCCAAUCCAGCGACGGUCCUCUCUCUUGGUCUACAUGCCAGACACGCCACUCAGAUUAUCAGUAAGAACAAUCACAGAAGAGCUAACUAAAAUGAGACUAUUGGGAUUACUAGCAUGAAUUAAUUUAAUUUUACCGAAGAUGAAGAAGUCUAGGCUUCUGUUGGGCAAGUACUCGUACACCAGCAUCUUCUCCUCCUCCUGCACGCAGCACCCCAGGAGCUUCACCAGGUUCGUGUGCUGCAGCUUGGCGAUCAGCUGGAUCUCGUUCUUGAACUCCACCAGCCCUUGCCCGGACUGCGCCGACAGCCUCUUCACCGCCACCUCGGUUCCAUCAGGCAACGUACCCUGAAAACGGAAAACAGGAAAAUGGGAUCGGUAAACGUAGAGGUUAGCGUUUGAUCUAUCAUCUAUUCAUCCGGCGCAUUUUAUGCCACAUUGUUCGCUGGUAAUGGAUUAUCGCUUGCCUUGUAAACCGGCCCGAAGCCGCCUCUUCCGAGCCUGUUGUCUUCGGAGAAGUCGUCGGUGGCGACAGCCAGCUCGUUGAAGUCAUACAGCGUGAACUCUGAGCUGCUCUCCUCGAUCUUCCACAGCUUCAGGGCUUCCUCUGUUUUCGAGCUGCUUCUGGAAUGGGGUGGUAGAUGGGGCAAUUUCGUCUUCCCUGGAUUGGAAAUUCGUAGCUAUUUAGACAACUUUUGGUAAGCAAAUUCAAGGUGUGGAGAAAAUAACACAUGCUUUUGUGGCAUCGUGGCGUCGUCUUUUACCUCCUCCUUUUCUUUGUCUUCUGAUCAGCAGGAGGCACCCGACUAACAUAGCACAGAACACCGUAAUCGACAAGCAUAGAACGAUAAUUAAGGUCUUCUUCUGAUUGCUUCCUGUAGGUGAAGAUGGGGCGAAUCCGAUCCUGACAACCGGGGAACCGCCGAAGAACUGGUAGCCCUCAUAGCGGAAGUUGCAGCGGACGCCGAGGAUGCGGCCGCCCUCGCGGCCGUCGUACCACUGGCGGAUCAGCUCCUUGAGGCCCUGGAAGCAGCGCAAGCACUGGGCCGGGGAGAGCGCCGGCGUGCACUGCGCGAGCCCGUACACCGUCGGCAGCGUCGGGUUGAUGUACAUGGCGGCGCUGGCGAAGCGGCGGGCCGGGGAGUUGUAGGACCCGUAUAUGGACAUCUCCGAGAACAGGGUGUCCACCCGCGACAGGAAGAGGCUCUGGGACGUGGCGUUGCGGCUGUCCCAAUCGGCGUACGUCGAACUGUUGGCGUCCAUGGCGUUGAUCACGGGGCUGUUGUCGUCGGGGCGGGCCAGGAAGUCGUCGCCGGAGUAGCGGAGCGUGCAGAGGUCGUGGUAGAACGUGGCGUCCCUGACGCCGGCGCAGAGGCCCCGCAGCUUUCGGAACGCGUCGUCGAGGCAGCCGGAGCACGCCCUGGCGUCCGUGAUGUCGCCGCGGCAGAGCGCGAGGCCGUAGACUGUGUCAGGGCCGGUGCCGAUGGUGGCCGAGGCGAAGAGCGAUGGUGCGGCGGAGGCGUCUGCGGGGAGCGCCGCGGUGAGGCGCUCGAGGUUGGCCCCGAAGGCGUCGUUCGCCGUGUAGUUGCCGGUGGUGCCAUUGCAGGAGUACUCCGAGAAGGCGGCGUCGGCGGCGGCGGCGGCGGCGAGCGGGCUGGAUAGGAAAAGAAGGAGGAGGAGGAAGCAGGGCAGGACGACAACCAUGCUGAUGCCGGCCUCUUUCAUCGUGAAAACUAGAGAAGAGUUUGGCCCUUUUUGUUCCAUGGUUGUUGCUCUAGUUUCCUAUUUUAAACACAUCGGCGAAGUCAAAGGCUACGAAGUGGUGGUUGCUUGGGUUGGUUGCUACUAUGAUUUUUCUUCUCUUAGGCAUUUCCAUCCUUCUUCCUUUUCUGCCAAAGUUUCUUUCAGCCAUAUUAUCCAUGUUGACAGUUGACCAGUAGGAGUAGAUUGCCACCAGCGAAGUAGAACUUUCUUUUGUUAGUGUUGCAACAAAAGCAAGAAUUACCCUGACGCGCAAGAAUUUGAUAUCGUAGAUAAUAACCACGAAAGCAGAGCAGAGCAGGAGAUUUCAUUUUUGGAUUAAAAAGGCAGAAUAUGGCAUACACGAAACACGACGACGAGAAGUCAUUUUUAACCCCGCACAUGUGAAUACCAAAGCACUGCGUGCCGGAACCGUCAUUCUCAGUGUCCCAGUCUCGGUAUCAAACUAUCAAUCAAUGGUGUGGUGUGGCCGGUUGAUGUUGACCAAAACAUUGGCGAGGUUAUUGUCCAUUGACGGCUUGGAUGGACACAUCACAGUAAUUAUGUAUACCAGACUGCAUAGUUAGUAGCAUAGGCGGAGGGACUUUGACACGUUCACAAUCCUUGUCCACUCGAGAAUCUGGAAGGAACGCAAUGCAAGAAUCUUUCAGCACGCCGCUAGUUCCGUCGAGAGCGUGUUUGAAUUAAUUCUGGAAGACCUUCAGUCCUGGAGAUCAGCCGGAUGUGUUACUUUGCUCUGGAUUUUCUUUGUUGUUGUCGUUGUAGCUUUUCCAUCUGGUGUGGAGAGAGCUCUGGUUGUCUAGAUGUUAGAAGGUGGCCUUGUUGUGAUCUGUGGCUCUUUUUAGCGGUGUCUUUUUUUUUUGAGGGAUCUUUUUAGCGGUGUCUUUGUUGCAGGCUGGACCUGCUUCCUUGUAUCUCCUUGUAAUUGUUCUCCUUCUUAAUAAAGAUCGGCCGCUGGCCCUUCGAGUUAGUAGCAUACGCGGAGACAAUGGCCUGGUCUUGAGACUUUUUUCCUUUGAUAAAUUACACUGAUUUUAAGUUUGGCCUGGAGCUUCUCUUCCUUAAUUAUACCCUCUUAACUCUGGUACACUAUAAUGGUCCUAUGCAAAUUAAUUUUCUGAAUCCGCCACUGGUUAGUACUCCCUCCAUCUCAUAUGAAGUGACUUUCUAUUACAUGUAUCUGGACACCUUUUAGACAUAAAUACAUUCAUAUUUGGCAAAUUUGAAACACUUAAUAUGAGAUGGAGGAAGUGUAGUACAUGACUUUGAGGCCGUUGCUACUGCUGCCCUUGAGUCGUCGAUCAGCUUUCCCACAACGUUGUAAUCUCAUACUCCCACCAUCCCAAAAUAAAUGACGUGGACUUGUAUAAAUUCUUGUACAAAUUCACAUCAGUUAUUUCGGGACGAAUAGAGUACUAUUUUUUGUGACCUAAUUAAUCUGUGGUUUUUACAAUUUGAACGCCAUUUUUCAGGAGACGAAGUGAGUAGAUCAAUAUACUCCACCAUAACACCAAACUGAACGCUGUUCUUCAGUUCAGCCCCUAUCCGGGCCGCGCGUGCGAUGCUGCUCGUAGCUCUAAUAUUUCUCCUCUCCUUGCCGGCGCCAUCGGCCGGCGGGAACCGGUCGUUCUGCACCGAUGCCGACGGCACGCACAAGCCAAACAGCACCUACAGGUCUAACCUGCGAUCCCUCGCCGAUGAGCUUAUCGCCAGAGCCACCAAGUCUCACUCGGCCACUGGCAUGUCCGGCGGCGCGAGCUCCGACAAGGCCUACGGCGCCGUGCUUUGCCGAGGUGACUCCACCGGCGCCGACUGCGGCAGGCUCCUCCGGGAGGCCUUCGAGAGCACCAUCAACGCCGUAUGCGCGCUCCACAGGGACGUGGCAUUCUACUCCGAGCUGUACCAGCUUCGGUUCUCCGACAAGGACUUCCUCUCCACCUUCAGCAACGCGCCGGAGUGGGUCGACGGCACCAACCUGAACCUCGUGCCAGACGCCGAGGCCGGCCAGUUCGACGAGGUAGUCGCCGAGCUCACGAGAACGCUGGCGGAGGCCGCUGCGGAGCAGCCGGACAGGUACAAAACGGCAGAUGCGCCAUGGCCGUCACGGGAAAGGGAGCGGAGGGUCUACGGGCUUGCGCAGUGCACGCAGGACAUGCCGCCGGACCGCUGCCGCGUUUGCCUGUAUGCCAUCGCCGCGGAGAUCCGACGGAAGAUCGGCAGUGGCAAGAUGGGCGGGGCCAUUCAUGGCGCCCAGUGCACGCUCCGGUACGAGACGGACACCCAGUUCUUUGCCACCACAGGCAAGUUCUUGCUGCUGAGCACGCUCUAAUUAAACGUACCUUAUGUCAGAUCCUUGUAGCUAACUGAGAAAAUUGAGAUCUCUUAUCCAUUUCUCACAAACCCUGUAACUUUGCUCUUCAUUCUCUUCAGCAUCAUAAAUAUUGAAUCUUAAUUAGUUAGGAACACAUUUACUAGUUCUAGUAAAAUUUUGCUAAGUACAAUAUUCACAAAGAAAAAAUAAUUUAAGUGCUUUCCACAUAAAUCACUGAAAUGCCAAAUGCAACAUAAAAACAUUCAUUUUCUUUCUUUCUUCGAAGUAGCUUAUGAAAUAAGUAGAAAACAGAAAACUACAUACCACAGCUAGAUAUGUUUUGAAACCAAGCUAAGUGACAACGAGUAACUUCUGCAUAGUUACAACGACUCAGUUUGCCAGAACAAAUUCGAUGCACAAAAACCAGAAGGUGCAGUUAUACAAAGUUCACGAACCUGACUAUCUGAGAGACCGCUUGACGUUCCUGUUAAAAAGAAUAUCAAGGGCUGAAAUCUUGAGUCACUAAUAGUAUCAUCCUUCAUUCCCUAAUAUAAAUCAUCAAACCUUGUGUUCAGGGCAACGGGAGGACCAUGCACUCUUGAUCAUUGGUACAGUUUACUCGCUUUCGGUCAUCUGUACACGCUUACUUUUCUGGCUCCUGUGUAUCAUCAGAAGACGAAGAAAAGGAGGCAAGCAAUUCAAUAAUACCCAUGCUUUAGUUGUGAUAGUGGCAAACUGGCAAUUGAUCUAAUUUCAUGUAAAAACUGAUGGGGAGAUGUACGUUUAGGGGAAACGAACUCAAUGGAGCAGCGCGAGAACAUGGAUGAAGUACUGAGGCUUUGGAAGAGCGAAGAUACCAAUUCUGAGUUCUCCUUGUAUGAUUUCGCACAAAUUGCAGAUGCUACAGACAACUUCUCAUCCAGCCAAAUAUUAGGAGAGGGUGGGUUUGGACCAGUUUACAAGGUAUGUUUCUUGGUUUUCAUAUGGUAAAGUCACACGUAUCAUUAUGAUAUGAUGGGAUUCCUCAGUAACAACAGAAUAUGAUGGCCCUAUAUAAAUUAUAAAGGAUGAUCAGUGAAUUUUACAGGGUGUUUUUCCUGGCGGACAGGAAGUAGCAAUAAAAAGACUCGCCGCACGGUCAAGACAAGGUCUAGUGGAAUUCAAAAAUGAGAUCCAACUGGUGGCAAAACUUCAGCACAGACACCUCGUUAGGCUGCUUGGUUGUUGCGUCCAUAAUGAAGAGAAGAUAUUGAUUUAUGAAUACAUGACAAACAAAAGCUUGGACUACUUCAUUUUUGGUAUAUUUUGUUCUAAUUUGAUAGGUUCAAUUGUAUGCCUUCUCUCAUCUGUAGUAUCAACACUUAGCCCUGCGUAACAUUGCUUGUAGAUCCAAUCAGAAGGACAUCACUAAACUGGAAGAUACGGAUGAAAAUAGUUGAAGGAAUAGCCCAAGGGCUUUUAUACCUUCACGAGCAUUCAAGACUGCGUAUCAUCCAUAGGGAUUUGAAAGCAGGCAAUAUUCUGUUGGACGUCGAGUUAAUUCCUAAGAUUUCUGAUUUUGGCAUGGCAAGGAUAUUCCCAUCAGAUGCCACUCAAACAAAAGCAAGCAGACUUGUUGGAACGUAGUAAGUAUAGCAAACUGGUUAAUUACUCCCUUCUUUUCAUAUUAUAGGACGCCCUCAUAUUUUGAGAUUUAACUUGACAAUCAAUUUUACCAAUAAACUGUGGGUUAUGUGCCACAAAAUUAUACUGCUGAAUUCAUAUUCGAAAGAAGUUUCAAUGGUAUAACUUUUAUGGCAAAUAACUCAUCUAUUAAUUGUCUAGUUGACGGUAGAAGUUAAAUCUCAAAAUGUGUGCGCUCCCUAUAAUUUGGAAAGGAAGGAAUACCUAUUAAUAUCUCAACCAAGCAUUUGCUUUCUGACUACUGCAUACCAUCUUCCCUAGUGGUUACAUGGCUCCUGAAUAUGCAUUUGAGGGCCUUCUAUCUAUCAAGUCAGAUGUUUUCAGUUUUGGGGUACUGCUUCUUGAGAUUAUAAGUGGAAGGAGGAGUGCAGGCUUCCAGCACUACGGAGAAUUUCAAAAUCUUCUUCAAUAUGUAAGCAAGUUAAAAUCUGUAAAAUUGGUGCAUUGUGCAAUUUUAUUUCCCAUGAAUUGUAGGGGCAUUUUUCAUCCUUCCUCUGUUUUAUUACCUAUAUGUCUGUAUUCAAAUUAAAUUGCAGAAAGAUACAUCUAUUUUCAGGCAUGGCAAAUGUGGAAAGACAAGAGAUGGAAUGAAUUCAGUGAUCAAUCAUUUGGCGAUGAAUGCAAACCAGGAGAUAUGAUGAAAUAUCUCACUUUGGCACUAAUGUGUGUCCAAGUGAAAGCAAUAGACCGUCCCACUAUGUCCAAUGUUGUUACAAUGCUUAACAGCGAUGAAAUUUCCAUACCAGAGCCGAGGCAACCAGCUUAUUCCUAUAUCAGAGCAGAUGUGUCAGUAAACGUCAAUGUAUCAUGUAGCAGAAAUGAUGUAACCCUCACCACUGUUGAUGGUAGAUAAAUGAUCAUUCAUUCAUUAGCAAACUGUGUGACUACUUUCUAUUGGCAUUGGGUUUUCUUGCGUUAACUAAUUAGGCAGGAUAUAGUUUAUAUUCCAUUGUUGCCAUAAGAAAUUCGCCCACUUGUCUGUCACUGCAUAUGAAUAACAUGAUUUUUCAUGUCCCUUAUAUGUAAUCAGACUACAAUGAUAACUCUAUUAAUAUGUGUUUUUACAUACAUAAAAUUUAUAUCAAUAAAUUCGUCUUUAAAAGUUCUUUCUAAUAAUCAUGAUUUUGUAUCACAUAAGUUACAUAUUAAUAGAGUAAUUCUUGGUCAAAGCCUUGUAUUGACGAAACAAAAUACGCCAACCUUUGUGAAAUGGAGGGAGUAUGUAGCACUAGAAGUAGCACAUAUCCUGUGUGCUGCUGGGCAGACAAUUCUACAUGUGCGCUUAGCAGUUUUAGAGAGAAAAAGAAGAAAAGACUCACUUUCACGGAGAUAUAUUUGCCAGAUUGUGCAAGUGUGAACUCAGAUCACGGAGUUGAAAAGUAUGACAGUACCUGUGUGGCAGGGGUCCACUGCUUCCAAUUGGUCUACAUUAAAUGUCAAGAACUCAGGUUUAGUAGGCAUGUUUAUCCACCCUGCUUUCUGGAAUAUAUGGUGAUGCUCAGUCAUCCUGUCAAUUCAAAGAGAAAUGUCAUCUUAGACCAGUUUAGUCUCAACAGUCAUUUUCGUAAGAACGUUGAAUUCCUUUACCUCUUGGUAGACAAAACGAAGAUGGUAUUUGGCACUCCUCCAUUGCAGGUAGAUGAGUACUUCUACAAUACAAAUAGAUCAAAGACCACUAUUCUGUAGUAAAUAGGGAUGAUGCCACAAUCAUCUCUCUUAGUCCUCUUCAUCUUCUUCUCAACCAGCCAGGCACUCUGCAGUGACAAUAAUGGAGGCAUGUACAUGCCAAACAAUACCUACAAAUUAAACCUUAUCACCCUUGCUCAGAUACUAUUUGCCAACGCCACGGAAGUACACUCAGCUACUGGCAUGGCUGGCAUAGGCCCAGACAAGGUCUACGGCGCGGUGCUUUGCCGAGGUGAUUCUGAUGGCUCCGACUGUCAUAAGCGCCUAACUAAGGCCCUUGAUGAAGCAAUCAACAGCGAAGCUGGCUACUCUAACUCCCUCCAGAGCAACAGGAAUGUGACUUACUACUACGACCAAUACCAGGCACAGAUAAGCUUCUCCGACCAGGACUUCAUUUCCAGCUUCAGCAACGUGCCAGGGUGCACCAUGAAUACUAACCUGAACUCCAUGACGGCUACUGUAGUGAAGCCUUUUGAGGAUCUUGUCACCAAGCUGUUGCGUGCUCUUGCUGAUGCUGUGGUGAGCCGAGCAGAGAAAUAUGCAGUCGGCAAAGCUUGGUUUGAAGAGACAGGACAGACGGUGUAUGGUCUGACACAGUGCAUACAGGAUGUGCCAUAUGAGCAUUGUGCGGCCUGCCUGGAUGGCAUCAUCUCAGACAGGCAGAGUAAGAUUGCUUCUGGACAGAUGGGAGUGGUGAUUCUUGGGUUGUGGUGCACACUGCGGUAUGAGACCGAAACACAGUUCUUUACCGAUACCAAGAUGUUGUCGCUAAAUGCGGUCACAAGAAGUAGGUUUCAUUGGAUCAUUCCAUUAUUCGCACAACAGUAUUUUAUUAGAAAAUUUGAGUUUCUAGAUUUCAAACAUGAGAGAGGUUUCUUCUGAAAUUUGGGAAGGGUUAGAAACAAAUACUCCUUUAUCGAGACAUGUGCUGAAGUACAUAGCUAGAAACUAAAUAACCUACUACAUUUCACUGGUUAAGAUAGGAACCAACACCUCCCUCCAGAAUCCAGACUCCAAUUUGUUUCUGAGAUCAGUCUUCUCUGCUCUGAACCUGAUACCAGAGACCAGGAUGGCAAUAAAGAUGAAAAAAUAUUUCUUAGUUUCUUUAAAAUUCAUGCUUUUUUUUAUUAAGAGUAAAGAAGCUUUGCCGUUAGUUGCAAGUGUUCCAUCAAUUAUGCAUGGCAUUAGAAUCUCAUAGCAAAAACAUGAAAUUUCUAUAUAUAUAAUAUUGUAUAUCAACAUAACUUCUCGUUGGCUUAUCAAAGUAGAUUUCAUUAUACUGUCAGGGCCUCUCCUGCAGUUUUCCCCUUAAAAUAACCUAGAUUUCAUUGGGUUAUAUGUAAAUGUACAGGUAAAACACAUAUCUUUCAAUGGAACAAUUCGGUCUUGGUUAGCGUUGGAGGUUUCCUGCUAGUACUAUCUAUUUCUUGCAUGGCUUUUCAUAUAUGGAUCAGAACACAACAACAAAGAGGUACAUAACUCACCACUGCAUAAGAUAAUCUUUGCAUUUUUUUUGUUUUCGUCAGUACAUGUUUCAAGAACAUGCCAUUUCAUUUUAUUUUAUUUUACAGAAAAAACAGUUUUUAAGCUACGACAGCUCUACUUGGCAAUACAAAUUGCAAUAAAUCUUUGGAGGAUGGGAGGAACCAACCCAGAAUUUUCUCUGUAUGAUUUCUCCCAGAUAAAUGAGGCCACAAAUAACUUCUCGAUUGAUAAUCAACUGGGACAAGGUGGCUUCGGUCCUGUAUAUAAGGUGAAAGAAUAUGUACUUGCAUUGUAAAUGUAAUCUUACUCAAAAUGCAGUAAACAUUCACUUGUUUGACUGCCUUUAUCUUAAUAUAAUACUUCUUUUUCCAUUGCAUUUCUUCACCAAUGUAACAGAGAUGUUUUCACAAAGAAUGGCGGCCCCACAUUUCAAGGUCAAAUUUUGACCAACGAUUAGACCAAUAAUAUGUACAUUAUGUGUUACAAAUUUUAUAACGUUGGAAACAUUUUUGAAAUACGAAUCCAAUGAUAUAAUUUUUGCAGCACGUAACCCUCAAAUCAUUAGUCUAAUUGUUGGUCAAAGUAAAAUCUCGAAAUGUGUGCGUGUCAUUCUUUGUGAAAAGGAGGGAGUGGAAUUUAAUGGGUUUUCCCUUUGGUUAACAACAUGCAUGUAACACUAGAUUUUCUAGCAUUGCAGUAAAACCAGUUAUCAAGUAUUGAAAAAUACAAUGGUCUUGCAUUAAAAAAAAAUUAAGUAGCUUUUCUUUUUUUUUGCGCUGGAAAUUAAGUAGCUUUUCCUUUCCUCAAUCUCAGGGGAGAUUGAGCAAUGGACUUAAAAUAGCAGUCAAGAGACUGGAAACGAGUUCUCUACAAGGUUUAAUGGAGUUCCAAAACGAAAUUCAACUUAUAGCAAAGCUUCAACACAAUAAUCUUGUGAAACUGCUGGGAUGUUGCACUCGAGGAGAUCGAGAAAAGAUGCUUGUAUAUGAAUACAUGGAAAACAAAAGCCUUGACUACUUCAUCUUUGGUAACACCUUCUUCUUUUGAUGUGCUAGAAGCCUAGACCAAGAUAUUAUUUAUAAUUUGUUGACAUGCUUUGUUUAAUUAUACAUGUUUUGCAGAUAUUGCUAAAGGAGCACGGUUAAACUGGUCAAAACGUCUACAUAUAAUUAAUGGGAUUGCUCAAGGUCUUCUUUAUCUUCACAACUACUCACGAUUAUGUGUUGUUCAUAGGGAUUUGAAAGCGAGUAACAUACUAUUGGAUAGUGUAAUGAAUCCCAAGAUAUCUGAUUUUGGGAUGGCCAGAAUAUUCCGCUCAAAUAUGGCAGAGUCAAAUACCACUAGAAUAGUGGGCACGCAGUAAGAACAUACAACACAUUUGUUUUUAGUAAAUAAUAAGGUGAAAAAAAAAGGAAAGAAGCAUUGAAUGACCAACUGAACUGAAACCACCUUUUGCAAUGCUGGCAUUUAACAAUUUUACUUCCAUCACUCAGUGGCUACAUACCUCCAGAGUAUGUUUGUGAGGGAGUUUGCUCUAUCAAGACAGAUGUAUUUAGCUUCGGCGUGUUGAUUUUGGAAAUAAUAAGUGGAAAAAGGACAGCAGAAUUCUAUCAUUACGAUGGAAAUCUAUACAAUCUCAUUGCAUACGUGAGUGAAGAUACCCUAAACACCACUUUGCACUUAUAUAUACAAUUUGACAAUGUAGUAUAUGUACUGUUUGUUUCAAAGUUUGACAAAAUACAUUAUUUUUGUAAUAGGCUUGGCAACUUUGGAGAGAUGGAAAGUUAGGUGAGUUUACUUAUCGUCCACCAGGGAACGAAAAUCAAGAGAUAGAAAGGUGCAUUCAUCUGGCACUUUUAUGUGUUCAAGAAAGUGCAGAGGAUCGACCUGCUAUGGAGCAUGUUGUCACAAUGCUAAACACCAAGAAUGUGAGCUUACCUAUGCCUAUGCAACCUGCUUACUUCAAUGUAAAUCGAAGUGAGCGAGACGCUUUGUCAUGCAACACUACUAUGAGCAUCACGUUAGAAAGGUAGCACCACAUAGUCAUUAAUGCUAAGAAAGAUACUAGUGAUAUUAAUUAAGUUUAUCUGUAUCCAGAGGGAAUUAUUGGCAUUAAUAUAGUGGUAUCAAUGUUUUUAAUGUUUACGCACAUCACUUUAUCUCUUUUUUUAUCAAAAAACAUGGUACACCUCUUUUUUGUUUGAAGGUGAAAUCUUUAUUUGACUUCUUUUAUUUUGACUGGAGAUAAACGCGUAUUGAAUACUUAUAUCACCGGUUGCAAGUUGCAACAAUGAACAAAGUAAAACGGAAAGGGUAAUGUUUUGUGAUGUUUUAGAGUCAUGCAUUCCUAAAGUAAAUCGCAUAAAACAAUUAGUACUUCAGAAACUGAGGAGCACGAAUUCAAAUGGGCUCAUAUGUUAUUCAAGUAAAGAAAAAAAGGAAGAGAAGCACACAGUGGAAGAAUAUCCGUCUCAUACGGAGUAUUAAGUGACUCAAAUUUGUAUCUAUACCCAAAAAGCGUUUAGAUACACAUGUAAUAUUUAGUCACUUAAUAUGGGACGGAGGGAGUACCUACUAGCAUCGUAGUCCACUUGAUAAUUUGACUAUUCGAGUACCGCACAAAAUGAAAUCGCCAAUCCUAGAGAACUGGCACAGAAAGGAAUUCCAGAUAAUCGCAAAGGUACAUUCCGGCAGGCAUACAGAAGUACAGAACUACUCCGUAUAAUUUUUAGCAAUUAUUCCACCUCGCUCCGAUCCUCAUUCACGUUGGGAGCAGGUUGAAUACAGCAUCCUCAUGAACGAAUUUGGAAGUGGAACUGCGGCGGCGAUUGUUUAAUCCGAAACUGGAACGAGGAUGGGGUUGUAGAGACGAACCUGGCCUCCCCUUUGCUCCAGGUAGGCGCGGUUAGGUCAUCGCGCGGGGUCCGGAAGCCGGGAAGGGUCGAUGCACGCCGCCGCCGCCCUCGCAAUCACAGGUAGGGUGCCCCGGCUGACGGCACCCCCGCGGCAGUUGCUGGCGCAAGCGCAGCUUACCGUGGGCCCAACUAUCAUUGGAAAGGGCCUGUAGCGCACAACUGGGCUGGAAUUCAUUGGGCUGACGAGCGUUGAGGUCAUUCAGGUCUCACGACAAUAGCAGAGCAGCAGGACUGCAGGAGGUACCCCUCAAAAAAGAAAUAGCAGCAGGAGGUUCUAAAAAAAAAGACAGUAGCAGCAGGAGUUGAUUUUCCCUUGAGAAAAAAAGUUGUGCGGCAAGAAAAAAGUUGUGCCGUAGUAAUUUGUUUCGAAAAAAGAACACCUACUUUCUCCGUCCAACAAAAGAUGUCUCAACUUUGACUAAAUUUAAAUGCAUCUAUACACUGAGUUAUGUCUAGAUAUAUCUAAAUUUUGACAAAUUUGCCUCGUUCAACAAAAGAUGUCUCAACUUUGACUAAAUUUAAAUGCGUCUAUACGCUGAGUUAUGUUUAGAUAUAUCUAAAUUUUGACAAAUUUGAGACAUCUUUUAGCUUUUGCUGGACGGAGGGAAUAUAUGACUUUGGUUGCAUCCAGGACUCGGUGAUUUAAUAAAUUCCAUGGUUCACGUUGAGGUUCUAAACGACCGUACGAUGUAUAGCCGCAGCUACAUGUGAUGAUAUAGGUACACCCCCGUACGAUGUUUAGCCGUAUAGGUUUAAGCCUGGAAAACUAGGAUAUACUUCCUCCGAUUCUAAAUUGUUGUCGAAAUAUUACAUGUAUCUAGACACCUUUUAAGAAUAGAUACAUCCAUAUUUAGACAAAUAUGAGACAAAAAUUUAGAAUCGGAGGGAGUAGCUAGAUAGACCGCAGGAAGCACUUUGUAAUAAGCAUAUCCAUUUCCUUGCUAUCGUGGCAAAUAUUUUUUUCAUAUUCAUGUUGAAAUUAAACUACCUUUUAAACUUUGCAUAAUAUUUAUUUUUCCUAACCGUGUUGACCUGUUGAUUUGGUCAAUGGAAAGUUGCAUAGGGCAAAUCAUGUUGAAAAACGGUCUCGCAGCUGACAGAUGCGUAUGUGUGUUGUUCCUUUCCCGUUCAUGUGUGGUAGCGUCACGGCAGAUAUCAGAGGGGAGCUAAGCGAUUUAGCUCCAACACCGAUGGCACAUGAUCAGGCUAUCCAAAAAACGGUCGCACUAGGAGGUCAUAUGUUUGCCCCAUGUUCAAUGAUGGGAGAGGCAGAGGAGAAAUUGAGCCUCAUAAAUAUACCUUACACCAAUGAGGUAAGAGUAACGAAGAUGGUUUUCAUAUUUCUUAUGUAACUAAAAGUACCUAUUUGCAAAUCGCCACUAUGAAACCGUCAUGUUUAAACAUAAGAUUCGUUCAAUCGCCCCAUGUCCAAUGAUGGAAUAGACAAAGGAGAAAUUGGGCCUCAUAAAUAUACCUUACAUAAGAGUAAUAAAGAUUAUUUUUCCGAAAAGGGAGGGCUCCCAGCCCUGCAUAAGAGUGACAAAAAUGGUUUUGAUAUUUCUUAUGUGAUUAAAAAUAACUAUUUAUAAAUCACCCCUAAGAAACCAUUCUAUUUAAACAUAAGAGUCGUUCAAUCAACCACAAAAGAGACGAGAAGAUCUGGAUUGGACGGCUAUCAAUAUCAACCGAAAAAUUACUAUUUCAAGUCAAUUGGUCUACAUUGAACUUUCGAAUGAAGAUUACUAACCAUGUCAUUCCAUAUUAGAAUGCAAUAACAAUAUUCAAACCAAAGAAUAUACUUUUUCUUGCUUCUAAAGGUCAAGUAAAAGAGCGAGUGAUGUCGCCAUUCAUGGCACUCGAGCAUAUAGCCAUAUACUGCUUUGCGUUUUGUGAUCAACUAAAUCUAUAAGAGCAGCUAGACUGUCUCUUUCGACAUGAUGACUCUACGUUGUUAUAUGUACACUUGUGUGUAAAAGGUUGGUAACAUUAGAGAACAGAUUUUCGCUAUACACGAGGUCUCACCAUACAAAUUAUGAAUCUGUUGAAAAGAAUGAUCCCGAGUUCAGGAUUCCGGGACAAACUUUCUAACCACCCUCUGUUCUUUGACCUGCUAGCAGGUUACGCUACUGACGCAUAUGUACACUUUGAGGCGAAAUUGCUAGACAUUUAUCCACAUCAAGAUUCGGUUGCCGAUUGUUUUGUUUACUCCUGCGUAACCAAUAUGCAUGUGUAUCUGAUUCGUCGCCGGCCUCGUUCCCAGAACUAUAAUAUUCACCGAGGCGCCUUGCAAUGGCAUGUAUGCAGUUUAUAAAAAAUACUGGGAGUAGCUACAGUUUGGCGGAAGAUGUCGCGUAUACGGCUUCACGGCGUAGUACAAAUGUACAAUACUACCAGAAAGGUUUGCCAGAACGAACUGUUUCUGAAAGAAAAACUGCAUGCCCCUUGCGUGCAUGAUUAAACAUUGGUCUGGAAUUAUAUAUGCAUAUUAAAAGGCAAAUCCCAAUCUCUGCUCAUUGAUACGUGGGCCUCGCAUAUCAAUAAGACAAUACAGUAACUACUGGUUUAAUUGUAGAUCUAAUAGCUUUUGUACCAACUCCAGCACAACACAGUCUCAUGGUGCCCAGUUGUCAAACCCAAAAUCUACAUAAUAUAGAGUUGGCAACAGCCGUUCCGUCAAAAAUAUGAAUUACGGUACCGACCCAGAUGAUGUGAUCGAGUAAAGGGAAAUAUGCAUGAGUCGUUUUAAAUCGUUUCUUGUAGCCCUGAAUUUAGUCUCAUCAUUGCCGCCCAUCACUCAAUGUGAAAUAGCAGAAAAUUUGGCGGGACAACUUUUCUUCAAGUGUAAGUAACACGUUUGGUUAAUUUUCUACAAACAGAGGUUAAUUUUCUAUAAGCAAGCACAUGAACCGAUGCCUGGAACUUAGUUUCGUCGAACGAAGUUAUUUAACCAAGGUGCUGAAAAUGUCAAACAACGAGAGCAAUAAAAAUAUAACACCAUGGUCAAUUAAAAUUCAGUGCCGAGCUUUUUCAGAAAUAGCAGAUAAGCCUCCCGCUUUUUCCUAGUUGAUCACCAGCUUUGUACUCCCUCCGUCCGGAAAUAAGUGACGCGGAUUUGUAUCUAUACACAAAUCCAUGUCACUUAUUUUGAGACGGAGGGAGUAUGUAUCAUUUGAGAGUAAAUUUACAAAACCACACUCCUUAGGGUUAGAAUUUCAUCCGGUCACAGUUAUUUUUUAGGAAAAUAUGUACAAGGCUAUCUAAAAACUCCGACAACAGUUAUCACUAAUAGUCUGCUAGAACAACAGUUUUUGGAGUUGUAUUUCUCACAAAAUCCAAAUCGGUUAAAUUAGGCCGUUUGAUGGUAUUUUUGACAGAUGAAACCCACCCAUCAUGUGUCACGUCAGACGGGCUGACCCGUUUCGUUGUCACGUCAGUUCCCGGACCCGACCCAACUCGACACAAAUUGAAGACUGGGUCGUCAACUCCCAUAUGUGUUCGUGUCACAAACUAAUGAAUAGCUAGAGCAUCACAGACUAAUGAUUUCAUCUAAUUAAGUACCGGCCGUCAGGUUGCAUCUGAACUGCAAAUUAAAGAACACAAUACAAGCUCAUUGGCUCAACAGUGUAGGGAUUUCAAACCGGGUCUCGCUUUUGUUCCGCUAUUAGGCCAUUAGGGACUUGCUAAUUCAUCUUUUUCUUUCAAAUUUUGACUUGGAGAUUUAAAGAUUGAUUUAGAAGUCGGACAUAUGCGGGAUCCCGAUUGUAUCUCUACGGCAAUGGCUCUCCAAAAAGAGGUUUUUGUUUUUGACAUCUGCUUUCCGAAAAGAGAUAUUUGGGAAUCGUGGUUCUAACUUUAGAUAGUCGGCUGUGUCUCUGUGACCACCUAAAUAACCACUGCUACAGUUACCAAUUAUAUGUGAUGUAGUCUAUAUCGAUUAAAUGUAAAGUUUAAGUAUCUACUAUAAUUCACAAGAAACUGCUUUUAUCCAUCAAUUUAUAGUGCACGUUACGUUGUUAAUUACCCCAAAUCUAGCUGCAGAUCAUGAAUGCGGCCAAUGAUUGAUGCACCUGCAUAUGCACCGGAUACUCACUAAUCAGUGGGGUCAGCGAGACAUUACAAAUUGAUUAUCUGUUACCCAAGUGGCCUUAAACUGCAGGAGCUAAUACUAAAUUGUCUGCUUUCAUUUUUGCAGAAAAAUCCUAAAUUUCAGAUCCAAGGUACGGGCAAGUACGGACGAGUUCAACUGUCAAUAUCGGUUUCUAUAAAGAAGCUGGGAGCGGGCGAUGAGCUCCUGAGAAACCGGACAACAUUCUAGAACCCUUUUUUAGAAACAUUUUUAGAUUGCAAAAUCGGUUGACAACCUAACCUCAAUUUUCUGUUUCUCUUGCAAGAGAACCUGUCUAUUUCUGGAGCCUGUCCCUGCCAUUUUUGUUCUGAUUCAAAUUUCUACGGUCACUAAAGCUGACCCCUCGGAGGCGAAACUUGCUGCUGAGGCUCCAGCUCAACAGCUCGUCCUCCAAUGAACGGCCCUACCAAUCCAUUUUCUAAACAGAUUGGCAAAAGAUGUCAUUGGCUUGAUUUGCAACUCUGCAAUGAUCGAUCAUUCGCCCUAGUUUCAUUAUUGGGCGAACCAGUGAAAGAAACAUGGCUCUAAAAUGUUACCUGAACAUCCAGAGGACUGAACCAGAUCUGGCGAGCUUCGGGGCCCCACUUACUCCUAAACAACUGAGAGACACGUCAUUCUCACCCAUCCAUAUAGCAUCUUCCUGUAAAAAACCCGGAAAAGACAGAGGCAUCAGCACAGUCCAAGGAAUUACGUACCGAAUUCCUCUUUUUUCAUCAUCCAAUCUCGAUCAACGAUCACGCCAGCCGGGUACUCCAAGUCAACCCUCCCCAGCGAAAAUCAGCGCACUCUCAAUGUCAUAGCUCAGGCCACCCCCGAGCGCCCUUCUUCUGUAUGCAUAAAAAAUGUUCUCGUUAGUUCAGCACGGAUUGAUGCCUAUUAAUACAACCAGAUAACUAGGGAGUGCCGAGCAAUGCCAACGAGCCUUUGCACAGGCAGCACAGCAGAACCCCCAAAGUGUCCUCACUCAACACCUACUACAAUGCUUGUCCUCUUCCUCCUCCUCGUCGCCACCUCGGUUUCAUUACCGGCGCCGGCGGCCGGCGUCGACGAAGGAGCCCUGCCGGUGACCAACGACUUCUCCCGCUCCUGUGGCUCCACGAGCAACCCACGGUUCUACGAGCCCAACAGCACGUUCGCGGCCAACUUGAAACUCAUGUUCGCGGCGCUCCCGAAGAACGCCUCGGCGUCCGGCGGCGGCUUCUCCGCGGGCGCGUUCGGCCGCGCCCCGGACACGGCGUACGGGCUGGCGCUCUGCCGCGGGGACUACACGGGCGACGCCUGCGCCUCGUGCCUGGCCAGGGAGUUCAAGGACGCCGGGAGCCUCUGCGGCUACAGCAAGGACGUGACCGUCUACCACGACCAGUGCCACGUCCGGUUCCACGACAGGGACUUCCUGGCCGGCGCCGGCAACGCGCCCGAGAUAUUCGCCCCGAACAUGAACAACGUGUCCCGAGGGAACGUGGCCGCGUUCGACAUCCUGGUGGCCCGGCUGGUGAACGCCGUGGCCGACAGGGCGAGCGCGGCGAGAAGCAGGUACGCCACGGGCCAGGCCGGCUUCGACGUAACGCCGGACAAGGUGAACGUGUACGGCCAGGCGCAGUGCACGCCGGACCUGGCGCCGGCUCAGUGCCGGGGCUGCCUGGCCGGCAUCAUCGGGCAGAUGCCGAGGUUGCUGAGCGGGAGGCUGGGCGGGAGGAUUCUUGGGGUGCGGUGCCAUUUCAGGUACGAGAAGGAGAUCUUCUUCUCCACCGGGGAUGGGAACAUGGUGACGGUCACGCCGCUGGUGAGCUCCUCCACAGGUGAGUACGUCUGAAUCUAGCUUGCUCUAGUUUUUUCCUUUUGAAAAAUCCAUUCUUUGUUCUAAUCCAGUCGCAGUACUACUUUCUCCAUUUUUAUGCAUCGUACGUUCCUAGUGUGUUAGCUUGUGGCCUUGGGCGUUGGAGUAUAAGCUUCCCCAAAGAGCUUCCUUCAUGCUAGCUAGUGUUAGGUUUGCCUUUCCUUUGAGUUUGAUAUGCAUGAUUCGACGAAUAAUAUAUGCCUUAGUUAGUUAUCAACGCACGUUACUGAGAACUUCUAGGAGUAGUGUAUGCGCACUUGCAUUUUCUCAAAUAUUCGAAGAUUUGGUAAGUGAAAAUUUGUCUACAUCAGUCAAAACCUUUUUAUUGGGAUUUUUUAGUAAGACACUUUCUCCCAAUAAACUUGUUUUUGUUUUAGCAGGGUCAGUAGAAUUAAUGAUAGAAAAGAUUGUCUUAAUUAUCAUACGAGCCUUCAUGCCAUUCAAAAAAGAUAAUUUAACAUAGGUAGCGUGACUUUUAAGCAAAAUGACUUAAAUCUUAGUUGACGACGUAUCACAACCAUUGGAUUAUAAUUUGAGGGCCAUCCACACUCUCCACUCUACCGCGUGCUAUUGUUGGACUAGGAUCCAACGGCCAAGCACGUCGACUGAUCUCUAACUAAAAAACAAAUGACUUCUUAAUAAAAAAAUCUUUUAACAUGUAAUAUACGGAGAGACUCAGUAUAUCUCUUAACGCCAUCUUUUGUUAGAAAAAUGCUCAUAUGUAUAUAAAAAUUUAUUAUAAUGACGAUAAUUAUAGAAAAAUGUGUGACAAAAAGAUGUAACCUAGUACAAUAGGAGUGGAUGUCUUAUCUUCCGCGUACGUAAAGAAAAGUUAAGAGAAGAUAAAUAUGUUUUUGUCUAUUCCCGUCUUUCUCUUACUAUUAUCGUCCAUAAUACAAUUCAUAUAAUUUGUGUCCAUUUCAACCAAAACAGCCCUUGUUUCUAGUGUGUGGGCAACCAAAUUGGUUUAAGAGGAUAUAGCAUAUGGGAGUUAUUUGCUUACGGCGGGAAUCAAUGAGCAAAUGAGCUAUAUUAUGGAGUAAAUAGAAGAGAAAAAAAGUCUAUACGAGAUAUAUACGGGAAUGGAGGGAGUAGAAGACAAGAAUUAUUCUAUGUGUCCACUUCAAAAUGAAUUAUUCUAUGUGGCAACGUGACAAUCGAUACAAAAAAUACUUUGUUUGUGAUCCCACUAGCAUGUUCACAACCAGUUUGUUUGCAAAAUUUAGUUUCAUUCAAAAUACCAAUGCUGGAUAAGCUACUUCAAUCCAUGUUGGAGCUACAUCGUCUAUUUUUAUUAGAAUGAACUGUAUUAUUUUUAUUUUUUCUUCUAGAGAUUGUGUUCUUGGAACCAAAAUUAGAAGCGACUUCAACAAUUUUGAGUUGUUCCAUCAUAUAUGGUGCGGCAAGUAUAACUUUGAUAGUAUUAUUUUUAUAUGUAAGACUUAUAUUCAGUUAAUUUGUGGCUCUAGCUAAAACGGUUCUUUAAUUUCGGAGUAAUUUUCAACCCAAGCAUGUUUUUUCAGUAUGUAAUUACCCCAAUAAUUAGAACAUAUACCUUGGAAAAUGUGGAUUUCCAAGAUUUAUCACAAUUGCAAUUUCCAGAAAAAUCUGAAAGUAGGACCCGCUUGCAUGACUUUGGUGCGUGCCCAUAUAUAUAAGAGUACGAAUCUGGCUAAAGUAUUUUUACAAGAUCUAUCAUUCCUGCAAAUAAAAAAGAAAGAUGAUGAUGAUAUUCGAUCUAAGUAUUUUGUCAGUCCAAAUCCUUUUUUUCUCUCUUGAGAAAAAUAUUAGAACCAAAUCCGGUCAUUUGGUCGGGCCCUUUCGGUCCCCUCCUUUGAAAACUGUAGAGCCUUUUCUCAAAAAUAAAAUCCUUCUUGAAAGCGUUCGUGCAUGCGAUGGAAUCAACGGCACCAACUUGGCAUUAUAUAAAAUAAAUUGAAAAUCUAGUGCAAAUCUAAUCCGGCCAUCUCAAUCAUAUGAUUGAAACAUCGAACAUGCAAUGUCCUAUUGCAUCUCGAACCAGGAACGAGUGCACUGCAUAUUGAAUUUUCCUAACCGGCAUGCACGCACACGUUCAUCCCCUUUUUAUGUAGUACGUACUCUGUCGUUCUUUGCACAAAACGGAGAAGGUACAGAAGUAAUCCUACUUACUCCUACAAAUUACAAUCAUCGAUGGAGUACUGUUUCCGUACGGGUACAGGCUGGCGCUACGAGUUGUGGAGAGAGGGAGCUGUUUUGACCACCGCUCGAUCUGUUUCCUUUUCCACACUGCCCACACGCCUUUGUGCAGUUUAUCUAGCAGGCAAGUCCACAGCCGGAUCCACGUGCACCACGAGGCGCUAGCUUUGGCCUGAGACGGGUUCCACCAUAUCCUGGCUAUUGAUUAGUUCCGGCGGUUCCCCCUAGAUCGAGAAGUUCUGGAGAUCUAGCCUUUUCCUUCCUCCUCUUUGUUCCCCUCCUUCCUUUGAACAGCCAUGGCCGGCCGGGCCACCUUGCCUCCUUUUAUAAUCUGUUCUCGCAGAGCCGCGCACUCCCAUGCAUAAAGAAUCCGGGUGCACACAUGUGUGCAUGUCAUGCACGUAUAUAUCCGACAAAAUUAAGCAUUUGAUUAUGGACAAGGAGUCGGUACGUUCGCUGCUUUGCUUCGUUGGGGAUUGGAUGUUCACAUCAUGUCGGCCCCACGGCGGCGACCGGCAGGCCGGGAGACCCCGAUGUUUGACUCUGCUUGGGUCGUCUUUGAUCGCCCGAUUGGUACGUGUGAGUAUUUGAUCGAGUACAAGACUUUUGUCGCGAGAUCAGCGGACCCGCCAUGCUUGCUUGUCUCAGUUAGCAACUUCCGGGUGGCCCCGUGAAGACGACGGAUUCAUUCUCUAGUCUGUAAUUCUGAUUGUCACGAUCCUAUAUAUGGAGUAUGCAUAUAGUCGCCAAUAGUAAUGACUAAGGAGGAGACCGAUUACGUACGAGCUGGUUUGAUCUGGCCAAAACGUUUCUACUUUCAUCGGCCAUGCAUGGCGAAUUCUGCCCCUCCAACUUGAACCUUUUAAUCUCCACGCCAAAAAGAAUUGGAACCUUUUAAUCCAACAAUAGAUGUUCUUUUCGUACAGGGAGCAGGAGCAGCAGCAGCAGCACACUUUGGAUCGUCGCGAUAGUGGUCCCUCUAACCGUGCUCCUCUGCGGCUUCUCGGCGUGUUUCCUGUGGAUGAGGCAGCGGAGGAGAAGAGGUACCUGCGACAAGUUCCAGCCAGUGAAAUUAAAAUGCUGUGUUCCGAUCGUAAUUAACUUACGGAAUGUGCAUGUGCAAUCAGCGACCAAUCUGUCAUCAGGGAGGGUGGGCAUGGCAAGCAUGUCCAUGGAGAUGGAGCAGGUGCUCAAGCUGUGGAAGAACGAGGAGAGCGACUCCGAGUUCUCGCUCUACGAUUUCGACCAGAUUGCAGACGCCACUCGUAACUUCUCCAACGACUACAAGCUCGGCCAGGGUGGCUUUGGCCCUGUUUACAAGGUAACUAAAAUUUUCACACUCAAAAGGAAGGGCAAGCCUCCGGAUACUGAAUUAGUUUUUUUCUUUCUUUUCGGAAAGGGAUACUGAAUUACUGAUACAGCUAUAGGGUUUUUUAAGAUCGUCAGUGCAUUUGCUUUGCUUGCUGCAAAUAUAAGCUAAGCUACGUGUUGUCGUAUUUGUGUUCCAGGGCGAACUGAGUGGCGGGCUUGAGAUUGCGAUCAAGAGGCUGUCUUCGUGCUCGGUGCAGGGGUUGAUGGAGUUCAAGACCGAGAUCCAGCUGAUCGCAAAGCUCCAGCACACUAACCUCGUCAGGCUCCUGGGCUGCUGCGUCCAGGCCGAGGAGAAGAUGCUCAUAUACGAGUACAUGCACAAUAAGAGCUUGGACUGCUUCAUCUUUGGUACGCAUUCUCCGUUCGUCGAUUUUACCUCGGCGAAAUCCUCCUUUUGUUGUGUUUUAACUGUUGCUAUUCACAGACAGUGCCAAGGGGGCGAUACUGAACUGGGAGCGGCGAUUCAGAAUAAUCGACGGCAUCGCGCAGGGCCUUCUUUACAUGCACAAGCACUCGCGCCUGCGGGUUAUACACAGGGACCUUAAAGCAAGCAACAUUCUCUUGGACCGCGACAUGAACCCCAAGAUCUCCGACUUCGGUUUGGCGAGGAUAUUCUGCUCCAACGUGACGGAGGCCAACACGACCAGGGUCGUCGGCACACAGUAAGUACUUGAAUUCAUUCAGCCAUACCUAGUCCCAAUUGGAAUGGUUGUCUUCAGCGUCCAUACAUAGCCUGGAUGACACUGAAUGUUUUGUGCAUUACUUAUGAUCAGUGGUUACAUCGCUCCGGAGUACGCUUCCGAGGGUCUCUUCUCAACGAAAUCCGACGUUUUCAGCUUCGGCGUCCUGCUUCUGGAGAUCAUAAGCGGGAAGAGGACUGCAGGCUUCUACCAGUACGGCAAAUUCUUCAACCUUACCGGAUACGUAAGUCGAUGCAAAAUUGCUCAAGAACCCCUUAUCUGCAACAAACAGUCACUUAUAUGUGAUUCUUUUUUCAGGCGUACCAGCUGUGGCAAGAGGCGAAAUGGCACGAGAUGGUCGACCCGGUGCUCGGGGAGGACUACCCGGUGGCGGCGGUGAUGAAGUGCGUGCAGGUGGCGCUGCUGUGCGUCCAGGACAGCGCCGACGACCGCCCCAACAUGUGGGACGUCGUCGCCAUGCUCGGCAGCGAGGGGCUGACGCUGCCGGAGCCCAGGCAGCCGGCCUACUUCAACGUCAGGAUCUCCAGCUUCCCGGAGUCCACGAGUUCCUUUGGCGAGAUGUCGUACAUUAGCAGCGUCACCUUGACGGAUGAGGACGGCAGGUAGUGCAGGAGGGAGUUAAUCUCGCGUGGUUAAGUAAUUUAUACAAGCUUGGUAACUGUAUAGGAGUAUGUCAUGAUCAGAUUUACCAAAAGGAGGGAACAUAAUAAUAGGCUGACAUGUUAAUUUACGGGACUUUGUAUAUGACAAUGAGAUCUCUAUGACAAUCGACUGAAAAUUGAAAUCUCUGCUUGCUCGUCUUGGGGAAAAAAAUGGCUCCGUGCUUUGCGGCUGUUGUUCUCGGCUCUUGCUAUUUCUCUGCUUGAGGCCCAAGCCCAGGCCUACCAGCUCUUGCUAUUUCUCUGCUUGAGACUCAAGCCCAGGCCUACCGUUAAGUUUUUUUUUGUGAGGCAGCUCCUCAUUAAGCUUCCUUGCGAGGCAGCUCGUUUAGCAAUUUUUUUUUUUAAAAAGAAGAAGCAAAUUUGUUGAGCUGGUGCAUGGCCGACAUCUGCCGACGUCUGGUCGUAGCAGAGGACUUAUUCUUUUCUUUUUUUAGACUUUGAGUCAUCCUAUUUCGUCUAUCAGUUUUGCUAGCGCAUUGCCAAAAAAAACUUUACUCUUUUUAAUCACGUAGAUACGUAUUGUUAUACUAUGUUAAAGGAUGUGUGUUAUUUAUACGUAAUAUUAUAUCAGUAUAAAAUAUUAAAACUCAGGCCAUUGUAAACCGUUUGUAAGAAUUACGCUUGACGUGAUACUAGAGUAAUACAUUCAAUGAAAUUCAGAUCACGAGCAUCAUAUAUUGAUCGCUAGAAAUGUAUAAAUAAUCAAUCUAAGCCAUAUCUAAAAAAGUAGGCACCAUGCCUAGAAAUAUGGGAGUAUAUCAUGUUUUGAACAUGUGACAAUGUUUUAUUAUAAUUUGGUUUUAGAUUGUAAUCCACGGUUAAUGUGUAGAACAUGAGCUAGCAGGUCGUUUAACGUUUGCAUCUGCAGAUUGAUUAUUUGAGAUAAUAUUAUCUAUGUAUAUAGAACUUAAGUUCAGAUCACCUUUCACCUUUCAGCCACGGAUCUUUAGUUGAGACGCUAACCAUACGUGAUAUUUAAUCACAAUUAUACACAAAAUUAUAGUUGACAUAUUGAAUUGAACACAUGUACACACAUUAUAUUAGUAGGUAAUAUUUUUAUGAUACUUCCUCUGGCCGGAAUUACUUGUCACUGAUGUAGUACAACAUUGUACUAAAUUUAGGAAGUAAUAUGGGUCGGAGGUAGUAGUAAAUUAUAAUGUGAAAUAAAAAUUCUAUGUGAUUAUUCUAUUGAUGCUCGAAUUAAAGUUUAUACAUGAGCAAAUUGUUUUUUUAAGUGUUUUGUUCGCCAGCAAGUCAUCCGGACAUACAUGGUGUAACUAGCAGUCAGAUCGAGUUAAAUGUGGGAUCACGUGUUAGAAUGUAGAAUAAUAACUCAUGGAUGUCAAAAGAUAGAUUAUUGUGAAUGGAGCUAAGCUUAAUACUUAUAAAGUGCAUAGGAAAAGAGACUUCACAAAUUUCGUUACUUAUCUGUAUCAAUGUACAGAAGACAUUCGAAUCCAAGGCAUAUGUGCUCUAACGACUGAAUCAUAUCUGAUCUAGUAUACAUUCGAAUCUAGUGCUAAUUACGAAUCUUGCCUGGAUAUAACCGAUCUGUGCAUCUUGUUGCCUUUUACGGUGACGACUCUGCAGAAAACCAAACAGAGUUCAGAACACAGAACGUAAUGAGCACAAACACAAUCAAAUUCGAUAGUGUGGGAGAAGAAGAAUUGAUUACUUGGAGAUGGAGGUGCCGCAGGAGCAGGAGCCCUCAACGGCGGUACAUUUGGCGCUGUCAGAUUCAUACAUUAAAAAGGAGUCAAUAAGGUUCUGACAAAAAAAAAACAGUGGAUGGGAACAAGGAGUUGGCUGAAAAAACUUACAUGAGCACUGGGCAAGCGCCUGCAGCGGGAGCGGGACGUUGCAGUCGCCCGGGAGGGACAUCAUGCGCAUGGAGUCCAUGGGCGCGGGCAUGAGCGUGUUGAUGUCGCCGUUGAGGCCGUGGCAGAGGCAGAUGGGGGCGGUGUCGACGAGCGACUUGAAGCCGUCGCAGCACGCCGUCGGAGGCGACGACACGCUGGUGUUGGUGAGGUAGCCCAUGCACGGAUUCAGCCCCAUCAACGACGGCAGGCACUCCUUCGGUUGCGAUGGCGACGGCGAUGACGGAGGCGGGGUUGACACAGCUGGGGGAGGCGUCAAUGGCGUCGUCGGUGGUGGUGGGAUUGACACAGGGGGAGGCGUCAAUGGGGUCGAUGGCGGUGGGAUUGCAACUGGAGUUGGGGGAGGAGGGGAUUGAGGCGGCGGAUUGACGGCUGGGAUUGGGAGGCCGGGGAUCGGAGGCACUGGGAGGCCCGGGAUCGGAGGCAGGGGUGGACAGCCGGGGUGUGGCGGCAAUGGCGGCAGCGGCGGGAAGCCCGGGAUGUUGGGGAAGCCGGGCCAUGUCAAUGGAUGUGCGACGUCGGCGUUGGUGCUGGAGGCUUGUUGAUCAUCUGCUGCGGGGUUGAGGACUCCUUGGGCCCUGAUGGCUUCCGAUGGCUGCAGCGCGGCCGCGAGGAGGGCCAAGGCGAGGAACAAAGCCACGGUGAGCUGCUUGGGUGGCUCCAUCUCCAUGUUUGUUUGCUUGCGUGAUCGAGGCCGGGGGUUUAUCUGUCGCGUUUGCGUUUUGUGGUACGACGAUGCAUUGGGCCUGCUGAUCAAUUUAUAGGAUGCCUUGGCACGUUAACUUGAUAAACUUUAGAUAAGGCAGUUUGAAAACCGAUUGCAUGGGACUCUUUAACGCAUCGAUCAUUCUACCUGUCGGGAGUGGACUCUCUGUGGUUCUUUAAUCUGUGCCUUUUAGUUAGGACAUCGAUCUAUAUCCACUCUUAAAUUAAACCAAGACCAAACUGUUUUCUCCAAAAAACAAAAAAGAGAGAGACCAAACUGCUACCGUAUUACGGGAUAAACUCGAAUCUAUGCUAGGUACCUUCUAGUUAUCGAUCCACACAUCUCUGACAUUGCAAUGUUAUGUCCAUAAUGAGCACUUUUUUUAGCCGAUAAGUAAUCCAUAGGUUAGAGCUAUCUUAUCCCAAUUCUUAUACGUACUGUAGUAUCAUUGUUGAUUAGCUAGAGAUAGAAGCUUACAAACUCUGCUGGAAGUCCAAGUCUCCAAGGACGAGGAUCAUUGAGUCUUGAAUGAAUUACUAGAUUUUAUUAUUAGAUUAUCAUAGUCCAAUGUCGACAGUACUAAGUUAAAUUCAAAUUAUCAUGUAGUGGGACCAAGUUUGAUAACCAGGAGCCUCAUUCAUGUAUAGUGUGCAAGUCUAUGAUCAGUAAGCUAACACACACCAAUCAAUUGGUAACACAUAACAAACAUUCCAAAACUAAACAAAUACUUAUAUAUGAAUGUACCAUGAAGUCGAGUUCUUGGCACUACUACAGAACAGUUAAUCUCGCCUUCUAAACCAUCUACUCCGACAAAAAGGGGAACUGCCAGUAACUAUGUGUCAAUGGUGACAGUGUCACUUCCUGAAGCGUUAGCGAACACCAUUGACGGGUCAUCCAUAAUGAGCUUUAGAGGUCUCCUUUUCUUGGACCACCAGCGGUGCGCCAGGAGGUGGCACAUACCGUUUUCUCUAACGCGUCUCUUGUGGACGUGUCAGAGAUGACUUGUCUACAUGGCUUAUGGAAUAUUGUCCAUGUAGCUAUGACCAUUUAGUUUGACGCUUCGUCGAUGUGUGUCGGUGGUGGUCGUGCAGGGUGACAAGUUUUAUAGUAGUGACCCUAAGGAUGCCUUCAUGCCUAGGGGUCACAAACCCACCAUAGACACGGUUCGAUAAGUGUUUUGAUACACCUUUUUCAAAUAUUUAUGAUUUUUUUAUGCAGAUCAGUGGUCAAGAUAAAAAAAGGGGUCCUUCGAAUGUUGACAUAUCCAGAUCCACUCUUCCCAUCUUGACGUUCUUCCAUGUAGUUCAGUAUGAACCUAUAUGAUAUACCAUGUUUAUGCAAACUUGGACCAACCUUAGAAGUUUUAAAAACCACAUAAGCUAUUCUCACCUCGAAAGUCCGAAACCUUAGACUGUUGAACACACAGUAGUGUCCGGCUCUGAAAGCACUGCUUUUUUGGUUGACGCGGAUAAACACUAAAUGUACAAAAGGACAAACCGUGAGAACAACUACUACAUAGAGUAGGUCGUGAUACCCCACACAAUGACGAAGAUAAAGUCGAAACGUUAUUUCGGACGAUGCCUCUUAUCAUCAAGACAUCACUACCAAGGACACACCCAGCCCAACUUUUUUUCAAAAAAAAAAAACACCCAGCCCAACAAAGGUUCUGAAACUGAAUGUGAUUCCCCUCGUCUCUUGAUGUCAGAUCGGGUGUUAGAGACAAGACGGCGAACGAUUCACACAAAGCAGCACCCAGGGUUUGGUUACGUUGCCUUCUUAUUUGAAACCCAAUUCUAUUUUAUUUAUUUUUUAAAGGUAAACCCAAUUUUGUUGUGCAUGAGGGUAUCUUGACAUUGAAGCUGAAAUUCGUUGUGAUGUGUUCAUAGAGCAUGAAUGUCUCAGAGUUGUCAGUAUAUUCUAUUGCCGUUAGAAAUUGCCUUUUUUCGAAAAAAGGUGGAAGCCCCAUCUUCUUCUGCAGCAAUCGAUGCACACAACCAAUUUCAUUGCAAAGUUAUAAAAAGUAGGUCUUACCGAUCAUCGGUUUGCGAUCGUGGAUACAAUAAUAAGCCAUCAAAAAACAUCAAUCAUAACGAAAUUAUAAUUAAAGGUGUCUAGUACACCGUCAGCCAGCCCGAGAUACCAUCUCCAGCCGGCUGCAUCCAAUAGCCUGCAUAGUGGAGCUUAUACUUAACCUUUUAAAAUGGAUUCUUUUCGAAGUCUGGUUGAGAUUAUUUACUGUGAAAAAGUUACAUCGCCUUGAUGAAUGGAAUACACUAUUGAAUCAGAUUAUACUAUCGCGUACCCUUACAUUUCAUUUUUAGCGUCCCUUCGAACUAACAUUGUACUCCUUCCGUCCCAUAUUAAGUGACUCAAAUUUGUCCAAAUAUGAAUGUAUCUAUACCAAAAAAACGUCGAUAUAUAUAAUAUUUCGUCACUUAAUAUGGGACGGAGGUAGUACUAAAUUGCGGCACUUAUUAUGGAUCGGAGGGAGCAAUUGUGUUGGUACAUGGGUUUAGCAACGAGCUUAGCUUUCAAAUUUUGAGAAUUGAGAGACCAGUCUAUAAAUACCGUCAUGGAGUACUGUUCUUUCGAUGUGAGAAAUCUCCAGACACACAUAGAGCGGUUUUGGUGGGAGCAGACAAGUGGCUUGUGAGAAUGUCAAAUGGCCUGAGCUAUCUGAUCGCGAGCAGCAUCGCAUCUGUUUCCCGGUGGAGUUCAUUGAUUUUCUCCUAGAUUGAAACAAUCACAAGAUCAACGUCUCCACAGCUGAAAAACAGCCAGGCAACUGUAAUACGGGCCUCAAAGUCAAUGUGCUAACCAUGCAUUCUGGUAGACAUGAUUAGUGUGAUGUGUCCAUCCAAGCCGUCAUCGGACAAUAACCUCGCUACUGUUUUGGUCGACAUCAGCCGGCCACGACGAUUGAUUGAUGCCUAAACCGAGAAACGCUGAGAAUGACAUUCACUCUCAACUCUCAACUCAGCCCGGCGGUUCCGGCACGCAGCUAGUGCUUUGGUUUUCACAUGUGCAUGGUAAAAAAAAAGACUUCUCCUCGUGUAUGCCCUGCUCUGCUUUUUUAAUCCAAAAAUAAAUUGUCCUGCUCUGCUCUGCUUUCGUGGUUAUCUACGAGAUCAAUUUCUUGCCCGUCCUGGUACUUCCGUAAUUCUUGAUUUUGUUGCAGCACAAUGACUAACGAAAGAAAGUUCUCGACCGAAAGAACCCCUCGCAAAAAAGAAGAAGAACGGGGCAUGGCCAGAGGAAAAAAAAAUCAGAUAGCAACCACCAUUUUGUAUCCUUUGACUUUGCCAAUGCGUUUAAAAUUGGGAAAGUAGAGCAAUAACCAUGGAAAUGAAGUGCCAGACACUUCUCUAGUUUUCAGUUUUUCACGAUGAAAGAGGCCGGCAUCGGCAUGGUUGUCGUCCUCCUCCUCCUCCUUUUCCUAUCCAGGCCGCUCGCGGCCGACGACGCCUACUCGGAGUACUCCUGCAAUGGCACCAGCGGACACUACACGGCGCGCGACGCCUUCGGGGCCAACCUCGAGCGCCUCACCGCGGCGCUCCCCGCAGACGCCUCCGCCGCACCGUCGCUCUUCGCGUCCGCGACCGUCGGCACCGGCCCUGACACCGUCUUCGGCCUCGCGCUCUGCCGCGGCGACAUCACGGACGCCAGGGCAUGCUCCGGCUGCCUCGAUGACGCCUUCAGGAAGCUGCGGGGCCUCUGCGCUGGCAUCAGGGACGCCACGUUCUACCAAGACCUCUGCACGCUCCGCUACUCGGGCGAGGACUUCCCGGCGCGUCCCGACGACAACGGUCCCGUGAUCAACGCCAUGGACGUGAACGGGUCGACGUACGCCGGGUGGGACAGCCGCAACGCCACGUCCCGGAGCACCUUCCUGUCGCUGGUGGGCACCCUGUUCUCGGAGAUGUCCAUGUACGGCGCCUACAACUCCACGGCGCGCCGGUUCGCCACCGCCGCCAUGUACGUCAACCCGACGCUGCCGACGGUGUACGGGCUCGCGCAGUGCACGCCGGCGCUCUCCCCGGCCCAGUGCUGGCACUGCUUCCAGGGCCUCGAGGCGCUGAACCGCCAGUGGUACGACGGCCGCGAGGGCGGCCGCAUCCUCGGCGUCCGCUGCAACUUCCGCUACGAGGCCUACCAGUUCUUCGCCGGUUCCCCGGUUGUCAAGAUUGGCUUCUCUGAUGCUCCCCAAUCUUCGCCUACAGCUAAAGGAAGCAACGGUAAGGGAGAAUGUGCAGUAUGGAGCGACUUUAAUUUGUUAAACUUUUUUUCAGGUGUGCUAGACUGCUGAUAUGGCUUAAUUAUGUUUUCUUCUGCGUCAUGCAGGAAGCAAUCACAAGAUGAUCUUAAUAAUUGUUCUAUGCGUGUCGAUUUCGGUGCUCUGUUCUCUCUUAGUCGGGUGCCUUCUGCUGAUCAUCAGAAGAGUAAGAAAAGGAGGAGGUAAAAGACGACGACACGAUGCGAGAAAAUCAUGUAUUCUUUUCUCCCAGCUGUCUAAAUAGUUGGCGAAUUUCCAAUCCAGGGAAGACGAAAUUACCCCAUCUACAACCACAUUCCAGAAGCAGCUCGAAAACAGAGGAAGCGCUGAAGCUGUGGAAGAUCGAGGAGAGCAGCUCAGAGUUCACGCUGUACGACUUCCCCAAGCUGGCUGCCGCCACGGAUGACUUCUCCGAAGACAACCGGCUCGGAAGAGGCGGCUUCGGGCCUGUUUACAAGGCAAGCUAUAAUCCAUUACCAGCGAACAAUGUUGCAUAAAAUGCGCCGGAUGAAUAGAUGAUAGAUCAAACGCUAACCUCUACGUUUACCGAUCCCAUUUUCCUGUUUUCCGUUUUCAGGGUACGUUGCCUGAUGGAACCGAGGUGGCGGUGAAGAGGCUGUCGGCGCAGUCCGGGCAAGGGCUGGUAGAGUUCAAGAACGAGAUCCAGCUGAUCGCCAAGCUGCAGCACACGAACCUGGUGAAGCUCCUGGGGUGCUGCGUGCAGGAGGAGGAGAAGAUGCUGGUGUACGAGUACUUGCCCAACAGAAGCCUAGACUUCUUCAUCUUCGGUAAAAUUAAAUUAAUUCAUGCUAGUAAUCCCAAUAGUCUCAUUUUGGUUAGUUCUUCUGUGAUUGUUCUUACUGAUAAUCUGAGUGGCGUGUCUGGCAUGUAGACCAAGAGAGAGGGCCGUCGCUGGGUUGGAAGAAACGGCGGCACAUAAUCGAAGGGAUCGCGCAGGGGCUGCUGUACCUGCACAAGCACUCCCGCGUGCGCAUCAUCCACCGGGACCUCAAGGCCAGCAACAUUUUGCUGGACGGAGAUCUGAACCCCAAGAUCUCCGACUUCGGCAUGGCCAGGAUCUUCGGCUCCAACAUGACGGAGGCCAACACCAACAGGGUCGUCGGCACCUAGUAAGACAAAAUUAAACAUCCAAUUUCUCACAAUGCUCAACAGGCAACAGCAGUGCUCCAUCCAUCGAUUAAAGGAGCGUGCGGAUUGACCACUAAUGAUGCUCCAAAUCUUGUUUUUGGGAUGUACUCCUGUACAGCGGUUAUAUGGCCCCUGAGUACGCUUCCGAGGGCAUCUUCUCGGUGAAGUCUGACGUGUUCAGCUUUGGUGUGCUGCUGCUUGAGAUCGUGAGCGGCAAAAGGAACAGCGGCCACCAACACUACGGGGAAUUCGUCAACCUCCUUGGCUACGUAAGCUUCUUCUCAUCCGAGAAUUUUUAAUUAACCCCAAGAACUUAACAAGAACACGACACGUCCUAAUUGCGACCUUCACAUUUCUUAAAUCCUUUCACAAUCUCAUUCCAAAACUAACUACAAAACGAUCGCCGCCGGCCUUGUCGACUAUCAGUCAAGAUUUUUCUCUCCUAGCGUUUACAUUGGCAACAUACGUCAACCGACAGAGAUUUAUAUAUUACAGACUGGAACCUUAGUAGUAGUAGAAUAUUAACUAGUGAUGCGUACGUGUUAAUUUGGGUUGGGUGUGAGUGCAGGCAUGGCAGAUGUGGAUGGAAGGGAGAGGGUUGGAGCUUGUGGAGCCGACGCUGGGGGAAUGCGGCGAGGUGGCGAGCAUAAUGCGGUGUAUCAAGGUGGCGCUGCUGUGCGUUCAGGACAGCGCGACGGACCGGCCGACGAUGACGGAGGCGACGGCGAUGCUGGGCAACCACGGGGUGCCGCUGCCGGACCCGAGGCGGCCGCCGCACUUCGACCUGCGGGUCAACAGCGGCGACGACGACGAUGACGACGAGGAGGAGGGCGGGUCGGGUCAGGAUGUGGUGCGGGCGGGGUCGCACUUCACCGGAUCGUGCAGCACCAACGACGUGACCAUCAGCACCAUCCAAGAAGGAAGGUAGUAGCGAGCAGCAACGGCAUCCGUUGAUCGUUAAUGGAGUACCCGUGUUUUCUCCUCCUCUUCGUUUGGGUUUGAGAUGUUUCUGGCUGCUACCUGACAUGUACUCACUACAUUGUACGUGUACCAAAGCAUCUGCGGUCUGGCAGUGCUUUUGACAAACGGAUAGAGAAAAGAAAAGGAGUAGUACCAAAACUGUACAUUGAUCUGGACAGAAUGCAACAGAGUCGCAUGGUUUGCUCUUGACAGGCGCAGGUGUGAAGAUUGGUGUGGUCAGCCGGCGAGUAUUCAAGCCGUGCAAAUGCGAACCUAAUGAUGGCGUCUUUGACUUCGCACGGUGGGGAACCACUCUUAGAAAACUUCCAGGAUCAUUACCUAGUCUAACAGCACAUAAAACACCAAAGCGUGAAACUAUUUGAAAGCAAAGUCUGCUCGUUUAGCGCCAAUUCGUCAACGGAUGAUGUAUCAGGUCAAAAUGAGCAUCUUCUCAAUAAAAAAUUUAAAACUUUGCAAAACAAAUUGAGCAUCUUCUCUGCCGGUCACUCGUGCUUGCAUUUUUUUUAAUGCGGUAAGGUUUCUUUCGAGAGACUUCAUAGCACAGUUUCUCUGAGGGCGGGCGUCCAUCGCGUUUCUGCUUGUCAUUCUCAGUGGAUGCAUCAGCAACUAGCAAUGUAAUUGCCAUUGAUGAUACCUCCACAGGCGCACCCUGCUUCCAGCUUGCUUUUGAAAGGAGGCAGUACUCCUGUACAAAACCACUCUAUAGUCAGCGUGCAUAAAAAUAGGUUAUAGAGCAGUACCAUAGGUAAAAGCAGAUUAUGGAUGUUGAUACCUAUUGUGCUGGUUAGGGACGGAGACAAGCCCAGGCAGUCGGGGCCGCGGCCCGGGGCGCAGAAACUUUUUCCUUUGGUAAUUUUGGUGAUUUCACGAUUUGGCAUGGGCUUACUUGCUAAUUCCAGUGAUUUGGAGCAACGGUCUUGGUCUUGGUCUUGACAGUAGGAUUCACCGCAUACAGAUAACAUAUGAGAUGUGCACAUGGCUGAGAACCUCUCGUCUUUGCUGCAAUCGACUUCAGUAAGUUUGUCCUCAACAUAAAUCUCUUUACCCUUCUUGCCCUUUUUGUUCUUCCAUUUUAAGUUAUAACCGUUUACACCAUUAGUUGCAUUUGGUCAGCACCAACCAAGAGCUCCGACUCUUCUUUAGUUGCUUCUCGCUCAAAGCGUUCCUCUAGAAGCUUGUCCUUUCCUUUCCCUUUAUCUCUGGCCUUCACCUUCUAUUUAUUGAUUCGCUUUACUUCGUCACCAGACUUUUCAUUGUGUACAGAAAGCAUAGAUGGAAUUUUCUUCAAAUGAGAGAUUACAUCGUACUUGACUAGAAUCAUUUGAGACUGCCUCAUUCUCUUCAUUUUUUGGAAGAUGAUGGGGGUCAGCUAAUUGACGACCAGAUCUAAGCUGAACCUAAUGGACUUCUAACGGUUCCUCUUGAAGGAAGUAAAAAGACUCAUCCUCUUCCUUUAACACACCAAUAAUGAGAACAUUGAAUUCUUCACUAGAGACGUCCAUGCACUUUGCCAAGUGUGGAUAUAUCUUCAGAGCGAAGCGCGGGAGAGAGAUUGAUUCCAUCACUCGGGAUGGUGCACGACAUUUUGGCCGUUGUUGCCACUGGCCAUGGGAUAUUCGAGGAACCGAUGGAUUGGGUCUUGUAUUGUGGUUGCAGGGAAUAUAAGCCUCUCCUUUAUGUUGAUCUUGUGACUUGGCAAAGCCUUCAAUGAUCAUAGGAGUGGAUUUAUAUUCUGAAAUCAGUAUUUAAUUUUCAUCACAAGUUGGCCUCAUAUUUGAAUUCAACGAAUCAUCUCAAAGGAUGAUGACAUUUGUUGUAACCAUCUUCUCUGCAUUCCUUAUGCUUUUGGGGAGACCCGCAUCAAUAGUCCACUCAUCAAUCAUUUUCUGGAUGAUAUUCUUUAUAACAAAGCAAUCUAUGAGCUUACGACCCAAACUGCGAUGGUGAGAACUAAAAAUUGGCUCAGUGAACUUGGAAGCUUCUUUUGGCCUUUUAGACUUGAGCUCUCUAUUUUGACGCUCACCAAGAGUCUUAUUUAUUUUUUAUAUCCGUAACAGAGAUAAAUCUUAUAAAUCUUCUUAAGCCUAAAAGGGCAGAAGAAGUUCAAUGAGUCAAAUUUAUGUCCUUACCAUCGCAUAUUAGGUCAUACACUCAAAGACUGCUCUGUUAUAAAGAAUAUCAUCUAGAAAACUCGUGAUGAGUGAACUGCUGAUGCAAAUCUCCUUAAAAGCAUAUAAAAUGAAAAGAAGAUGGUUGCAACAAAUGUCUUCACCCUUCGAAAUGAUUCGAUGAGUUGUGCAUCUUCAAAUAUGAGGCCAACUUGCGAUGAUGCAACGGUGAUCCCAAAAUAUAAAUUCACUCCUAUGAUCAUUUCAGGUUUUGCCAAGUCGCAAGAUCAGCAUAAAGGAGAGGCCUAUAUUCCCUUCAGCCACGAUACACGACCUGGUUCAUUAGAUCCUCCAAGGUCCCAAGACUAGGGGCAACAUCAGGAAAACGACGUGUACUACCUUGAGUGAUUGAUGCAAUCUCUCCUUCCGCUUUGUUCUGAAGAUAUAUCAGCACAUGCCAAAGCGCAUGAAGAUCUCUAGUGAAGAAUUCAACAUUCUCACUAUUGGUGUGCUUGGGGAUGAUGAUGAGUUUCUUUACUUCCCUGAAGAACCAUUAGAAGUUGACCAGGUUCAACUUAGAUCAGGUCAGGAAUUAGCUAACCAUCAUUCUCUCCUUAAAAGGACUCAAAAAGGAAGGAGCCGAUCCCAAACGGGUCGAUGGAAUCUACCUCUAGGGUUCGAGUCAAGUACGAUGUGAUCUCUCGUAUGAAGAAAACAUUGGUCUAUGUGGAAAGUCUAUGUGAAAAAUCACCAUUGUGUUAUGAAAAUAAUAAUAGUGGCAUGGAUCAAGAGGUAAGAAACUUACAAACUACUUAAUGAGUGUCAUAUAGAAGGCAAGGACGAAAGAUGGUCCAAUACACAACUAACAUAUCAAUAACUAUGACAUGUGCAAAAAUGGAGUGUCCAAACUAAUUAGGGGUUCACAAACCAAGACGAGAAAACAAUAGGUUACCUGUGGGGCAGAGUAAACUUCGCUGCAAGACAAGGAUAGGUGGUAUGAAUUGAUGUGGGCAACCAUGUAGCUUACGGGCAUUGUGAUUAUAGUAAUUAUGUUGCAGCUUAAAGAAAACAGUUCAUUUCCACAUCUUUCAAAUAAUUCAUUUACAUUCAAUUUAUAUUAAUCUUUGCAUCUAAUUGUAUCAGUUUUACCCUCUGUUUUAAGCCAAAUAAUUAAGACACUGCCAAUGGGAGGCCUCUCUGUUGGAACUCAGCGUUGUGCAGCACCCUGAGAUGAAAAUCUAUCAUUAGGGAUUAGGCUAUCAAGCAGCAGCUUAAUGCUCCUUUCCAUAUGGAAAUUGCCAUGCUAAUAUGCUGGAGUAUCUGGAGAACUCGUAAUGAUCACAUCUUCAAUGGGGUGAAUCCCUCUCUCUAUAGGUGCAGAAAGAUCUUUAAGGAGGAGCUCAACCUUGUGUUCCAUGGGGUAAAAAGAAAGAAGCGGGGCAGAUUUAGAGACUGGAUUCAGAAUUUUAGAUAGACUCUUGUUAACACCUUUGUUAGCAUUUUGUACAUACAUUUACAUUUUUAAUAUAUUUGCAGUAGAUCAUUGAUCUACUGUUUUACUUUUUCCUAAAAAAGAAUCUAUCAUCACAGCAACCAGAAAGGAAAUGUACGUCAACGAAAACAAUUUUGUCAAAAAUACUACAUACUACAACAGGUGCAGAAACCACAACACUUUUAAUAUCAAUAUCGUCAAUACUUUCAUCUUGCUUCAUUUUGUAAGAUUGUGCAGAACAAAUAUCACCUUUUCAUGUGCUGGAUGCUAAUAGUUAAUCAGUAAGCACCCAGCUUACAAAAUUAACACAUCAGACUAAUUCGGCUAUUAAAUAAACUAUCAUGCAUUGUUCUAGCUAAAUGCACACUGACCCUUUGUUUUGGCACAAAUGCUGAGAGAUCCAUGAGAAGCUAAGUGCCUCUUGAUAAACCAUAUCAAAACAAUCUACAAUUCAAUGGACAAAAAGUAUUCACUUUGCUAUGAACUUGAGGACAAUAAUUUCAGCCACAUACAUAAUGUGAAGCUAGAGUUUGAACAAGACUCAUUCAGUUCUAAAAUUGUAGAUUCAGGUAUAUUCCCAGUCUAUCAUGAGAAAACCUGAAGUAAUAGCUCCUACAAAGGGUCAGAUAUGGUGGUAAUUGGUUGGAUACGCAGCGCUAUAUGCCGUGAGAAUUGGACUAGAGAUGGAGGCCCUGCACUGCACAGGUGAACGACGCCUGUAAUAAGUGGACAAAACGGGGGCACGCCAGCAUCACCUCUGCCACGCCAAGGGUUUGGUGAAUUGAACAAGAAGCCGGCUAGAUAGGUUUGCGGAGGAGCGACCCAGCGACACCCGUGAAAAAUCCGGAUAGGCAGGCCAGUGGCCGAACACGAAGACAUUGCGAUGGCAGGUGAAGACGAGGAUCGUGAGAGCGGGCGCGACCGGUGAGUGGUGACUGGGGAGCGAGCCAGCCGGCGUCGUUGGCCACACCGGCAGGACUGUUGGGGAAAAACUUUUUUCCGGAAAGGGAGAAAAAGAGAGUCCAGGAGAUGAAGCGGUCAAGCAGGGGUCGUUGAGAAAAAAACGCGCCUCGUUUUUCUUUAAAAAAAAUGCAUCGAUGCUUAGCUAAAAAAAGUUAUCAUUAGAAUUGGUUGUAUAAUUUUCAAAUUGAGUGUGGUUAUAUCUCAAUCGUCUGAUUUUUAAGCAAAAGAUUUAAAUUUAAGUUGACGAAUUAUAACUGUUGUAUCAGUAUCUAGAUGUUAUUUUAGUUUUCUUUUUCCAUCGUUCGUUUCGAAUCUUAAAAGACAAGCCAUAUUCAAUUGAAUAUGACUGAGUAAUCAAAUUAUUUCUAAAUAAAAAUCAGACGAUUUAGAUAUAACAAAACCGUUUCAAAUUUAUUACACUCAGGAAUUUUCAGGCGCUGGGGCUAGCUCUACCUGUACGGGGUCCUUUCUUGUGUGAUUGGAUUCAUUCAGUCAGUUCAUCCAUCUUACUUACUUUUGGACCAUGACGGCUUUGACAAACACAAGUCUCGUCCAAUUUAGAAGGCAAAGUUUGCAUUCUUAUCUUAUUCCCUGCACGCCGAACAAAUACCUCACCUAAUCUCAUAAAAAUUUAGCUUCCACAUAAGCGUAUAUCUCACUCUCUUGGUGUGACCCGACAAGAAUCAACGGAUAAAUUUUUUGCAGUUCUCUCCAGGAAGCAUACCAAAAAGACCAGCACAACACAUGGCGUGCUUGACCCAGUACGAAGAAAGAAGCAUCACAGCACGGCGCAAAAUAUUUGCAACAUAUAUAUAACCCAAACCAUUUCAAUGCCCUAUUGCCAUUCUUGUAUGUAUACUGCAGCUAAGCUAGACAUCGAUCGAGCAUACGUACAAAUCAUCAAUGGCGUCAUUCUCCGUGCUUCUCAUACUCGCCUGUACAAUUCUGGCCUCCGAUGCCGCCGCCGCCGUCCGGGUCGGGCUGACGCGCAUCCACGCCGACCCCGAAGUCACCGCGUCCGAGUUCGUGCGCGGCGCCCUACGCCGCGACAUGCAUCGGCACGCGCGGUUCGCCCGGGAGCAGCUCGCGCCGUCAUCGGCGGCCGCGGCGGGCCUGACAGUCGGCGCGCCAACCCAGAAGGACCUGCGGAACGGCGGCGAGUACAUCAUGACGCUUUCCAUCGGCACGCCGCCGCUGUCCUACCGUGCCAUCGCCGACACGGGCAGCGACCUCAUCUGGACGCAGUGCGCGCCCUGCGGCGACACUGUCACUGACACCGACAACCAGUGCUUCAAGCAGUCCGGGUGUCUGUACAACCCGUCCAGCUCGACCACGUUCGGCGUGCUCCCCUGCAACAGCCCGCUGAGCAUGUGCGCCGCAAUGGCCGGGCCGAGCCCGCCGCCCGGGUGCGCGUGCAUGUACAACCAGACCUACGGCACCGGGUGGACGGCGGGGGUCCAGAGCGUGGAGACGUUCACCUUCGGCUCCUCCUCGACGCCGCCGGCUGUCCGUGUCCCCAACAUCGCCUUCGGCUGCAGCAACGCGAGCAGCAACGACUGGAACGGCUCGGCGGGGCUCGUCGGGCUGGGUAGGGGGAGCAUGUCGCUCGUCUCGCAGCUCGGCGCCGGGGCGUUCUCCUACUGCCUCACGCCGUUCCAGGACGCCAACAGCACGAGCACGCUCCUCCUCGGCCCAUCAGCGGCGGCGGCCCUCAAGGGCACCGGCCCGGUCCGUUCGACGCCGUUCGUCGCCGGCCCAUCCAAGGCGCCCAUGAGCACCUACUACUACCUGAACCUGACGGGCAUAUCGGUCGGCGAGACGGCGCUGGCCAUCCCUCCCGACGCGUUCUCCCUGCGGGCCGACGGCACCGGCGGGCUCAUCAUCGACUCCGGCACGACGAUCACCACGCUGGUGGACUCGGCCUACCAGCAGGUGCGGGCCGCGGUCCGGUCCCUGCUGGUGACGCGGCUGCCGCUGGCCCACGGGCCGGAUCACUCCACGGGCCUCGACCUCUGUUUCGCGCUAAAGGCGUCGACGCCGCCGCCGGCAAUGCCGAGCAUGACGCUGCACUUCGAAGGCGGCGCGGACAUGGUGCUGCCGGUGGAGAACUACAUGAUCUUGGGCUCCGGCGUGUGGUGCCUGGCGAUGCGGAACCAGACGGUUGGGGCCAUGAGCAUGGUCGGCAACUACCAGCAGCAGAACAUUCACGUACUCUAUGACGUUCGGAAGGAGACGCUGUCGUUUGCUCCAGCCGUGUGCAGCUCGCUCUGACGACAAAUGCACAGAUAUCCGUGUACAUACAUGCGUACCUGGCUUCUUUAGGUGUUUUUUUUUCGGUAUAGUGCUGUCGAUCAGAUUUUGUAAAGUUUUGUCGAGUUCACCGGCCGUAGUUUUUUUCUUUUCUACACGGCAGUGAGCGGCCGACAAAUGUACAGAUUUUGUGAUGUUUCGGGCGUGUACGUGCUGACAGCAGUGAGCGGCCCGCCGUUCGACUUUGAUCUCUGCUUCGAGUUCGAGGCUCUGGGCGACGUUGACGACGUCCGCGUCGUCCUCGUGCCACGCCCGGGACUGCAUGCGGUUUGCGGGCGGGGCGCGGAGUACGCCGUGCCGCGGCGGAGGGAGCUACUUCGACGCGGUGGACGAGCUAGGCAACGUGAGCAAACUCCAGCCAUCCAGCGGGACGACGCGUUUGGACCGGCGCGGUCCGUUCCGGCAAAAGGGGCGAAACCACAGUCCAGCGGGACGACGUAUUUUCGUUCCAAAUUUGGCGGGUUUGCGUCGACCCGGACCAUGCACGGAGCGCCGUCUCAUCCGCCGCCCUAGCUUUAUAGUGACCCGUGAUCAGAACAAAGUCGCCCCUUCCCCCCAUUCCCAUUACUUCAGACCCCAACUCCUGCCCCCAUCGCCGCCGACCAGUCUCUCCGCCGCCCCGCCCCCGAGUUGUCCCGGUGCGGACUGUGGACGCCCAUCGCCGCCGCCGCCGUCCCCGAGUUUGCGCUGUAAACUGCUGCAAACCGUUACAAUGGAGUCAACAGAUGCAUCAUUAUUGCCAAACUACGAUGAAAGAAUACAGAGCCAAAAUUGGAAGUGAAUUACUAACAGACAUAAAUGCAUCAGAGGCGGCUCGAUCUUGCUUCAUCCAUUUUGAUGUUCUGAAGAGGAAUCAAAAUAAGCUCGUCGUUUGCUAAUGUGGCCACAGAAUCGUUUGAUUGGAUGCAAACUGUGCAGGGUGAAAACUUCUACUCCAUCCGAUCCAAAAUAAGUGUCACAGUUUUGAAAUAGUUCAAAACCUUAAGCUCAUGAGUUUUGGAUCGGAGGUACUUCGUCCGUUCAACAAAGGAUGUCUCAACUUUGACUAAAUUUGAAUGCAUCUAUACACUAAGCCAUGCCUAGAUACAUCCAAAUUUUGACAAACUUGAGACAUCUUUUGUUGGAUGGAUGGAGUAGUAUUGUUUAGCAUUAGAUCAGUAGACAACGACCAAGAUCAAAGCGUCACACGUUUUGGAGGAAAUGAGGCGGGGCUGGUCAUUAAGAGAUAUUUUUGAUAAAAGUACGCUCAGAUGAUUAUAAGUUAGCAAGUUGCACAAUAGAGUUUCCACUUUUCAUUGGAUAAUAUAUACUCCCUCCGUCCUGAAUUAAGUGACGUGGAUUUGUAUAAGGUUGGUCAUAAUGGGGAGUAACAUAAGCCAGUAACAUGCAUAUGUUACUAGUCUAACAUAUUUAUGAUAACAUAGAAGUCUCAUUUAUUAGCUUUAUAGACUCAUUAUAUCUUGGGAAGUGUGAUGUCAUGGUAACAUAUCUAGUUACCCAAACCAUUUCUUUCCUCAUUAAUAACAUGACACAUCACCCAAAUUGCUUAGUUGACACUUUAGUUACUACCUUUGUUAUUCCCACUAUGACCAGUCUAAGAUGCUAUACAAAUCCACGCCAGUUAAUUUUGGACAGAGGGAGUAUAUCCGUGUGUGCGCUCACGCGCCUUGCGAUCGAGAGGUAUGCAUUUCAACUUGCCCGAUUUUUCUCUUUUUUGUGCAUGCCAAUUCAACCAAUAAAAUUCAAUGGAUGUUUAAACAAUAUGCAUGUUUAUAGAACCCGCAUAAAGAUGAACACAUGAAUACACAAACCUUUAAGCUUCACAGAGCCUAAACCCUGCUUGUCAAAUAACGGGGAAUCCAAUGUCUGUUCAUUGAGAGACAUUACAUCAAAACUGCAUCAGGGGCACACAGAACUCUACUCUAUCUAUCGGUCACCAGCACUUGCAUUCUUAAAUGCAGUAAGGUUCCUUUUGAGAGACUUGACAGCAGACAGCAUCUGCAGUUUCUCCGUGGAGGCCCCAUCACGUUUCUGCUUAGCGUUCUUCGGAGAUGCAUCAUCAGGUGCCAAAGUACUUCCCAGAGACGAGUCCUCAACAGGUGGUUCAGUAUCCAAUCUGCCUGCAUGUGCCCCUUGCUUCCCAGCUUGCUUUCGCAAGAAGGCAGCACUCCUGUACAAAAACCAUUCAACAGUCAGCAUGGCUAACACUAUGUAGGCGAAACAGAUUGUACAAGAGUAGUAUAGGGGGAAAUAUGAUAAUGGAUGGUGGUACCUCUUGUAUUGGGGAUCGGUAGGAUCAAUCGCAUACAGAUGAGAUGUGAACAUGUCUGAGAACCUCUCAUCUUUGCUAAGAUCAAUUUCAGGGACUUUAUCCUCGACAGAAACCUCUUUACCCUUCUUGCCCUUUUUGCUCUUGCGUUUUAAGUUAUAACCCUUUGCACCAUUAGCUGCAUCCUCAUCAGCAGCAACCAAGAGUUCCAACUCUUCUUUAGUUGCUUCUGGCUCAAAAUGUUCCUCUGGAAGCUUGUCCUUUCCUUUCCCUUUGCCUUUAUCUUUGGGCUUCACCUUCUGUUUCUUGCUUGGCUUUACUUCAUCAUCGGACUUUUCGUCAUCGUCGAAGAAAUCAUCGUCUUCAUCAGGGCCAUCUUCGCUGCUAUAGUCAUCAUCAUCCUUCGACACUCUCUUCCUAGCUUUCCGUUUCUCUUUCAUUUUUUCUUGGUGCUUCUCCCAGACAGUCUUCUUCUCGGUGCUCUUUCUCUCAAUGAUACGUUUGCUGAGGUCCUCUAGCUCUGUGUUGAAUGUUAUCUCCAUGUCCUGGUCAUCAGUUUGUUCCUCAUCAGAUUUAUCUCCUUGCAGUAAAAGAGCGACACGCUCCUUAUUUGUUAACUUUCUUUUCACCACAGCACCUGAUAGAGACUCAUCACCAUGGGCAUCUACAUCAUCAUCGGAUGAACUGUCAUCACUUGCUAAGAAAACACCAAGGUCAUCUAACUGCAACAGAAAAUUUAUAAACAUUAAAGAUGUAAAACCGGAGUAAAUCAAAGGAAUGUAAAACCGAAGUAAAUCAAAGGACAAGGAGCAAUAACCAAGAAUAAAAUUUUCAUGAGAAAACAAAGCUAAAAAGUGUCGUUAAUAAAUAAAAUGAUGCCCUUUACCUUAAAAAAAGCUAAAAAAAGCAUCGCAUCAUUAUGAAAUCAUGUCUUGAAAGAGCAGCAAGUAUAUAACUCACAGCUGUUCCGAGAAGAUUUAAAGAAAAUACAAGAGAUGCCUUGCAAAAUAUGAUUACAAUGCUGAAUGCCUAAUAUGACACUGUAAAUCACCCCCCUUCACAUUCAUAAUGUUAAUAAGCAACUGAAUGUUUUAGUGUUAGCAAAUAAAACAAUUUAUUAAGAUAACACUGCUAACCUGAUCAUCAUUGAACUUCCGCCUCAAGAUCUUCUUGCGCUCUGGUUCGUCAUCAUCCCAGGUGAGCUUAACUUUGCUAUGUUGCAAAGCACGAGUCUCAAAAUCAGGCUCCUUGUAACUCGGAGGUGCCUGCGUGAAUCAAACAAGUUAUGAACCAAAAAGGGUUCUGCUAGCAGAACGGAAAGGCAAGUUGUGCUUAGCAUAGUAUCAUAACUUAUGAAAAGCGAGAGACAAAGAAGCAUAAUUAUCAGCCACUUUUGGAAAAAGAGUAACUUGAUGCUGCCAACUGCCAUUACAUCGAUAUAAUUACCAACAGAAAUGACUGCAGACACAAUUCUAUUAAAGAUACCUCUGUGGCUACAUCACGAGCAGGAUGUUUGAACUCCAUAGAGUCAGGAAUAAACUGCAAAUCAAACACAUUUGCCGUUUUCAAGAACUCAGUACGAUCAAGAGUCGUGUAUAGGUGAUUUGCAGUAGCACUGGAAUCACACACAACAACUGCAUAGUAGUACCUGCAGCAAGAAUCACAAGAGAACAAAUUGAGAAACCUAUGGCAAGUAGUAAAAUUUUCAUAUGUAAGACGAUGCAUAGACAAAGGCUCUUUGGACAUAUGCAGACAAUCCCAAACAUGACAAUCAGAAGCCACAAUAAGUACAAUUACACAUAGCCUGUGGAGAUUAUGGACUAUGGUUAAAAAAAUGCAUUCAUACUUAUUUCAGUUAGUUCUAACAAAAAGAUAGAAAAAGGAUAAUAGUCAGCAAAAAGUUCUGUCCAUUUUGAUGCUAACCUCAGUCUGUUAAGCUCAUAAGUACGCAACUUGUUGUUCUCAGUCUCAGAGUCAGGUUCACUGUUGUCUUCAUCAUCGCCGUCCUCAUCGUCAUCGCCCUCAUCAUCAUCAACAUCUUCAUCCUCCUCCUUGUUGUCAUCACCAUCACCAUCGGCACCAACGAGAGCAGAUGGGCCUUGAGUUGUCUCAAUUUCCAAGCACUUCCGCCCAAAUUCUGAUGGAUAGAUUGACACUGAUAGAACUUGCCCACCUUUUGGAAUGCAAGAUGUCAUCACCAUAUACAGGUCAACCGCCUGUUCAAAGAGAGAAAAGAAAGGAAUAAAAACAUUUAACCCAAAUAGCCAAACAGAAGUUGAUAGGAGAAACAUCGAAAUGCUAAGGUGUUUGCUUGGAUCUUCAGUUUUAGCAAAAACAGGAUUUCAUUAAGUUAAAUUUGGACCCAUCAACUGACACAACAUUGGGUUGGAUUGCUGUAAACCAAUAUAACACCACAGGAAGUUCUUCAAUAAUCAAGGACGACAAAAUGCACACAUCAAAAUGCAAAUACAAUGAAGCACCUCCUCUUGGUUGACACUUGGCAAUUAGCACAUAAGACACAAGUGAAGAUACUUGUGGCAAUUCGAUUUAGAUAAGGUUAUUUUUAACUGUCUAAUUAUCAUCAGCAAGCGAUUUAGAUAAGUUUUCUUUUUCCUUGGGUCAUGUGGCUCAUGCCUUCUUGUGGUGUUGUCAACUCACUAUCCUAAUGAUAUACAUGCAGCUCUCCUGAGUGGUCUUGAAAAACAUAAUCUAUAAUAACUGCAUUCAGUACAAUUAUCUCCAAAGUUGUGAGGUUUACGGAUGGAAAUUUCACCUACUUUAAAUUAAACAAAUCAUAAAGAACAGAAACUAAAAUAACUUUAAGCAAAACAGCAUGACCGAUAGGUGCUACUUCAACCUAACAAACAAGCAAAACAAAGCAUUUUUUCUUCAAAAGUCCUAGCUAAAAAUGUUUUGCCAAAAUUGAUUUACAAAAACUUCCUUGAGUUUUUAUUAGAAGUCUAAAUGAAUUUACGAAGGCAAAAACAGCAACGGAAUACAUGUUAGCCGCACAGAAAAUAAAUACAAGUUAGCCCCAAACAUACUCUCAAGGUGAUUCUCAAGCAACCAAAAUAACAAAUUGUGUUUGAGCAUUGCUGGAAAUUGUUUAGGCAAAGAGGAUUACUUCCCAACAUAAAAGUAACUGUUGAUUAGCACACGCACCUUAAUAUGAUCCCAGUCCAUAUUAACAACAGCAAGCCUGUGAGUUUCCUUGUCAAUCAUAGGUGUAUCAUCAUGCUGGGCCAUCAGAUAAUGAGCAAUGUCACUGCCAACAGAGUACUGCAGAAAAAAAGAGUGCCAAUUAGAAGUAGCGAGAAAAAUGUAGUAACGCACUGUUCCUCUCUUUUCUCAAGAAACUGGCAGGAGCACCGCCUUGUCAAUAAGAGAAUCAUUCCUUUCUCUUGAAGACAAGAAAAAUAUAACCACCAAGAAGUGUUCCAUCAAGAUAAUUUAGCGACUCCUACACAUCUCAUAUUAGCAAACCUAACUACACAUAAGUUACUGAAAAACAAAAAACAAAAAUAAGGCCAAUAGUUGUAGUUGGAAAUCAUUUUCCUAGUCACAUAUUGAAAUGUGCAGUUGCAGAAACAUACACAUCUAUUUCUACAUACCAUGCAUUGCUCAAUAAACUUCAUGCUUUACAAGAAAAAUAACGCGACGCCAAGUCACCAAGAGCAAACAUAGGGCAGAAUAACGGAAAUUUGAAGUUUGGCCAAGAGGGGUAAAAACAUGGAUCUUUGCUAUCCACAUGUAAGAUCAUCUCAUAGCGAAUCAUUAGAAAUAACCAACCAGAACAUAUAUUAUUAUUUCACAUGUUAUGAUAUUAACAUACCGGAGUCCUCCCAUGCUCCCAAGAAUUGGAAAACACAAUUUCUAAAGCAAACCUAUGCUAUGUGAAAAUGCCAGCUUCACUAGAGCAAGCAUAGAGAACGUUGCAAUCUAUAUAUCGGAGGAAGCAAAUCAAGCGAAAGUGAAACGUCACAUAACGGGAAGGGUAAUAUCACCUGAUCAUCAUCUUCUUCCUCCUCUUCCUCGUCAUCACUACUGGAGCUAUCUUCCUCAUCUUGUUGAUCCUCUUCUUCCAUCUCACCAUCCUCUUCUCCAAUCAACUUCUCUUUCUCCUUUUUCUUGUCCUUUUCAUCCCCUUCCUCUUGGUUGAGAUAGUAAUGCAGCAUGGGGUUCUCCUUGGCGCCCUUUUUGCGGCGCCUGCCGCGCUUGUCCACCGGCGCCUCCGACGAAUCGAACAUCGGGUCCGUCAGCAUGCUGCUGAACCUCGGGUCCAGGGCCACCUUGGACUCCUUCCGCCGGAUCGGCCGGAACCUCGGGUCGGUCCGCGCCGCCGCGAACCGCUCGUCCUCCAUCGCGCGCCGCAUUUUGUCGUUUCCCCGCUUUGCCUCAUCCGCCCCUGCUCCAGCUGCCUCAGCCUCCGCCUUCUUCUCAUUCUUGAACUUCUUCCCGUGCUCCUUCUCCUCCUGCCCGUCCUUGUGCUUGCGCUUGGCGCCAUGGCGUUGCGGGGCUUCGUCGGCCGUGGGACGCUCAUGCUUAUUCUUCUUGAGCUUUUUCUCGUCCUUGGAGCUGGAUUUCUUGGCCUUCUUGGAACCCUUGAGGUUGGCCGGCGGCGCCAUGGCGGCUGCGGCUAGGGUGCAGUGGCGGCGAGGAGGGUAUCGACACUAUCGAGUAAACCAUAGAUCACCUCGCCUUUAUGGAUCAUAUAAGCCGAGAUGGGCCACAUCGGCCCGUGGGCAAAUCGAUCCGGCCCAUAACUUACCUGCGCUUUGGCCCAUGUUUGCAAACCGGACCCACCUGUCAGUAAGCUAAUGGGUGUCUUACCUUACCUGUUAGGGCGGCCCCACUUGUUUAUGAGCCGUCCCUCUCGCUGUAUGUAUGAUCCACACAUUUGCUAGACGUACACGCCUCAUCAUUACGCCCAAUCUCACCUGCUAGUCCCCCUUCUUCCCCGCCUCGGCGUCGUCGCCGCCGGCGUCUACCGCUGGGAGGAGAUGGCGUCGUCGCUCGACGCGCCGAACCUUGAUGAUUACCUCCCCACGGACUCGCUCCCGCAGGAACCCCCCAGGAGCCUCAAUCUGUAAUAGCCCUAACCCUGUCUGUGCGUCUUGCUUGCUUAUUAAUCUCGUAACCCUAGUGUGAAUUAAUUCUCGAUUUCAGUGAGUCUUCUGAGGCGUUUGUUGCCCUUUUCUGCACUUAUGCAGGCGCGAUCUGCUGGACAUCUCGCCAGUGCUCACUGAAGCGGCGGGCGCCAUCGUGGAUGUGAGUGGCUCCUCUUUCGUAUGCAUUUUCGGGUUAGUUGAUGCUGUCCUAGUGUCCUUAUGAGGACGUACGAGCUCAGAAGUCGUUUCUAGGCUUAUGAUCUCCGAGGUUUAACAGUAGGGGAAAACCGAGCCUACUUUGGCUCUGUAUUUGGUCCAAUCAGAGAGCGCUGGCAGGGGCCGAAGUGCUGCAAGGACGAUUCCUUGAAUGUUUCUUGGAUUCCUUGACUGCAUUAUAGAUCACAGAAGUUGUUGGCAUUGCGAAAUUCAACUUACUUUUUUUAUUGAAUGGACUGUUUGUUGCUAGUCCAAGCAUACUGUUGGAAGAAACAACAACAGCUAUCAGUUGUUGAUCCUUUUGUUUUACGUAAUGCAGUCACAUUGAUUAACUAAUUGAAAUGCGUAGUCGAUAUUAAUUAGUAAGCUCUGCAGGCAAUUCUCCCAUAAUUUAGGUGUAAAAUAGAUAUUAAAUAUUUGUACUAUAAUCUGAUUCCUGUCCCGCAAGGAUAUAAACUUGAGCAUCUUUUGUGUACAUACAUGCACAUUGUCAGGAAAUGAUUACAACGUAAAUUACCGGUUGUCUGAGGUGCACAUAAUUUGAGCGUGUGGCUGUUUUGUCUUCAGGACUUAUUAUCCGCCGUAUAUUUUGUUAUGUCUUAUGUAAGGCUAGACAUAUAAGUGUCAUGGCUGCAGCCGGCAUCAUUGCCCAAGUCCAUGAGCUGUGGCAGUGCAGGAGGAGCCCAAACUUGCUUAGAGUCCAACUGGAUUUCUGAAUUAGGAAGUACGGCAUAUUUGAGCUGUAAUGCCUAUUGAUAGGAGAGUUACUACUAUCAAGGUCUAUUAUGUAUUCUAAUAAAUUAAAGAGUUAUGUGCGAUUUCAGUUUGUGUCUCGCUUGUAAGGCAGCCCUUGACAUAAUAAAGGAGCCACCCGUGAUAUGAGACCAGCAAAGAACUAGAAGGAAAUUUUUCCUUUUAUGUGCAGUCCUUUCCACCUGCCUACAAGCCAUAGAUGCACGACCUUUCCAUGACCAUGGUCUAAUCUGUUAUUCUGAAAGUCCAAGCUUUAACAUCUUUAUGACAUGUCUCAUGGUCAUGGACUACUGUAUAUGUGUCUUUUGUUGGGUAUGGGAUAUACAGUGCAGUCACCAUUAUUAUAUUGUCUAUCUGUUUGUAGGUGUCUAUUUUUUCAUUCUUGUGUGUGCAUCUACGCAGGAUUCGUUCACACGCUGCUUUAAGUCAAAUUCUCCAGAGCCAUGGAACUGGAACAUUUAUUUGUUCCCGUUAUGGUGCUUCGGAGUAGUCGUAAGAUACGGACUACUGUUUCCACUCAGGUACUUGAGGAUUCAAAACUUCAUAUCGAGCUUUGGGUUGCUAAGUCUUAUCCUAAAUGUUUACAUUAUUAUUCCUCUUUUAUUUUGAUAUGGGCAGUUUUGUUAUUCUUCCCUGUUGAUUUGUUGUCGAUGCAGAUUGGGAAGUCCUUGAAUGUGUUGCCAGAAAAGGACAGCACACCUUUUGAAGUACACGUUUUGCAAAUUACUGACAUCUCAAUCUCAAUUUAGUUUUAGUGCAACUCAGUUUCAGUUUUUCAAUAGCGUGACGAUGAGGCGCUCUUUCCAUGACCAUCUUCAACACUAUGAGAAACCUAAAAACGUGAACUUUAGUGUAAUGCAGUAGAAGAAACCAGGUUUACAGGCUAUAGCUUCAAAAAAAUUUAGAUCUUUCAAAAGAUGCUUUGGGGUCUGCCUUUUGUUUCCGGGGUGUGUUUGUGGGUAUCCAUAUAUAGAAACUACUUCACCAAGGAUUUACACAUUUUUAUCCCUGGUACAAGUAUUAUUUCAUCCAUCACAAUCCCCUUGGUCUAUUAAUCAUUGCCUUGUGUGUGUGGUUACAUUUCUUUGUGACCCCCCUGUGCCUGUUUCCCUUGGUUUAGGCAGAUUUGACUAAGUUACCACCAUGCUGGCAAUGCCACGCUGUCAAAUGAGCCGAACACUUCUUACCCCACUCAUGCCUGACUGCUCUCUCUCCUCUGGCUUUCUCUUCUCCUCUUGCAUUCUUCUCCGGCAAACCUGAUGGAACCCUAGCUCGUCACCGCCGCACUGCCGGCAGUGGAAUCUGUUCCGCCGGCCAGCCUGCUGGUCAACUCUGUCGCACUUGGUCCUCAUUUCUCCCCCCUACAUCGACCCCGAAGCUCCCAGCGCCGGCAUCCAGUCAUUGCCGUCACUACCGCUGGAGCUGCCUCUCAUCGGGAAGAAGAGGGGGUCGAGGGCGUCGAGUGGCGCAGGGAGCAGCUCGCUCUCCCCUCUCAUUACCCAAUCGAAGGAAGCUGCCAGGACCCACCGCCAUCACUGCCUCUCGUCAGGAAGAGAGAGAUGCUCUCCCUGUUAUUCCCCAAUUGAAGGAGGGCGUCGAGCGGGAUAGGGAGCAGCUGCUGGCACAGAUCGAGCGCCCCGGAGAAGCACUUGUUGCAGAGAUGGUGAACUCUCCAGCGCCAGCUCGGGCUCAGUGGUGACUGCAGCCCCCUGCUGCGGUGCCCACCCCUCAGGGUCAAACUCCACUGCUGCCGUCCGAAUGAAGCCGGCAGAGGCAGGAGGCGGCCUUGCCGCCGCGAGGAGCAGCCCAACUGCCGUGCAGGCCUCCACUAGGUUUCCACCGGAGAAGAAAGAUUGCGGAAAAAAAGAGAAUACAAGGGGAGAGAGAGGGAGGGAGUCAUGCGCAGGGAGGGGGGUUGUUUCACUUGCCACCAUGGCAGUCAACCAGGUCAAAACCACCUUGAACUCGAAGAAAACAGCCAGGCAUUGGUGUGUCUGGUUUUGACAGUUCGGGGGGGGGGGGGGUUUAUGCCCGGUUUCAUAGUUCAGGGUGUCUUUUGAACUUUAUGAUAAGUCCAGGGGGGUAAAAUGGACUUACUUCUUACAAGUACUUAAAUACUCUGAUUACAAGUUAUUUCUUGAAGAUCUUAAUUUGAUUCUAUGCAAAACAAAAAUCAGAGAAACUUACCCAGUGAAUCUCCUGACUUCAUUGAUUUCUUUUGUUGAACUUUGAAUUGGAAAUCAUCAUCAUCUGAUAACUCAAUUAUGUAUCAGGGUAUUAACGCUUGGAUUAGGAUGGAUGGUAUUCUUUGCUGCCUUUUUUCCCGUGCAUUUCCUAUUGAAAGGGCAAAAUAAACUGAGAAGUAAAAUAGAGGUGAGCUAUUAUAUGUUCAUGCAUUUAAAUCAUCUCUGAUUGUGGAUGUGUGCAUACCUCAGUGUAAAUUACCUCAUGACAGUUCUGAGACGAAACUUAACUGGAGUCUUGGACUCUUGGUUAAGAUGACAACUGCUUGUUUCAGAUGGCGCAUGAUUCCAUGGAUAGUUUCAUUCAGUGUCAUGAUACAGAACAUAGCUGCCACUAGGCACUUUAUUAGGUUGCAAUUGGUUCCGACUUCUGACCAACUUUAAUAUAAUGCGGUUAUAAAAAUGCUUCUGCGCAACACUGAGCCUGUGAACCUUCUACAGCAGAAAGGAUUCAUCUGCUCCAGUAUGAGGAUUGAGGAGUUCACUUGUCCUGCUCCGCAAAUUUUGCCCUCUGUUGGGACUAUUUCUGUUUGAGGCUCUGAGCAUCUCAUGUGUGCGCGUGUGCAUGUGGUAGUGUUUGAGCAUUCAUGUCCUUGCUUAGGGGUUUUGGGUAGAUGAAUAUGGUAAAUCACUGCCAUCUUAAUGAUGUGGUGAUGAGCUAAUAACAUGCUAUCGCAAAGAUGUUUUCCAGCUUUUGGCGAAUGCUGAUAUGGGUCUUGGAUCUUGAUGCUGAACUUUAGGUAUAGAGAUCAUUACUUAGUGCAUGCUUAAGUUUUAUUAUUAUUAUUAGCACUCCAUCAGUUAAUCCUUUUGUCAACUCUUUAAGGGGGUUUGUGUUUAAGGGGGCGUGCCCUGGGCCAAUAAUCUGCAGUAUAAAAAGCCGCUCCUAAAAGCAACAAAAAGGUUCUGUUUUAUGCUUAUACUGUAAGUAACCUUAUUGUGGUUAGACUACUCUUGGUUUUGUCUUUGAAGCCUAGUGAGCUAGCUUUGUUAAAUGACCCUUCAAAGUUUUUUGAGUUAAUUGGGCUUAUCCACUCACAUCUACUUUCGUGCAGCUGUUUGGCCGUACCACCAUUAUUUUUUGUGGCGCUGUGUAGCUUUAAAUUUUAAUAAUCUAUUCAGGUUUUUCAAGUACCCUAAUUGGUUGUUUGGCCCAUUAUCCUUACAAUAGUGUGAGGUUUCUAGAAACUUCGUGAGUUCUUAGUGAGUUACAUUAAUUCGUUUUGAACUUUGUGCAGAGAAAGCUCGUUGAAAUGAUGUGCAGUGUUUUUGUUGCUUCUUGGACUGGAGUAAUCAAGUACCAUGGACCACGCCCAAGCUCACGGCCUUAUCAGGUUGUCUUUUUUCUUGUUCUGUUCACUCAUGUCCGAGCGAUUUGCACCCUUGUGCGAUCAGUAGAGAGGGAAGGAGGGAACAUAUCCAAGAUCUGUGCCUUAUUUGUCGUCUUGAAAUUUAACUUCAGAUCAUCAGAUGUUUGUAGUUCCAUUGUAUACGCCAAAGCUUAUCCCUGUCUGUGGACCCAUGCUUUCCUUAUGCAUAAGUACUUAUCUUUCUAGAAAAUUCUGAAUAGGACUGAUACCUUUCAUCCAACAGGUAUUUGUUGCAAACCAUACAUCAAUGAUAGAUUUCAUUAUUCUGGAGCAGAUGACAGCAUUUGCUGUCAUUAUGCAAAAGCAUCCUGGAUGGGUUGGUUAGUUUCUCAUUCUUCAAAAACUUAUCUUUUAGUUUUAGUUUAGUUUUCAAUGCUAGAAUCUUGAAUUGUUCUUAUCUUAUUAUUUUUCUCUCUUCCCCUUGCAGGAUUUAUUCAGAAGACUAUUUUGGAAAGUGUGGGUUGCAUCUGGUUUAAUCGUAAUGAUCUUAAGGAUCGUGAAGUAGUUGGCAGAAAGUAAGUUUGUGCCUUUGCAAAUGUAUCUGUUAAAAAGUUCAUUUCAUUCAGAGAUUUUGUCUUGCCAGGUUACGUGAUCAUGUUCAACGUCCAGACAACAACCCUCUCUUGAUUUUCCCAGAAGGAACUUGUGUUAACAACCAGUACACUGUAAUGUUCAAGAAGGUAAAAUGGUUAACCACUUGACCCAAUUUUUUUCCUUAAUGGCCAUAUAAAUGACUUUGAAUACACUACAUUAUUCGAGAGAGAAUUCAGAGUUCAAUUCUUUGUGGGAUUCUAAACAAAACUAUCCAGAUCUUUGGUCAUGCAAUGUGGUAUUGGUAUCAAUAAACCGUCAGGUUUUCUAAGCUGUAUAUUUAGAUCAUAUAUCGGAGUUCCUUGCAUGCAAAGCAAACAUAAAGACUUUCUGAGUUUAGAAAAGAAAGAAAAACAUGUCGCUCAUAGACAAGAUUGGUUUGAGGCUUCAAGCAGAUGCUGGAAAUCAGUCAGCUUCUUCUUGAGCAAAAAAUCACUCUUCUCGUUUUUUCUUGAGCAAAAACCACUCUUUUCCAUUGCGUAUAUUGAGACAUUUGAUGUUGUUGAUCAUGAUCACACAUAUAUUUAUAUUAAGCAUGAGUUGGAAAUUUUUUUUGUAUUUUUCAGGGUGCUUUUGAGCUUGGGUGUGCUGUAUGUCCGAUAGCUAUCAAGUAUAAUAAAAUAUUUGUUGAUGCCUUCUGGAAUAGUAAGAAGUAAGGAGUACACAUAACUACAUGAAUUUACUUUGGUCACACUUUUAUAUUCUGUUUUUUCAUGUAUUGCUUCACUUGGAAUGUUUACCAGGCAAUCUUUCACAAUGCACUUGGGUCGGCUUAUGACAUCAUGGGCUGUAGUGUGUGAUGUUUGGUUCUUGGAACCUCAAUAUCUCAGGGAAGGAGAGACAUCGAUUGCAUUUACUGAAAGGUAGCCUAAAUUUGGAUUCUAUUUCUUUCUUAAGAAAAAUACCAAGGGUCAGGAAAUCUUUUGAUUCUUCGUGAAAUGCUUUGUACAGAGUAAGGGACAUGAUAGCUGCUCGAGCCGGUCUUAAGAAGGUUCUGUGGGAUGGGUAUCUGAAGCAUAACCGUCCUAGCCCCAAACACACUGAGGAGAAGUGCGUCAACUCCCUCCCUUCCUUCUCUCUAGUAUGUUAACCAUUUUAAGUUGACAUGAUAUCCAAUGAGCUUUUCAAUUUUUCAGGCAGCGCAUAUUUGCAGAAUCGGUGUUGAAGAGACUAGAGGAAAGCUAAAAAGGUGUUGGUCAACUCUUCCGCUCCUGGACUCCUGGUUAAUAGAGGCAUUUACCCUUUAGCCACAUGUGUUAUCCCUUAAUUGUCCUAAGUGAGUAUGGGAUACGUGGAAAUGACCGCCGCAGUUUUGCUGUAAAUUUGUUUGCAGUUUGACAGAAUCAGUAGCAUGUGCUUCGCAAGAACAAUUGCAUGUAAGCUUGGCUAUAGAUUUAUACAAUACUUUAUGAUCCGUUAAUGUUAACACAUAAUAACAAACAUUGGCUGCUCCAGUAGGAGUCUUGUCAUUUUUAUAUCGUUACACAUGUGAUUAUUCAUUCGAUUUAUUUUGUUUCUUAAGCAAGAGGUAUAAUUAGACUACAACUCCAAAGUAGUACUCCUACAUGGUGCAAGAGAUGUUAAGGCAGUAUUGGCAGUCUUGCCCGUUUCAGUUUAUGGAUAUUGAAAUCAUAGCCUUCUUUUUAUGAGAUAUUCUGUAGAUAUUAGUACAAGAAUUACAAAGUGGUCUGUAUGAAAUGUAGAGUCACCGGUACAUGUAAUAUCAACAGCAGUAAGAUAAAAGAAUCGCCCAAUACUACCCCAAAUCCAAAUAAAUCGAGGAAAGGAAAAAGGAAAGAAAAUAGCUGCUAGCAUAGCAUGAUGACGAUCCAGUACUAGAAGUAGACGUCGCAGGGCGAAUUCUUCUUCAGGAGUGUGCCGUCCCCGCCGAGCUUGAACCCGCAGUCCACCUUCAUGUGGUGCUCCCUGGUGUCCCACAGCUUCACCUUGAAGCGCACCGUGGAGUUGAGCACCAGCCUCAUCUCGACGCUCCCGGCGCCGACCUCGCUGGCAAACCGCUGCCACGACGGGUCGGUCGGCGUCGGCCCGGAGGCGGUGAGCUCGCCCUGCACCGGCAGGUCGCCCUUGGGCGGCUGGUAGAACGGGUAAGCCACCGGCCCGGACGCGAUGAGCUCGUUGUUGUCGUAGUACACCGAUCCGUAGACGGCGUCGAAGUAGAUGCCGAUCUUCUGGUUCGGGUUGUGCUCGUUGACGGUGAACUUCACGGGCAGGUUGGCGGCGCCGGUCUGGCGGUUGAUGUUGGGGAUGGCGAAGUCGGCGAGUGCGAACUUUGGCCGGUGCGGGCGCAGGCUGAGCCAGAGCACGAAGAAGAUGAUGCCGGCGAUGAAGACAAUCGUGAGCAGCACCGCGCAGAGGAAGUUGAGGCACCGGAUCGCCGGGCUCUGCCGGUGGUACAUCGGCAGCCGGUAGUUCCGCGGCAUGAUGGCUGUCUGUGAAGGCUGAGUCGAUCGGCCGGUGCCUGUGCUCUGUUUGUUCGAACGCCGGUGCUGUAUACAUACUGCGUGUGAGAUUUUAUACUAGGUGCAUAUGAUGCGAUAUGCAUGUAGCGGUGUAGAAGGCAGUAAUAUUCUUUGCCUCGCGCCAACGUGAGAGAUGCUAGCCAACACGCAAAUAAUAUUGAGGAGCAUACUGGCCGUUGAUUCCCAUGAGACGAGAGUCCCUGCUGAUAGAGUUGGAUUGUGCUGGAAAGCGAAACCGAAUGUGUGUAAGCUGAUCGAUGAUCCUUGGUCUCCCAAACUAUAUUCGUAUUCUUCGAUCUUUUUGCUUGUUUAAGGAUGUGUUUCUCUUUCACGGUAUGAUUCUCCGCGUCAUUUCUCUGUGAACGCGUGAUCUAUUAUGUUGUAAAGGUAGUCCCGCUGCCUGUUAAAAGGCGGUACGUAUUUUAUACAGAGAGAAGCAAGUGUUGUUCCGAGGUUCUGAUGUUCCUGACUAGUUUGUUUUUUAAUUCUUUGAUUAUACCUUAUAGUGUCCUUGCCGAUAUGGGGGAAACAAUUGCCGAAACUUCGCCCUUGGGCAAACGCAAAGGCAAAUGCAUGCUGCAGACGACAAAUCAUCCUUUGGAUUCGUCAUUAAUUUUUUAGGUAACUAAUAUGGGCUUUUGGCCAGCUUGGACCAAAUUUUAGGAAUAGAUACAUUCAUAUUUGAGCAAAUUUGAGAUAAGAAUUAUGAAACGGAGGGAGUACUUGCCACGGAGUAUUUACAAAAGGGGGAAGCACAAUAUACAAGUGAAACAGAUUACAAAGAAGCAGCUAGCUGGGAAACCAUUACACCCCAGUCUUGAAGAAGAGAUUUCCGAAACAGCAGAAUUAAGUUGUGAAAUGCGGUUUGCAUCCAAAAUGUUUCCGCCCGUCAAGUUUACGUGUAUAAAUGCAAUGUUUCUAAGUUGUUAGACUAAAAUGUUUCCACCCGUUAAGUUAAUGGACCGUAAGUGCGAUUUCCUUUUCUAAAUUACAUCACUGAAAACAGUUCAACCCUCGUACUGAUUCCUAAAAAACACUCUCAUGCUUUCGUUUUGGGCUUAUACUUGGUGUCUCUCCUUUUGUAUUACCUACUUGGGCCCAUGUAGGCCCAAAACAAUCUCAGUUCUCUUGUGCUGGGCUGGAUCAUAAUUAAGGAGUGCAAAAAUGAAUUAGGGAGAAAAAAUAGCAUACUCAACAACACACACAAAAUUCUUUGAAUGGAUUUUUCUGAACUUGCACAUCGAAGUGACUUGUAUUGCACAUGAGUUGGAUGUGCAACUUUCUAAAAAAAUACAUCGCACAAACAUUUGCUCAUUCAUUAAAGAAAAAUCUAGAGAAGUUCACUUGCAUAUUAUUGUUCUCUGAGUUUCACAUAUGCAGAUUGUGCAAUUUUAAUACCAGCAAAUGUGCAACUUAAUUAGUAAAAUAAAAAAGGGUCAUUAAAAAGAAAGUACGAAUAGUUUUUUAGAUGAAAGGACACUAGUUAAGUGCACAUUGUUGACAUGUGAAUUGCACAUGAGGUGGAUGUGCAACUUUAGAACAAAUGAAACAGUAAGCGCCCCGAACAAUUGUAAUUGAAGGCAUAAAAACAAAUCUUAAAAGACACAAGUUGCAUACUGCUGGUUUCCAAAUUGUAAACAAAAAGGCCCAGAUCCAAAGAGAUACAACAAAAGAACAUCUGAAAAGCCCGAAAACAGAAAUGAAAAGCAGGAUUAGAAAAACAAAACUGAGAAAACUCCCCUUGCCAGCCCACCUGUACGGCUUGCUGGAACUUCUCAAGGCCGACAAACAGCCUAGCCAGCUGAAAUUCCCAAGCACAAACAAAUUUGGGAGUGCGCGGAUCCCCGCACAUAAAUUGACGGCUAAGCAUCAGCUUAUAAAUUACUAUACGUACUUUCUUCGUUCCAUAUUAAAUGUAGACACUUUAAGUCAUUUAAUAUGAGUAGGUAUGAGUAGGAGGAAGUACUAUUUCUCAUAUCACUGUGCCAACAGCAGAUCCAUAUAUAUUAAGCAGCUAUUACAAUCUCUUUGCAUUUGAAGCCACUUUCCUUGCGUUGGGUAUGCGGGCAAAGUGGGUAUAUAUUAAGCAGCUAUUACAAUCUCUUUUCGGACUGAACAAACCGUACUAAAAAAGAGAGGAGAUAAAAGCAGCAAACACUACUAGGAGCAUUACCAAUCAGCAAACACUGCAGCUGCCCAUGCCCAAGUGCUCUAGUACUGCUCUAGGCCGGUCUGAACAUUCCAUUUGGCAUACGUUGUUGAAACGACCACUUGCAUGAAAGGCCCUUUUGAGUUUUGCCCAUACGACAAAGACAGCGGAGCGCGUGCGUAUUCGAUCAUCAGUGGCAAUUAUCGUCGAUCGUGCUGCAGGAAAACAGAAAAGCACCAAGUUGGCACUUGGCAGUGGUUUAUCGGUAGACCAGCAAUUGCAGAUUCUCUAAACCUUUCUGGCCGGCUCGCAUUCUCCAGAUUACUGGCCGAUGCAUCGGGCAAGAGGCAGAGAUAUGUGGAGAUCGACGGGGAGAAGAGAUCCGGCCGAGGGAGGUCAAAGCUCUGUCCACUCUGCGACUAUAGUACUCGGCCACAAGCUUUGGGUGUGUGCGCCGCGACGCGACGAGAUUGCUCGCGCAUGCAUGUGCGCCGCCCCGAAUGGAACAUGGGACAGUUCCUUAGUAUUAUUCUACUCCAUGGAUCGCAACACAUUGCUAGCUAGAUCCAGAUUACUUUAUCAUCAGGAUAAGUGAUAACCCAUGGAUAUAUGCAGUGAUUGAGGCGUUGUCUGUGCCAUCUCUUCUGUUCCUGCAAACUACAGUUGUAAAGCACACGCCCGUGAUCGAUUCAUUUGGCUUGCGUUGGGUGUCACUUCCCGUGAUGAGUGAUGAGUGGCGCAUCUCGCAAGGUGUGUGUUGAAUAAAUUGUUGUUUUUCUUAAACUAGAACUAGAACUUGGAGAUGUAGGGCUUGCUAGCCAGCUAGCGGUGCCCGCGCAGCGUACGUCCGGUCUACGCGAACCAAGUCUUCGAUCGUAUACUCAAAUACUAAUGUGCAUGCGCAUAUUGCGACUCGAUCUUCGGUCAAUCGAUCGCCACUAAGCAAGCAUGCGUGUUUCCCGUGAAGUAAUACUACAGUUAUUACAUUUGCGUAUUUUUUUUGGUACUCUUCCUUUGUUCUUCAACAAAAGUUACAAAACGUACUGCCAAGUUAUACAGUCUAGAGAGGUUCAGACCGUGGCCAGCAGAUUUCCUUCUGAAAAAGAGAGAAAAAAAUACUUGAUGAAAAAUGAGAUUGGCCUCCGGUGUCGUGUCAUCAUUUCGCCCUCGGAAAGGCCACCGAGCUCGAGUGCUAGACGAAAUGACUCGAAAUACAUAUCGGAUUAUACUACAAACACGGUCCCAGCAAAUCAAUCGGUGCAGUGCAUAUAUCUGAUAUAUCUGCAGUUCUGCGCAUUCUUGCGCUCUUGAUUCGAAGGAAGUCGCUGAAUCGAUCGGUGGAUCGGUCUAACGAGGAUUGCAUCCACGGACCACGGCCAUCUCGGCGUAGCAUAUAAUUAGCAUGUCACCGAUUCUAUCAUCCUAUGGAUCAUUUAACACACCUGCUAUUGGUCCCCAUAAAAAACACCUGCUAUCGGAAAGAUGAUGGCCUGGCUGCUGGCAUGGCUUCAUCUAGUGCGUAGAAUCACAAAAUCGUCCGUCUCAGUCACAACUUACAACCUGUUUGCUAUUUUUAAGUUGUCUAAUAAAUAGUUAUUUUCUUUCUCUGUUUCUUUUUAAAGACAUUUUGGCAAGCCAAAUCAACUUGCCAAAAUGUCUUACAAAAAAAGGGGAACGGAGCAGUACUUCUAGUUAAGUUGAUCAAGUUCUAUUAAAUUACUGUUCAAAAAGAAAAUCCGCUUGCUUGAGUUUUUGUGAGAGGGCACAAUAGAGUUACAGAAUUUAUGUGUGGUUUCAGGUAUACUAAUUACACAUAAUAGAGGUUAAAGCUACAUAAUAGAAAAGUUCAGUGGAUCUAGAAAAAGACGCUUCCCAAUUGUGCACCGCUCAAUUGUACACCGAGUGAUUGAUGCACAAUGUUGUAUAUUUGGGACCAUGCUACCUUUUUUAGUGGACAUGAGUUGUGUUACGCCAAAACAUAAUUAACAAUUUUACUCAUUCUUGGUUGCUCGAAAUUGUAGUCUCAAAUCGGAUAGUGUGUAAUUUUAGCAACAUAUAUUUAUCGUUAGGAAAUGUGUGUCUCAAACAGCAUAACUUACAGUGUACUCCCUCCGAUCCAAUAAAAAUAUCGCCCACUUAGUACAAAAUUUGUAUUAAGUUAGUACAAAAUGGGCGACAUUUUUUAUGAAUCGGAGAGAGUCCUAUUUGAGAGACAUAUCUAGUGUACGGAGUAUUUUGUAACGCCGACGGUUGAGUGCAUAUUUACUAAAAGGCUGCGAAAUGGGAAUCACAAUCAAACUAUUGUAGUGUCUUAAAAGGAUACUCCUACAGAGAUAAAAUAAUCCACACUAAAUCGCAUCAAAGCUAGUAAAUUCUCUAAGGUCACGCAUCUCGAAUUCAACAGCUGAUCAUUACCGUUAAUCAACGCUAUUCUGAUUGAGAUCUGUGCAUCACCUUGUCUUUCUAGGACCGAAUGCUUCACUCCUCGUUUUGGCAAAAAGCGACACGGUGAAAGGGGGGAAUUGGUGGAGUUGGGGGAAAUACAACCACACGCACGCUCGCUGGAGGAAAAGGGAAGGCAGGGAAAGUGGCAGCGCGAUCAAGUGCCUCAGGAUAUCCCGCCUGCCAAAUCGAAAAAGACCUCGUAUGAAUAUACAAUUGGAACCUUUUCACCCUUUCUAUGCUUCCAUGGGUAACAUUCUUUCUAAAGGAUCCCCAGCUAACAUUGUAAUUUGCAGACCUGAAGCAAUUUCUUCUAACGAGUAGGGUCUAAGAAAUAUUUGACAAGUAUCGCCAUAUUUGAACACAGAAAUAUAUAUACUUCAUCAAGCAUUUAAAUUUAUAGGAUUUUUAAACAGAAAAUUGUCACAAGAAACAAGUAAAACUUCAUAUAUAAGGCCAUGAACAUUUAUUUAGGAGCCUAAGUGAACUAACUGCAUUGAUUCACAUUUGAAUCUAUGUCGGUUUCUUGGAUUCCAAGAGAAUUUUGGUUCCCUAAUUUUGGGUACCUGAUAACUUUCGUCCUAAUUGCGUUAUUUGUAAGUCAAACCAUGUUUUUGCAUGGACGUGUCUAGUUUUGGUGGGUUGUUUUCGCCACGCCACGCUAAAAUUGGGGUCUAUCCGUCCCCCGUUUCUCAUUCUCUCUACUCAUGCUUACCUCGCAGCCAGUGGAACAUGUGAGUUCUUAGUCACCUAUUGGCGGUGGACACAAUGAAGCAAAGGUGGCUGGCGGUGCAUACAGAACGCCACGUAUUUGAUGUGAUAGAAAACAUCCGCACCCUAUGUGGUGAAAACCGAGUUUGGAAUACCGCUAUCAGGUGCAAAAGUUAACUUGUAGGAGUAUUAGAAGUUUAGGGUGAAGUUUAGACACACAAAAAAGUUAAGGGAUGAAACCUACACUAUAGCAAUAGUUGAGGGACGAAAAAUACACUUAUCUCUUUGUAGAAUUCAAGUCCUAAGAAAAAAUUACUUGCUCCUUUGGAAUAAACAAAUGAUCCCCAAAUUUCCUAAGAAAAAUCACCUCUUUUGUACAUUUGAAGGACACUAAAUGUGUUUGAACUAUUUUGGUUCCUAACAUUGACCGAAGGUUAAUCUAAGCUUAGUCCCCACUUGAAAGAAAGUGAAAAUGUAGAAAUCUUGUAGAACUUAAGCUAUAUAGAAAAAUUUGCGUGCUCAUUUGGAACAAAGGAUCAAUCCCAAAGUUCCUAUAAAUAUGCCCUCUUUUCUACAUUUGAAGGGAAUAUAAGUGUUAAAACAUCGUGAAAAAGAUUCUGGACUCCUAAAAAUUCAAGGCAAUGUCUCCUCAAUUGAAGUCUUCUUCCAAAAUCCUCCUCUUUUUCCUAAGUCGUAUUUUUAUAUUUUUCUGCGUUUUUAAUUGCCAAGCAACUCCAAUUCUCAUUCUUAUUUCUAUAUUUUUCUUUUUCUUGUCUUGUACUCCCUCCGUAUUAAUUGGCGCGGAUUUAGUACCAAGACACUACCUUCCUGAAAGGAAUUUUAAGCAUCACAUCAAUUGGAAACUUGGAUCUCUUGAUGCUAGAAGUCGAGAGCACUUUUUGAAAAAAGAAAACUUUAAAGAAUAAAAAGCUUACAGAAAAUCUAUUUACAUUCUUCUAAUACCAAUAUUAGGAUAUUGCAUUUAAAGAAAACCAAAAAAUAUUGAAGACUAUUACUCUUGUGUCAUUGGAAUCAUUUAUUGAAAAGAAAUCUAUUUAUAUCCUUCUAAUACCAAAAUAUAUUAGGAGUAGGGUGGAACCAUUUAUGAGCUCUGACUUCUAGAAGAUCCAUGCAAAAAAAUUAGAUGAUCAGAUACAUGCAAAUGCAUCUUUUCAUUAACUCACCCGGUUUUAUUUUCGGCAGGAUUUAACAAACCAAGAUUUAUCCUCCUGAAUUAUUUUCUAUUUCCGCAUUUGUUUCUCUAUUUUACUGGCUGAGCCAGAGUGGGGUCCAAGUCUUGCUGGCAGCAGGAAGAUCACUGUAAUUUCCAAGCAAUUCCGUGGGUCCCUAUGAAAAAUCCUGCAAUAUAUAAGAGACACCGUACUGUGACCAUCAUAUCUUCUCUCCACACGCUCAUCAAGCGCAGAGCGAGGAAUCUUUGGCCCCUCAACAACAAAAAGAGCAAAGUGCCGGCUCUUUCCCUCCGGUUCCUCGUUUUGGUAGUAUUCCCCCCUCAAUUCAAUUCUCCUCCUCCUUCUCCAAGGAACAAGGCGUAAACUCGGAUACAACAAAAGAGAAGGAACAAGAAGCACUUCGUACACGCCGAAGGCGAACGUCACCGAGGCAUGGGGGACGCCACCUCCAACCAUCCCGUAAGCCUCAUCAUCAUCAUCUCUCUUUCGAUUUUCUGCCAAGUCAAUCGGCUCUAGUCGCGACGCGCUGUUCAUGUGUUUUCGGCGGUUGGGAGGAAUUGGGUUUUCGGCAGCGGCGACGCCUGAAAUCGCUUUCUUUUUUUAAGGCUAUAUGAAUAUUCUCUGUUGUUCUCUCUGGUCACCUCGGUUUCAUCGAUCUCGCCUAGCGGCAGAGAUAGCUAACACUUUGGUUCUUUAGGUUCUUGCACCAGCAAGUGGUCUGGGGCAAUCGAACUCAGACGCCGGCGGGUUCAUCGCCCUCGACGUCGGCGCCCUGUCGUCGCUCGCCGGCGACGGCCCGGACACGACGACGACAGCGGCAGCGGCGGCGACUCCGCGGACACCGGUAAGUCGAGUAACACGACGGCCGGCGGCCGCCGGCAGAUUCCUUUAGCUCGUCGUGAUAGAGUUCGAUAUGGUGUCAUAAUUAAUUGUGCUGUGAACAGAGAGUGGUGCGGUCGCUCUCGAGGAAGGGGUCAGAACGGAAGCAGGCCGACGGCGAUACCAAUGGCACUGCAGGUUAGCCCUCCUCAAUUGAUCCUCAACUGUCUUCUUCGAGUAACCCCCAAUUCGAUUCUAUCUCGAAUAAAUAUUACCAAAUUUUACUUUUUUUUUGUUUCCUUCUUCUCAUGUCGACAUCUCCUUGGAAAUUUAUCUAUGGACUUCGAUAGAUCAGUUUACCUUGUAACUUAAGCUAGUCACAAGUGACCAACUGACCAAAGACCAGUAACAAUUACGCUAGCUGCACGUCUCUGACGGCGAAUGGGAAGGGGCAGCUUGCUUGAGGUGUAACCUUGCCGUCAAAUCCCCGGAGGAUCGCAGUUGCUGACUUUGAUUUGAUCCGUCCAUGUGCAGGAGGUGGCGGCGGCGCAGGGACAGGCAGCGAGAGGCCCCCGCUGUCCCCGCUCUUCGUCCACGUGGCAGCCGCCGACGAUGGGCUCCGGCUCGCGCACACGCCGGGGGCCGUCGGCACGCCGGGAGGCAAGUCCCGGCGGCUCGGGCGGCGACCGGCGCCGUGGCUCGAUCCCCGGAGGGUGGUCUUCCUCUUCGCUACGCUGUAAGAACAUCUUAAAAUCCCCCCCCCCCCCCCCCCCGGUUUUAAUUACUGGAGUAAUUGUUAAUUAGAUCCGAUCACGGAACCAGCUAUGCAGCAGCAGAGCGUCAACUAGGAGGCAGCUAGUGUCACUUGUUUGCUGGUAGCUGCUCAUGUUAGGUAACUUAGGUGGCGUAGCCAGAAGGAGUACGAGCUCUCCUCAUCUGUCAUUUCUGCUAAUGACUCCUCCAAGAACCCGUGGUACUUGGAGCCAUUCAUGAACCGCACGAACCAUUAGGCAGAACAUUCAAGCGGGCGUGCCUAACGUGACACCAGUAAAUGAGAAAUCCCCCUCUUGAUGCGAUGAGUGCUCAACUGCAGGUGCAGGGCACUGUUCAGGAUCGUUAAGAAGAAGAAUUUGCUUUCCUUGUGACCCGGCGAUCGAAUGCCAAACAGGACCGGCCGUGGUUUUUGUUGGCAAGUCCCCGUUUCAGAACUAGUUGCCAGUUUUGCCUUGCCUACAGCAAUAGGAGAGUAAAACGAUGGCGAUUGGUGAACCACCGGUCUUGUUUAUCACUAGGGAAGAUCCUUGUUCGUGCAUUUGAGGAGGAUUUCUUGUAAAAAUGCUAAUUUUAACCGUGGACUAAUAGUCUACUAGUACGGCACUGUGGAUUCAACAAGUUGGAUUUGUUGUUUCUGAACUGAUUGUCGAUUCAUCUACGUGUAGUAUCCAUAUAUCAAAUGGGUUAAUCAACAAGUUGCAUUAAAAAAACAGAUUUGAUUCUGAAUCAAAUCUUCAUCUUCAUCUAGGAGUAGUAACCUUACGAAAUGAUUGUCAGGGUUAAUGCUCAGCAAGGUGUUCUUCUCCAAAGAAAAACUCUGAACAUCUUUCACUGUUUUUAUUAUGCAGGUCCAGCGUGGGAACGUUGAUCCUGCUCUACUUCACCCUUUCCAUGAGCAAGAUGGACAGCGCUGGAAGCGGCACGGGCGCUGCUGACAGCGAUGCGCGGUGAAACACCGGCCUUGGAGCCCAAAGAGAUUUUCGUGUGCAGCGGAGAGUUUUGAACCUACAAUUUGCAGAGAUUGUGAUUGGAGGGACUGAUAUUACCCGUAUUCCGGCACAAAAUGGGUGGUCAUAUGAAAAGGAUACAUAGUAAAUCGCAGAGAAGAGAUUAGGCUCGUUGGGGGUCUGAUGGAGAAGUUUGUGAUGUAUGUCCUCUCUUUCCUGUGCUGGUUUUUUCUGUUUCUCUUUCCUGUGAUGGAGAAGAGAUUACCCUUAUUUUUUCUCUGGCAGCUGAAAAGAAUACAUGUCGCUUUGGAGCGAUGAUACUAGAUUUUUCUUCCUUACAGAUAUAGCAAUAUAAUCAUACAAAAAUUACACACUCAUUUAUUCCGAAAUAAUUGUCUUUGUCUGGAACAUUUCUAGAAGAGGCUGUACAUGAUUGCAUGGCUACACAAAGAAAACGAAAAAUAAACGACGAAGAAAGAACAUGGAACAACACAUUUGGGACCUCUAUGCACAACGACGCUAAUCUAAUCAGGGAGGCCGGACAGGUGAAAAAUGCCAGAUACAGUAGGUCCUAGAAUUUCUGGUUCGCUUCAGUGCCGCAGAAUAGACUUAUAGGUCCCUAGCCAGAACCUUUUCAGGCUCAACAGGAGGGCUAACCAUCUCUGACAGAUAAUCGUAUACUCUAAUUGGAGCAACCCUGCAAGAACAGAAACAUAUUUCUUAAGUUGUUAAUUUCAAUGCAGACAAAUUCAGGACCUCGGCUAAGCAUCAUACUUGCAAUACAAUGGAAACAUCAUGGAUCAUAUCCAGGAUAUUUCAGAGAGAAACCAUGUAACUGGAGUUGACAGCUACAGCUGCCGUGAGCUUGAAACCUCUUUUGCAGGAUACAUAGAGCACAUAUAGGCAAUUUGUGGAUUGAAAAUAUCAACUUUCAAAUUUAUGUUCACUUUGUAUAAAAUUGAAACAAAAUAUCAAGUACUUCCUCCGUUCCAUAAUUCUUGUCGAAAUCUUACAUGUAUCUAGACACUUUUUAGGAAUAGAUACAUCCAAUUUUGGACAAAUUUGAGACAAGAAUUAUGGAACGGAGGGAGUACCAACCAAGGAUUAUCUUUUUUUUACCAGUCCAACCAAGGAUUAUCUAAUGAGCCCUUAUAUCAGCCCUUUAGCUGCUGCUGCUGCUGCUGCUGCUGCUGCAGUUUCCAUAUAACCAAGUUCUGAUCAGCUCAAUCAGACUUCAGGGACCUUUUUUUUUGGCGAGGAGGCCAAGAGACUUCAGGGACCUGAGGUUUGGUUCAGGGUGCCCUUACCCUACAUUUUUGUUGACGCACGUAUGACCAGAAAUCUAUUGCGGUCUUCUCCACAUGGUAAGAUGCAUAGUUCAAACAUAACCGUAAAAUUGAAAGAAUUAUAGUUCCAAGCAACAAGGUUUGUGAAAUUUGAAUAGCACUCGUUAAGUAAAUGAAAUCAAUAACAAAUAAACAAAAGAACGAAGAAACAAAAGGAAAGAGUGAAAAUAACGCAAGUUAGUGCAUGGUGUUCUUAUGAUUGAAACUACUUUCAGAAGGCCUCCUAAACUAGGAGUGAACAAUCCUUAUAACAGUGAACAUAUCCUGGUGCAAAUGAUCUUAGUGGUCAAUCCUAGGAGCACGAAAUCGUAGUGACUUCCCGUGGACACCGUCUUAGUAGCGCUGGUUCAGGAGGAUAAAGGAGGACACCAAACUUUUACUGAGAGGAAUAUAUCACUGAUUUUUAACAGAUUUCAGAAAUCCAGUUGAACUUAAUUUUUCUCGAGCAUGCACCUAAAUGUGUGUCGUUUUGUAACUAACUAAAAAUACUCCAAUAAAAAAACAAUUUAGCUAGUGAAAACUCAGAGCAUGCAUUAUACAUUAUUAUUUCCUGCUGCACUAUACUGCGAACCCAUAUAUUUUAUAUACAUAAACCACCUAGAAGGUGGUUAGUGGUCACACAAAGUAAGAGCUAUCAAAGGCUGGGGUACUGUUGACACGGCGCUUAUCAAAGCACACAUACUUUACAAGGCACAGUAGAAGAGAUAGAACAUGGUGCUAGUACCGUUUUGAUAUGCGUGGCAUGGAGCACUUCUGUUUCCUGUCAUGGUAUAUCCUAACAAUGACAGCAGCUGUUUCUUCUAUAGCUUUUCCAGUAACCUCUGUACGAGAAAAGUAAUAUUGUUAUAACAUGAGAAACAACAAAAUGGAGUCUCCAACUCUCCAUAAAGACAAUGGAAGUGGUCUUACGAAUGACUGGCCAUAUUGGAUGCCGAGCAAAAAUUUGAUUUGCAUGGUCUAACUCCUGCCUCACAUGCUCCAUUUCAGCAUAGUUGCUAUUUUGUGCAUGAAACCCCAGAGUGUUGGCUCUUGCCUUUCUAAUUGCCUGAAGAACCACUGGGUUUAUUGUUAAUCCAAAAAUCUUAUCCGGGUCAAUCUCAAAAAGAGCCUUCGGAAGAUCAAUUCCCAUCACAAUUGGGACGUUUGCCACUUUGUAUCCUUUUUGUGCUAGAUAAAUUGACAGUGGUGUUUUCCCAGUACGUGAAACACCAACAAGCACAAUGUGUGCACGGGCAAGGUUCUUUGGCUGAGCACCAUCAUCUUGUUUGAUGGUGAAAUCAAUCGCUUCAAUUCUUUCAAAGUAAUCCUCAGAAAGUUGACCUUUUCGGCUAGCAGAACUUCGGGGAAUCCCAGAUGGAGCAACACCGAUGUGAGAAGCUAUGGCUUCAAUAGUAGGACGAAGAACAUCAGUGGAUGGAACACCCCAAAGAUCACAAGCCUUCUUAGUUGCCUCAGCCAUUGAAGGAUCAGCAAGUGUAUAUAGAAGCAGUGCCCCUUCUUUUGCUGCUUGCUUUACUAUCUCAAUAAGGUUAUCGAUUUCAUCAACCUAAAGCAAAUUAGCAGCAACUUGUAAGACACAACAUUGGUAAUCAACUUGUAAGACACAUGAUUGGUACUGAGAAGUGAUAUGCAGUUAACUUUAGCUCAUAGCCUAUGCUUGUUGAAUACUACCCAAUAAAUAAUUUAUAAACCAAGAUGGCAAGACCAAAAGCCAAUAAUAUGAUCCAAACAAACAGAUAAAAGAAAAACUAGCCGUGACCAAUUGGCAACAAGCAUCCCCAUUUUUUUCUCUGAAUAUCCCAACCACCUCAUGUGUGAACUGUGAAGCAGUCAAUACCAUUUUGUACCAAGAAAACACAUAUUCGGCCUUACUCAACUACAUGAUUCACACAGAUUCAUAUUACUUUUUUACUUUUUAAAAUGUUAAUCAGCACAAUUCAUUCAAACUUUAAUGUGGGGAGAAUUUUUCCUCUGUUCUAACUUUGAGCAUAUUUCACAGCUAUAACCCACUAAUUGCGACUAGUAAAAUAUAUUUUUUCUCUCGUAUAACUAGUAAAAUGGAUAUCGUAGCUUUCAUUCACAUAACAGUUGAUGAGUUUCAACUUAAAGUCUUGAGAAAUAGAUUGUAGUGCUUGAAGGCCAAAACUUAAAGAUAAUGACGAACUGAAGUACCCCAAUUAACCCCCUCUGACAUUGCACAUCAAGCCAAAGGGGAAUUGCAGCCACAGGCAUCACGGUAAUCAGUCUAAUAAGAGAUCAUAUCUGUGUAUAAAUUAACCCGAAAGCAAAAUUGCAGGGUUGCCCUUCUAUGGCCAUAAAAUGAUAAAUUUCAUCUCUAAACUUGAUUUUCAUUGAUUUUAAAUAUCUUUGAUUUUCUUUUUGUCCCUUGUCUUGAUAUCGCAUGAUGCACAACCCAAUUAUUUACUGUACUUUCGAAUUACCAUAUCGGAAAUUUACUGCUACAGUCCAAACAUUCACAUCCCCCUAGUUUGAUGGGAAAGUAGAACAUUUGCCAAAGUGACUACUGAAAAUGGCGCAGUGGUAAUUUUCUACUAGCAAGAGCCGACACUAAAUAGCAGAGAACAACAACAUUUCGUGCAAACCAGACAUCGCACUGGAGAGCGGAGCGGUGGCCGGAAUCCGAAGUGAAGAAUUAAGGAUUUAAGGUACUCCUAUAAAGUGCAGCGACGAAGAUGGUUCUUUACCCCGGAGAAGAGGUGGGUGUUCGUGGCGCAGCGGCGGUCUACGAGGCAGUGCUCGAAUUGCCCGAGCACGGCGUUCACCGAGUGCUCCAACGUCCAACCCGUCCCGUCCGACACCAUGUAAAUCGUGUUCGCCCCAGCCGCAACCGCCUCGUCGCCAUCACCGUCCUCCUCCGCCGUCACCGUCUUCGCCGCGACCUCCUCCUGGGAGUAGGAGGAGGAGGACGGCGGCGGUGACUUGGUCGGCACAGAAACCGCCGCGCUCCCCCGUACCAGACGCCGACCGGACCGGAGCGCGCGCGCGCGCGACCACCGGCUCAGCUGCGAGCUCGCGCGCUGCGGGGCGGAAGUGGGACGCGGCGGGGAGGAGACCGUCCCCGUCCCGGCAUCCUCUUGCUCCACCGGGCCAGAGCGCUGUUGGUCCGUGCCCGCGGUCAGUGGCGGGCCGGUGCCGGUGUCGGGGAGGCAUGAGGCGGCCGUGGGGGAGAGGCGGCUGCCGCGGAGGCGAGGAGAGGGCGGGAGGAGCGGCGUCGGCGUCGCGCUUAUCAUGGGGUCGGGCUGGGAGGAGCACGAUCUGCUGCUGUGCCGUGUGAGAACGGAGUCGUGUGACCGUUUUUAGGCGAAUUCGGGUCGUUCUUUGCAACCUUUUCGCGCGGCGCGGUGGCGUUUUCCGUUGACAUGGCGUGCCUUGGUUCCCUGACGCCAUGUUGCCGCCGACGGAUUUGGACCAGAGAAGGCUCAACUCUCAAGUCUCGACUCUUGCUUCCGUUCCGUGCUGCAGCGUUGUCGCCGUUGGUAACUGGAAGCCUUGUGUGUUGUUUGGUCUUCGUCUCUUCCGUGUUAUCCUGGGCUCGGUGCUACUACCCUCGAGUAGACGCAAAUUUUACUGUCUCUCCUAACUAAGAUCAAACGCUCAGUCAAGGCAGCCAUCAGAGUCAGCUCGAAGCCUAUGAGCAUAUAUGCAAAGGUAUACAAUUGCAUCUUGUUGGGAAAAAGAAGGGCACAGUUACAUAAACAGAGGAAGGAACCAUGAAGAAGACCCAUUAGUAAGAAUCAAGAUCAGAGCUAAUGCCCCACGUCAUUAGUUCAUACCAAAGCUGAGCAUACCAUCUCUACUGGUACUGAUUUCUGCAAUGAUGUCUCUAGAGUAAGGCCUAAGGGAGGUCCUUGCCAUGAGAAGAAAAGGGAAUGAUAAUGGCACCGAGUGAUUGUGCCAUGGGACAGUAACUGGUACUGAUUUCUUUCCCUAAAAAAACAAGCAAUAUAUGUGACUGGCAUAUAACACCAGGAGUACUAUGAUAAACAAGCCUACUUCUUAGAGCUGAAAUAUGUCAUAAUAAGAGCUCCUUGUGUAGUAUAUACAGAAUAAAACAUCUUUUCACAACAAGUAUAUCAACCAGAUAACCUCAAAUCUCAAGUGAAAAGGUAACAGUGAAGGCACAACUACAAAUGAUGAGAGAGGACUGAGGCUAAGAAACAACAUUACUCCAAAAUCCCCUCAUGUCGAAUAGAUCUUAGAUACAGUGGUCCAGGUUUCCUCGGUUAUCCUGGUGGCAGCAUAAUUUCAUGCAGAUCUUUAGUACUCCCUCCAACCCAUAUUACUUGUCCUAGAUUUAGUACAUAGUUGUACUAAAUUAGUGACAAGCAAUUCCGGCCGGAGGGAGUAGCAUAAGGCAUCACAGAUCCAAAAUGAAAGCAAAACAUAUUGGCACCACAUAUCAAUUUCAAAGUGGUAAUUCAGAUUUCAUAAUCUACAAGGGACCUAUCCAUACUACUACAUAAGCUACAGAUCCUCAACGUCCUGCUUAGAUGAUGUGGGGCGACCUUCAUACUCCAUUUUUGCUCCUAAACUUGCCGUGAUAACCCUGAAUUUCAGCCUUAUCUUCUCCAUCAUGUCUUGCACUUGCUCAUUCUCUGGAUCAGACAAAGGAUAUUUGCUCAGCAGUACAGCUAGCUGCUCCAUGUUCUUCCUGACCCGAGCUGAGAAUGCACCUUCCUCAAGGCGAAUUACUGACAUCCACACAUCCAAACAACCCUGAUAGAAUCCCAGUUCUUCACCUACCUGGAAACCCAUCUUUAAACCAACCUGCCUUCCCUCUUCCUUUCCAGAUACCAAGCCAUCAUCAUAACCAUUUUUAUAACCCUCUUGAUAGUGUGUCUCAUCUAACAGUAUCGAUGGUUCAAGAAAAUCAACAUCAUCUUUGGGUUGUUGAUCCAUGAUACGAACUAAAGUCUAAAUUGUUGAGCAAUAUGCAGUUUCCCAAAAAUAUGUAAAAUUCCAAGAAAUCUGCUAAAAGAAAAGGCUGCACAAUAAGUAACUAGAUGAAUACAAUGAUCAAGGAAAAGAGAAAAAUCAGAUAUUCCUCCGUCCAACAAAGGAUGUCUCAACUUUGACUAAAUUUGAACGCAUAUAUACACUAAGUCAUGUCUAGAUACAUCCAAAUUUUGACAAAUUUGAGACAUCUUUUGUUGGACGGAGGGAGUAAUAACUUUGCAAUAAGUUACCUACAUGUUGCUGCACACGAAAUGAAGCAAAUACAAUGGUUCAUUAAAACUUAGACAAUCAGACUUCACAGAACUUUGAAAACACCAUAUACAAAAAUGAAGGGGUCACAACAUAGUUCAACUCCUUCACUAGUCAACCCGACAGGCGACAUCGUGGAACAGUAUUGACUUUGACAAAGAAGAGAGGUAGCAUCUGUUCGAAUAACUAUGGCUCUAUAUUUCUGCAGUUUAUAUGAUACCAGGGCCCAUGAAUCACAAAUCGAAAAACAAUAAUGAUUACAUCCAUGUCAUAUCAUAAUUCUUUCAUCAUACAACCCUCUUGUUAGAUUAACCUAAUGAUUCGAAAGAAGAUUGUAUUCAAGUACUGAAUUGAACAAAUGUUAAAGCAAGCUCGGAUGACUCUAUCUAACUAGAUGUCAAAGGACUAGAAGAAUAGUACGAUGUCAAACCCUAGAUUCUUAAUCCCAUCAUCAGCACGAUUUCCCCUAGUUUGGUAUUUAUUUAUUCAACCGUGCCCGAGUUCAAGGAACACCCGAAAUCCCUAAAUGUUCUCACGGGACCAGCAAUCCUAAAUUCAAACAAACUUCUAGAUUAAAUCCAUCGCUGCAGCUACCAGAGAAACCGGAAGAAAUCAUGAUCUAGGUAGGGCGUAAUAACAGGAAUAUCAUAAGAAACAGAUAAUUGCUAGUACAAACUGUUGGGAAGAAAAUUAGGGGAGGGAGUUUAUCGCUAUGGAUACGCACCUUCCAGUUCCCAAGCGACAGCCGCAGGCUGCUCCAAACGGAAGAUGGAACAACACCCUUGUUUCACCGGACUGUCCAUGGGAAAGAGGAUAACUAUAUAAAGACCCUGUAUUGCAAGGUUUUGUUUUGUUCUUAACCCUCAACGGGGUUACAUCUAAUAAUAUAUAUUUCCCAGGGGUAAAUUGAAAACCUUACACGUGCGCCGCCCCCUUCGUCUUCACCAUUAUUUUCUGUUGGUUCGCCUCUCUUUCUCCUGUGAGUCCUGAUGUUGUCUUGUAGGGUUUAGGGUUGGAAGGAGUCAAAACUCCCCUCCGAAACCUCCCCCAUGGCGUCGUCCUCUCGAGUAAGUUUACCCCCUCCUUCGUUUUGGAGUCGUUAUUGCGGUGGAGGGCGUGAUUGGAAUGGGAUCAAACUUCAGUCCAGCGAUUUCUCUCCUAAUUACCGUUUUCCUGUGCAUUGGGAUUUGAUGAUUCUGGUUGCUCAUUUCGCGUUACUGAUGUGUACAUUCUGUUCGACCGGUGUGUGGCGUGUUGGUUCUGUUCUGUAUGUAGGUAAGGGUUGGGACUCUGGUUCCCUUUGGUGAAGGCAAAGCUGGGUCCUUGGGUGCCUCGCUGCCAAGCAUUCCCAUCUUUGAGGGCUCCAAUGUCGUUGGCAGGAGUAAUUUGGUGGUUGUUGACAAGAGAGUCAGUCGCAAGCACCUGAGUCUGCGCGUCUCAGCUGAUGGCUCCAUCGAAGUAGUUGUGGUGAGUAUGCAAGAUGCCAAGGAUAGUUGAUGAUGAUGCCAAAUAAUUGUGUUCUGAUGGCUUUUAAUUAAAAAAAAAGAGCUGUUGUAGUUAAAUGUCAAUGGGUUUUCAGGAAGGGCCAAAUCCUAUUGUUGUACAAUCAGAGGGGCAGAGGAGAAGGGUUUGUGCUAAAGAGAGAGCGAAGAUUAUCCAUGAUGAUGUCUUGGAGCUCAUUCCUGGUGAUUAUUUUGUGAAGUAUGUGAAUAUGGGCGAUGAGCAUAAAAGUUCCACACCGGUGGAUUCAAAUGACUUGAAGAAGGGGAAGCGGCAUAGGGAGGAAGAAUGCGUGGUUGCCAAAAGGAAUCGACAGAUUGUGGAAGAUGAGGCUUUGGCAAGAACAUUACAGGUCAGUUGACCCUAUUUGUUGUGCAUCCAUUGUUUAAUUAUCAUGAUCUCUAUGAGAAUUUUGUCUAGGCAAUCUUUGUGAAAAUUAUAUUUGUGUGACUCCAUAGUUAUUAGCUGCCUCUGCAGAACACCAUGCUGUUCAAUCUGGAUAAUGCUUGAGUACGAAAACACUAAAACCAAUCCAAGUGACUUGCAUUGCAAAUUAAAAAAGAACAAUCUUUUCAAUGCUUAGGUAAUCUUAACGCCUUAAUACUAGUAUGAUACAAUCAAGUAAAUUAGGCCAGGACUGUUGGUUUACAUGCAGAUGUAGGUCACCAACCAUACAAAGGAAGUGUUUCUUAAUCUUUUGCAUUUUCUUAACGAGCCUCUAUUUCUUUAUAUUUUCUCUUGUUGUUAUUUCAACGAUCACUCAGUUGUAGAAAAUAUCAAAAUAAUAUUCAAAAUUGUUGUAAUUUUCAUAUUGGUAAUAUUAAAACUUAGUGAUGGUAUAUCAAAGAUGUAGUAAUACUAGCCGACAACAACACUAUGGUGAUAUUGCUAUCGUUCUUUUAAUUUAUAAGUUUUAUGAGAAAUCUAUCUAUCCUUGACUCCUUGUACAUAAAAGACUUCAUAUAUUACUUUUCAUGUUCUUCAAAUGCCAAUGAUUGUGGUCUAUUCCACCACGGCAGAAAAGUUUUCUCUUGUGUGCACUUUAUGACAAUAUUUCAGCACUUACCCUAUAAAUGAUGAGGAAGCAGAAAAACAAAACGAUCAAAAAGUUUCUUGAACUAAGUGUUUGUACUUUAUACCCAUAAUCACCCCCUUGUAUAUGUGAAUGGUGAUCCUUCUGCUGUUGUACAGUAAAUAAUUCUUUGUGUGAAAAAUUGUGUUUAGAGUUUGAAUUGCAUGAAAGGAUUAGUGUUGAAUGUUGAUCCUUUGCUGAACAUUAAUCAGGAAAGCUUUGCAGAAGAAACUAUGUCUGCUACUGGCAUGGCUUGUGUUCAAGUAUCAAGUUCACUUGAUAGUGCUGGUUCUUCUGAGAGAAAUAACGAGAGAAUGCAUUCUGCCGGUUCUUUGAAAGAUGUACUUCCAUUGACUUUUCGACUCAUGCGUGUCCAAGGUCUUCCAUCAUGGACUAAUACUUCAGCAGUUACCAUUCAGGAUGUCAUACAGGUAGUGCACAUUCAAUAUGAACUCUUUGGUUGAAGUUACACGAGCAGCAGUUAAUUAUGUUCAUCAUGCCCUCGUUCCCACGGUAAUUCAGAUCCCAUGAGCCCUUUAUGACUGAUCAGUGAUCACUUGGCUUUAUACUCGUCUAGACUGUUGAUGAAUUGGCUCCUUUUAUUGGUAGUUAAAAGGGCUCAUAGCUGUAUGUUCAAUUCCCCACCCCAAAUGAACCCUAUAUAGUAAAAAUGUUAAAAGCAAUCUAUACACACAAAGUUCUGCUUUAUACUUAGUGAACCUUUCUUCUAUGUUUGUUCACAAUCACAAAAAGAUACUCAAAUAAACGGCUUGUUAUUUUCACUCUCUAUUCCUACAUUGUCAGAUUGGACUGAGAAGUACACUAGUUCUUACAUGAUGAAUAAAUUCUUAGGGUGAAGUGCUCCUUGCUGUACUCUCAAAUUAUAUGGUGGACAUGGAUUGGUUGCUUACGGGUAAGUUAUUUAUUACAAAAGUAAGGUUGUGGAUUGUCAUCCUUUCGUAGCUUAUUUCUGUUAAACAUGAAGUUUUGAUUAUAUAUUUAUUUAUGAGUGAAAUGCACCCGAGGUCUCUGAACUAUGUUGGUAAUAACACUUAGGUCCCUAAACUAUUAAACAUAGCACUUAGGCCCCGAUACUUUUAUAAGUGAUUCACUAACGUCCUUUUUUCGUCUGACCAUGCCACUGUGACCUUUGACCGGCUCCACGUCAGACCAGAAGUGUUGACGCCAGCAUCGGUCGGGCAUUUUAUAGAUUACACCCGUGAAACUAUAUAAGGGCCCACAUGUCUCUUCUUCCCCAUUCGUCCCCUCCCUCUCCCUCUAUCUUCUUACUCCAGCUACCAGGAGCCAUGAAUCUGAGCACUGUCUCUGUCUCUCUCUCUCUCUCAAUGAACCAGGCUAAGGCCAAGCUCCCACUCGUGGAGUGCCCUGUGCUCCUGACUGCUCCUAGAGGACAAUGCUUCUGACUCGUUUCAAAGUGAAAGAAGAACCCCAACAAAUGUGCUUCAAAUGCCUAAAUCACUGGGCAAGUUGCAGCUUUUAGAGCGUGCUCUUAGCUGGUUUCAGGCAGAUUUUGGAGCUAUGAAGUGUGAAUCACCUCUGCCGCCACAUGUCGUGUGAAAAGUAGAGGAAUAGAUGAGGGCUGAGUGGGACUCUAUUCUCCACAGGACACAGAGACCUGGAAGAAAAUAUUCCAGUUGGUUUGGUUGGUCUAUGGCCAGCAUUGCGCCAGUCAAAGGUCACAGUGGCACGGUCAGACCACAAAAGGACGCAAGUGAAUCACUUAUUGAAGUACUGGGACCUAAGUAUUACGUUUCAUAGUUCAAGGACCUAAUUGUUACUUCUGACAAAGUUUAGUGACAGUACAUUGGUACUGAGUAGAGUACUACUAGUAACCUAACUCAUUUGGCGCCUUCUAUUAUUCAGACAGCUAGAGUGGUCACGUUUGUUGGUUUCUUGAGUCAUGUGUAUUGUUGGGUCAUUGCCUUAUGGCCUUGCCUAAGUUCUUUCCAUGCAUGAGUGUUGAAUGUUUUGAUGUUGAGCUACUGCCACUGCUGAUAUUUAAGAGUAAAGCUUAUAUGUGUUGAUGCAUGUGAAUACAGUGGACAGUGGUAAUGUAGGGCUACACAAAUGAAUGAGGCACUUGCCUUGGACCCACCCUUAUGAUAAUUAGAUUAUGACUCUGAUUUGUCUUCUUUCCCAAUAUUGCAUCUUAGCAUGCUACUCCCUCCGUACCGAGAUUGUUGUCGCAGCCUCUUCAGGAAAUACAUUUUACAAUAACAUCCUCAGAGUUACAAAAAUUACAAGAACAUUCAAAUUCAUAUCACACUCCAGGUCGCCUCCGCCAUUCCUCUGCAGGUCGCUUCCGUCUCGAGGUCGCCUCCCCUCUCCAGCCCUCCCUCUCCAGGUCGCCUCCCCUGGAGAGAGAGAAAAACCAUCAAUCUGCCGCCGUCGCCGCCGCAGCAGUAGCUAGCCAAUCGAACACAGAAACAGAGUAAAAACCUCACCUGAGUAGCUGCUCCUCGUCGCGCCGCCAUGAGUAGCUGCUGCUGCUCCUCCUCUUUCGCUGCUGAUGCUCCUCCUCGGGCUGCGGCAGCGGUGACGACAGUGGGCCACCGGAUCCGGCCUCGCAGCCCCUGAAUCCACCGGACCAAUAGUGCCUCCUUUUUUGUCAGAGCAACCAUCUUGGCGCGCGGCGGUGGAGAAGAGAGGGGAAGGUGGAGGGGAGCGUGGCGGAGGCGGCCGGAGCGCGGCGGGGGCGAGAGGGAGAGCGGCGGCGAGGAGAAGGGGGCGGAGAUGGGGGACGAGUGCAGAAAGAGACGUAAAUAAAGAAGAGGACAUCGGAGCAAGGCUGUAGAAAGCGGAGGGGGAUUUUUACAAAAAUGUCGUCGUGACAAUAAUUUCGGUACGGAGGGAGUAUUAGUUAGCAAUUUGUUUUACAAUAUAUUCUGAGAUUGUUGUGUUGCUAUAUGGUAAAAUACAAUUGUGCCUUUUGUUCUCAUUAUCUACAUUAUCUUUUAAUGCAUCAUUGUAAGUAGCUAUUCCAUGUUGCAGCAUGUCCAAGUCUAAGGAAAGUUCCACAUGUCCUAGUUUUACAUGGAGAAGAUGGUGCUUCAUUGGAGCAUUUGAAGGUGGCAAAUUUGCCUAAAGUUUUUGAUAUCUUGUUUAUUGAUACUUUUUUCUCAUUUCACAUCAUGCUUGUGUGAUAUAGAAAUCGAAACCAGCAAAUUGGAUCCUUCACAAGCCUCCACUUCCAAUUACAUUUGGAACACAUCAUUCAAAGGCCAUGCUACUUGUUUAUCCUCAAGGGAUUCGUGUUGUGGUGCACACUGCAAAUUUGAUACAUGUUGAUUGGAAUAACAAGAGUCAGGGACUAUGGACACAAGAUUUUCCCUGGAAAGAUACAAAGGAUAUGAAUAAAAACAUUUCUUUUGAGAGCGACCUGGUUGAUUAUCUCAGUGCACUUAAGGUAUCAGGGUAUCCUCUCUUUGCUUCUAGUAUAAAACUAAAAAUAUAUAAUCCACUGUUCUUUCAGUUCACAUACUGUUGUUUAAUAAUUGUUGUUUGCUAUCUCUGUCUUAAAUUUUAAAAUUACUAUCACCAUUUUGAAAGAACAUCAGCCACUCGAACUUGUCAGCAAAAGAAUGGAGCAAGCAGUUAUGUGCAUUUUUUCAAAUUAUCUUUUUUUUUGACAAGUUUUCAAAUAAUCGUUCAUACAUUCAUAAUUAACAAUUGAAGCAUGAUCUGAUUUUCCAUAGAACUUUGUUCUGUAGCAAGUUUUAUCCUGUUAUCAGAUCAGUUCUAGUGUACUUUAGUAUCUUGGAAGUACCUAGCCUUCAUAAACAUCAUAUGCAUAGUUCAUCUUGGAACGAUCUAGCUUUUAGCCUUUUGGGAACCCCUCCUUAUAUGUUAGAGCAUGUGGACCGAAAGGGGCACCUGUGGCCAGGCGGCGCUAUAGGGCCAACAAGGAUUCAGUGAGGAACCGUUGUGUUCAGAGCACAUCAGAAGAUAAUGGGGGCAGAGAGAAUAGAGAUUAGUGCAAAGAUUUCUUAUUGAUAGCGUAAACAACCAUACAGCUUGGAGGGCCUUGUAUAGGCAACUUGAGGCUAGCUAAUCUCGGCAACUAGAACUCUAGAAAGUAGAACAUCUGUGUCUCUUUCCUAACUAGAAGCCUCUUCCCUAACGCAGCAAUCCGGUCUUAGCUUAAGGUAUGGCUGUUGUAGGAACACUCCUUUGGUAGGUAAUUUCCCACAUUACAUUAUAGUUCACUCUGGUUGCUACUAUUGUAUUAGUUUGUUUCAUCGGCAGUUAAAUUUUUGCUAAAAGUCUAUCUCAUCUACGCUGUGUCAUGAACUGAAUUGUUCUCUUCCUGACAAUGCAGUGGCCAGAGUUCAGGAUAAAACUCCCGGUUGCUGGUGAUGUCAACAUCAAUGCAGCAUUCUUUAGAAAAUUUGAUUAUAGUAGCUCAACGGUUAGUAUAUUUGUUUAAUCUCAAGUUACUUUAAGCUUUAUGAGCCGCACUGAAUCAUCAAUAUGUUUUUUCUUAAAUUUAUGGCCUGUCAUAAAAUGAAAAGGAAAGUACAAGAAGAGAGACCAUUGUCUGGGCACAUUUGGAUUAGAGGUAACGUACUAUGAGGAGCAACGAACUGCCUACGUGCCCUUAUUCCCAAGCGUCAGUACCUAGCCCCGCCUCCACGCGCCGCCCAGCGUCGAAACUACUGUACGUGCCCUUAAGUAUUCCCAAGCGUCAGUUCCUAUCCCCGCCUCCUCGCGCUCAGUUGCUAGCAUCGCCUCCCACCGCCAUGGCUUCCUCCUGGCGCUCCUGUGACUCCUGGCCGGACAAGCGAAACGCGGCCAAGCACCUCGACGAAGGGACUAUGGGGAUCACCACCGCCGCUCUCGACAUCCUCAGCACCUGCAGGUUGGCUCGCGCCCUUCCUCAUUGCCGUACCGCGAUCCGGGACGACCCCAACCGCCACCCGUUCGGCGUGCUAGGCCUGCUACACCGUGACCCCAACUUAUUGCCGGAUGGAGACCACGAAAAACAUGUAAAGAUCACAUUCCUGCUUGAUUCAUUUAUUCAUCAUUUCAUCUUGAUAGAGAAAGAUUGCAGAUGGUUUUUUUCAUCAUCAACUGCAAGUCAAUUCUCUUUUUUCUUGUUCGCUCAUUCAUAUUUAUUCCUCAGUUCCAAGUCGAACGAUGUUCUCUUGUAAGAUUGCAGAUGGUUUUUUUCGUACAUGUAAGAUCACACCUAGCGUGCAUGCAGAUUGUGAAAAUAUCUCUUUUGCAGAUGUUGCAUGCCAAGCUGAUGCCACUAGACAAUCCCAUGAUACCAGCAGUGGUCACAAUCAUGGAUCCAGGAGAUGAAGGGGCGGGUGCUGACAAGAACUGGGUGGGCGGGAGGGGGGAGUGGAUGGCAAUGAUCCACGGCAUGGAUCGUUGGACUCUGAAGAACUACUACAGACAGAUUGAACUGCCACUGCCACCGGUGGAUGCUGCGGCAUUACUCUGAGACCUCGCGGCGUUUUCCACGUCCGACAUGGUUAUAUGUACAACCAGACACCAAUAGAGCUCUUGAAGAUACACCAAUAGAGCUCUUGAGCUAUCUUCAAGAGCUCUAUUGGUGUCUGGUUGUACAUAUAACCAUGUCGGACGUGGAAAACGCUGCGAGGUCUCGGAGUAAUGCCGCAGCAUCCACCCGAUUAUUACGAAAAUAAGCAUUGUUACAAGCUUUCCAAGUGGCCCAAAAACACACCCACAACCCCAAUGCAUUCCAUCCACUGACCAAACAGCUGUGGCGCAGUGUCAGGGACAUGAGGCAGAUCAAAGGCAACACGGAGUACAAACCACAGAAAUCUUGCAAGGGGACAGUGCGCCCACAUAACUGGCACUUAGUAUCCCCCUUCCGUCCUCUAUGUUUCAAAUUAUCCUUAGUUAAAAUGCUUCUAUUUAGCACAACUCACAGAAAAAUCCUGAUUUUAAGAGGAAUUUUGACCUUCCAAAGAAGAUGGUGAGGAUAGUUCCAGUCAGUUCUUUUUAAAGUUCUGUGAAAUGUAACACAUUUUUCCCUUGUGGUUCAACUACAUCUCCAACUAAAACCUCGGUAGUAAAGCAAAUGUUGUAAAGCAGAGGAUUAAGCAGCUUAAGAGGUUUGUCAGCACACCACCAAUCUUCCCAAAAUCUAGUUGCUUUUCCACAACCUUUUUUUUCCAAAGACUGUAGAAGACAUCUUUAACAUGUAGCAGCCCAGACCAAAAUUGAGAAUUGCCAGCCCUAUGAGGGACCCCAGCUGAACAUUGAGAUUUAGCAUAUUUGGUCUUGCUAGAGUGACUGUGUGAUGUGCUAAGUGUGAUGUAUUGUUUUCUCCCAUUGCCUACACAAAAGACUCACUACUGUUCACCCAGGAUGGGCGGCUACUUGUACAUGCUUUUACAAAUGUUCCUGGUUAUCAUGUGGUUUUUUUGUUUCCGUAAAAAAAUGUCAACCAAGUUCAUACCGGUUGCAGGUCAGGCUGAUUGGAUCCGUUCCUGGUUAUCAUGUGGGCCCCAAUAUUAAAAAGUGGGGCCAUAUGAAGCUUAGGAGUGUUCUUGAAGGAUGUGUAUUUGAAAAACAAUUUUGCAAGUCCCCACUUAUUUAUCAGGUACCUUUCAUUUUUCAUGCAUCUAUCAAUUUGUCAGGGCAUGCUAGUUUCCAAGAUACAUUGAUAACUGAUAAGCGAACUUAAUAGCCUUGUAUUUAUCCUUAGAUGCUUAAAGUUAAGAAAUUGAUUUGAUAUGCCAAACUUGCUGCUACCAGGCAGCUAUGUUGUAUGAUGACCUUAAGAAAGCCAGUACAUGAACCUUACAAUUUCAUGGCAUAUGAAUGUCAUCAAGCUGUUAGUUAUGUCUUGCUGGUGAUUGUUGAAUAGUGAAUAAUCAAGCAGUAUAGCAAUUUUUCAUUUUUAUGUUGUAUCACAGGGGUGUGCAGAAUGCAGGAUCUAUACCUAACCAAACUAGUGUAAUGUGGUACCUUAGCAAUUAUAUUAUCACUUACUGCACCCAGUUAAUGGGACUCCAAAUCGAGCAUUCAUACUAGACAUUGUCCGUUCUUUCUCAUGUUUGACUUUUUAAAGGAUGUUUAGCAUUAGUUUCUUCUUGCAUGCAGUUUUCCUCCUUGGGAUCACUUGAUGAAAAAUGGAUGACUGAGUUUGCAUGCUCGUUAUCAGCUGGUAAAGCAGAUGAUGGAUCACCGUUGGGGAUCGGGAAACCACUUAUUGUCUGGCCUACAGUGGAGGAUGUUAGGUGCUCAAUAGAGGUAUAAAUAUGGCCUACAGUUGUACUUACCGUGUCAUCAAGAAGUGCAUGCUUUAUUUGUGAAUGGACCCUGGGCAUUUGCGGUAUGUUUUGUUUAAGCCCCACCUUGCCAUGCCAAAUAUUUGGCUAGCCAAAAUUUUGGUGGAGGUUUUGUUUGCCCAUGAGUUGGCCAAAGUUGGCAAGAAAAAUGAACUAGGAUUGAUAAGGAGGCAUUGGCUUGCCAAAAAGUUGGUCACCAUCCAAGCAAACACCAAAAUUUUGAUCGUGGUCAAAAAACUGGUAAGGUAGACUUUGGACAACAUCCAAAUACAUGCUUGUAAUUUCUUGACAUGUUGAAUACUUGGUAAUAGGUUAUGAUAUUCCACGAGGGAUCAGUGCUGGCCUUAAAAGCAUACGAGCUUAAAUAAAUUUGUAUUAACUUCUCAGAUCAAUGCUGGCAGAAUUUGAUGGGUCCUUUUGUACUUGAUUGUUAAUGUCUUAUUCUACCUUUUUUGUGCUUGAUAUAUCAUUUUAGGGGUAUGCAGCUGGUAGUUGCAUUCCAAGUCCUCAGAAGAAUGUUGAGAAAGAUUUCUUGAGAAAAUAUUGGUCCAGGUGGAAAGCAGAUCAUGUAGGCCGUUGGUAUGCUCUCUAUCUCUCUCCCCACCCCCUCUCUCUCUCUCUGCAGCUACCUGAAAAGCUAUAUAUCGGUUCAAAUAAAAUUUCAUAGUUCUUAACAAAUAGGAUGUUAUAUACCAGUUAUUGACUCAUUGUGCAAAUUAUCUACUAUCGUAUCACAUUGUAGAUUUCUCUAUUUCUUAGAUUAUCACAAUGGGUAAUUUAUCUAAUCCUUUUUGUGUGGUGUAAUAUGCCAUGUGUCACAAGACGAUUUGGUUGGGCUGUUUGGUUUUGCCUCAUGGUAUCCAUGAAUACAAGACUAGUUAGUUGUGGCCAAAAUAUAAUAGUGUCAUACUUGCUGUUAUUUGUCCUUUAAUUAUGUACUGUAGCUUUUAAAACUCUUGCUAAGAUACAGCCUUUGAAGAGAUAGCAUUCAAUUCCAAGUAAUGGGGUAGUAUAGCUAAAAGAGCUAAGGAUGGAGAUGUCUUCCUUUAGUCCUGUCAUUCUCUGUUACCACACUGCUAAAGCAAGUAUGUUGUUUCUGCAUGGCUGUCAACUAGUAUCAUCUGAUCUGGUUUCUUUGGCAAAAUAAGGUCUAUUGAAAUCCUCAUUAUAAUCUAAACAACAGCACUCUGGUAUUAGCCAUGUAAUGUACUAAUGGUUAUCACUGCAUAUUUGUAAUCUCAGUCCAAGUGGGCAUCAUCAUCUUAUGCUCAAUCAAUUAUUGAUAUAGCCUGCAAAAGAUUGGCAUACUUGUCCCUUUUGGGUCUUACAUUUUUCUUCUUCUGUCAAUAUAUUUUUUAUGACUGAUGCAAACUGAUAUUCUGAUCUUGCUUUUUUUUUCAUCAGCCAUGCUAUGCCUCACAUAAAAACUUUUGCUCGUUACAAUGGUCAAAAUAUUGCGUAAGUUUAUAUUGUCCCUAUAUAGUUCUUACCAUUUCAUGACCAAAUAACUGUAAUAGUUCACUGGAUGAUCAUUAUCUAAGAAAAAUGUCUGCUUUACCCCCCCCCCCCCCUCUGCUUCCAUGAAAGUACAGCUUAGACUAUCUAUUACCACACCAGUUAUUCGAACAUCCUUAACUUUAAAACUACUGCGAUUUUCACACUACUUUGGUAGUUUUUUUGCUUUCAUGGUAUUUGGCUGGGCUAGAAUCUCUUAGUCAGGAAGAUACUGAGCCAUGCGACUGCCACCAAUUAACCUCACAAAUUAAGUUGGCAGUUAAUUAAUUAAAUAUUAAAAGCGCAAUCAACUUUUUCCUUGUGGCUUCCAGUUUAGUUCGUUGGCUUAACACUGACCGAGUCCACAAAAGUGGCUAACACAGCAAUAACCGUCCGUGGGUGAUUUGUACUUAUUUUCAAAGUUGAGAGUUUUAAGUAGUCGGACAUGUAGUAUCUAAAGUCUUGUCUAUUUCCCCCAUCAGAUGGUUUCUGCUUACCUCAUCAAAUUUAAGCAAAGCUGCUUGGGGCGCACUGCAGAAGAACAAUACGCAGCUGAUGAUACGGUCAUACGAGGUACACAAUUCGGAUGCAUUUUUCUUUUUUUUAUGAUAUUUUCUCUAGAUUAUAGAACUUGCGUUGAUAAGGCAUCUAUAGACCAACAACUUUCACUACCAGUCAUCACGGAAUUGUGACUAUACCUUUUCAUUUGACCUGCUUUCAGUUGGGUGUACUGUUCUUGCCCAAAACUCUCCAGUCUGUAUCACGAUUUUCAUGCACGGAGAAGAAUCACUCAAACUUGGUAGUAGAAAAUCACCCCUGGUCAUUUUAUUAUUGCUAUGGAAACAUUUCUCUUUCAUCUCACCUUCAUUUCUCACACGUGUACCCAGGGUAACCUGACCCUUGGUAAAACCAUCAAGACCAAGCUGGUCACACUUUGCUGGAAAGAUGAUGAAGAAAAGGAACCAUCUGCUGAAGUUAUCAGAUUGCCAGUGCCAUAUCAACUCCCUCCACAGCUUUAUGGACCAGAAGGUUAGCUGUUGUCAUAAUAUUUAGUAUGCUUUGAGCUGUGAAACCUAAAAUGUUGUUUAACUUUCAGAUGUACCAUGGUCAUGGGACCGGAGGUACACGAAGAAGGAUGUUUAUGGUGCAGUCUGGCCACGCCAUUCUUAGCUUACCUGUGUGCCGAUGACGAGUCUUAAUCGUGUUCAAGUCGAAGGACACAAAUCCAGUGGUACAUUGAUCGGUCUCUAGUCAAAUCAUUAACAUAUAUGACCUGAUUGCUCAUCCUCCCUGUUUCUUGGUGGCACCAUGGCUAGCUUGGCUAGCUAAGCCGUGUGCUGACAAUGAUUGUUAACUGUGUUCAGGUCUGAGGACAUGAACCCAGUGGUACUUUUAUCAAGCAGUGGUCAAAUACUCAGUACGACCCGAUUGCUCGUCCAGUCUGUUUCUUGGCCGCUCUGUCAAUUCUGAGGAAAAAAAAACUACAAGCGAUGGAACAUUUGAUUAAGAAGAGGUUGUUGGAGCAUUGGAUAUUUUCAGCAUACUGAGACGUGCACUAAUGUCAUUUGGUGCUUGCCGUUGUGCUGUUUAUGCACCCGUCUGUUUAAAUCUGUAUUAUCGUUGUACCGCAUAUGUUGGUGGGAUCUCUGGGAUCACGUUUGCUGGCUGGUUUAUUUAUAAUUUUGCUUGUUAAGGUCGUUCCCAUUACGAAAGUAACCACACAUAGAGCAUGCUACUGACUAAACAAACAAUAGAAUACGAUGCUGGGUAUCCUGAUUCAGAGAAAAGUUACUGGAAUGAAAAAUGGUCUUCGGUUCGUACUUUCAUAACAUGCUCUGGCUGGCCGCGAGUUGAGUUUGGCGUGAGGCGGGGCCGGAUGUUCGAUAUUGUUCCCUGGUUUUUUUUUUUUAGAUAAAAGGCUUUUGCCCUGUUCCAUUUCAGACGAAACGAAACCACAUAGUUCGGUACAGUGAUAUGACCAAGAAACCGAAAAACGGCUAACAUCCUCAAAAAGAGUUAAAACUUGACGGAGACUAAACGAUACAACCUUGUAAUAGCACUGCAAAACAUCUGCCAAAAGAGCAGAAAAUUUUGUCCUCGCACUCCCAGGUUGCUCACUCUCAGGGUCUUCAGGCCAGCUUCAGCGCAACUUCAUGCAGGAGAGGAGUUUCAGGGCCCGUGACAGUAGUGCGCCGUUUCUUCAGAGCUGCAGUCGAGGGGCUUCCACCGCCUUGUUCUCGAUGAGUAAGAGACAUUUGUCCCAGACCGGGAUAUCUUUCUCGGGGCAGAGUGGUGCCAGCGCUCUAGUAAGCGCAGCAAUCGUCUCCACAGGACCUGAACGUUGAGCCACAAAUGCCGAGCAAAGUAUAAGUCGUUACGGAAUUUUCAGAGAGUCCAAAUCAGGCCAGAAGUCAGUAUAUUAACAACACCAUGCUUUUUGUUACAUAGACAGAAGGUAGCCAUUUGUUCAAAGGAGUUUAUAGCAGGUUUAUCAACAAUCUCUGAUAAUUCAUGACAUAAAUGCCUGGCUACAACACACUCAAAGAAAAGGUGUGGUAUAGAUUCAGGUUCACAGCAGAAGAGACAGGUCUUAUCUGCUAGCUCUUGUCGCUUGGCAAGAUUAUCUCUAGUGAGAAGUUUAUUAUUACUUAGCAGCAACAAGAACAUGUGUAUUUGUGAGGGCACAUGAAUAUUCCAUAGAGCAGGCACAAACACAGGUGUUAUUACUCUAAAAUUUACUACAGCAUAGAGAGAUUGGGAGGUGUAUACACCAGACUUGUGUAGCCUCCACAUCAUCUGAUCCUCCUCUGUGGAGAAAACCACACUAGAGAGGAUCUGGGAUAGAGCAUCCCACUGUUCCAAUAAUCUGGGAUUGAAAUUUCUCCUAAAAGAUAAUCUAAUUUCCCCAUCAACACAGACCUCAGGCAUAGAAGCCAAUUGUUCAUUGCAGAUAAUAUAAACAUCUCAAAACUAAGGCUAGUGCCACCAAACAAAUGAUCCUCUCAGAACCUAAUAGAUCUACCAUUUCCCACCAGCCAUUGGUAUCCCAGCAUAGCUACUUUACUAGCCCACAUCACACCUUUCCCAAAAACAGGGCUCAUUCUACUAUCACAAGCAAAGAUAUUUGGGUUAGUAACAUUAUAUUUAUGUUCUAUAAUUUGUUUCCAAAGUCUGUUAGAGUCCAUUUUAUAUCUAUGAAUCCAAGAGGCCAGCAGUGUCACAUUUAAGUCUCUCGGGUUAGGGAUCCCUAAAUCUCCAUAUUCCUUUUUCAUUGCCAUCAUAUCCCAGUUUGCCAGAUGAUAUUUUCUGUGACCCUCAUAGUUGUCCCACAGGCAGUGUGCCAUCUGUGAGUUUAUUGAUUGAAUUGCCCAGCUAGGGAAUUUUAUGAAGGAGAGUAGAUAAAUUGGAAUGCUGGCUAGGCAAGCUCUAAUGAGCACCAGUCUACCAGCAUAGGACGGUAGUCUGCCUCUCCAACGAGCAGCUCUUUUAAUCACUUUAUCAAUGACUGGUUGCAAAUCCUCUUUUCUCAAUUUGUUGUGGUGCAGGGGAACCCCAGAUAAGUAAUGGGAAGGGCACUACAUUUACAACUAAAUAUUUGGCUAAGAGAGUUGGUCUCCUCUUCCUCCAAGUUGAGGGGGAUCAGGUCAGAUUUAUUGUAAUUGAUUUUCAUACCAGAAAUGUGUUCGUAGAGGGUAAGGAACCAUUUCAAAUUUUGUGCCAUAUUCAGAUCAUUUUUUAGGAGAAUCAAAGUGUCAUCUGCGUAUUGUAGACUGACAAUCCCUCCAGGUCUGAAAUCAGGCAGCAGGCCCUGGAUGUGUGAGUGCCUAGCAGCUUUGUUCGGCAUCCGAGUGAAGACAUUGGCAACAAGGUUAAACAGGAUUAGGGACAAAGGAUCUCCCUGUCUCAGGCCUUUACCAGUUUCAAAAAAGUCACUCUCAGUGUCAUUGAUUCUAAUCCCCACAGAGCCCUUGUAAAUCAAGGUUUUUAGUUUGGUUCUCCAUUUCAGGCUAAAGCCCAUAUGUGUUAACAUGUGAUCCAAAAAGUCCCAAUUAAUUCUGUCAUAGGCUUUCUCAUAGUCAAGUUUGAGGAGGAUCCCUUUUUCUUUGUUUUGGUGGAUUUCAUGAAUUAUCUCAUGAGCUAUCACCACACUAUCCAAAAUGUAUCUGCCUCUAAUGAAAGCAGUCUGGUUGAUGGAGAUAAGUCUGUCAGCACACGUCCCCAUCCUAAUGGUGCAGGCUUUAGCAAAGAUCUUGAAACUGCAGUUAGUCAGUGCUAUGGGUCUAAAUUUUUUCAAAGAAGUUGCAUCUGGCUCUUUAGGAACAAAGUUAACAUGGCAAAGUUGAGCCUGAAAAGAUCAGCUUUGUCAUUAUCAAAAUCAUGGAACAGUUUCAGGAGGUCAGGUUUGAUGGUCUCCCAAAAUUUAUGGUAAAACAGAAAGGGGAAACCAUCAGGUCUAGGGGCUCCUUCAACAUAUGAAGAGAAGACAGCCUCUUUGAUCUCCUCUGAGAAAGGUUGGUCCAGGACACUAUUCUCUGCCUCUGUCACCAUGUCCUCAGUGUCCCAAAAGUUAUCAUCUAGAUUAAUAUCUAGCCUAUCUUCUCUGCCAAAUAUCUGUCUAUAAAAUUGUACAGCAAUUUGAAUCAUAUUUGGAGUGUCAUGAACAAUUCCAUGAGGCCCCUCUAAUGAGAGGAUCUUCUUCUUCCUUCUUCUCUGAUUAGCAAUUGCAUGAAAAUAUGCAGUAUUUUUAUCACCUUCUAAGAUGUCUGUUUCUCUAGCCCUUUGUUUGGCUUUAGUCUUUUCAUUUUUCCAGAUCAAGUUAAGUUCAGACUUAACAGUCUUAAACCUAAGUGAAUCAUCAGUGGACAGACUUUGGGACUCAGACAGGAUGUCAAGGAAAUCAUAUUCAGCAAUCAACUUAGCCUUAAGUUUUUUCUGUUCAGCCUCAAUGUUGGCACCCCAUCCUUUCAGAAAUUUUCUCAACAUUCUAAUAUUAACCUGCCAGAUAUCAAUGGCAUUGCUACAGGGGCAGGGAAGUUCCCAAAUUUUGAUGAUAAGAUCAACACAACCCUCAACUCCCAACCACCAUUUUUCGAAUCUAAAGAUUCUUUUAGGUGGAGGGGCAUGAGAACCACAGUCCACCCAGAUGGGAGUGUGGUCACUACCAAUUCAAGGUAAGGCAGCAACUGAAGAAGCAGGGAAAUGAGCCUCCCAACAAGUGGAUAAAAAAAUUCUAUCUAAUGCCGCCAUAACUGGGGCCUCCCGAUUAUUUGACCAGGUGUAACUUCGAUUGGCUGGCUUCAGCUCCAUCAAGGCAGCUGCCUUUAUCCAGUUAUUGAACCUAUCAGCCCAGGUUUGGUGUAUAUUUUCAGACCUUUUAUCUAUUAUCUGUCUAAUCAAGUUAAAGUCACCACCCACUAGAAUGGGCACAGGGCAGUCAGCACAUAAGUUAGUCAGAUCAUCUAUAAAAGACUGCUUUAACUCAUCAUAAGCUGGGCCAUAAACAGCCACAAAUCUCCAAGCAAAAUUAUCAAUUUUAUUUUGAAAAUCACAAGAAACAUAGAAGGAGCUAGUGCUCCACUUUUGUACUGAGAAGGAAGUGCCACUCAAAAUUACCAAAAUUGACUAGAGUCUCCAAAAACAUAGGACUAAAGUCCUGCUUUUUGGUUUCAGACAGUGCAAUGAUAGCAGGAUGAUGAGCUCUUUACUUUUUUCACCUUUGAGGGUUCAUUCAACCCCCUAACAUUCCAGAUAAUGAAUUGCAUCAUCAGAGUUAGUAAAUAAAUUUUUGGCUCUAUAGCUUCUAUCUUUCCUCCUUUUGUAAGAGACAUGUAUAACCUCAUCCUGCUCAAGGUCAUUAUCAUGGUCACUUACAGGGGAAUCAUAGUUGAAGUUAUCAGUUACCAGGUCAUGUUCCUCAUGUUCUAAAAUAUCUUCUAAAGUAACAUCCAGGUCAACAGGCAGGAAGAUAUCAGGGUGGUCCUCAGCCAACUGAGAUAAUCUUGCAUUUUCUAAUUGUUUCAGAUGAUCAAUUGUUUUAUUAACUAAAACAGGUGUGGGCCCUAAACAAACAUUAACAUCAUGUGCUUUAAGAGAUAAAGAAUCAUUGCAAGUAGCAGCAAAAGAGUGUUUAAAAGUAUUACCUUUGUUCAAUGGUACCUCCAGGUUUUUUUGAGCAAUAAUUUCUUGAGCCCUGCGGGGGUGGGGAAAGAUUCUGAGUCAGAGAUCAGAUGAGUUUCAUUGCCAGCAGAGUUAGCUGGAGCAGCAGCAGAGGGGAUCUCAGCAGCAGCAUUGUUGGAAUUUUCUGCAGUAGUGGUUUCAGAAUUCUCAGCCAUAGACCAAGACUUCAGCACUGAAGUCAUUUCCUCAGUGUGUUCUUCAUCAUCAUAUGAAUCAAUCAAGCCAGCAUCAGCUAGGACCUGUAAACUGUUUAAAUUUGCAGCAUUGUUGGUUUUGGGCAGGGAGCUGCUAGAUGGCUGUUCCUUUUCAGCAAGUGUAUCCUUAGAUUUCUUUCCAUCUUUCCUGGAUUUCUCCAAAUCUUGUAUCUCAUCAUCCAUGAUGUUAUCAUCAUCCAUGUCAUCCCCUUCAUUAUCUUUGUCUUUCAGUCCCAUUAUACUGUCAAUGUCUACUCCAUCCCACUCAACAGUGAACUGCAGCAGGUAGAAUUUCUUCCUCAUGACCACCAUUCGGUCAGGUGGGAUUUUUAGAGGGUUUCUUACAGCAAUCUUCACCCUAACUGUUUCAUAAAGAGAUUUAAAAACCUCUGCCCAGUCAAUGUCAAUGAGCAGUCCAAAACUCUUGGAUAUUUGAGCAAUAACACCCGAGGACACCCAUUUUGGAGGAAUGCCUCUAAUCUGCAACCACACCUCUUAAGUUCACCCACAUCAGGCAAAUCUCCAUCCCAAAUAAGGAUUUUAAUUGUCACACUUUCCUGAUCAACUCCCUCUUGUAAAUUGAUAGAUGGUAGUCCCAUCAGAUCUUCAACUUUCUUGUGUGGGGGAAAUCUGACAAGAAAACUCUUCUUCUCUAUCUGUCUGACUUGCCAUUUUCAAGUAUCAUCCCAAGUUGCAGCCAAUUUAACCUGCAGUUCCUGCACUGUAAUGCUACCAUGGGUUAUAGCAAUGAUUAGCUCGGUUCGCGCGCUUCGCUACGCCGUUGACAAACUAAAACAAUCAGGCAACCAUUUUCUCAUACGCAAUCACACAGAAACAAAUUGCUACGUUUUGCAGAUGCUUUUUCAUACGCUUCUAUCUCUACAUAACCGUGCAUAUUUUUACCUUUAUUCCAAACAUAAUAUUCUUUGAAUAUUAAUCAUCAAAAGUGCAAUCAUUGAUGACUCACCAUCAAUUAUAAUUAUUUACAGGAAAAGCAAUCAAUUUGGUAACAUGCCUGCUCUCAUUGAUUUUUUAUGUUGGUCAAAAUAGAAAUUCCAAUGCUUUCCAACUUGACCAAGAUUACAUUAUUCUGGUAUUCUGUACCACUGAAUGUUAUAUGUUCUGAAUCAUCAAAUCGAAAACACAAAACAACCAUAUGAAGCAACAUUUUCCACAUGAAUGUAUAUUUUUCUAAUAAGAUGUAUCAAGAGUACAACGUCCGAAAGAAAUUCAAAAAAAGAUAAAAUCUGGAAGAAGUCAAAACAAAAUGCAUGAACUUCAACUUAAGAAUUCGACAGACAAGUUUUUUAACAGUACGCCAUCCAGAAGAAGUCGAAACAAAAUGUAUAACUUGAACUCACACAUAUAUAGAUAAAACAAACAUCUGAAAAAAUUCAAAACAAAUGCAUGGACUUGAACUCAACGCAUAUAUAAAUAAUACAAAAGGAUAUGCAUUUUGCUAAUAACAUCACAGCACGUUUAUCCAACCAAGAUCUGCUCCGCAUCCAGGUAUAAGCAAACAAGAUUUUCCCUUAACGGGGCCCUUCGGGAAGCAGUAGCCUAUACCAUACCGGCCGCCACCAAUCCUUGCCGCAGCGGCCAUUGAUGUACAGGGUCAGCCCGUUUAUCCCGCAUACCUAUAAGAUUGCCACUUCCAGGUACAUCAGCCACGCACAACUAAAUUCUUAAAAAAAAUUCUACAGGUAACAGCAUGCCCACAAGUCCAAUUAACAACCCACUAGAAUAUACUGCAGAAGUAAUCAACUUGAUAGAAUCGGUGCAAAAUACAAAACUACAUAAAUACAAUUCUUAUUCUUGAACACAUCAUUAUCCAAAAAUUCUCGUCCUAACAUCGAUAACCAAAAGUAUCAACUUUUCAACUUCUCUUGAUUAUUUGUACGCUUGCAAGUCUGUUCAUGCUCCUCUCCUCUCCUUCCGGGAAACGAAACUUCACAAGUCCACAUUGAGCAAUAUGAGAUACCGGUAGACACUCUUGCAUGCAGUAUCUCUAAUUAAUAUGCAUGUAUCUCUAACUAUUAUGCAGUACACUUUAAUAGAAUUAUACAUGAAGUUCAUAUUCAAAGGAUCAUUAGAAGUUCACAAACCUUGUGCUUUCUUGUUGACAGCUACCAGUGUCGUAGCAAUGUUAAGCAGCCCUUCAAUAGCAGCAUACUGGAGAACAUGCAUGGUGGAGAGCAUAUAUAACUCAACAUCUGAAGGUAACAAAUUUAAGAAGAAUAACUAAAACUGAAAAAGAACUCCCGUCAAGAAAUAGAACUGCAGUAGAACUGAAAAUGAAGCAGCUUGUCAUGUUGCAAUUAACAGCAAUGGAGUGGAUUGAUAAGAAACUCCAACUAAGUUUAGAGAGUGCGAUGAGCUGAUAAGGAUGUCACAGUCCCAAUUUUCAUAAAAAAACUGAUUUAACAAGAGCACACGGCGCAUCCUGAAGCGUUGCCGGAUGUCACAGUCCCAAUUUUCAUAAAAAACUGAUUUAACAAGGGCACACGGCGUAUUACACAGAUUAAACUCAUCCUGAAGCGUUGCCAGCACCAAAAAUCCAUCUCUAUAAAGAAAAAAAGAUUCAACACUAAAACUAACAACAUCAGAUUCUACAUCCUCAGGAAAUUAUCAUGAGCAUUUUAAUAGCAUUUUUUUUAUAUUACAAUAAUGCUAGACUCUUAGUUUUAAAUAGCGCGCUAUAGCAUUGCUAGAGGGACGCUAUAGCGUUUGGAGAGGGCUAACCUAAGAAAAACGUUAUUAGCUCCGCUAAUCACGCUAUAGCGUUAUAUUUUGGGAUCGUUAGCGCGCUAAGCUGUCCCUGCGAUAAUUAUUUUUGGGGCUUUUUCACAGGUGUGCCUUAAAUUCCAUCGCAUCUCAAGCAAUGUCUCAGCUCAUUGUAGUUUUUCUAGAUUUUGAAAAAAAGUAUCAGAUUAAAUGUUGCUAUUGUCCCAAUAUAUGCACUGUUGGCAUUAUUAGGGUUAGGUACCAUCAUGCUGGCAUUACAAAUGGUGUUUUAAGUGUCAAGGAGUGUUUCUAAGUGUCAAGGAGUUCCUACUGAUGCGAAGAAGAAGAUAUUUUUGUCAUAUGAUGCCUCAUUUAUUGAUAUUCUUUAUGUUUUUUUAAAAUCCGCUAAAUGUCUUGGCCCCGCUGGCGCCGCUAUAGCACGUGUAGCUUAUCUGUCAGAGAACUGUGUAUUCUGUCUGAAGGAGAAGGGAGAGAUCACACGCACCUACGGCAGAACUACCGCAACCAACAAACGGCAAAAUCCGCCGCCGCAGCAAACGGGCAGCCGACGGAGACCACCACCACAGGCAAAGCAAAACCUCCGCAACCAGUGGACGACAGAACCCGUAGCACCGAUUCACAACGCCGGGGAUGGCCUUCGUUUUGCCUUUUAAAUACGCUGAGAAAGAAGCUCCGAGAAUGCCGGUAACCGCCUUAACAGAGCCAGCACACAGCUGCUCUCGAAGGCUCCAAGCAGCCAGCGCAUCAAGCCAACAGACGUGUCGUCUUGCAUGCAGCCGUCCAAACCGGCAACAAUCCUCCACGCAAUGACGCAAGGAACUAUCUCUGACAAUGGACCAACAACAAACGCAAGCCCACAGUCAGCGGCGUCCAGCGCAUGCACCCUGCUACCUCUUUGACAACAGCCCGUCUAAAUAAAAGGAAGCCAGCCAAGCCUCGGUGGAGCGCUGAGAGGCCGGACAAUCAACCGGAUUUAGGAUUUGGAUGUUAUACCACAGUCGUUGAUGUUAAGCCACCUAGUAGAAGCCUGUGUUCAUCAAUGUUGACAUGGAGAAAACCUAGGCCACCAUUUGCACUGCCCUGUUCCCUGGUUUUGAUGCUACGAUCAAAAGAGCAUUUGGAACAACGUCGGUGCGGUGAGAACAAAAAGAAUCCUCACUCAACACCGACGCGCAGGUAGGUUCAACGUGCCUACUCCCGACAGAGAGUCACCACCGGAAGGCUGGCCUCGUCAUUCCUCCUGAUGGCCCGCCCGCACGGGGUUCCGCGUGCAGCAGUGUUUUGCUUCCGCGGCGCAACCAAACGCAGAAACGACAUGAGACGGCGACGUGCCCCCGCCGCGCCACUGUCGGCGCUAGUUGCCGCCGUGCGUGGCCGGCCGCGUUCGCCCAACGCUAACCCCCGCCGCGGGGUCCUCGACGCAAAAUGGGGAACCCGAUGCGUGGGCUACGCGCGGCACGUGAAUGCGUUUAUGCGUGCCUCUUUCCUGGCUAGCUGGGAGGCUGGCCGGCCGUGGGGGACGUCACGAAUCUCGUAUCGUAUCCCUGCGUCGACGGACGACGGCUCUCCUCGUGGGGCCCGCCCGCGUAGAGAUUGGUUCCCGAUUCGCGAGAAAACGGAUGGCAUUUGCUGUGCUGCUGGAUUAAAUUAACUCCUAAUCUCAGAUAGCAUAUCGGAAGACCGCGUCUGCACUGCGUUGUGAACUGACAUUUGCGUUUGCGCAGGACGCCGGUCAUGCGUGUCUCGGCUUUCUCUGCGACUCUCCGUGUUGUACUUGUCGUAGCGUGCUGGAAUUAAACGCGACGACAAUUCUCUUCACACCGCGACGAAAAAACACAAACUUGAUUCUUUUUUUUCUCUAUAUGUGAAAAUUACAGAUUUGUCUGUCAAAAAAAUUACAUGCUUGAUUUAUUUUAUAAAAAUAGUUUAGAUACACGCAACAUUUCGUCACUCAUAUGAGCGGAGGGAGUACAGAUUUAAUUACGUGGCAAUUCUUUUAGCUUGUCAAAAUCCCCAUUUACAGUCAAGUUACAUUUUGGACAAACAAAAAAUAGACAAUUACAAGUCCUAAAGUACACAUGGAAAUGAACUACAAAAGAAGAUCGUCACGCGUAAGAGCCUUGAACUCAAGUUGCCACGACGACAAGGCUUGCCGUCCACGCGUCUUCCAGAACUCAGUCUCGCCGCCUUUUGCAAAACAUGCCACCGAUGAAGCUUCGCAUAGACUCUCAGCGGAGAGGCCGCAACAUCGGAAGAGAAGAUCCCUCCAAGAAAGAAGGGAGGGGACCGGAGCCAAAACGCUUGUUAUGUUUGGACAAUAGUAUGGACCACAUUCACCAUUGUAAAAGAGAAAGAACAAAACUAACCUUUUGUAUUGCUAAAGGAAAUAAUCUAUGUAUGGAAUGCAGAUUAAUUUUUUAUUAAGCUCCAUCCCCUCCCCAGCGUUGCUAGUUUUAUAUUUUGCGUUUUUUCUGUAAAAAAAAUUGCAUUUACUUAAGAGUAAAAUGCACUCACGAUCACUGAACUUGGUUUCGAUUCUCAAUUUAGUCAUUGUAUUUCGAAAGUUACGGUUUGUAAACUUGACGAAAUAUUUCACAUACAGUCACCGGUACUGUAUUUUGUACGCACAGAUCCGUAGCAUGUGCCAACUCAGAUCGUAUUUUUGCAUUUUGCCUCUGAAAAAUAAUUCAUGAGGACGAGAGGGAACGUAAGUUUCGAUUUUCAAAAUACAGUCACUAAAUUAAGAAUAGAAAUAAAGUUCAGCGACUGUGAAUGCAUUUUACUUAACUCUUUAUUGUCAAUAGCAAGCAGCAAUGCCGCAGUCUGUUUUAUAACAGAGGUGUUUUCCCCGUGCUCCAAUUCCUACCUUGGGCACAGAAACACAAACAAAGUGGCUGCCACAAAAUAGCCCGAACUGAGCAUCGCAUGACGGUGGAGAAAAGAGGGGAGAGGAGAGGAAAGGGGAGGCAAGGAACCGAGAAGCAUCCUCCUCCGCCCGUCUAUAAAUUCUCCUCCUUUCCUCCUCUUUAUAUAGGAGGCAUCAAAGCAAAGAAGAGGGAGAACACCAAGGGCUACCAGCGCCUCUCCGCGAUCCAAAUCCUACCGAGAAAGUUCUUGGUUGAUCUCCUCUUCGACCACCUCCGAGGGUAUGCCCCCCUUUACCCCGUCGAUUCUUGAUCUGUAUGGUUGUCGUUCUGCAGCAGAAUCCUCUUUUAGUCAGAGGAUCUGUACUGAUUGAUCUUGAUUUGCGGUCCUGGUCCAGGGAUUUAGGGUUGAGCCGUGUAGGUGUUCUCGGAUCUUGUUGUUUUUUUAUAUCCCUUGAUAUGUGUUCGUACAUACAAUCGUCCAGGAAAUUCUAGGAGAAUGGUUAUUGCCUGUAAUCUAAAAAAAUAAGGAGGUUUGGUCAUGUUUUCUCUCUUCCGUAGUAACAUCCAACGGUGAUAAAAAUUUUACUAUUUUGGUCAGCAGAAUUAAGAGCCGAUAUGUAGUCAUUCCUUUUUUAAGAAUUCUACCUUAUUUCUGUAUUUUCCUAUUGUCAGUAGUAUUUGCUAAACAAUAAAUUAUAUGCGGAAAGAUCCAACCCUGAUGCUACUUAUUGUGUGAACCUAAGUUGAGAUCAUCGCAUAAAAAACACUAAUUUAAUAAUAUGAGCUUCAUAUAGGUCUUUUCAUUUUGUAGAAAAAGAAAGUUAUUUUCUUGUUAUUUUUUGCAAGGAAAUAAAUUUGCCAAUACUAGCGGUGCAAGUGAUUGUAUAUAUCAAGAUAACAUUGGUUAUUGUUAGUGUCGUAUGUUGUCAUCUUGGCUAUGAUUUUUGGGCCUUAAUUCUGGAUUUCUGGUAUUGUUGCCUCUCGGUUUGAUUAUUUAAUCUUUGUUAAUCUUGACUCUACAAUAAUAAGUACUCCGUACGUCUUAUCAUUUCAUAGAGAAGGGGAAUUUUUGUAAUAUGUAUAUGUUAAUAUAACACUGAUCAUUGUUUGUGUCGUAAGUAUGUUGUCAUCAGUUUGGGUGUGAUCGGACUAUUCUGGUAGAGGUAUCUCUCCAUUUGACGGGUUAAUCUUCACAAUAAGUACUAUGGUUGAGGCAAAAUAUUUACUCAGUAGUCACCAUUCAUGGGAUGGAGUAGAAGUCAUGGAUCUUGGCCCCAUGUUCACUUUAUUCUUACAAUCAUGUGAAUCUUGCUAGAUUUGCAUUGCUUCUUGGUUUCCCCUAAUUUUCCAGCACUUCAUACUGUUGACAACAUCUUAUUCCUGCAACCAACAACCUUUCUUUAAUCCUAGGAAUAUGCUGCAUUAAUCCUAAAAGGUGGUUACUUCGUUAAUUAAUUGAAACGAAUAGGUUGCUAGAAAACAAUUAUGUAGUAUAUAGGCGGUGCAUAAUUUAGAUGAUGGGAAUGACCAUGAAGGUUUCGAGUUGGCCAUGUAUAUGGUAUAGUUGUAUUUUCUACACAUUUCUGUAUUUCCUCUGACAAUACAUGGAACGAAGGUGUGAGUGCCUGAGUGGACUAGUGAAACCAUAUUACAUUUACCAAUUGUGUUGAUGUGUUUCUCCUUAGCAUGCACCUUUUGCUCAUUUGGUUGUUCUGUACUUAACAAGGUUCUCUAUAUCUGUACAAUCUGAUGAUUCAUUUCCUUCUAUGACUGCUUGAUUAUUGAAACGGGAACUUAUAAAGCUGCAUUUCACCUCUGUAUACUGCACGUUUUAAUGAUUCACUUCUUGCUUUGUACAGUUCUUGGUGUAGCUUUUGCCACUCUCACCAGGAGUUUUCAUGUCUGAUCUUGACAUUCAGAUCCCAACUGCCUUCGGUAUGCCUGUAGUUUUUAUUUGUUCUUCUCAUUGAAAUUACUUGCAGUGCGUGGAAUAUGUGUAACUGAUUUGUUUUGCUGCUACGCACAGAUCCCUUUGCUGAGGCGAAUGCUGGGGAAGCCGGUGCAGCCGCAGGAUCAAAGGACUACGUUCAUGUACGCAUCCAGCAGCGUAAUGGCCGCAAGAGUCUGACCACAGUACAGGGUUUGAAGAAGGAAUUCAGCUACAGUAAGAUCCUCAAAGAUCUUAAGAAAGAGUUUUGCUGCAAUGGUACUGUUGUCCAGGACCCAGAGCUUGGACAGGUGUGUUGAAACGACCAAACUUGUGUUCUCUGAUCAUAUCAUUUGUUUGCAUAAUUUUUAAAGCUAGUUAUCUUGAUUAAUGCUGUAUGUUUUCCUUCCUUUAGGUCAUUCAACUUCAGGGUGAUCAGAGGAAGAACGUCUCCAAUUUCCUUGUCCAGGUAAAGCUUCAUGUUUUCGCAGGUCACGCUCAGUUACAUCGCUGUUCGGAAACAUGGAUGUAGAUGUCUUAACUUUGGCUUCCUCUGUUUCCCUCAGGCCGGCAUUGUGAAAAAGGAACACAUCAAGAUUCAUGGUUUCUGAGCAACUGCCAGCUCCAUAUCAUCAAAAAUCUGCAUGCAAACGCAGCUAUAUAUCUGGGGUGGAGUAUAUUUCUGCUGUGUGCUAGCACUAGCAGGCGUUUGCGCUUGCACGUUCCAGUCUAGGACACAAACCUAGCAUAGCCCACCUCUCUGCGUGUAUGCUUGCUACCGUUGUGAAGCUUGUAAAAGGAACCAUCGUGAGAUGGAUCGUUUCUCUCUCUCGUCAAGGUUGAAUAAUAAUAGAUGCUUUUUAAAGCGGGAUAUCUUUUCGUAUCAUCCAUUUUUGCGACGUUCAUUGUUGUGCUUCGAUUCGGUUUUGGCAUGACUUGUUAUGUUUCCUGAGCGGCCCCAAUGCCGAUGUUGGGUUGCUCAGUACAAGUCACUGCUAGUGAUCUCCUAGGCAGGAUUAAAAUAAUGAUCAAAUUUCUUGUUCGCCGUAUCACUUCGCAGUUUAGGAGGCCAAGCUCGGUUUGCUGCCACCUAGUAGCCUCUUUGUGACUAAAAAACAUUGCCUUCGUGACAUGCGCUAAUUAUUGGAGGUCCAGUUGCCCUAACAAUGUUUUUUUCAGAUAGCAGCCAUUGAAUAUACAGUAGCCCCGUUAUGGCAAUUUAUGCUUGCCGCAGAAACAAGCUUAACUCGAAACUGUGAAUACAGUACUACAGUACUACUCCACUGUUAUUGGGUACGGUUUUGCUUUAUUGGUAGCCAACUGAUAUUUAUACUUCGAACUGUGUUGGUACAGUUUCAGAAGUAUCAAUUUCCUGUUAGGCACAGUACAUGAAGAUUUGCGGCACUGAAUUAAUUAUCACUGAUCUUCUCACCAAGUGGUCAGAAGUAGUGUUCUUGUUGUUAUCGUCCUGCUAGCAGGCGCAAAGCGUUGCCGCCGUCCACUGAACAUGGCUGCACGUGUUUCUUGCCCCGAUACACGGCGAGAUCGAUUAGGUUAAGACGCAACGCACCCACGUAAUGUAGCCGUUAAGUUUAUCAGCAGAUUUUGUUAAUCCGAUGGAACAUCUCAAUGUACGGUCUGAUGACCGCCGAAUUUUUUGCACCAUUGGCCCCACCAACGGAAAUUCCAGAAAUGAUCCCUCCCAAACGAAAUGCCAAAAAUGAUCUGACGAAAAGCACAGAAGUCACCACGUCACACAUUGUGCCAAUGGUAUUAGUGGAAAGUGUUUAAAUCCAAUUGCAUUGAAGGAAGGGUCUUAAGUCCAAUUGCAUCGGCGGAAGGCAUUUGCAUGGGCACUUAAGGGCAAACGGGUCUGCACGAUAUUUCUACUUUUCAUUUUCUUCUUAUACUUAUUUGUUCUAAUAUUUGUAAAUUUAUUUGAAUAUCCAAAUGAACUCCCAUCUUUAUGAAAUUUUGAAGGUAAGUUUAGAAUGGUGUUACCCACAUGUAGUAAAAUUUUCGAUUAUUUUGGAGCAAUUUUGAAUUAAACAAGAUUUGAACUCAAAUAAAUCCCAGAAUUUCAAAAUUUUAUAAAUAUCGGAGUUAGUUUGGAUCUUCAAAUAAAUUUUAAAAAUAUCAGAACGAGUAAGUAUAAGAAGAAAACGAAAAAGAAAAUCAAUCGGGUGGGCACGGCUGCCCUAAAGUGCUAUGCAUAGGCCUUCCGCCAAUGCAAUUGGAUCUAAGGCCCUUCCUCCAUCACAAUUGGAGUUAAGCACUUUUCUCGAAGUGCUACGUGGCAUCUUCCGACCCUCCUGUCAGGCCAUUUUGAUAUUUCAUUGGCCAGGGGACCAAUUGAGCUUUCUAUCCAUGACCGCGAGAGUUGUCUGCGGACCUACGCACGCUGAAUUGUCAAGCUUUUAACCGAACAUCCAUGGUAGAAAAAACGGAACCGUCUAUUAACAAAAAAAAUAGUACGGUAUACUAACUUUUUAUUUAGUCAUCAUUUUAUUGUCCGUUAAACCUCCAUCCAAGUUUUCACAUACUAGUAAAUGUGAAAACGGUAAUUUCAUUCCAAGAACACCGCGAAUGCCGACCUUCACCGUCUUGUCCUGCAAUCGAUCGAAUCAAUCUGCACCGCCCGAUUCUGUCUGCCCUCCGCUGCCACUUUUUUGCCGUUGAAAUGUAGCCGCGUCCUUUCUGGGUUGUCCUCUCAUUUACUCCUUUGCCGAUCAGUUUCACGUGCAGAUGCUCGCUAGCUAAUAGCCUUUCACUUUAUCUCUUUUAUUUUCUGAGGAUGAUGAGAUACUCGUGUUCGCCAAAUUUCCCCGGCAGAACCGCUGCGCCAACGAAAGAAGCAUCUCCACACGUCGUCGGUUUUCCAGGAAGCGCCGGCCAGGCCAGGCCAUCCAGAUCUGUGGCAGGAGCCAUUAUUUUUCCCUGACAAGCGUGUCUAACGAGAUGAGAUCUCGACGUGCGUUUCGUUUCGCCCAUGCCCCCCCGCUUCUGCCUGACAUGCCAGCAUGUCUGUUCUCGUUUCUCAGAAUUUUUGUCUGAACUAUUUCGCACAAUGUCAAUCCGUAUACGCAGCCAAAAUAUAUAUUUUUUGCUUGCUACCCAUGCUCGUGUAUACGAACUCUAGUGUUCGCGAAACAAAUCGCCCAUCCUGCCAUCCACCCCACACUCCCACAGUGUUCUGGAACGCAAAUUUCAGAAAUAAUAAUCCACCCACCAAUCAAAUCUCUGAUAGUUACACCGCUAGACAGACCCCCAAAAAAAGAAUACGGAAGGGGACGGACGAUCCUGGCCGCACAUCACCCUGGGAGGACCCGACGCACGAAUCACGAGGCGGUCGUCCUGAGCGCGCACUCCUCAGGCACGGUGGGGAACCUCUUGCGGUCGUCGCAGUAAUCGUAGAUGACGAGGUUCCUGGCCACCCAGCCGGAGUCCUGCCGCUGGCCGUCGUCGAGCGCCCACGCCGGCGGCUGGUCCCACCAGCUGUCGCCGGUCUUGGCCGCGCACGCCGGCGUCGCCGCCCCCGCCGCCGCGCCCCAGGCGCAGGCGUCGGCGGUGAAGUCGCUGUAGGAGGAGACGAAUGGGCCCUUGGUCCAGUCCGUCUUCUCCAGGCCGCCACGCGUGGCCCAGUCGUCGGCGUUCCAGAUGCUGGAGAAGACGUACAUGGGCUUGGCGAUCGGGAAGAACUUGUUGUUGGGCUUGUCCGAGUUCCGGUACUCCCUGAUCGGCACCUUAUCCACGAAAAAUCUGCCAACCCCCAAAUAAAGAACUUUUUUGUCAGGACUAAUCAGGAUUACUUUACUCUUGCGGCAAUGAAUGCAGUGGCAACUUGGCAAGCGCAAACGAAUCUCGAUCCCAGUGUACUGUACAGAAGCGCUAGUCUAGUCAGCGAACCCAUGUGCGUGCGGGCGCGACCACCACUGUUGCCGCAGUUUGGAGUACAAGAUCGAGCCGAAAGAAAGCCUCUUGGUUGGUACAUAUCCGAGAGGGGAGAAAAGAUUCGAGCAAAGGCGGUACACCGAAGAACAGUGCACGGCGACACGACUUGUUUGGUCCAAACAAGGCGGUGUACCCAACACGUACUACAACGAAGCCGAGUUUGGCAUACUGUCUGCGGGUGGGCCUAGUGGGUAUCUAUCGGAGCGACCCAAUUCAGGGAUGGGUGGGUGGAUCCAUUCAAUUCGACUCGUCCCCCAAGAUGACGCUGGUGCAAUGGCAAUCAGAAGCAGCUUAAUCGGAAGGAAGGAAUUAAUGGUGAAAGUGUGCGGGCUUACAGGAUCUGCUUGGGGUUCCAGAGGAUGGAGUAUGUGUGGAACUCGGCGGUGGGGUCGAACCAGAGCGAGUGGCGCAUCUCCCGGCCGCCGACGCCGCCCUGGUACACGUUGGUCUGGAUGAUGUAGGGCUCCCCCGUGCGGUUGCCCAGGAACUCGAAGUCCAGCUCGUCACGCUCCGGCGCCGCGUCCAGGUCCGAGCACAUCUGAUGAUGAAUUAAGAGUACCCAAUCAGUUAACCAACGCCUCAGUUUUUGUUUAAGCAAAAAAAAUCCAUGGAGUUCAGCUUCAGCACGUACGUAGUAGGCGGUGACAACGCCGGCGGAGUCGUUGCCGACGAGCUUGAGCUUCAUGCUGAACCACCCGAACAAGUACUUCUGCUUCGUCUGGAACCCGACGCCUGAGGAAAGAAAGGAAGAAAGAGACCAAAGAAUGGAAUUAACAGCUGAAAUGAGAGUUAAACAGGACUACACAUUUGCAAUGUUGUUCCCUAAUGCAGGCUCAAGGAGUUGAAGCUUGGUUUGGUUGUACUACUGGAGAACAACAGUGAUGUGACUCUUGCCUGUCUUGUUGUCGAGAGAGAGGUACCACGUCUGCCCGUCGGCGGAGGUCUUGACGUGGUCCUCGGCGCCGGUGAUCUCGAAGUUGUCCCCGAACGACGGGGCCGCCACCGCGUAGGCGCCCUGCAAGCAGCAAGAAACGGCAAUGGCGGCGCACGCCAGGAGAGCGCCGACGCACGGGCGGCGCUUCCACGAGCCCAUCGUCGACAAACCCAGAGAGAAAAAAAGGAUUGUGUCGAUGAGAAGAGGAGAAGGGGCAACGGCAAUGGCGACGGCAAAGCCACACACAAACGGGCAGAGGAGCGGAGCGGACGAGUGUGUGCUUAGCUUUGGUCUCGGGCAAAGCACAAAACAAGACGGACCACCGCGUAACAGCUUUUAUAAACUAGAGAGCGCUUUGACAGGAGUUGUUUAAGCAGCUGCCGUUCUAAAGUGACGCCGGUGCCUCAACAAGCGUGUAGCCGAGCUGGACUGGAAGAGAAGACAGGAUUGUUGCCCUCUGGUUGCGUCCGUAGGGUGAAAUCGCACCGUUGCGCGCGGCUCACUCACCUUUCUCGAGAGCCUCUACUACACUCCUCUUUGACUUUAUUUUAUCUUAUCACCGGCGGCUUUUUUUCAUUUCAAACAGGAUGCUAAGGCGUAUACAUACACUACUGCUGCGGCGUUAAGGCGCAUACAUACAGAUACAGGGCACUCGCUGCCACGCACGGGCUUGAGAUCUGGUUUCUGGCAUCUUUUCGAGAGAGAUGAUGGCCUCCUCUGGUAUCGUCAGUGUAUCCGUCUGCUGCUCGUGGCUGUCACAUGCAUGAGCUUAUCAUGCUCGUUCCGGGAGAGUGGAUUGAUUGUCAUCUGACUAGGAGACCUUGACCCAAGGCAAGGCAGCGUGACUGCCGAGAGCGAAACAGAGUAAAGGCAGGGCACCAGCCAACCAACCUACUCUGUUCUCUACUCUGCAUUUCCCGCUAGGCUUGCCAAAGGUUGUUUGCUCUGUUUCCGAGCGACGAUGGGGCCAUGAAAACCGGACAAGAGAUUUGCACUAGUAGUCCAGGAGGUUUAAAUGCUAGGCCAGUAUGUGUGUGUGUGUGUGUGGCUCGUGGAUGUCAAGGUAAUCAGACGACCGACAGGAUUACAGUGUAGAAAGCAGAGUUGCCGUCUGAUCCAUCGAUGUUUUGAUCCCAAGCAUGUGUGGCUCGUGUAGCACUGAAACCUACUUCUCGUGGAGGUACGAACACUGUCGUUGAAUAGUCGUAUAAAGGUUGAGCACGAAUCUUAUUGAGAUGUGACGAGCGGCGUCAAGCAAUAGAAAACAGGGUCUUGUAGGGCAUGUCGUGAGAGACGGGGUCUUGUAGGGCAGUAGUACUACUAGCUGCGCUAGCUUGGCCGCGUCCAAAACAAACGGGAAGAGGGGCUAGCUAAACCCCGGGUUUCCAGGUUCCUGUCCAUGAUAAGAGUCCGCGAAUAUUGGCUGAUGCUGGCGUUAAUUGUAAGCCAGAACCGCUCCUGGUCGUAGUAGCUGGCAUUUAGCGUUAACAUCUGACACGGGUUUGUGAUCGUGCGCUUGCAGAGAAACGCUGCGGGCCUAUGCAACGGAAAACACUCCUGUGGUGUGUGGAUGCACUCCUGGAAUAAUUUUUUAGCUAGGAAGAGCUGCAUGACUCAAUGAUUAGUCCAUGGAAUAAUUUGACUAGAAGUGUGCAUUGGAUCUGGUCGGUACAGGUUUACUCUUUGUCAUCAGAAGUGAAACGGUGACUUAUCUCAAACCGUGAUCUGAUGAAAAAAAUAAUGAUUUAUGCUCCUUGAAAGUACUAAUCCUGAGUACAAAUCAGGCAUAUUAAAUUCAAGCCAAAUGCUUUAUGAGUUUAGCUCGUGAAAAGGCAACCAGGCAUACGAGCAUAGCUCACACGGUCACACCAGGGUUUUUUUUUCCGGUUUUGCCAUUGAUAAGUUGCCCUUUUUAGUUAGAGAUCAUAUGUUAGUCAUCGGAUCUGAAUACAAUGAUAGUAAAUGAGAGAACGUGGAUGAUCCUCAGAUCAACCCCUAAGACAUAUUUGCAUUCGGUCCCUUCUCCUUUUCUCUUCUUGCACAAAUUGGUCCCUCUUCUCUUCACAUGAGCCAUUGUUUCUUGUUUCCUUUACGCUCAGGUCCUCCAGAAUAUUUCUUCAUCUGCAGCUUAUCCAAAUUAGAAGAAUUUGUGCCUUAAUGCACUGUUCUGCAAGACAUAUUAAUCAUGGUAUUAAUUUGCUCAUUUGGUCGAAUAUUCUACAUAUAGCAUUCGGUUUUGAGGCAAAAUCAACUCUAAAUGAUGCUAAAUGUCAAUUAAGUGAGACAAAAUUGAUGCAAACGUGACCCUGAUCAACCAUAGCCAUCCGAUUAAGAUUUUCCUAUCAUUUGUGCUUGUACGAAUCUUGCACGAGUCUCAGUGAUUGGAUUGGAUGAUUGUUAGCAUCGACUUAGAAAUAAUAAUUUUCUCGUCACCUUAGAAAUAGCAAAAUCUUUUUUAAGGGUGUGGCUAUAAUCUAAGUUGCCUGAUUUUAAGCACAACUCUUAAAUCUAAGUUGACAAAUCAGAAUCAUUGGAUUAGUAUCUAGAUCUCAUUUUACUCUUCGUUUUUCAUCACCUGUCUUGAUUCUUAAAGCACAAAUCAUAUUCAACAGUUGAGGAAUCAACUUAUAUCUAUCUAAAUCAAACAACCUAGAUAUAGUAAAACCGUUUUUUAUAUCUCAUUCAACUUCCUCAAAUAUAAUUAGAACAGCACUUUACUAAAUUCAAGCCAAAUGCUUUACCUUUGUUUCUAGCUUAAGCAGUUGUAAUCUAUUGCACAGCUGUUAGAUGAGAUGCUUUUUUUCUGUGGGGGAGAAUUAAAGAGAUGCUUUAGCUCAGUAGUAGUAUUUAUUUCCUGAAUGAUUAAUGGGAUACUUUGGCUGUCUUUAGGUCUUUAAACGACAAUGUUGAUAAGGUAGAUCGAAGGAAUAAAGGAUGAUUUCCUUUACUGCUGCGUUCUGUGAAACGUUUGCCCAGGAAAGAUCAAGAGAGACGAGAUGGAUCCCUAAAAAAAAGGAGAGACGAGAUGGAAAAGUUUCAGCGGGACAAAGAAACGAGAAGGUUCCUUGAGAACGUGUGAAACAAAGCUUACACAUUGCCACACGGGCUCAGAGUCAAUCUAUUUUGGGCUAACUUGUUUCUAAAGAGGAGCCCGUUUGUAAGUACGUUCGUUUCUCAUUCGAGGUUUCCCGUUCCAUUUUCGGCCUACCGGGCGACCGUAUACGAGCCCAGGACGUUACAGGCCGAACUUCGUCUCAUAUAUUUAUCACGGGCCCUCUUCUGGAUUGGUCUUCCGUCGGUACAUCUACUUUUGUACCGUAGUGGCCGGAGAUUUUCGGUUUCCCUCGCCUCCGGCCGCCCCAUUGGCGCUGCGAGGUGGGGGAAUUUCGGUUUCUUCUAAGAUUAUUUAGAAGUUUUGCUUAUAUCGAUUGUUUGGUUUUGAUCGGCAACGACAUGGCGGAAGGUGCGAUGCGGAAUAAAGGUACCAUGUUUCUUACUCUGUUGUGGUGGUGUCUCAACGGACGUUGCUGUGGAACAAGAGAUUUUUAAUCCCCAUGGAUUUAGUGUAUCCGAUCUUGUGGAUCUUGGGUUUGUGUACUCGCAGAUCCGUUUACAUGUAUCUGUUGAGUUUUUGUUAGUGUGUCAUGGUGCUUUUGUUGGUUUAUGUUUUGUAAUUUUGGAAUACUUUUCAACGCUCAUGGCUUCUCGUCUUUUUGGAUUAGCGACUCAAGGGGCUUUUCGAAACCUUUGAAGGUAGUCAAGUUCGUGCAAGGAUAAUAGUAAUGAUGUGGCUGCUACAGUUCGAUUGCAGUCUUUAUGUUGAAGCCUCAGUAGAAUUUCAUGUUGUAAAAUAUGAGAUCACAGAGAAGAUUUCUUUAAGAAAUUUCAGUUCUUAAUUAUAAAAGUUACCUUAGAGUUUCUAGAGUCUAUGAUCCAAAGCAUUGUACUUGUAAUGAUUCUCUUGUUUGAAUAAAGUUACGGGUUAUUCUAAAAGAAAUCUAUCUUUUGUACCGUGCUUUUAAUAGGGAUGGCACCCGCAACGUAUGGGUACGGGUUGAACCUUCUCAUACCCUUACUCGUCCUCUUUGAGCUUACCCGUUACCCGUACCCAUACCCGACAACGGGUAUAACUUUUUCCCAUACCCGUCACCCGUCUACCCCCGCGGGUAAAAAUACCCUUAAUAAAAUUUGAUCAAUAAGAACAUGUUCCUUAGAAACAUCAUCAUAUUUCUCAAAACCACAACAAUUUUGUGAUCAACAAUACUAUAUCAACACACUAUAAAUAACAAAAACACAUAAAAAGAUAAUAUAUCUUUAAAACGGUAAAUGGCACAUCGCACAUGUAUGACAGUUUAUUAUACGGGUGAACGGGUACAAGGGUAUGGGUUAUGCAUUCCCAUACCCGUACCCGUUCUACCCGAUGGGAAUGAAGUAUUUCCCAUUUGCGUACCCACGUGUUAAAAUUCUGUCCCAAACCCGUACCCUAAUGGGGAUUUACUUGCCGGAUACGCGGGUAAUGGGUACCCAUUGCCAUCCCUGACUUUUAAUAGCUGGCAGUGGCUCUGGCCGGCGGUGGAGAGGAGGUUACAUUUUCUUUUCGAAAUGGAGGAGUUUAUAUGGAAUAAAAGUGUUUAGGGUUCAUCUCUGUUGUAGUGUAGCCUUUCUCUACUGCGUGGAGUCAAUGUUUCUUCCCUUUUUUGCACAAAGAAAAUAAUUCUUAAAGUUCACGCCUUCAUUUUUUGGGUCUCGUUUCUGAUCAGUUCGGUAAUCAAAUAGCGGUUGGGCAACCUGUCUGGUAAAAAUGUGACCCUGCCUACUGUGGGUCCAUCUAUCUUAUAUUAUUUAUGGUUUGUGACCCAUGGCUCAUGCAACUCUCGAAAAUUAGGAGAGUAGUGCAGUUCGUGUCUGUAGUUUCGAAAUUAACAGUAUCUUCCAGCUCGAGCAGAACAAGGGACUACUGCUGUAUCGUUGGUGAGGUUAAUUUACGCUCUUACAUCUCUUAAUAUUAAUAUUGUAUUUCCUCCGUUCCAAAUUAAUCGGCGUCAUUUUUUUUCUUCAAAAAAUCCCCUGUAAAUUUCCGAAAUAAACUUGCAGAAUUUUUGCGAAAAACCUCCUGUAAAUUUUCGAAAUUAACGCGCAGUCCACGUUUAAAUGAAGAUGUGGACUGCAGGUUUAUUUUGAAAAUUUAUAGGGAUUUCUUUGCAAAAAGGCCGGCGACAAUUAAUUAGUCACAGAGGGAGUAGAAGGAAUUUUGGGACACUCGUCCUGAACUAUGUUUCUACGUGGAUGAUCAAACUCAAGACAUUGCGCAAUUAUCCAAGAGGAAAAAUGACAUUCUUGUAGCUGACUUCACGCAGAAGAAGGUGCAUGCUGCUAUUUUUCAAACUAAACAUAUCUUGGCUCCAAUACCAGACGGGUUAUAAAACACGAUCCGAUAGAAAUGUUUGUUCAGCCUCGACAAGCGAGCUGCCUUUGUUUAAGUCGAAUUUUAGAGUCAUCGCCCUUAUCCCUAAAAAAAGUACGGUUCGGAUACAACAAUAUAAACCCAUUUGUCUACUUAAUGCUAGUCUUGAAAUCUUCAUGAAGAUAGGUAUUAAUCGUCAGGGGCGGGCACCGGAUUUUAAGACAUGGUAUUCAAAACUCCAAAGUUUACAAAAUUUAUUGUUUAGAUAGCCUAAAGCCUUGGUUUCUGAAUGGGAACAAAUGGUAUUCCGAUAGGUUCACUUCAUAAUUGAGCGAUUGGGCCGGCAGAGGAGCAACCAGGAAGUGGGUUUAGCUGUUUUCUGAAUUGAAUUCGUUGACUACCAUGACAUUGUUACUUCUCUUCAUAUAUUGUUUUACAUAUACAUACUCGAUAAAAUAUAUACUUGGUUUUUUUACAAGAAUAAUUGUGAUCGUUCAUCAUGUGAUCCGACUUACCCAAACGGCUUUCAUGCCUGAACGGCAUAUCUUAGAAAGGGUAGUUGUCCUUCAUCUCCAUAGAAUUCACGGGGAGCAAAAAUUGAACACGGUUUUUCAGAUAUUAUAUUGUUUGUUCACUUGAACCACCAAAUAUCAAAAUUGAGAUUGUUGGUUAAUACUACCACAUCUCUUUCAGUUUACUAGGCCUAUCUUCAAAAUCACCGUUUUUUUUCAGAUAACUUAGAGGGGAUACCAUGAACCACCAAAUAUCAAAAUUGCUUAGGCCUUGUUCGUUUGCAGAAAUUCCUGCAGGGAUUGAGAGGGAAUCUGGGGAAAUUGAACUGAAUUUCCACUUUUCCCAGGGCAGAAACGAACUGGCCCUUAGUUGAAAUUCAGGGGGAAAAAAUAGAACACAGGUUUUUCAGAUAUUGUUCAAAAAGCCUUAUAAACUGGAAGGGAGGAGCAACAAUUAGUCUCCGCAAGAAAUAGCCCAAACAUUCAGAGUAGUAACGGAGUAAAUAAGCGCACCAGCACCAUGAAACAACUAAAUAACCUUUUUAUUCGCUCCUCUAGUCCCAGAAGGAUCCAUGGAGUUUCACGAGGCCGAUCACACGGCGGCAGCGCUAUGAACAAGACGCUAACAUCACGAAGCUAGAGACAAACAGGGGAGUUAAAACAAGUCGACAAAGCACACAGAAAGUCCUCGUCUCGAAGCCUCCUCUGUUUCAUUCAACCAUCUUAUUGAUUGUCACCCACCCCCUAAAGGGCGUCGCCUCAGGCCGUUUGUUCAGGCGUCCACGACGUCGCCGUUGUUCGCCGAGGCCAGCACCAUCUCCGGGUGCAGCGCCGGGGUCGCGUUCUUGAGCGUCCCGUCGAUGCCGUUCGGCCGGCCGAGCGCCUUCAGAGCCAGGUGCGCCGCCUUCUGGCCGGAGAUCAUCAUCGCGCCGAACGUCGGGCCCUGCAACCAAAACAAAUCCUCAGUCCAAGAACUGAACCGGAUUCCAUUGAUCUGUACUCCGUAUUUUUUAUUUCUAUUUUUGCGAAAACUUUAGUAAUCAUUUCUCACCAUUCUCGGGGCGCCGUCGAUCUCGGCGACCUCCAUGCCGGUGACGAUCAUGCCGGGGACGACCUCGCGGGUGAGGCGCACGAUGGCGUCCUCGGCCAUGUUCAUGUCAAGCGCCUUCAUCCCGGGCACCGUGUCGAUCAUCCCGAUGUCCUGGAGCCUCUUGACUCCCGUGGCGCCGAAGGGCCCGUCGUGGCCGCAGGAGCUCACCACCACCUUGGCCUCCAUGACGUUGGGGUCCAUGCAGGACUGUGUGUCGUGGUUCAUCGACACGAGCGCCCAGUUGGUGACGACGCCGGCGACGCGGUCCUCCUUCACGAUCAGGUCCUCCACGGCCACGGCGUUGAAGAGCUUCACGUUGGGGCGGGCCAGGAGGCGGCUCAUCACCGUGGAGGUGAAGAGCGCGGCGUGCUUGAUGACGACGUAGUCCUCCUGCUCGUCGUACUCGAUGUUGAGCUCGUCGAGGAACAGGUGCGCCGGCUUGCGCACGACCAUGGCGGAGAAGAGCUGGCCCCCGAGCCAGGCGCCGCCCCCCGGGGACACGGACUGCUCGAUGAUGGCGAUGCUGAUGGACGGGUCUUUGGAGAGCUCGUAGGCGCAGGACAGCCCCGCGGAGCCGGCCCCCACGAUGACGACGUCCGUGUCGGCGUAGGUGAUCAUGUCGGUCAUGUACCGGCGGGUCAUCUCGCGGGAGACGAUGGAUUCCUUGAUGGGGCUGAACUUGAAGGCGUUGAGGUCGUAGGGAGGGGUGGAGGCGGAGAUGGAGUUGCAGAUGGCGCCGGCGCGCGGGGUGGCGACGCUGGACGGGGUGCGCGCGGCGGCCGCCGGGAGGCGAGCGCCGGCGAAGGAGGUCUUGAGGAGGCUGGAGGCGGAGGUGGCCAUGGCUGCCAUGGUGAGGUGGAUCUGGUUCCGUGCGAAGUUUCUUGGGUUUCUGGAGAUGGGUGGAUGGGGAUAAGGGGCGGUGGCAGGGUAUAAGAAGAGGAGAGGAGCAGGCAAAUAUCCGGUGGUUGUGUGUACGUGCGAUCAGAUCCGAAGGUGUCGGCCUUUGGACUCAUCGGGGAUAUUUUGUGUGGUCUCUUGGCAUGAGUUACUGUGCUUAUUAAUGACCAUCAGCUCAUACAGUAGUGUUAUGUUAUGAAACACCA
Molecule: long non-coding RNA, 333389 nt
Filed under: Brachypodium distachyon (stiff brome)
Lineage: Eukaryota; Viridiplantae; Streptophyta; Magnoliopsida; Poales; Poaceae
Description: long non-coding RNA (BDIS_LNC000361)
Rfam family: tRNA (bases 69520-69600)
Source: RNAcentral